RNAcentral lists this long non-coding RNA (238967 nucleotides) under Triticum aestivum (bread wheat). Its description in RNAcentral is "long non-coding RNA (TAES_LNC024786)". The stretch from base 3697 to 3783 matches the Rfam family "MIR1120/MIR1122 microRNA precursor family". Lineage: Eukaryota; Viridiplantae; Streptophyta; Magnoliopsida; Poales; Poaceae. The record is from RNAcentral.
CACACACAAGCAAAUAAAAGCAAGCAAGGAGCAGGUGAACAUCGACCGUUUGAAACCAACAUGCAAGAAACACACAUAUCCAACGAACUAGAGGUCUUGCAUACACGAAAAGACCUCCCGCGCGCGCUCACUAGCAGGCCUUUUCCCUGACGCAUUGCACAUUAUCUUGGUCACUUUUGCCCUGAUCCUUCCACACCUUCUUCAUCUUGCAGAGGCAGGAGUGGCCUCCAAAGGCUAUGCAGCAGUCCACUCCAACCUUAAUGACCUUGCCCCCCGAAAGAUGCCUGUCUGCAAUGGCAUUUUUCAUACCUUCUCCAAAGCUCUUGAAGCACGCAUUCACGACGUCCUGAUCAACACCGUCGCACACUGGCGCACCGCCGGCGGCAGGUACCUGGCCCACAGCAACGGCGCACAUCAGCGCGACCAGCGCCGCCACGGCAACGAGCCUCGGGUGCAUUGCUGCUGCCAUGACGAGAUGGAUGCAGGAUAUAGCUGAUCGAAGGUCGCUGCAAUCACUCACUGCUUAUGCCUAGUGUGGGUUGUUUUCGUGUAAGAGGUCUGCUGGAGCUUUUAUAGAGCUACUCCCUCCGUUCCGAAUUAUUUGUCGCAGGUAUGAAUGUAUCUAGAUGUAUUUUAGUUCUACAUACAUCUAUUUCUGCGACGAGUAAUUUGAAACGGAGGGAAUAGAUACUAGGCGUGCGCAUUUGUAGUCGUAGCUGGACUCGAUUAGACAGCACGUGGCCAAUGGCCGAGUGGGUGGAAUACAACGUGCCUAUUACGCCCAUCCAUCCAUCCAUCGGGUGCGCGGCGCGGCAGGGGAUAACGAUCUAUUCCAUCACAAAAGUCAUACGUGACGUGACAGGAACGGGCACCCAUCCAUCUAUGAACCUAUAUACCUUUCUUCUUACCCCACGCACAAGUCACGUCGCAGCAUGCAUCGAUCGAUACAAUCCCACCCAACUCAAGACAGAACAUAUCAAAUCAGAUCAGACCACAUAAGAUCAGAACAGUGAGCGUGAUAUGUUCAUACGUAACUCCCGUGACUCCCGUGUCGUCCCCCCNNNNNNNNNNNNNNNNNNNNNNNNNNNNNNNNNNNNNNNNNNNNNNNNNNNNNNNNNNNNNNNNNNNNNNNNNNNNNNNNNNNNNNNNNNNNNNNNNNNNNNNNNNNNNNNNNNNNNNNNNNNNNNNNNNNNNNNNNNNNNNNNNNNNNNNNNNNNNNNNNNNNNNNNNNNNNNNNNNNNNNNNNNNNNNNNNNNNNNNNNNNNNNNNNNNNNNNNNNNNNNNNNNNNNNNNNNNNNNNNNNNNNNNNNNNNNNNNNNNNNNNNNNNNNNNNNNNNNNNNNNNNNNNNNNNNNNNNNNNNNNNNNNNNNNNNNNNNNNNNNNNNNNNNNNNNNNNNNNNNNNNNNNNNNNNNNNNNNNNNNNNNNNNNNNNNNNNNNNNNNNNNNNNNNNNNNNNNNNNNNNNNNNNNNNNNNCGCCGCCGCCUAGGCGUUCCCUUCCCCGCCGCCCUUCCCCUCGCUGCCGCCAACGAGCGCCACCGGGCAAAGCCCUCGUGGCGUUGGCGACGACGGGGCUGCUCGUCACCUGUUUUGCAAGGUGGGAUGCGGUGCUCCUUCUUCUCAACAGCGUCGUGGGGCAGCAGGUCACUUCUGUUCCCAGCGCCUUCCUCUGACGCCCUGCUAGCUCGACGGCGUGGCAUCCCUUUCGGUGGUGCAGUGUCCCUGGCAUGGCCCAUGCCUCCUGGCGGCGGAUCUGGGUACUCCCAGAUUGGAUCGGGGACGGAGGCUUUGGAGAUGGGAGUGCCGGUGGCCCUGCGGGAUGGCGGUGGUGGUGCAUCUGGUGGGCAGGCUCCGCCGGUGAGUUCGAUCGUGGAGGUACCGGCGGCGGCGUGUGCUCAGCCUGGUGGUGGCGGCCGCCGUGCAUGGGAGUUGGAUUCCUUCGAAUAGAUCUGGGUGAAAACUUGCUUUCGGCUACUGUCAAGGCCGGCGGUGGCGGCGCUAUCUGCAUCGUUCCUUUCUUGAAGGCAUCGCCGUGGAGAAGUUCAAGGCCACUCUCUGCUACCUCCGGGGAAAACCCUAAAUCGGAUGAUCGGAUGACGGCGGCGCUCUGGUGUCGUUCCCCCCUUCGGGGCAUCUUUCUUGGAGGUACACACGUGAUCGAGGGACCAGAGGACGGAUUCUUUGGUGAAGCGGUGUGUCAUCUCACUCAUUGAUGGCGGCGGGUCUCGGCGGCAUGGUGCUGUGGUGAGUCGGCGUCCAAUGCGCGGAGAUGGACUCGCGCAGGAGGGUGACGCAGUCUGGUGUCAUGGUGGCGUCGACGGCAACUAGACCGGGCAAGGAAGAUGCAGCAGUACAUCUCUGAAGAUGGAUUGGUGGCAGGUGGCUGCGGCGGCCCCAUACCCGGCAGGCAUCCUGGAUGGAACUUCGGGUCUUAAUGUUAGGUUUGGCUGCAAGGUCUGUUUGGUAUUAAGCCUAGACUAUCAGCAUCCCUUCAUCAAUUGGAUAGGAGUAGCGACAAAUGUUCACUGGACGGUGGCUUUAGUCUUACUGUUGUAUUAUUUUGUAAAGUUUUGUGUGAACAAUUAAUAAAGUGGCUGCAUACAUCGUUCAGAUGCAGAGGCCCGGGAUCUUCCUCCUUUUCUAAAAAAAAAUCCACUGCAAGCCCUGUCACACACUACAAACUGCCAAAGCUUCUGAAAUGUCGGUUCAUCUUCCAAAAUGCUCAUCACAAGUUCACAGCAGUCAAAUUUCAGUGUCACGUUCCAAGUUAGGCCGGGACAGCAGCCACACUACACCGACCAGGUUCUUAAUCUAGACACGGCUAGAGCUCAUGAAAGGAACAGCACAUGCGGACACAAUUCAUGAGCAUCGAUCGACUAGUUAUAAUGUCUCGUCCUGUAGGCAAGACGGUGGCAUCAGCGCCCAAGUCCACGCUGCCUGCCGCUGGAAUCACAGAAAAACACAUGGAGCCCCGAGGAUAGGAUGGGAACGCCGCUCUGGCAUCGGCUCCGUCGAAUCCGUCUGUGCAAACGUGACAAUGAACUAAUAUUCAGACGGCUCAAAUGCACAGUUCACAUUUGUCCCGCUAGUAAUAAUAUUGAUUUGAACUGAAUUUGAGACAUGUAACUGUAAACAUUUCCUUUUGUGCGUUUUGCAGUUUAAUUUGCAAUGUAAGUUGGAAUAACAGAGCAAGGCAGAGGCAUGUCGACAUAAAUAAAUAGUACUAUGAGUCUAGGCAAAGUGACAAACUUCUAAUUUAGGUCAAUCUAAGAGAAUAUUAACUUAGAACUUGCGUCAGCCAAGGAAAAACAGAAUCAUGAGUCUUGGCAGCCACAAUCAACAAACUGUGUGUCUGCCUCUGUGUGUGCCAUCUACGAUCCAACAGAGAUUAAUGCUUAUUUAUUCAGCAUGCAUUGGCAGACUUAGAAAGAGGCAGCUGAAAUGUUCGAGCUAUCACGGCCCACCUGGGAGCAUAUAUACAACUGAUCUUAUGCGGCCGAUUCGAAUCAAACAGCUUGUGAACACAGUUUGUUCUUGCUAUAAAAAGAAGAGAGUGACUCAGGCUCUUAUUUGUGACCGUAGCAGUUAGCCUGAAGAACUUUGAUCAUGCAAAUGUGUUACCUUUGUGCGGCAGACCUUUUUAUAUGACCCAGCUAGUCUAAAGAACUUCUAAUUUAGGCCAGUUCAAAUAAAAAAAGUUACUCCCUGCGUCUCAUAAUAUAAGAACGUUUUUGACACUACACUAGUGUAAGAAACGUUCUUAUAUUAUGGGACGGAGGGAGUAGAACUUACAUCACCUCAGGUAGUCUUGGCAGCCACAACCCACAAACUGUGUGUGUCCUCACCAUCCCACAGAGUAAUAAUGCUUAUAUUUGACAUGUAUUGGGAGACUCGGAAGAGGCAGGUGAAAUGUUCAAACUAUCUUAAAGAAUAGAAAAAAAGAAAAACGGUGUGCCCUGCCUUUAACUGACCUUACGAGGCAUAUUCAAAGCAAACAGCCUGUGAGCGCAAGCUGUUCUUGCUAUACAGAGCAGUGAGUCAGGCAAUUAUGCGGAUUUAUCUCAAAACCACAAUGAAUAUAAGAUGUGUAGAUGCUGAAAGUGUAAAACAGAACAUCCUUUUCUGCAUCUUCAUGUUUAUAAUAGAAAAGGCAGACAAGAUGAACCGUGCUUGGAUGAAACAAAUUUUCAUGAGGUGAGCGAAAAAUCGAAAGGUAAACUGGAUCUAUGCUAGUAUAUUCCUUCUACUCCUCGAACAUAAAGUCUUCAUAAAAAAUAACUGUUGUGAUAUAGCAUUUCGGUGAUUUUAAUUAUUUCUAAAAUAACAAUGGAUGCAUAAGCUACGUGAAAGAUCUUUUAUCUUGUCAGCUUCUUUCCAAAUGGCGAUUGGAACAAACAAAACAACAAAUCUCAAUCAUGUUCCUGAGCUUGAUGAGCACAAGAAUGAACAAACAAAGCACAAGAAAAACAACCAGUGCUAAAUCAUGUAAACAAGAAUGACCAAUCAUAAUAUUGAAUUAUUAAGCAUUAGACAAGCUGUGUGAAAACUAUGAAGAGAAGGACAUAACUAGGAUGCAAUGGGAAAUUUACCACUUCAUAUCAUCAGUGAAGAGAACUAUGGCGGGAGGUUGGAAUAUAUCCACGUCUUGGAGAUGGAAAACAUGGCAGGCCCAGAAGAUGCAGUACAAGUUCCCUCAAGCUGCAACGUCUUGACAUCAACUGAGAUAUAUUCCAAAUCUGGCGUCUGCGCUGUCAAGCCUGUGAACCGCAUGGCUCCAAACUUUUCUAGGAGCAAGUACCUCCCACUCGCAGUUUUGAUAUGAUACAGGCACCCAGAACCUGUAUGAAAAUGCUCUCCUAUCAUUAGUAGAAAAAUGGUCAAAUGUUCAGCUCAUUAGUCCCGGUUUGUAUUUGAGCCGGUACUAAUGUGAUCAUUAGUGCAGGUUUCAACGGCUAGGCGGGCCGCUCUUAUUAGUAUCGGUUCGUGGCACGAACCGGUACCAAAGAAAGUGGUGGCAGGAUGUUGUCAGUCUGGCCCCUCCAGCACCUUUAGUACCGGUUCCUGCCACGAACCGGUACUAAAGGUCGUCCUAUAUAAACCCUUCGUCCACCCGAGCUCGCUCUAUUUUUCUCCUUUCCCCUCUCCUCUAUGUUCUUCCCCUCUACCUCGAGCUCAUCACACAUUUUGCCCAAAUUUUGUCAAGAUUUGAAGGCCCCCAUCCAUUCAAGUGAUCACAAAGGUAAGCAACUUUGUCCUUUCAUCUCUCAUUGCUAGAUUAGCUCUUGCAAUGCUUUAUAUAGUCAUUAAUUUGUGGGUUUUAGUAAUUUGGGAGGAAUUAUAUGUGGUAGCUAGUUUAUUUGAUCUAUAUGCAAUUUGAGCUCAAAAUAACUCUUAGUUUGUAUAUAUAGGUGUUGUUUACUUAGUGCUUUCCCGUCUCCGUCCUAACCACCAUCGAUCGUCCGCACCGUCCUGUCGCCGGCACCAUCUUGUGGGGUGAGCCUCUUGUUCUUAUCUUUUUAUAUAAUAAAGUCAUGUUUGUGUGAUUUAGAUAUAUAGUUACUUGUAUAAUUAUCUUACCAGUACGUUGUCUGUUAUUCAUAGUGCCAUGGUUUUGAUAUCCGUCCCCGUCGGCCCUCGUUCGGGUUAUGAUUCGGAUGUGGUAUAUUUUCUUUUAUAACUAUUUUGUUGCAUUUCGUGUUUAUAACAAAUUAUGCCCAUCAAGUUGACAUAGAUAUUUUUAUGUAGGAGAUAUGUGAACCGGAAAUUCCAACCGACCCAAUUGUCGAGAGGUUAAAUUUAGAUGAAAGAGAAAACGAGUAUUUGAAACCAUCGCACGUGGCCUAUCACUCUAUGUAUGUAUAACCUUCCUCCUUGGUUGUGCAUGAAGCGGAAGUUCAUUAUGAUGUCAGUGCUCAUACAAGGCCCUAAGCAACCCGGCAACGAUAUUGAUGUGUACCUAAGGCCAUUAGUUGAAGAACUCUUACAACUGUGGAAUAGAACAGGUGUACGUGCGUGGGAUGAGCACAGACAGGAAGGAUUUGACCUAAAGGCGUUGCUGUUCGUGACAAUCAAUGAUUGGCCUGCUCUCAGUAACCUUUCAGGACAGACAAACAAGGGAUACCGCGCAUGCACGCACUGUUUGGAUGAUACCGACAGUAUAUAUUUCAAUAAUUGUAAGAAGAAUGUGUACCUGGGACAUCGUCGAUUUCUUUCGAUCAGGCAUCCCGUAAGAAAGAAAGGCAAGCAUUUCAAAGGUGAGGCGGAUCACCGGACGAAGUCUCGCCACCGUACUGGUGCUGAUGUCACUAGUGCAGAACCAGGCUAUAGCACCGGUUUGUAAGGCCCUUUAGUGUCGGUUCUGUAACCGACAUUAAAGGGUGGGGACUAAAGGUCCCCCCCUUUAGUACCGGUUCUGCACCAACCGCCGCUAAAGGGCCACCACGUGGCACGAGCCAGCGCCUGGGGAGGGGAGCCCUUUAGUAGGAUUUUUUUAUUUUUUUUGGAAAACAGCCCACCUACUGGGCCGGCACGGCCUGCAUACGACUAGAAACCCAGCCUCUAGUUGGGCCAGGAUGCAGGCCCGUACGACCCAGUAGGCCCCACAGGGCAGAAGACUUGCAAUAGGCCCACAAAGGCCUGCUUAGAGAGGAGCUCGACACGGUAGCCGCGGCGGGGCUUAUAAACCGGUGCGAGCUCCUCUCAACUAGCGAGGUGGGACUAAACAUUGUGCAUGGCGGGUGGCAGCGCACCCCUUUAGUACCGGUUGGUGGCACGAACCCGUACUAAAGGGGGGGGGUCUUUAGUACCGGUUGGAGCCACCAACCCGUACUAAAGGCCACCACCUCUUUAGUACUGGUUCGUGGCACGAACCGGUAAUAAAGGUUCGCCACGAACCAGUACUAAUGAGCGCCGCCCGCCUAGCCGUUAGAACCGGCACUAAUGGUCACAUUAGUGCCGGCUCAAAUACAAACUGGGACUAAUGAGCUGAACAUCAGACCCUUUUUCUACUAGUGUCUACAUGAUAUGAUCAAGGACUUGAAGGUAAUCUUUGAAAAGGGUCCUGGUGGACAACUUGUUCCGAAUGACGCUGACGAACGCACACCCAUGUGGAAGAAGAAAUCUAUAUUUUGGGACCUGCCCUAUUGGAAAGACCUAGAGGUCCGCUCUUCAAUCGAAUCGACGUGAUGCACGUAACGAAGAAUCUUUGCGUGACCCUGCUUGGCUUCUUGGGUGUGUAUGGGAAGACAAAAGAUACACCGGAGGCACGGGACGACCAGCAACGUAUGCACGGAAAAGACGGCAUACAUCAGGGUCAUGCCAACUACGCUCUUACCAAAGAAGAGAAGGAAAUCUUCUUUGAAUGCCUGCUCAGUAUGAAGGUACCGUCUGGCUUCUCGUCGAAUAUAAAUGGAAUAAUAAAUAUGGCAGAGAAAAAGUUUCAGAACCUAAAGUCUCAUGACUGCCACGUGAUUAUGAUGCAACUGUUUCCGGUUGCAUUGAGGGGGCUUCUACCGGAAAACGUUCGAUUAGCCAUUGUGAAGCUAUGUGCAUUCCUCAAUGCAAUCUCUCAGAAGGUAAUCGAUCCAGAAAUCAUACCAAGAUUAGAGCCUUCGACUGCUGCCGAACAUGAAUCACUUCCAUUUCCGACUCCGUCUAAGAUCUCUAUCACGGCAUUUCUUGCAUCCACUUUGUCUAAAAUGUAUCAACUUGUUUCUCCUUCAACCUGCCUCAGAGUCAAUCCAUGAUUGACAUGGUGUGCCACAUUACUUUAUUUUAAAGCAUGUGCGUAUAAAAACAAAUAGAACUUUGUAUAUAUUUGUAUGUUUGGCCGCCAAGAAGUCCUAAGACUUGAAGAUUGAUUGGGAAGUGAAAGGAACAACAAAAAAGCAUGAACACCAACAAGUGAUGCACUGUCUAUUCCAAUGUCACACUCUCAAGAACAUCCACGCAAUUUUACACUAGACGGAACAUAUCAGAUCAGCUAAUUAAGGUCGGCUAACCAAACCCAACCAGGCGCUUCAACUCAUCACUGCAAGCCCUGACACAUACAAGUGCAAAAGCCUCCUAAGUGGCUGCUUAAACUGUAGCCAUGUUACUACAUCGUGCAAACGCUGAUCACAACUGUUUAAAUCUCAGUGCUACUCCCUCCGUUGUAAAAUAGAUGACUCAACUUUGUACUAACUUUAGUACAAAGUUAGUACAAAGUCGAGUCAUCUAUUUUAGAACGGAGGGAGUACAUUCUAAAAUAGGCGGGGACAGCAGCCAUACGAGCGACGUCGGUUACACAACACUGACCGAAUUAUAAACCUAGACACGGCUAGAGCUCAUGAACAAUGUCGAACACAAUUCACGAGCACCAACAAUCGAGUCGUCAACCCUAGAUUAGUUAUGAGUCACAUCCCAUAGACAAGGCGAUGGCAUCUGCGCCAAGUCCACGCUGUCGGAAUCACAAAAAAAGACAUGGAGCUCCGAGGAUGGGAAUGUUAGUCUCUGGCUACACGGCCCCGUCGAAUCUGUGCAAAAGAGACAUAAAAUCAAUAUCCAUACAAUAGAACAGAUUUGAGCUCAAAUCACAUUCAAGAGCAAGCAAAAUGGAACAGAUUGUGGAGGCUACAUAUAGUACAUGGUGUUAAAAUGCACAAGCAUCUGUUCCGCAGGUAACAGUAUUGAUCUGAACUGAAUUCGAGAUAUGAACUGCUAACAUUUCCUUUUCCUUUUAUGCGUUUCGCAGCGUAAAGUUGGAAUACGCAGCCAAGAAGAGGUAUGUAUAUACAUAAAUAGAUGAGUCUAACAAGUGACAGGCUUCUAACUUAGGUCAAUCUAAAAAGUUAACUUAUAACUCACGUCACCCAAGGGGAAAAAACAGGAUCAUGGGUCUUGGUAGCCACAAUCAACAAACUGUGUCUGUAUGCCCUCUACGAUACCAUAGAGACUAAUGCUUAUAUCAGCAUGCAUUGGCAGACUCACAAAGAGGCAGGUGAAAUGUUCGAACUAUCACGGUCCAUAUAGGAGCAUACAACUGAUCUGAUGAGGCUGAUUCGAAUAAACAGCUUGUGAACACAGUCUGUUCUAGCUAUAAAAAGCAGUGAGUGACUCAGGCUCUUAUUUGUGACCGUAGCAGUUAUGGAGAUUCGUUUCAAAAUAAUAACAGAGAUAGCUGUGAAGAUGACUAAAAGUCUAAAAGAAAAAAAAACUAGGGCCGAGAAGGGGACCAUACUCAUAUAAGAAUUUGCAGCACAGAUUGUACAUAAUCGAGAGUUUACAAGCAAAAUGGAACGAAUUAUCAGGGGCCACAUACAUAGUAUACGGAAUUACAGGCUGAACCACAGAAGAAAAAUAGCACCUGUCCCAGUCAUAAUAUUGAUCUCAACUAAAUGUGAAACAUGUUACUGGAAACAUAAAUAAGCUGAGUCCUGGAAAACUAGGAUCAUACAAAAGUGGUACCUUUGUGUUGCAGGACUUCCUAUAUUACCUAAGUAGUCUAACAAACUUCUAACCUAUGUCAGAUUGAAUAAAAAACAUAGAAGUUACAUCACCAAAGGAAAACGAAUCAAGGGUCUUGUCGGUCACAAUCAACAAACUGGGUGUGCCCCCUACCAUCAUACAGAGAUUAAUGCUUACAUUUGGCAUGUAUUGGAGACUCGGAAAGGAGCAGGUGAAAUGUUCAAACUAUCUUAAAAAGGAAAGAAAAACUGGGUGCCCCGACUAUAACUGACCUUAUGAGGCUGAUUCAAAUGAACCAGCUUGUGAGCACAAGUUGUUCUUGUUAUACAGAGCAGUGCGUCAGGCUCUUAUUUGUGACCGUAGCAAUUACUCAGAUUUAUUUCAAAACCACAUUGAAUAUAGAUGUGAAGAUGACUAAAAGACUCUCUCUUCUGCAUCUUUAUAUUUAUAAAAGAAAAGACAAACAAGAUAAGCCGUGCUUGCAUGAAACGAAUAUUCAUGAGGUGAGCGAAGUAAACGGAAGGUAAACUGGAUCUAUACUAGUACUCCUUCUACACCCUGAACAUAAAGCAUUCAUCAAAAAUAAUAGUCGUGAUAUAGCAUGUCAAUGAUUUCAUUGGGCCUAAAAUGACAAUGGAUGCAUGACCUAUGUGAAAGAUCUUAUCUCUUAUUAUAUUCCCUCCAAACAGCGGUUGGAACAAACAAAACAAGAAAUCAGAAUCGUGUUACCGAGCUUGAUUAGCUUACCCACAAGCACAAGAAAAACAACCAGUGCUAAAUCGUGUAAAAAAGAAUGACCAAUCAUAAUAUUAAACUAUUAAGCAUUACUCAUUAGACAAGCUGCAUGAGAACUAUGAAGAGAAGGACAUAACGAGGAUGCAAUAGGAAAUUUACCACUUCAUAUUUUUGGUGAAGUCAAUGAUGGUGGGAAGUUGGUAUAUAUCCACGUCUUGAAAAACGCAAACCCGGAAGAUUUGGUACAAACCCUCGCAAGCUCCAAUGUCUUGACAUCAACUGAGAUAUAGUCCAAAUCUUGAUGUGGAACUGAGUCUACGAACCGCAUGGGUCCAAACUUUCCUAGGAGCAAGUACCUCCAGGUUGCAGCUUUGAUAUCAGGCCGGCAGCCUGAACAUAUUGGGAUUGUCUUCUCCAGCUGCCACUGGGUAGAACUCUCACAUUUGUUGCCCUUUAUGUAAUAACAGAGAUCAAACUUUCCAGCUUGAAGAUGGAUACCGAACAGGCCAAGCCUGGCUUCCCCUGCCUCCACAAUGGCCAGACCUAGCGGACACAAUUCUUUUGGUGGGAGGUCACAACUAGAGAACUCCAUUCUCCGGGUGUCAAACACGAGCAAAUCUUUCUUCCCCAUCACGGUGGACUCCCAGUAGAAGCAGCCAUAAGCGUAAUGACGACGCCCAUAAAAGCGACGGUCAAUCGGUGACACCAUGGUCGACUCGCCCUGUCCAAGGAGCAACUCAUUGCAUUCCUUGGACGCAACAUCUCGCCACUGUCUAGUGGUUGAAGAGUAGACGAACGGUGCCAGCCUAGUUGUGAAAUGUAUCAUGCAUCCACAUCACACCGAAUGCCGUCUCGGCCUCCUGGUCAAGGGGAACAAGGAAAGCCUCGCACCAGGGUUCGUGCGCCGUGGCCGGAAACCCUAAGAGAUGGGAGUGAGCUGCUGCCUACUGGAGCUGAGAGAAGAAGGGUGUGCUGUGUAGUCUGUGCUGCCGAGGCGCUGGAAGGGAACGCGAUGGAUGGAUCGCUGCUUCCGUCUUGGUCGCACUGAAACAAGAAGUAUGGUCAAUCAUCAAGACGAGAAAAAUAAAAAAGAUGGAGCGCACGCACGUCGCGAUCGAGCGUUUUUUGCGUGUCGGGCUGGGGCUGGGAACCGGCCGCGCCGGGGCUAGCUAGCUAUGUCCACUACUUGUUUUUUUUUCUUUUCUUUUCUGAUAAUGAGGGGUUUCCUUGCUUUGCUUUGCUUUGCGUGAUGGAUGGCACGCACGCGCUGGAACGGAACGCGGACUGUAUUCAUCGUCGUCGUCGCGCUGAAACAAGUAGUACGUGCACAUAUUCCCUCAAACAAAAAAAAAUUAGCAGUACGUGCACAUGUAUGCAUGUCUCCCUCUAUCGUCAAUCAGUCAAGACGAAAAAUAAAAUAAAAUCAAGCGCACGCACGGCCGGCGUCGUCCACUCGGCCUCGGCCAUAACGUGAUGCAUGCGUGCGCGCCUCUCUCACGUCACGCCGUACUCUAAUAUAGUACUUCCCUCUAUAAAGAAAUACAUUUUUUAGAGACUCUGUAAAGAAAUAUAAGAGCAUAGGGAGGGAGUAAUACUUCAAUUAAAUUGUGUGAAGAAUGAUUUGAUCGAACCGUAAUUUUCAUUAAUGAUUCAUGAGGAUUAUAUACAUAGGGAACCGUCGCCACGAACGGACGCGUCCGAUCGUAGGGGUCGUGGGAAUGUCGAACGGGUGCCUGUGGCAACCCACGUCCGUUUACACAAGGGAGGAUUAUCCCUAAUAACAGAAUUAAUUUAAAUCCUAACAAACUGGUCACGGUUAGUUCUGCACGGUCAGCCAAUUCAAGCGUACGUACCUGGCUCACCGUGGGAAAGAAAAAACAUGAACCUUUCCCUUCUCUUUUGGAUUUGGACGGCACACAACCAAGGAUUUUCUUUUCCGAUAUAGUUAUAUCCUCUUAUUCCAAACGUUGCCACACGGCCGAAGACCGCGAACUGAAGCACGCCAUUCGAUGCCAUCGCCGCCAAACAAUUUGUCACCAAGAUGCCACAACACACGGUGCCCGUCAUAACCCUCCGUCCGGUGGUGACCACAACAAAUAUAUAUCCUCUAAAUCACCACACGAGUUACAAACCUUUUAGCCCUAAUUUCAACUCGUCGUAUUAUAAGGAAAAAAAAUACAUUUUCAAACUUUAGCUCGAGUUACAAAUCUUGCGUCCAAACAAAAGAUCCCAGGCCCAAAAGGAACAAAACCUCGUUUCUCAACACACCCCACACACAAAACACGCUAUUCGUCAAAACCCUCCCACGGUCCGCGAAUAUCCUCUAAAUCAACGCACAUUUUUCAAAACUUUUAUCACACGUGAAUUUCGAGUUUGGGUCUGUCGUCCCGCCAUAAUUUUACAUCCGGCCGUCAAAAUCACGUCAAAGGGGAAGUCGAGUUCAAAUGAAAAUGAAAAUGGGAGAGAGAGUAGAGGCAACCCAAUCCAAUCUACAACCCCCGAGAUUCACUCGUCUCCCUUCACCGUGCGUGAUUCAUGAGCCCAAAAUGUGAUAUUUCGGGUCGUGCCCGUCCCACUCAGAAGAUUGAGUUUGAGUCUGUCGUCCCGCCAUAAUUUUACAUCCGGCCGGCCGUCGAAAUCACGUCAAAGGAGAAGUCGGGUCCAAAAAUAUUUCGCGGCUCUCGAGUUCAAAUGAAAAUGAAAAUGAAAAUGGGAGAGGCAACCCACCCAACCAACAUCCCGUGACCGACUCGUCUCCCUUCCACUCUUCAUCUCCCCCGAUUCGCUCCUCCCCUCUCUCCCCCAUCGCCGCCGCACCCAUCCACCGGUGACCUCGCUCAUCCCGAGCGCGGCCGGCGACCUCGCUCCCGGGUCCCGCCCUCUCCCUCUACCCCCAUCUUCUCCUUCAACCCUAGGCGGCUAGGCCCCCCCAAAUCGAUCGAGAUGGUCAGGCGACGGCGCUUCCUGGAUCCGCGCCGUCGGCAAUGGAGGUCGGCUCCGUCUCCACUACUUCCUCCGUCUGUGUGGUUCUCCACGGCCGGCUUCUCUUCACCGACUCACGCAUCCAGCAAUGGAGGCCCAACCUAAAGGUAUGCGCUUCCGAUCUGAACAUCCCCCGCUCUGUCUCGCUCUGCGGAUAGGGAUCAGGUGACAUGCACCUUUGCAUGUCACCAUGUGACUUGCGGCCCAAAUUCAAAUUUAAACAUUGCGAAAAAAUCUGAAAAAAAUCAUGCAUGUUCACAGCACAUAUUAAGAUAAUCCAUAAAAAAUUCAGAUCAAAAUUCAGAACAUACAUCAAGAAGCAAAAAAGAGAAACUCAGAUGUGAAUAGUAUACAGAGAACCAUUCGCAACUAUUCAUGACAGAUUUCUCUUUUUUGCUUCUUGAUGUAUGUUUCGAAUUUUGAUCUGAAUUUUUUUAGGGAUUAUCUUAAUAUGUGCUGUGACCGUGCAUGAUUUUUUUCAGAUUUUUUCACAAUGUUUAAAUUUAAAUUUGGGCCGCAAGUCACACGGUGACAUGCAAAGGUGCAUGUCACCAGAUCCCUGUCCGCUCUCGCACGUCCCUCCCUCACUCACUUUCCUUUAUGUCGACAGCCGCCGCCACCGCCGCUCGCCAUCCCGUCGGCCCUUCUUCCACUGGACCACUCCAUCCCCCGGUCUAGUCAUGUGCGUGCCUCCUCCGACGUCCGUCUCGAUCUGUUCUGUGCUCGCCGGCGCCGUUGAAGGACGAUCCCGUCCUCCCCGGAUGGGUAGGUCUUCUCUUCCCUCUCCUCCUUCUCCAAUCUCCACCCUUCCCCCAAUCCGUGGGUUGAUUUGUUUUCAUAUUUCGUCAGCGUUCACAUCACCGGGUUACUCAAGUUUCAGUUGGGAGCUCGACCAAGAUCCAAUCUCCGGUAAUGGAGGAGCUGGCUGCUACUCGGCUGACUCUGUUGUUUGGUUCACUCUCAAAUACUACUAUCUAUCUUUUUGGUUCAGAAACUGCAUGCAUCUUUCCACUAGUUUUGAAGGAAAUAUGCCCUAGAGGCAAUAAUAAAGUUAUUAUUUAUUUCCUUAUAUCAUGAUAAAUGUUUAUUAUUCAUGCUAGAAUUGUAUUAACCGGAAACUUGAUACAUGUGUGAAUACAUAGACAAACAGAGUGUCACUAGUAUGCCUCUACUUGACUAACUCGUUGAUCAAAGAUGGUUAUGUUUCCUAGCCAUAGACAUGAGUUGUCAUUUGAUUAACGUGAUCACAUCAUUAGGAGAAUGAUGUGAUUGACUUGACCCAUUCCGUUAGCUUAGCACUCGAUCGUUUAGUAUGUUGCUAUUGCUUUCUUCAUGACAUAUACAUGUUCCUAUGACUAUGAGAUUAUGCAACUCCCGUUUACCGGAGGAACACUUUGUGUGCUACCAAACGUCACAACGUAACCGGGUGAUUAUAAAGGUGCUCUACAGGUGUCUCCGAAGGUACUUGUUGGGUUGGCGUAUUUCGAGAUUAGGAUUUGUCACUCCGAUUGUCGGAGAGGUAUCUCUGAGCCCUCUCGGUAAUGCACAUCACUUAAGCCUCGCAAGCAUUGCAACUAAUGAGUUUGUUGCGAGAUGAUGUAUUACGGAACGAGUAAACAGACUUGCCGGUAACGAGAUUGAACUAGGUAUUGAGAUACCGACGAUCGAAUCUCGGGCAAGUAACAUACCGAUGACAAAGAGAACAACGUAUGUUGUUAUGCGGUUUGACCGAUAAAGAUCUUCGUAGAAUAUGUGGGAGCCAAUAUGAGCAUCCAGGUUCCGCUAUUGGUUAUUGACCGGAGACGUGUCUCGGUCAUGUCUACAUAGUUCUCGAACCCGUAGGGUCCGCACGCUUAAAGUUAGAUGACGGUUAUAUUAUGAGUUUAUGUGUUUUGAUGUACCGAAGGAGUUCGGAGUCCCGGAUGAGAUAAGGGACAUGACGAGGAGUCUCGAAAUGGCCGAGACGUAAAGAUCGAUAUAUUGGACGACUAUAUUCGGACUUCGGAAAGGUUCCGAGUGAUUCGGGUAUUUAUCGGAGUACGGGAGAGUUACGGGAAUUCGCCGGGGAGAAGUAUUGGGCCUUAUUGGGCCAUAUGGGAAUAGAGGAGAGAGGCCAAAAGGAAGGAGGCGCGCACCCCCCCUCUGGUCCGAAUUGGACAAGGGGUGCAGCCCCUUUUUCCUUCUCCCUCUCCCCCUCUUUCCUUCUCUCCUACUCCAACAAGGGAAGGAGGAGUCCUACUCCCGGUGGGAGUAGGACUCCCCCCUUGGCGCGCCCUCCUCCUAGGCCGGCCGCCUCCCCCCUUGCUCCUUUAUAUACGGGGGCAGGGGGCACCCCAAAGACACAACAAUUGAUCAUUGAUCUCUUAGCCGUGUGCGGUGCCCCCCUCCACCAUAUUACACCUCGAUAAUAUCGUAGCGGUGCUUAGGCGAAGCCCUGCGUCAGUAGAACAUCAUCAUCGUCACCACGCCGUCGUGCUGACGAAACUCUCCCUCGACACUCGGCUGGAUCGGAGUUCGAGGGACGUCAUCGAGCUGAACGUGUGCUGAACUCGGAGGUGCCGUGCGUUCGGUACUUGAUCGGUCGGAUCGUGAAGACGUACGACUACAUCAACCGCGUUGUGGUAACGCUUCCGUUUUCUGUCUACGUGGGUACGUGGACAACACUCUCCCCUCUCGUUGCUAUGCAUCACCAUGAUCUUGCGUGUGCGUAGGAAUUUUUUUGAAAUUACUACGUUCCCCAUCAGUGGCAUCCAAGCCUGGUUUUAUGCGUAAAUGUCAUAUGCACGAGUAGAACACAAGUGAGUUGUGGGCGAUAUAAGUCAUACUGCUUACCAGCAUGUCAUACUUUGGUUCGACGGUAUUGUUGGAUGAAGCGGCCCGGACCGACAUUACGCGUACGCUUACGCGAGACUGGUUCUUCCGACGUGCUUUGCACAGAGGUGGCUGGCGGGUGUCAGUUUCUCCAACUUUAGUUGAACCGAGUGUGGCUACGCCCGGUCCUUGCGAAGGUUAAAACAACACCAACUUGACAAACUAUCAUUGUGGUUUUGAUGCGUAGGUAAGAACGGUUCUUGCUCAGCCCGUAGCAGCCACGUAAAACUUGCAACAACAAAGUAGAGGACGUCUAACUUGUUUUUGCAGGGCAUGUUGUGAUAUGAUAUGGUCAAGGAAUGAUGCUAUAUUUUAUUGUAUGAGAUGAUCAUGUUUUGUAACCAAGUUACCGGCAACUGGCAGGAGCCAUAUGGUUGUCGCUUUGUUGUAUGCAAUGCAAUUGCCACGUAAUUGCUUUACUUUAUCACUAAGCGGUAGCGAUAGUCGUAGAAGCAAUAGUUAGCGAGACGACAAUGAUGCUACGAUGGAGAUCAAGGUGCCGCGCCGGUGACGAUGGGGAUCAUGACGGUGCUUCGGAGAUGGAGAUCACAAGCACAAGAUGAUGAUGGCCAUAUCAUAUCACUUAUAUUGAUUGCAUGUGAUGUUUAUCUUUUAUGCAUCUUAUCUUGCUUUGAUUGACAGUAGCAUUAUAAGAUGAUCUCUCACUAAAUUUCAAGAUAAACGUGUUCUCCCUGAGUAUGCGCCGUUGACAAAGUUCGUCGUGCCCAGACACCACGUGAUGAUCGGGUGUGAUAAGCUCUACGUCCAUCUACAAUGGGUGCAAGCCAGUUUUGCACACGCAGAAUACUCAGGUUAAACUUGACGAGCCUAGCAUAUGCAGAUAUGGCCUCGGAACACUGAGACCGAAAGGUCGAGCGUGAAUCAUAUAAUAGAUAUGAUCAACAUAGUGAUGUUCACCAUUGAAAACUACUCCAUUUCACGUGAUGAUCGGUUAUGGUUUAAUUGAUUUGGAUCACGUGAUCACUUAGAUGAUUAAAGGGAUGUCUAUCUAAGUGGGAGUUCUUAAGUAAUAUGAUUAAUUGAACUUAAAUUUAUCAUGAACUUAGUCCUGAUAGUAUUUUGCAAAUUAUGUUGUAGAUCAAUAGCUCGCGUUGUUGCUUCCCUGUGUUUAUUUUUGAUAUGUUCCUAGAGAAAAAUUAUGUUGAAAGAUGUUAGUAGCAAAGAUGCGGAUUGGAUCCGUGAUCUGAGGAUUAUCCUCAUUGCUGCACAGAAGAAUUAUGUCCUUGAUGCACCGCUAGGUGACAGACCUAUUGCAGGAGCAGAUGCAGACAUUAUGAACGUUUGACUAGCUCAAUAUGAUGACUACUUGAUAGUUUAGUGCAUCAUGCUUAACGGCUUAGAAUCGGAGCUUCAAAGACGUUUUGAACGUCAUGGACCAUAUGAGAUGUUCCAGGAGUUGAAGUUAAUAUUUCAAGCAAAUACCCGAGUUGAGAGAUAUGAAGUCUCCAACAAGUUCUAUAGCUAAAAGAUGGAGGAGAAUAGCUCAAGCAGUGAGCAUGUGCUCAGAUUGUCUGGGUACUACAAUCGCUUGAAUCAAGUGGGAGUUAAUCUUCCAGUUAAAAUAGUGAUUGACAGAAUUCUCUAGUCACCAUCACCAAGUUAGUAGAACUUCAUGAUGAACUAUAGUAUGCAAGGGAUGACGAAAGUAAUUCCCGAGCUCUUCGUGAUGCUGAAAUCGACGAAGGUAGAAAUCAAGAAAAACAUCAAGUGUUGAUGGUUGAAGAGACCACUAGUUUCAAGAAAAGGGCAAAGGGAAGAAGGGGAACUUCAAGAAGAACGGCAAGCAAGUUGCUGCUCAAGUGAAGAAGCCUAAGUCUGGUCCUAAGCCUGAGACUAAGUGCUUCUGCUGCAAAGGGACUGGUUACUGGAAGCGGAACUACCCCAAGUAUUUGGUGGAUAAGAAGGAUGGCAAAGUGAACAAAGGUAUAUUGGAUAUACAUAUUAUUGAUGUGUACUUUACUAGUGUUUAUAGCAACCCCUCGGCAUUUGAUACUGGUUCAGUUGCUAAGAGUAGUAACUCGAAACGGGAGUUGCAGAAUAAACAGAGAGACUAGUAAAAGGCGAGGUGACGAUGUGUGUUGGAAGUAGUUCCAAGAUUGAUAUGAUCAUCAUCGCACACUUCCUAUACUUUCGGGAUUAGUGUUGAAACUAAAUAAGUGUUAUUUGGUGUUUGCAUUGAGCAUGGAUAUGAUUUGAUCAUGUUUGUUGCAAUAUGGUUAUUCAUUUAAAUUAGAGAAUAAUUGUUAUUCUGUUUACAUGAAUAAAACCUUCUAUGGUCAUACACCCAAUAAAAUGGUUUGUUGGAUCUCGAUCGUAGUGAUACACAUAUUCAUAAUAAUGAAGCCAAAAGAUGCAAAGUUAAUAAUGAUAGUGCAACUUAUUUGUGGCACUGCCGUUUAGGUCAUAUUGGUGUAAAGCGCAUGAAGAAACUCCAUACUGAUGGGAUUUUGGAAUCACUUGAUUAUGAAUCACUUGAUGCUUGCGAACCGUGCCUCAUGGGCAAGAUGACUAAAACGCCGUUCUCUGGAACUAUGGAGAGAGCAACAGAUUAGUUGAAAAUCAUACAUACAGAUGUAUGUGGUCCGAUGAAUAUUGAGGCUCGUAGCAGGUAUCAUUAUUUUCUGACAUUCACAGAUGAUUUGAGCAGAUAUGGGUAUAUCUACUUAAUGAAACAGAAGUCUGAAACAUUUGAAAAGUUCAUAUAAUUUCAGAGUGAAGUGGAAAAUCAUCGGAACAAGAAAAUAAAGUUUCUACGAUCUGAUCGUGGAGAAGAGUAUUUGAGUUACGAGUUUGGCCUUCAGUUAAAACAAUGUGAAAUAGUUUCACUACUCACGCCACCUGGAACACCACAGUGUAAUGGUGUGUCCGAACAUCGUAACCGUACUUUAUUAUAUAUGGUGCGAUAUAUGAUGUCUCUUACCGAUCUACCACUAUCGUUUUGGGGUUAUGCAUUAGAGACAGCUGCAUUCAUGUUAAAUAGUGUACCAUCUAAAUCUGUUGAGACGACAUCUUAUGAACUGUGGUUUGGCAAGAAACCAAAGUUGUCGUUUCUUAAAGUUUGGGGUUGCGAUGCUUAUGUGAAAAAGUUUCAUCCUGAUAAGCUCAAACCCAAAUCGGAGAAAUGUGUCUUCAUAGGAUACCCAAAGGAGACAGUUGGGUACACCUUCUAUCACAGAUCCGAAGGCAAGACAUUCGUUGCUAAGAAUGGAUCCUUUCUAGGGAAGGAGUUUCUCUCGAAAGAAGUGAGUGGGAGGAAAGUAGAACUUGAUGAGGUAAUUGUACCUGCUUCCUUAUUGAAAAGUAGUUCAUCGCAGAAACCAGUUUCUGUGACGCCUAUACCAAUUAGUGAGGAAGUUAAUGAUGAUGAUCAUGGAACUUCAGAUCAAGUUAUUACUGAACCUCGUAGGUCAACCAGAGUAAGAUCCGCACCAGAGUGGUACGGUAAUCCUGUUCUGGAGGUUAUGUUACUAGACCAUGACGAACCUACUAACUAUGAAGAAGCGAUGGUGAGCCCAGAUUUCGCAAAAUGGCUUGAGGCCAUGAAAUCUGAGAUGAGAUCCAUGUAUGAGAACAAAGUAUGGACUUUGAAUUACUUGCCCAAUGAUCGGUGAGCCAUUGAGAUUAAAUGGAUCUUCAAGAGGAAGACGGACGCUGAUAGUAGUGUUACUAUCUACAAAGCUAGAAUUGUCGCAAAAGGUUUUCGACAAGUUUAAGGUGUUGACUACGAUGAGAGUUUCUCACUCGUAUCUAUGCUUAAGUCUGUCCGAAUCAUGUUAGCAAUUGCCGCAUUUUAUGAAAUCUGGCAAAUGGAUAAACAAAACUGCAUUCCUUAAUGGAUUUAUUAAAGAAGAGUUGUAUAUGAUGCAACCAGAAGGUUUUGUCAAUCCUAAAGGUGCUAACAAAAUAUGCAAGCUCCAGCGAUCCAUCUAUGGACUGGUGCAAGCAUCUCGGAGUUGGAAUAUACGCUUUGAUAAGUUGAUCAAAGGAUAUAGUUUUAUACAGACUUGCAGUGAAACCUGUAUUUACAAGAAAGUGAGUGGGAGCACUACAGCAUUUCUGAUAAGUAUUGGUGAAUGACAUAUUGUUGAUCGGAAAUAAUGUAGAAUUAUUCUGCAAAGCAUAAAGGAGUAUUUGAAAGGAGUUUUUCAAAGAAAGACCUCGGUGAAGCUGCUUACAUAUUGAGCAUCAAGAUCUAUAGAGAUAGAUCAAGACGCUUGAUAAGUUUUUUCAAUGAGUACAUACCUUAACAAGAUUUUGAAGUGGUUCAAAAUGGAACAGUCAAAGAAAGAGUUUCUUGCCUGUGUUACAAGGUGUGAAAUUGAGUAAGACUCAAAGCCCGACCACGGCAGAAGAUAGAAAAAGAAUGAAAGUCAUUCCCUAUGCCUCGGCCAUAGGUUCUAUAAAGUAUGCCAUGCUGUGUACCAGAUCUAUUGUAUACCCUACACUGAUUUUGGCAAGGGAGUACAAUAGUGAUCUAGGAGUAGAUCACUGGACAGCGGUCAAAAUUAUCCUUAGUGUAAUAAGGAUAUGUUUCUCGAUUAUGAAAGUGACAAAAGGUUCGUCUUAAAGGUUUACGUCGAUGCAAGUUUUGACACUAAUCUAGAUGACUCUAAGUCUCGGUCUAGAUACAUAUUGAAAGUGGGAGCAAUUAGCUAGAGUAGCUCCGUGCAGAGCAUUGUAGACAUAGAAAUUUGCAAAAUACUCACGGAUCUGAAUGUGACAGACCCGUUGACUAAAAUUAUCUCACAAGCAAAACAUGAUCACACCUUAGUACUCUUUGGGUGUUAAUCACAUAGCAAUGUGAACUAGAUUACUGACUCUAGUAAACCCUUUGGGUGUUGGUCACAUGACGAUGUGAACUAUGGGUGUUAAUCACAUGGUGAUGUGAACUAUUGAUGUUAAAUCACAUGGCGAUGUGAACUAGAUUAUUGACUCUAGUGCAAGUGGGAGACUGAAGGAAAUAUGCCCUAGAGGCAAUAAUAAAGUUAUUAUUUAUUUCCUUAUAUCAUGAUAAAUGUUUAUUAUUCAUGCUAGAAUUGUAUUAACCGGAAACUUGAUACAUGUGUGAAUACAUAGACAAACAGAGUGUCACUAGUAUGCCUCUACUUGACUAGCUCGUUGAUCAAAGAUGGUUAUGUUUCCUAGCCAUAGACAUGAGUUGUCAUUUGAUUAACGUGAUCACAUCAUUAGGAGAAUGAUGUGAUUGACUUGACCCAUUCCGUUAGCUUAGCACUCGAUCGUUUAGUAUGUUGCUAUUGCUUUCUUCAUGACAUAUACAUGUUCCUAUGACUAUGAGAUUAUGCAACUCCCGUUUACUGGAGGAACACUUUGUGUGCUACCAAACGUCACAACGUAACCGGGUGAUUAUAAAGGUGCUCUACAGGUGUCUCCGAAGGUACUUGUUGGGUUGGCGUAUUUCGAGAUUAGGAUUUGUCACUCCGAUUGUCGGAGAGGUAUCUCUGGGCCCUCUCGGUAAUGCACAUCACUUAAGCCUUGCAAGCAUUGCAACUAAUGAGUUUGUUGCGAGAUGAUGUAUUACGGAACGAGUAAAUAGACUUGCCGGUAAUGAGAUUGAACUAGGUAUUGAGAUACCGACGAUCGAAUCUCGGGCAAGUAACAUACCGAUGACAAAGGGAACAACGUAUGUUGUUAUGCGGUUUGACCGAUAAAGAUCUUCGUAGAAUAUGUGGGAGCCAAUAUGAGCAUCCAGGUUCCGCUAUUGGUUAUUGAUCGGAGACGUGUCUCGGUCAUGUCUACAUAGUUCUCGAACCCGUAGGGUCCGCACGCUUAAAGUUAGAUGACGGUUAUAUAUGAGUUUAUGUGUUUUGAUGUACCGAAGGAGUUCGGAGUCCCGGAUGAGAUCAGGGACAUGACGAGGAGUCUCGAAUUGGCCGAGACGUAAAGAUCGAUAUAUUGGACGACUAUAUUCGGACUUCGGAAAGGUUCCGAGUGAUUCGGGUAUUUAUCGGAGUACGGGAGAGUUACGGGAAUUCGCCGUGGAGAAGUAUUGGGCCUUAUUGGGCCAUAUGGGAAUAGAGGAGAGAGGCCAAAAGGAAGGAGGCGCGCACCCCCCCUCUAGUCCGAAUUGGACAAGGGGUGCAGCCCCUUUUUCCUUCUCCCUCUCCCCCUCUUUCCUUCUCUCCUACUCCAACAAGGAAAGGAGGAGUCCUACUCCCGGUGGGAGUAGGACUCCCCCCUUGGCGCGCCCUCCUCCUAGGCCGGCCGCCUCCCCCUUGCUCCUUUAUAUACGGAGGCAGGGGGGCACCCCAAAGACACAACAAUUGAUCAUUGAUCUCUUAGCCGUGUGCGGUGUCCCCCUCCACCAUAUUACACCUCGAUAAUAACGUAGAGGUGCUUAGGCGAAGGCCUGCGUCGGUAGAACAUCAUCAUCGUCACCACGCCGUCGUGCUGACGAAACUCUCCCUCAACACUCGGCUGGAUCGGAGUUCGAGGGACGUCAUCGAGCUGAACGUGUGCUAAACUCGGAGGUGCCGUGCGUUCGGUACUUGAUCGGUUGGAUCGUGAAGACGUACGACUACAUCAACCGCGUUGUGUUAACACUUCCGCUUUCGGUCUACGAGGGUACAUGGACAACACUCUCCCCUCUCGUUGCUAUGCAUCACCAUGAUCUUGUGUGUGCGUAGGAAAUUUUUUGAAAUUACUACGUUCACCAUCAAGUGUAAUUUGUACAUGUUUGUCUGCUUCUGUUUUCUGUCAAUCUCCAGCGUUAGAAAAAAAAGAAAAGAAUCUUGAGAUAAAUAAUCACUCUUAUAAGUCAAUGGAAGCACUCGUUCUUUACUUACUCCAAGUUACUGAUUAUAACCUUUCACAGAUCCCUGCUUUGUAUGGUAUAGGCAGACAUAUAUUAUUUCAUAGUCUGAUCUGUCCCCUUUUUUUGGUUUUCCUUGAGAUUGUACAACAGUUGCAUCAAGCAAGAUAAACCAAUGUGUGGUGUGCGUGCCAAGGCGCUGGGCGCGCGCAGGGGCAUGGGAUGCCGGUGACAGUGACCAACACCCCCUACAUGGGCAUCAACGACCUGGACACCUCCGCGAGCCUAUGCAAGCUGCCGGUCUACCUAUAGCUGACAUGCCAACACCACUCAAAAGUAACCAAUUCAUCCGCUCAGAGGUGGUUAAGAUGUAAGUGCUGGCUGCUGCCCGUCUGAUAUUGUAGAUGAUGGUACGCAUGUACUGUACAUGUUUGGCCCACUCUGAAAUUUCUGUCAGUUUGGUUCAGAAGCUGCGAGUGUCUUUCCACUAGUGUAAGUUGCCUCUGCAAUUCAACAUUGUUUGUCUGUUUCUGUUUUGUGUCAAUCUCCGGUGUUGGCAAAGAAAUCCUUUAAAGAACUGCAAUGGAAGCACUCGUUUCUUUACUUACUCUAUAUGGCACUCGUUUUUAUCUUUCAUAGAUCUUUGCUUCGCAUGGUGUAGACAUGUAUUAUUAGCUACUCCCUCCAUUCCUAAAUACAAGUCUUUUUAGACAUUUCAAUAUGGACUACAUGCAGAGCAAAAUGAGUGAAUCCACACUUUAAAAUUGUCUAUAUACAUCUGUAUGUAGUUCGUAUUGAAAUAUCUAAAAGGGCUUAUAUUUAGGACCGGAGGGAGUAGUAUUGAAGCAUUAUUUCAUAGUCUGAUCUGUACCCUUUGGUUUUCGUUCUGAUGGUACAACAGUUGCAUGGAGGAUGAUAAACCCACGUGUGCUGUGCGUGGGGAGUACAUCAGCAGUGAGUGGCCGAUUCUUCGUCGACUACGGCAUAGGUAAGACACUGGUUUACCUGCCCUGCUCUCUCUCUCUGUCUCUCAUGCUCAAUGAUUUCCAAACAGCUUCAUCCUUGAUUUGUAGUGCAUUUGAAUGAAUUUCUGAAUGUAUAAUCAUUAAUUUGCUUGAGUUGGUGAUGGCACCGGUGUCAUGCGCCAAAAAGAAAAUCUCCUUUCGUGCUUCGGGACUAGUUUUUUCCCCUGUUGGCUGAUGCAUUCCAUGGGCCUACUGUUUAUGUUUGUAAGGGAGAUGGCGAAAGAUGGGAGUAGUAGCUUUUAUGAAGAUGUUGGCUUUUAGAAAUCCUGGUAUUGAUUUGGGGAAAUAAGAACCUCCGUGUCCUGCUAUAUGAGUAGAGGAUGACUCACCAAAGCACCCAAGUUGGUUAGAAAGCUUGAUUCAAUAAAGUGAUCUGUUUUAUUUCUACUUCUUUGGUAUUGCUACAUUCUUGUCACGAUUGGUAACUAAAAGUGUCCCCUUUUUGGUUAACUGAAGUGAUUGCAAAGGAGCUGGGCGUGCAGGGGCAUGGGAUGCCCGUGACAGUGACCAACACCACCUACAUGGGCAUGAACGCCCUCCAUGGCACCGCUGGCCUGGGCAAGCCGUGCCGGUCUACCGUAGCUCGUGGAGGUUGUCAAGAUGUAUGUCCACAUGCCGACACUGCUCAGGGUGAUUCAUGCAUCAACGCCUUUCAGAUCCUAAAGCAUACAUAUUUGUAUGAUUUAAAUACUUGAUCAUUAACUAAUUCAACUGGGCUGUAUGGAUCCAUCAGGUACCUUCUUGAUACUGGCGUUGAUAUAAAUCAGAAACGUUUGAGCAUCACUAGACUUCGACGCUUCCCGCCUUGCCCGUCCGGUGGUCGCUUCUUGUUUGAAUCUGUCAUAGGUAAGUCACUCAUUCCUUUCCUCUGCUCUCUCAUGCCACUGGUUCAAGUAUGGCAAUGCAAGAAAGGUAGUUUAAAAAAAAUCAAUGUAUGUGUAGUACUUUGAGAGUUUAUAUGCUUGUUACAAUGCCACUGUUUUAAACACAAUCAAUUUUACAGCUCAGACUUCUUUUCGUUGUAAUUAAUGGUGGGUUUCUUUUCUGUUUGUUUGGUGCAGGAUUUGGCGUUGGGGUCCAAUUUCAACGCUGGGGAGAGCUGGUGCCAUGGCGGGCUACUAUGUUGUUGGGGUUCAUUUUCCAACGAUUGUAGUCUUGCAGAGGUUAUGCCUAGGUGCCGUGUGCAGUAGGGUGCUGCCUUGCCCAACACCAUCCCCUGCAUGUGUUCCUCCGUGGACCUCGUCAGAUAGUGCGAGGUUAGCAGGAACUACUCUCCUUCCCUGAUUUCGAGGUUGCAGAUUCAUAACCAGUAGAGUUAAUUGCCAACUAAUCAGCCUACUAUUUUGAACCGAAACUCACAUUUCCUUGAGUUUGUGCUAUGUAUCUGUGGCUAAAUUGUUGGUGGUCAAACUAACAUGGUGAACUUGAACAAUCCCGUUGUUGACAAUUCUAGGCUGUUGUAUGAUGCCUAGUUGGCUUUGCAUAGCUCCUAGAGUCAAAUAUUAUGCUCGAGCUCAUGCCAAUAUUAAUUGUUGUAUGGUUAUCUAGAAACUGCAGUUUACAUAUAUAGGUAGCUGAUAAGUUCUGUAAAAUAUAAGCCAGGAUGCCAUGCGACAAAGUCGGUCUUGCAACCAAUGUUAAUUUGGGAAUCUUCUGAUCUGAACCAAGAGAUGUUAUUAUUGUUGCAUAUUUGACGCCCUUACUGUUGCUUAUUGUUAUUGCUCUGAAAAAUUAACUCAAACGAUUAUCUAGUGCAAUUCAAAUAGCAACCAAACUUCGGCUUUAAGUUGGUACAUACUGUGUUGAGCUCUGCUUUCAUUGUUACUGAAAGCAAAUUGGUCGACCAUUCUAGGAGGUUGGAAGUUGGCGGCUACAUAUUUAUGCCUUAAUUAGGUAGUCCAUUUUUUAGUUUCACUGCGUUUAAGGGGUCGCUCGCUAGUCUACUAAAUUGUCCGUAGUCUGGCAUCUCUAUGUUAAUAAAUUGUCUAUUUUUCAUAGAUAGGAGCUAUUCAGUGUGACCAAGUAGAUAGGAGAAUCAAGAGCUACUAACUUGUCCUCCGUCCGUCCCACAAUAUAAGAUUGUUUCUUGAAAAACGAUCUUAUAUUGUGGGACAGAGGGAGUAUUCAUUUAGUUUUCUACUCUCUCUGUAAAGAAAUAUAAGAGUGUUUCAUAGUCUGAUUUUUACCAUUUGGUUUUCAUUCAGGGGCAUGGGAUGGUACAACAGUUGCAUCAAGGAUGAUAAACCAACAUGUGGUGUGCGUGCAAAGGAGCUAGGCGUGCAGGGGCAUGGGAUGCUGGUGACAGUGGACAAAAGCCCCUACAUCGGCAUGAGCGACCUGGACGUCUCCGCGGGCUUCUGCAAGCUGCCGGUCUACGGGUAGCUCGUGGAGGUAGUCAAGGUGUACGUUGACAUGCCAACGCCGCUCAGAGUAACUAAUUCGUCUGCUCAGAGUUGGUCAAGAUGUAAGUGCUGGCCGCUGCCCGUCUGAUUCUGUAGAUGAUGGUACGCAUGUACUGUAGACGUUUGGCUCCACUGGGAAAUUUCCGUCAGUUUGGUUCAUAAGCUGCGAGUUUCUUUACACUAGUGUAAGUUGCAUGUGCAAUUCAACAUUGUUUGUCUGUUUUUAUUUUGUGUCAAUCUCUGUUGUUGGCAAAAAAUAAGGAAAAGAAAAGAACUUGAGAUAAAUAAUCCUUUAAAGAAUUGCAAUGCAAGCACUCGUUUCUUUACUUACUCUAGGUCACUCGUUUUUAUCUUUCAGAAAUCGCUGCUUCGCAUGGUGUAGACAUAUAUUAUUAUCUACUCCCUCCGUUCUAAAAUAGAUGACCCAACUUUGUACUAACUUUGAGUACAAAGUUGGGUCAUCUAUUUUGGAACGGAGGGAGUAGUACUGAAGCAUUAUUUCAUAGUCUGACCUGUACCCUUUGGUUUUCGUUUUGAUGGUACAACAGUUGCAUGGAGGAUGAUAAACCGACGUGUGGUGUGCGUGGGGAAGUACAUCAGCAGUGAGUCGGUGCCGUGCCCCUCCAGUGGCCGAUUCUUCAUCGACUACGUUAUAGGUAAGACACUGGUUUUCGUGCCCUGCUCUCUCUCAUGCUCUCUGAUUUCCAAACAACUUCAUCCUUGAUUUGUGGUGCAUUUGAAUGAAUUUCUGAAUGUAUAAUCAUUAAUUUGCUUGAGUUGGUGAUGGCACACGCGUUGUGCACCAAAUAAAAUAAUUUCCUUUUGUGCUUUGGGACUUGGCUUUUUAACCCUGUUGGCUGAUGCAUUCCAUGGGUCUACUGUUUAUGUAUGUAAGGGAGAUGGAGAAAGAUGGGAGUAAUACCUUUCAUGAAGAUGUUGGCUUUUAGAAAUCCUGGUAUUGAUUUGGGAAAAUAAGAACCUCCGUGUCCUGCUAUAUCAGUAGAGGAUGACUCACCAAAGCACCCAAGUUGGUUAGAAAGCUUGAUUCAAUAAAGUGACCUAUUUUAUUUCUACUGCUCUGGUACCGCUACAUUCUUGUCACGAUUGGUAACUAAAAGUGUCCCCUUUUUGGUUAACAGAAGUGAUUGCAAAAGAGUUGGGCAUGCAGGGGCCUGGGAUGCCCGUGAGAGUGGCCAACACCACCUACAUGGGCAUGAAUGCCCUCCAUGGCACCACCGGCCUUGGCAGGCUGUGCCGGUCUACGAGUAGCUCGUGGAGGUGGUCAAAAUGUACGUCCACAUGCUGACACCUCUCAUGGUAAUCAAUCCAUCGACACCUUUCAGAUCCUAAAGCAUGCAUAUUUGUAUGACUUGAAUACUUGACCAUUAAGUAAUUCAACUGGGCUGUGUGGAUCUAUCAGGUACCUUGUUGAUUCUAGCGUUGAUCGAAAUGAGAAACGUUCGGGCAUCACUAGACUUCGACACCUCCCAUCUUGCCCCUCUGGUGGUCGCUUCUUGUUCGAAUCUGGCAUAGGUAAGCCACUCAUUCCUCUCCUCUACUCUCUCAUUCCACUGAUUCCAUCUCUCCGCUAGUGUAAGUUGCUUGUGCAAUCCCAUGUUGCUUGUGCAUCUUUCCGCUAGUGUAAGUUACUUGUGCAAUCCCAUGUUGUUUGCCUGCUUCUGCUUUGUGUCAACCUCCAGUGUUGGAAAAAACCCAGAAACUUGAGUUAAAUAAUCACUCAAGUCAAUGGAAGCAGUUGUUCUUUACUUACUCUAGUCACUCAUUUUCACCUUUCACACAUCCCUGCUUUUCCCUGGUAUGGACAGACAUAUAUUAUUUCAUAGGCUGAUCUGUACCAGUUGGUUCUCCUUCAGAUUGUACAACAGUUGCAUCAAGGAUGAUAAACCAACGUGUGGUGUGCGUGCAAAGGAGCUGGGCGUGCAGGGGCAUGGGAUGUCGGUGACAGUGGCCAACACCCCCUACAUGGGCAUCAACAGCUGCGAGUGUCUUUCCACUAGUGUAAGUUGCUUGUGCAAUUCAACGUUGUUUGUUUGUUUCUAUUUUGUGCCAAUCUCUAGUUUUGGCAAAAAAAUAUGAAAAGAAAAGAACUUGAGAUAAAUAAUCCUCUAAAGAACUGCAAUGGAAGCACUCGUUUCUUUACUUACUCUAAGUCACUCGUUUUUAUCUUUCAGCGAUUGUUGCUUCACAUGGUGUAGACUUGUAUUAUUAUCUACUCCCUUCGUUCCUAAAUAUAAGUCUUUCUAGAGAUUCCAAUAUAGAUUACAUACGGAGCAAACUGAGUGAAUCUACACUCUAAAAUACUCCCUCCGUUCCACUGUUAAGAUUGUAAUAGUCAUUUUUGUUAACUAGCUUAAGCGAAACACGCAUGGAUAAUUGUUAAGGCACAAAUAAUGUUAAUUUUUGAUGUAUUCAGUAUCCUGUGACCAAAUCCCAGUGGGUCUAUGUACAAUGACGUCGUGCUGAUCCGAGGGUAUUUGUUUGCAGAGAGUAAACCUUACAAAGCUUGGAACACAUGCACUAUGGACAUACUGGAAGCACUUCAAUCUUAUAAGCACCAUCCUAGCCUAUGUAGUAAUUCUUGAUCGGCAAAAAAUCAAUGUCAAGUUUUUUAUUCAAUCCUGAUAGUGUAUGAUACUGGAUGGUGAAAAACUUUGCAUUUGUUUGUAUGGGUAUGUCCGUGUGGAUGAACCAAAAAGCUUGGAGUCAUUAUUAAUGUUGAACCGAGAAGCUAGGUUAAUACAUUUUUACUAUGGUUCACUCUUUUUAGUAUGCUUACACCAAGUACGCCCUGACUUUGCGUUGGAGCAUGUUUGGCAUUCUGUCGAUUUUUUUAUGCUGGGGGUCAUCAUCAAUUGAUUAUUCCUAAAGUCACAGAAGUGUUGUUGACAUUGACAUAGUGUCCAGAACACAAUUUUGACCACAAAUUUGUACUGUAUGAUAGUUGGAAUUGAGAUUGGGUUAAAUUGGUCUGUACCGUGUCAUAUGGUCAGGGUAGUACAUUUAGCGCAUAAGCAGAAUUGUCUAAUUUUUCAGCCCUAAUAAGACAGCUUCAAAGAACUGAACUUUUAGCUUAUCAAGUAAAGCUAUUACCUGCCUGGGUGAUUCUUCCUCUUGUUCGAUAGGAUUGGAUAACAAGAUAUCUUGUGCCUAUCUGAAUGUUUGGCAAACCAUCUCUUUGGUUUCCAUGCCUUGAGUACUAAUGAUUUUGGCUUUCGCUAACAUUUCUAGCGUUGCUGCUGGGCAAUACCGUCCGGUUCCAUGGCGCCUUUCGCUCGGGCAUGUCAAACAUGGAUGUCAUCAGAGGGGGCAGCACUUACGGUGUCGUAGUCUUUGCUGGUGACAGUAGCUUUUCCGUUGCCAAGGAUCACGGCAAGUACAUGCGGUGCCGUCGUGAAGAAUCUCGCCUAGGCCUGAUUCUGAGCAAAUAUUGUGCAUUCUUUCCUCAGAUUGUUAGUUGGGGUCAUGUAAUUAAGUUAGAGGUUCCUUUGUAGUCCUGCUGUUGGAGUCCAGUGGUUAUGUAAUUAAGCAAAUGAAGAUGUUGAGACAAUAUUGUCCGUCUGUUGAAACUGUUGAAUUUAUUGUUUGUUGAAGUUCUUCUGGAUUGCUCUGAGGUUAGAACUCCUGCAUUUCAAUCAGACGCAACAUCGAAUAACAUCACCUGCCAAAGAAUUUGCCGUGGGAUAAUAACAUAUGCAACCUUUUUUCUGAAUUUUUAAACAUCAUGUUUUAUACUUUGUUUCUUGAAUUUAAAAGUUUUAUUUUUCCACAUAGUACUGCCCUGUCUGGAAGGUGGCAUUUCCCCAAAGUCAUGUAGAAAUGGAACCUUCAUUAUGAAAUGUCUGCUUUUUCUCAGCACAUACUUCCUCCAUCCCCAAUUACUUGUAGCACAAAUCGAUGUAUCUAGUUGUAUUUUUUGUUCUAGAUACAUCCAUUUUUAUCCUUUUCCAUGACAAGUAAUUGGGAUGUAGGGAGUAUUUUAUAACAGUUUUCUAGACAACACAGUCCAUGGUGAUUAUUUAUACAGUGAUUCUCUGCUCAAUGUACACCGUUAUAUUAUUGGAUAUAUAAUUGUAAAUCUUUGCAAUAAACAAAUAAGUUAAAACUGUUAUUGAUAUUAUGCAUCUCAAGCUGUUCACCUUUUGCGGAUGCUUUCAUUUUAAAAUUUUGAAAUAUCCACACUGGAACCGAGUCGUCGUUGGCUUCGGCUCGAUUCAGACUCAACUCCCCUAUUUGUGACUCCGUCUAGGCAAGUCUCCGGUUGGGGGAAUGUCAGCUGCUCCCAUCCUUGGGGUGGUCCCCAUACUCCAAGUUCUAAAAAACUCUAUUUUAAAUAUUAAAAAAAUCUAUUUUAAAUAUAUAAAAAAAACUGAUUUUUUUAUGAAUGCUCACAAGAAAUGUAAUAUAAGUCCUAAAAAUUUCAGGUCCAAACUCUAAAUAAAAAUUGAGAAACGAAAAUGUAAAAUCUAGCAUGAAUAGUGUCAAAAAAGGCAAAAGCAACCUUUGACACAAUCCACAUCUCCUUUUUGUUUCUCAACGUACAUUUCGAGUUUGGACCUGAAAUUUUAGGUGUUGUAGUCACAUUCCUCGUGAGCAUUCAUAUUCUUUUUUGAAUUUUUUAAAAUAUUGAAAUUUGAUGUUUUGUAGUUGGAGCAUGGUGAGCACCCCAAGAUGGGGGCACCUCAUGUUUUCCCGUCUCCGAUGGUGUGGUCGAGAGAAAAAACAAGAGUGAGCUUGUUUUGUGAAGAAAUCGGUAAAGAUUUUGUUGAUAGAGUGAGGCAGUUUUGUCGAGAGAGGGAUUUUCUUUUGUGGGUAAACUUCCGGUCUAUUCAUUUUUAAUCAUGGUAGUACAACGAACACUAGAAAUAAUAAAAUUACAUCUAGAUCCGUAGACCAUCUAGCGACAACUAAAAGCACUGAAGCAAGCCGAACUGAAGGCGCGCCGCUGCCAUCACCCCACCCUUGCUAGAGCCGGGCAAACCUUGUUGUAGUAGACAGUCGGGAAGUCGUUGUGCUAAGGCCCCAUAGAACCAACACACCAGAAUAGCAACCGUCGCCGAUGAAGAGUGUAGAUAAGAAGGAUCCAACCUGAACACAUGAACAAAGACGAACGACGAACAGAUCCGAGCAAAUCCACCAAAGACAGAUCCAACGGAGACACACCUCCACACGCCCACCGACGAUGCUAGACGCAUCACCGGAACGGGGGCUAGACGGGGAGACCUUUAUUCCAAUGAUGCGUGGUUGGUUUGACCGUUCCACAUGGUCAACCACCAAAGAGGCAUCUGAUCCUCCAUAGAGUUUAUCUUUUCUAUAAGCGGAGAUCGUUACAGUUAAAAUAAAAUAGAUAGACCAAUUCAGUUGAAUAUGCUUUAAUUUUUUUCAAGAGCAUGCAAAACACGUGCUAUAAUUUUAUAGAAGGCAGAGGGUAAAGUAAAAGACAUAAAACAAGCUUCCACCAUAGACCGCUGAGAAGCGAACACCACACCAACUCAACACACACAAUACAACUCCAAGCAAAAGAGCCUGCACUGAACUACAAAGAAAGCCACGUCUCAACCAAUGCGGUCACCACAAAAGAGUAACAACUCCAAAAAAACUCUCCUUGCCUACGCCCAACUGCCCUUGAUUGCCUAAAAUAGGUGGCAGGUGGAUGGCGAGCCUCACACAACUGAAAGCCAUCAUGUAGGAAUCACCCGUGACAACGUACAUAUCGCCCUCGACGACCAAAUCCAGAGGAGCAGCGAGCACCAAAUGAACGCAAACCAGGACCUCCAAGCCAUGUCUCGAAAACAAUGCUCUCAACAUAGGAACGACAUCAAGGAUGCCGCCGGUACCAACCCAGAACCGGACCUAGGCUUUCGCCUGGAGUCAACCAUUCAAGUGAGCGAGGGCGAGGUGUCGACCCACCACAACGACGCCUCCAAGGAGGGAAAAUAACACUCAUUGUCAUCGUUGGCACCGGUCAAAGCCGGGUAGUACUUUCGUCUGAAUUGUCACAAACCUGCAACUCAACCCAUCAGAGUGAGGCAGACCGUGCAUGUAUGCUCACUCCUCCGCCACCAGAGCACCUCGCCAAAGAAACCACAUUGCCACGCCUCACCAUCACGACUAUCAGAGAUGUCAAUCACCAUCACACCGAGCCACCACCGCAAUCGCCUGCAACCACCACGGUGCCCAUCAGCUAGCAAGGCCCUAUGCCGUGGACCACGAACUAGGCCCCAACCACCACCAAGGCCGCACCAUCGGCAUAUUACACACCUCCACCGUCACCAAACGAGCAACGCUGUCGCCGGAGCUUCACCGCACCUCACUGCCAAGACCUCAAACGGAAGAGCGCCACAUCAUCGCCGGAGAGAAGGGAGACCGCACCCGGGAGAGGCCCUGCCGCAACCGGCACUGCCAGGGCUUCACCCGACAGUGACCCUCGGCGGCGGCGAGCGGGCAGGCGGAAGGGAGACAAGGGGCUGGCGGCUAGGGAACUAGGGACUCCCCUGUGUCACCUCGAGGAGGGACGCGGGUGCCGGGAGAGAUAUGAUUUGAUUUUUAAAUUCUUUGGUUCCAACAUAUGAUUUGCUAUGUAGUACUUCCCAAAGUGCGCCCUCGCGACCAUUGUAAACCACGGACAAUAUGCCCCCCUCAAUCACAUUUACUUCUUUUUUAGCAACACACAUGCACGUUUCCCGGGGGUAUAUUGGGUCAGUCGUAGCAUGACCACCAUGGGCAAGAAUGCAAGAAAUCCCAAUGAGCAAAGGAAGCAAAGAAAUGCACAUAAAAUAAUAGAUCAAAUUCUAGAUGUUACUAGUUUGAGAAGACGAUUGACACAUACAGGACCAGGCGCCAUGUCGGUCUGUGUUGCGUGGUCCAAGAUUGUCAAGGGCAAGCAGAGAUGUGGCAACACACGAUCAUGGAGUAAGACAAGAUUGACCACGCCAAUCAUACAUAUGUGGAGGUGUUGGUUGGUGACGAAGAGUGGUAUCAGUAAACCAAAAAAACUCUCUCAGAGCAAGCUGAGCGCGGAUGGUUUGGUUACUUGUGGUGGAAUUGGAUCGUCGUCCGCAUAUGGGUAAGCUUGGUGUGUAUGUUGGUGCCGCGCCCAUAACCGGCCCGCUGGUCCCCAUGAUCGUAGGAUAGGUGGAACAUGUGUUGGCACUCCAUGAGGUGAAUGUGGCUCCACGGUCGCACUCGAUGAUGACACAACUUAGAGGAUAUUGGCCGCAUAGCAACAAACAUCGACAUUUUAUAUCCUUGGUUUGAAUGAACCGUCACUUCAGCGCAGUGGUCAGCUCGUGACAUCUCAAUACAUCUUGUCGCACCGACACCAUCAACGACAAGUCCGUACGACCACCGGUUAGCGGCGAUGGACACUUCUGGAUGGCCUCUGUAGUCUUUGUCGGUGGCCAUGCAUGGAGAACAAUGAUGGGGUGAACAAGGCUGCCCUGGAGAGGAGGGCAACAACGAGGCCCAUGCCAUUGUUGAUCCUACCUUAGAUCUAGCUCUCUUACCAACAUAUGUUAUGUACGAGUGACUAGUGAGUGAUUGAGUGUGUGUCCUCCUCACAUAAACGAGAUGGCGGUAUUUACAAAUGCAGGAACUAGCUUACGAUAAAGAUGAUAUUCAUUCCUCUCGCAUCUUUGUGUUGCACAUGCGAAAUAGUAUUGGCCAAAUUUGAGUCUAGCUUGAACCACAAACAUAUUACACAUCAACUCGUCAAUUGUUAAUAGGUGGCCUGAACAAGGGAUUCAUGAGAUACAAUAUGUAUAUUAAACCAUCUGUGCACGUUUUCAGCCACUGGCCAUUAUCAGGGAUCAUAAUCACAUGAAAUGACGAGGAAUAGUGCAUGGAGUAUUCAUGGAAAAUCAAAUGAAGAAACGUGAGCACAGAAUAAUAUAUAGACCAUUUAUGGCUAUUUGGGUCCUACACGAGGGUGAGUGACCUAGCCUAGAAGUGCCUUAUCUGAUGUGAUGGUGUGGUAGCAAUGCAGUGAAUGAUGUGACCAAUGGCCCAUAGACUCUGAUGAUGUCAGGCUAUCGGCUGCAUGGCGCCCAUGAUGAGGAGCAUAGAUGGACUGUCUUGGCUUCGGCUCGGUUCAGACUUAACUCCCAUGUCGCUGCCACGGCUCCGUCUAGUCAGGUCUCCGGUGGUGGGGUUGAGAGAGAAUCAAGAGUGAGCUUGUAGGGAGAGAGAGAGAUUGUGGAGAGAGUGGUGAAGAUUUUGUGUGGGAUAUAUAUAUAUAUAGAGAGAGAGAUGAUGUGUGGUUUGUUUGACCGCGCCACAUGGUCAUCCACCAAAGAGUCAGCUUGUAUUCUAUGGCACCUGACCAUUUUGUGGCUUGGGCCGGCAAUGCUGACAUGUUAGCGGGGAGGCUGCAAAGGGCUGUGAAGAAAGUUGGAUCAAUUUCCUUGCAUNNNNNNNNNNNNNNNNNNNNNNNNNNNNNNNNNNNNNNNNNNNNNNNNNNNNNNNNNNNNNNNNNNNNNNNNNNNNNNNNNNNNNNNNNNNNNNNNNNNNNNNNNNNNNNNNNNNNNNNNNNNNNNNNNNNNNNNNNNNNNNNNNNNNNNNNNNNNNNNNNNNNNNNNNNNNNNNNNNNNNNNNNNNNNNNNNNNNNNNNNNNNNNNNNNNNNNNNNNNNNNNNNNNNNNNNNNNNNNNNNNNNNNNNNNNNNNNNNNNNNNNNNNNNNNNNNNNNNNNNNNNNNNNNNNNNNNNNNNNNNNNNNNNNNNNNNNNNNNNNNNNNNNNNNNNNNNNNNNNNNNNNNNNNNNNNNNNNNNNNNNNNNNNNNNNNNNNNNNNNNNNAUAUAAGUGCUUAGGCAUGGAACAGUCAGGACUAAGGUGGAGUAUAUGCUUGGAAUCAUCCAUGGUUUCUUACUAUGGUCCAAAGCAGCGACGGAGGCAUUAAUUUUUUUUAAGGUGUGGCAGAGUUUAUACAGAAGAAACUUUUUAUAACAAAAUCGUAAAGAAAACCAAUUAAUUAGUCUAUCAAGUAUCAACAACGGGAAAGCACUAGACAGACUAAUUAGUGGAUUACUAGAGUUUAUUUCGGCCACUGGCAACAAAAAGUUAGCUUUUCAGUUAUAUGUCCUCUCUUCCUUUUCUUCGACGCCAUCUGCACAUUCAACCCGCGACCUAGUCGGUCGCUGCCUGGACGGUCUCCACCUUGCCUCGUCAGCCGAUGGCCCCAGCCCACCGCUCUCUGGUCUUUGCUCAUUGACACUGUCAGCUUGAGGCCCUGCCGGUGCAUCCGUCUGUCUGUGCCCUGAUGCGGAGCCGCCUCCGUGCAAGACGUCCUAAGAAUGACGCCUUAAAAGUCCAUACAUGUGUCUCCUUCAGCGAGUGGCUCUGUUCACUCUCGACGUGUUGCCCAUGGAGAACAUACCUACAUGAUCAUCGGACACACCCAUUACUUUAUGUGAAGAGAGUAGAUACUGAAAUUUGCAAGUAUACCUUUUACCAUGACCAUGGCCGGAUUAUGGCUUGUGGUGACCGUAAUAAGAACAUCAAAUAUAUAUUUGAUAUUUACAGUAAUAAAUAUUUACUAGUGAUUAGGUUCCUAAGAAGUAAUUGAACGUCUGAGGCGACGCCAGACACGGAGACGAGCAAGUGAUGGGUUAGGGUCUGCGGGAAGUAGUAGAACGCAGCGUGAAGUGAUGUUAGACAUGUAGCCGAUCAAUAGCUUUGUUCAUAGGUUUCAAGGUGAAGUGGACGCUCGCGAGAAGCGGUACCGGGAACAGUGAAGUGCAAGGGUUCCUUCGGUUACGGGUUAGGGGGAGCGGAUUUGGAGCACACAAGUGCGGGGCAACGUAUCCCCUCCUCUUCUCCUCCCCCCCUCCCCGCGUGCUUUUCUUGUUGUCUUCCAAUUUUCAAACCUUUAUAUCUUUUGAAUGAACAGUCCAAAUCAAGUUUAGUUUUCAAAUUCGUGUUUAUCGUGACUAGGGCUUUUAGAUGAGAUCCAUUUUGAAUACCUUUUGAAUUUUUUUGAAAAUAAAUGUUGAGUUUCAACUCUUGAAACUUAGUACGAGCGACCUAUAAAAUCAUGAUUUUGGUGCCUACAAACCACAAGAAAACGUCUUCAAAAUUUUGCUAUGAAACUUGGUAAGAGCGAUGGCAAGUUUCAGAUAAAAAGUCGUAAGGUACAACAACUGAAGUUUAAAACUUAUUGUGCCCUCGUGUGGGAUUUAACUACUUCAUGAAUCGGGAGACAAUCGAGCAGCCGGGCGGGGCUUGGGAUGCCUUACGAAUUUGCAAAGGGUUAGGAGAUGUAUUUUAUGUUCGUUCAAACAGUACAAUAUUUGUCUCGUUUGGAAGAUAUCAACUCUCUAUGCACUCAUGAGGGCGGGGAGGAGAGGAUGGUGAUGUGGGGGAUACUAGACAAUUAGCUUCAUUGCCGAUACCAGAGUAGUACCAAGCCCAAACUUGUUGUGCAAGCACCUGGUUUGAUCAUUUUGAAUGUAACAUGUUCAUUAGAAACAUUAUCUUAUCAAUUAUUGGUAGUACUUUAAUACAACUUGUUAUUUUAUUCUAGGAAAUAGCCAAUGUCUAUUAUUACAUGUAUAAAACCCUUGGAUAAAACAUUACUCCUUGUACAGGCACUCGUCGGCCGAGGACGCUGCCCCGUUCCGUCCGCCCCUCCCGUUGCCAUUGCCGGCGACGAGGGUAGCGGCACGCAGCGAGUCAUCCACGCCGAUCUUGACUAUUUGGUCGUUGGGGCAGCGCCCGCGCCGCGCAGCGGUCCUCGCGGUGGUCCUGGACCGGUCAAGGGCCCAGGACUCCGCGAGCUCGACGUCACCGCGGACCCGGUCCAACGCGACAAAUGACUUCGGAAACGUGGAAAAGUGUUGCGCGUUGCACAUCUCCCGCCAUUCCUCCUCCUGCGCCGCCAUGUCGUUUGCCUUUAGGGUGAUGUGCGAGGGCGUGCUACCGCCGACGCGCCCGAGGUAAUGCAAGAGGCGCGCACGCUCGCGAGCACCCGGGAGGGCUGCACCUCCUUUACGGCCUUGCCGCGCCAGGUGUGACGGUGAUGCUUGGCGAUCGAAGCGGGCGAACGUGUUGCACGGUGGGGAGGACGUCUCCUCCUUGACGCUGCGUCAGAUUUGGGCAAGCGCAUGGUGCACCUAUCACACAUGAGCACGGACCUUGAGACAAUGGCCAUGGAGACGAAAGUCGAAGAGUCCGCAAGCAAAAGGAUGAUGGCACGGUAGGCACCCCGAUGACUGUGGCGAGCAUCGUUCUCUCACUGUAGGACGCAAUGGAGAGGAGUGGUUGGGAGGUAGGACCGAUGUGUUACAUGGUCGGGGACGAAUUAAGAAAAUAUGUCAGGCUAGGGCAUGUAGGCAUGGAAGAGCUCGCCUGAUCGACAUGCGUUGCUUUUCAUCGGGAUAUGGGACAUAUGCGGUAUUUGCGGGUCAUCUACGAUGGCUUAUUUAAUGCGCAAUACCCGACUGAAGCGGUGACGUUUGUACGACGCUAGACAACGGACGUCCAUGUCCAUCCUUCAGCGAGGCGUCCUGGUUCUGUACUAACAUGUGCAAUGUUUUACAGACUGUUAUAACUUGAGGAAGGGAGUGUUGUUAAAUUUGGAUUUGGAUUGUAUUUUCGGUUAAUGUUACAAAGUAGCAAACAUAUUGCAUUGGUUGAAUCGAUGUGUGCUGUUUUGCUGGCUCAGAUUGGAAUUCUCUUCUCCAUGAACAACAACAAACCUUCUUGUCCUCCCUCUUGAUAAUUAAUUAGACAUGGAUGGAUCGGUGGCGCUGCUGGAGCAGGACCACAGCGAGCAAGCGCCUCUUGGAGCCUGACGAAGUUAUGUUUACCUACUAUACUAAGUAAACAUCUCUAGUCUCUAGCCGAUGCAAGUUUUCCUAGUACUAAGUAAAACUAGUUUGCUACUUACUUACUACUAUGCUAAUGCUAUCAUCUCUAGCUGCUGUCUAUCACAAUGCUUCUAACUAGUCUUCAUCUUUUUAUCUUAAAAAAAAACAGUCUUCAUCUACCUACUAAACCAAUUUCACAUCUUUUGCCUCCUCUCUCUCGGCUUGUCUGUAGUAUAUGUGUUGCUUGUUCGUUGGCCUUCGGAUUACUCUCUCUCUCUCUCUCUCUCUCUCUCUCUCCCCAAGGCCAAGGCUGAUGGCACUGCCUUCCGCAGCCCCUCCUUCCUCUUGCCAACGCUCUCAGCUCACGGAAGAGACCCAAGAACCGAAUAUGGCGAAUCCUAACCGGUUGCGCACGCAGCGCAUAUCUCAGCCGCUGCUCCAACAUUGGAUUCGAGCCCUUUGCAUGUGCAGGCCCCUCUUUCUCUCUUUUCCAUCUCACAAUCUGACACAUGCAUGCCUACAGUAUCUUUCCUCUUUCCUCAAACUUCAUUACUUUUAGUUUUCUUUUGACAGUUUAGAUGGUUCAUAUCUUUAUAAUCAAAAUUUUGUUUUUAAAACUUUUUAUAUAUUUGCACUCCUGACAUCAAGAUCUUUAGAACAAGAUCAGUCUUGGAUUAUUUUUAAACACAUUUUUGUUGACUAAAACUGAAAUAUGAUUGUUUAGCAGCUUAUCAGUUUUUUUAUAGAGGAACUUCGCUGAAAACAAUGAAGAACUUCUCAUUUUUAUUGUAAAGUUGAAGAACUUUUUGAACAGUGCGUUUGCACUUUGUUAGAAAUAUUAAAGAACUUUGCUAGAAAAUGUAUUGAAACCAAAGAAGUUUAUAAACAGCUUGCCUUAACUUUGAUGAAAAGUUUAUGGAACUUGUUUGAGCCACGCACAAUUUAAGUUUAUGGAACUUUGAUGAAAAAUUUCAAACUAGUUCAAAUAUAUUCAACAUUGGUCUUGUUCUAAAGGUUUUGCGUCAGAAGUUCAAAUAUAUAAAAUAAAUAAAUUUGAAAUAUUGGUUUAGAAGAUAUAAAUGAUUUAAGUUUACAAAGGGAUAAAAAAUGAUGGGUUUGUUUGGGAGAGAAAGAGAGGUACAUGCAGCCUGUUGAUUUGACAUGCAUGUAGGAUAGUUGAUUUAUACGCGUUGUGCGCGCACUGAGUUAGACAAAAUCCACGUUCCCAAGAACAAGGAAGAACACAAGUGUUUUCUGGCCUCAGCUGCCUCACGCAGCCUGAGUUUUUCUUCUCUCUAUUUCUCCUUGUCACCUCACCGUCCAUGGCUGAAGCAAGACGCACACACACGGCCGAACGGCCACUAGCCCACGUACGUCCGCAUAACACCAUCUCCUAGAUUCUCUCUAGGAUAUGCAUCACCUGCUAACUAACUAUAACACUCGGUCAUGCACAAACAGACUCAACGCAUGCAUGGCCAGAUGACCAACCUUUUAGCUAGCCAACUAACUAACCUUUACAUGCAGCUAGCGACGGCUCGAUGCAUGCAAACUAACUCACCGUCCGGCCGGCCGGGCUUGCUUCAGCCAUCCAGGUGCGUGCCGUAUCACACGACCUUGUCGCCUCGCGCAGCACUACAGCUUCACGCCGCCAUCGGCAUCUCGCCGUAUCUCACGGCGGUCUGGCAUCUCACCUUCUCCGCACAUCUUCGUUGAAGCUUCGAUGACUAGUUAGUCCGUACGUAGACACUCUAAGUUACAUGCAUAACAAAACUAAAUAUGCAGUUACACUUGCAUGGAAUCAAGAUUAGUGCCAAUGGCAACAAAGGCAUACCACACCAAAAGUUUGUGUAUGUCUGUGUUCUUUUCAGCAUCUUACUGAAGCAGAUACAAGUUUGUUAUAGCAGAUAAGGAAGGGAGAUGAUUAGGGAAUAACAGAGAGAUAGAUAUGACGUGAAAUCCUGAUUAAUUAGCUAGAAAAUAAAUGGAAACUACCCACCAGUUUGUUAGGAAACAUAACAACAAAUCAGCCUAUAUUAAUUCUCUCGUCUCCCUCUCCUCCUUGAAAUCAGGCACCCCACAACCAACCAACACACACCUGUUUAACUGCCUCCACAUAUCUCUCCGCGUCCUCCUCAUCCAUUACUCCCUCCCUCCCUCCCUUUCGUUCAAUCCAUUGGCUGCCGCCUCCUGUCGCGGAUCGCCCCUCCCAUCCGAGGCCUCUCCGCGUUCCCCGCUCGCUCGCUGCGCGCGCGGUCUUCUCUAUCUCGCCCUAUAAAUCUCCAGCCAACCGUUUGCUCGCGCUCGCUCCGCACAUGUUGCUCCUCCUCUGUCGACCACCUCCUCCUUUCUCCUUGAGGCAACACACCAACGGCCGGCCACCGAGGGUUGUGCCACUUCGUUCCNNNNNNNNNNNNNNNNNNNNNNNNNNNNNNNNNNNNNNNNNNNNNNNNNNNNNNNNNNNNNNNNNNNNNNNNNNNNNNNNNNNNNNNNNNNNNNNNNNNNNNNNNNNNNNNNNNNNNNNNNNNNNNNNNNNNNNNNNNNNNNNNNNNNNNNNNNNNNNNNNNNNNNNNNNNNNNNNNNNNNNNNNNNNNNNNNNNNNNNNNNNNNNNNNNNNNNNNNNNNNNNNNNNNNNNNNNNNNNNNNNNNNNNNNNNNNNNNNNNNNNNNNNNNNNNNNNNNNNNNNNNNNNNNNNNNNNNNNNNNNNNNNNNNNNNNNNNNNNNNNNNNNNNNNNNNNNNNNNNNNNNNNNNNNNNNNNNNNNNNNNNNNNNNNNNNNNNNNNNNNNNNNNNNNNNNNNNNNNNNNNNNNNNGUUAGUAUCACAACACUUUGUUCUCCAUCUAGCCUUCUUAAGGAGAUCUUAGCAUGUUACCACUCGAUCCAACUGAUGAAAUUUCUUUUGAACCAUGUGGUGCAGAUGCGAGCCGCAAGUCAUGGGACAACAUUGCGGGUCUGGACGCCGGGCGAGAUAUGUAUGGAGCUAUGCUCCUGUCAUGGAUGAUGGGCCAACACAGGUUUUUUGUUUAUGAAGAUUCACAUUGAGCCAAUGCGCGCAAACAAAGGUUAGUAUAGAAAUAAUAUACGCAUGAACCUUUGUUCAUUGGUAAAGAUGUUUUGCUAUUGCCACAUGUCUUGAUCUUAGAGUUGUCGCCAACGGUUGCUUCCAACACAUGAACUGCAUCUGAAACUGUCCUACAUAUUGGCCUGCAUCAAGCAAACUACAUGUCUACAUCAUUAAGAAAUAAUCUAAAACGGUGUUGCCGGAUAAAUGUAAAGCGAGCAAACAUGGUGUCGUUUAACUGCUAGAUUACUUGAAAUAGUCAAAUUCAGUUAAGCAAUACUCACUGUAAUGUUGUUUGGAUUAAAUUCAAACAAUAAAAUCACCUGCAAACAUGUCUUGAUUUAAUUUUCAGCAACAUGUAUAUUCCACACCAGCUCAUCCAAGCAAAGGUACCGAAAAAAUUAUACAUGCUUCCUUUUCAGUAGUAAAGUUUAUUGUCUUGAUUCGUUUUUUCUUUAGUAAUAUGUACUGUAUAAUCGAGCAGUAGGGCAUGAAAUCCUCAUUCCUCCCUUGUCUCCUAGGAAAACAUACAUCAGUUUUACUACAAGAUUCAAUCAGAUAAUGAACUGAUCUUGUCUAGUAUAAAGGAAGUGUUAGUAAUUAGUAGCAAGCCAUGUACGUAGCAUUGCCGGAGCACCAACACAAGUGUCUAUAUUUGUGGCAACGAGUACUACAACCCGUAGUCUCGCUGAGACUUGGUGCCCGUGGAAAAGGAGGAAUAAGUGAACCUAGUAAUUAUCUAGUGCGUGCAGUAAUUACCAACCAAUCUCUUUGUGAUAGUAGUUGUUUGACGCCUUGGUGGCAGCCUCAUUGAGAGACUAUUGCUAAAUCACAGCAGCGACCACACCUGGGUUUAUUUGUUUAUUGGCCAGUAUGGAAACCUGAACUUUUAAAACCAACAAUCAUGGGAGCGUGGCCCUGUACCGACUCUUGGUCUAAACUCUGCUGCAAUGCGAGGCUAGGUAAAAACUUUGUACUAGGAUGGACAUAAAUCUGCAUGUUGGCUACAGCAGGUCACCACAUGUUGUAUGGGGAUAAAAGUUGGUGUUUUCACAGGCAAUGCUAUAUUGUUCAGAUGAGAAGAGAUCAGAGUGGUCUAAGACUCUUGGAUUCCCAUUGUAAACACUACCAAGACUAUCCAUGUGUUACGCCAUUUGCCUUUUGAGUUUUCUAACAACAUGCAUGCAUGAGUUAGGAACAAGUAAUGUAUCUUCAGAAAGGAACAUGAAUAGAAAUCAAUAAGCAGAUGACAAGUCAUGAUUCAUCCCUUGUUUAAUUCAACUCCUCUUUCAUCUGAACCUUUUUCAGUUUGCAUAGUGCAUACCUACAGGAAAAAAACAGUAAACAAGAUGUAGGCAUGCUUUAGAAGUUAUAAGUACUAAUAGUAAAAUAGUUGUUGAUAACAAAAUAAAGUGGAGUGUAGAACAUGUGAAGCAUGCAUCCCUUUUCACUGAUAUGCACAAUAUGUCGCGGUUAUUCUAGUCGUUGUUCAGUAGUCACUAUUCUAAGGGAACUCCAUGAACGAGGGUUAGAAACCUAAAAAAACGUACUUUGUGCAAAUGAAGGUCACGAUUGAAACCAUAUGACACAAGUUAAUAAGUUUAGACACCAGCAUAUUUAUUUGUAGUGGGUACGUAUAACUUGAUUUCAUAAUAGACACUUCCAAGUUGAGAAUAUGUUGUUUUUCUUCAGUAUCUUAAUUAGUUAGUAGGAAGCUGAUUCAAGUUUGUUGGAGAGAGCAUUGAUAUUAGCUAGGGAUUAAACGAAUGUCACGAUGGUAAUUAGGAAAUAUACUACUAGAACAGAUUCAAAAUCAAAUAGGUUAGUAACAAAGUGUCAUGAUGAUUUGGCAUGUGUAAUUAAUCAUGCUGACAUGUUUGGUGCCGAAUUGCUUUCACUCACUCAUGCUACUCCAUCAUUUCUUCUUAGUGGUCAAAACUUCUCUUCACUCGUUUAGUGUUGUUGUGGACGCGUUUCUUAAUCCAUCCGACGCGUUAUGCUGCCGAAAUUUCUAGCCAAAAUUGCCACGACUUGCAAGAUUCCAGGGGCUUGGCUGCAAGGUUAUGUUAUUUAUGGGGACGAAAACAUGGCAGGAAUUCUAAGACAAUUCUAAGACAAGAAUUUUGGGACGGAGGGAGUAUCAACUUGUUUCUCCUUCAACCUGCCUCAGAUUCGAUCCAGGAUUGACAAGGUGUGCCGCAUUACUUUAGUUUAAAGCAUGUGCAUAUAAAAACAAAUAGAACUCAUAUAUAUUUGUAUGUUUGACCGCCAAGAAGUCCCAAGACUUUAAUAUUGAUUGGGAAGUGAAAGGAACAACAAAAAAAGCAUGAACACUUACAAGUGAUGCACUGUCUAUUCCAACGUCACACUCUCAAGAACAUCCACACAAUUUUACACUAGAUAGAACAUAUCAGAUCAGAUAAUUAAGGUCGGCUAAUCAAACCAAACCAGGCGCUUCAAUUCAUCACUGCAAGCCCUGACACAUACAAGUGCAAAAGCCUCCUGAAAGUGGCUGCUUAAACUGUAGCCAUGUUACUACAUCGUGCAAAUGAUGAUCACAACUGUUUAAAUCCCAGUGCUACGUUCUAAAAUAGGCAGGGACAUCAGCCAUAUGAGCGACGUCGGUUACAUAACACUGACUGAAUUCUAAACCUAGACACGGCUAGAGCUCAUGAACAAUGUCGGACACAAUUCACCAGCACAAUCAAUCGAGUCGUCAACCCUAGAUUAGUUAUGAGUCAGGUCUCGUAGGCAAGGCAAAGGCAUCUGCGCCAAGUCCACGCUGUUGGAAUCACAAAAAAAGACAUGGAGCUCCGAGGAUGGGAAUGUUAGUCUCUGGCUACACGGCUCCGUCGAAUCUGUGCAAAAGAGACAAAAUAUCAAUAUCCAGACGAUAGAAAAGAUUUGAGCUCAAAUCACACAGAUUCAAGAGCAAGCAAAAUGGAACAGAUUGUGGAGGCUACAUAUAGUACAUGGUGUUAAAAUGCACAAGCAUAUGUCACACAGGUAACAAUAUUGAUAUGAACUGAAUUCGAGAUAUGUAACUGCUAACAUUUCCUUUUACCAUCCGCCUUAGACGCACAGUUCGGGACACUCUACCCGAGAUCCGCCGGUUUUGACACCGACAUUGGUGCUUUUAUUGAGAGUUUCACUGUGCGGUCACCGUAAGGCUUGAUGGCUCCUUCGAUCAUCGGCAAUGAUGCGAUCCAGGGUGAGGUUUUCCUCGCCGGACAGAUCUUCGUAUUCGGCGGCUUCGUACUGCGGGCUAACUCGCUUGGCAUCUGGGGCAGAUCGAUAGCUACGCCCUGGCCAUCAGGUCAGGUUUGGAAACUUGAACUAUACUGCCGACAUCCGCGGAGACUUGAUUUUUGACGGAUUCGAGCCCAUGUCAGGUGCGCCACACAAUCAUGACGAGCAUGAUUUAGCUCUGCCGUCGGACUGUGUUCGGGAGAUCACACCUGCAACUACUCCGGCCCUCAAUCCGGAACAAAUUGCGCCCUCUGUGGACGGGUGGAUGGACCCCGCCACGGAGGCCGCACACUUAGUGGCGAUAGCACCGAAUACUGACCUUACCUCCUACGAGACCCGUGUUGCCGAACCGUUGGAUUUGUCCCCGGCCACGGACUCCGAGCCGCUUGUGUCCGUGCCGAUCAAAUCCUAUUGGGCACCGAUCAUGGAGUUUACCUCCGCGGAUAUCUUUCAGCACUCACCUUUUGGCGACGUACUAAACACGUUGAAGUGUCUCUCUCUGUCGGGAGACCCUUGGCCGAACUAUGUCCGGCUAGAAUGGGAUGCGGACGACGAAGAAAUUCGCGCCCCACCCACCACUCACUUAGUAGCCACUGUCGACGAUUUAACCGACAUGCUCGACUUCGGCUCCGAAGACAUCGACGGUAUGGACGACGAUGCAGGAGACGAACAAGAACCACCGCCCAUAGGGCGCUGGACGGCCACCUCAUCGUAUGACAUAUACAUGGUGGACAACCCCAAAGAAGGGGAUGGCGACAAAACAACGGAGGAUAAUCCCUCCAAGAAGCAACCCAAGCACCGACGUCAGCGGCGCCGCUCUAAGUCUCGCCACAGUAAAAGCAGCGAUACCGGCACAAGAGACAAUAACGCUCCGGAUAGUUCCGAAGACGACGAUAAUCCCCUCCAGCCAAACCUCGAGUGGGAGGCUGAACAAGCUAGCCCUCCGGAACAGGCAACAAACGGAGAAUCAGAGGAUGAAAAUUACAUGCCUCUCUCUGAAGACGAAGUGAGCCUCGGCGACGAAGAAUUUGUCGUGCAUGAGGAUCCCGUCGACCCGGAACGCUUCAAGCGCCGGCUUAUAGCCACAGCAAACAGCCUGAAAAAAAAAAGCAACAACAGCUUCGAGCUGAUCAAAAUCUGCUAGCGGAUAGAUGGACUGAAGUCCUGGCAGCCGAGGAAUACGAACUCGAGCGCCCAACCAAGAGUUACCCAAAGCGCAGGUUACUACCUCGACUCGAGGAGGAAGCAUUAAAACAUACACCACCAGCGUAUGAUGCGGCAGAUCAGCCACCUCGUGGCCGAGACAGAGAGGCAUAUCAGCCCGAAGUCCAGGCCGCACCCCGCCGCCACUCAAACAAAAAUACCAAGGCCCGGGGCAACAUGCAGGACCUGCGGGACGUAUUGGAAACAAGGCAAAACAUGCAAGAUCGAUCUACGGAUCACGGGGGCGCGCACCAACGCGGGACGACGACCGUCACGCCGGAUACACUAAAAGCAAAUCCGGCCGGGCCGAAUACAGCAGACAAGACUCAUAUGAACUGCGUCAUGAUAUAGCCCGGCACAGAGGCGCCGCACACCCCCUAUGCUUCACUGAUGAAGUAAUGGAUCACGAAUUCCCAGAGGGUUUUAAACCCCUAAAUAUUGAAUCAUAUGAUGGUACAACAGACCCCGCGGUAUGGAUCGAGGAUUUCCUCCUCCACAUCCACAUGGCUCGUGGUGAUGAUUUACAUGCCAUCAAGUACCUCCCACUAAAACUCAAAGGACCAGCUCGGCAUUGGCUGAAUAGCUUGCCAGCAGACUCCGUUGGCAGUUGGGAGGAUUUGGAAGAUGCAUUCCUUGACAACUUCUAGGGCACUUAUGUGCGACCACCGGAUGCUGAUGACUUGAGCCAUAUAACUCAGCAGUCAGGGGAAUCGGCCAGGCAAUUCUGGACCCGGUUCCUAAGUAAGAAAAACCAAAUUGUCGACUGUUCGAAUGCAGAGGCCUUAGCGGGAUUUAAGCAUAACAUCCGUGACGAGUGGCUCGCCCGGCACCUCGGCCAGGAGAAGCCGAAGUCUAUGGCAGCCCUCACGACACUCAUGACCCGCUUUUGCGCGGGCGAAGACAGCUGGCUGGCUCGCAGCAACAACACAUCAAGAAGUCAUGGCACUUCAGAUACAAACGAUACUAACGGCAGACCGCGUCGUAACAGACACAAGCGCCGCAACAACGGUGACAACGCCGAGGACACGGCAGUCAAUGCCGGAUUCAGCGGCUCUAAAUCCGGUCAGCGGAAGAAACCGUUCAAAAGAAGCAAUCCGGGCCCGUCCAGUUUGGACCGCUUACUCGAUCGCUCGUGUCAAAUUCACGGCACCCCCCGAUAAGCCAGCCAAUCACACCAACAGAGAAUGUUGGGUGUUCAAGCAGGCCGGCAAGUUGAAUGCCGAAAACAGGGACAAGGGGCUGCAUAGCGACGAUAUACGCAACCCACAUUCCCAAGAGGGAACAGAAACGUGCACUAAGGGACGUCUAUGCGAUGGAGCCAGUCGCCCCAAAGUUCAACCCAUGGUCCUCUUGUCCGAUCACCUUCGAUCGCAGGGACCACCCCACUAGUAUCCGUCAUGGCGGAUCUGCCGCACUGGUCCUUGACCCCAUCAUCGACGGAUUUCACCUCACUCGAGUCCUUAUGGACAGCGGCAGCAGCCUGAACCUGCUCUAUCAGGAUACAGUGCGCAAAAUGGGUAUAGACCCCUCGAGGAUCAAACCCACUAAAACCACCUUUAAAAGUGUCAUCCCAGGUGUGGAGGCCCAUUGCACGGGCUCAAUAACACUGGAAGUGGUCUUCGGAUCUCCGGACAACUUCCGAAGCGAGGAGUUAAUCUUCGAUAUCGUCCCGUUCCGCAGUGGCUAUCACGCACUGCUCGGGCGAACCGCAUUUGCGAGAUUCAAUGUGGUACCGCAUUAUGCAUACCUCAAGCUCAAAAUGCCAGGACCUCGUGGGGUUAUAACAGUCAAUGGAAACACAUAACGCUCGCUCCGCACGGAGGAGCACACUGCGGCCCUCGCAGCUGAGGCACAAAGCAGCCUUUCAAGGCAAUCCGCCAAUUCGGCGAUAAAGCCCCCGGACACCUUCAAGCGAGUCCGGAGUAACCUGCAACAGGAUCGCCUGGCACGUUCAGAGCUUGCCUAGCAAUUCGGCCCCCGUCCUAGUCCCAGUCAAGCGACGAAAUCUGUGCCGCGCGUACAUAAUUACGCACUAAAAAUACCAUGGGCAUAGCCGGGGGCACGACCAGGGCACGUCCCACAAUGCGGCUCAACCGCCCCACGGGCUGUAUACGUUUAUCAUUUCCUCUAUUUCAGGACCUUACUCUCUGGAAGCCCUUUCCGGCAGUCUGAAUGCUGGACACAUUACGGGAAGGAACAACCAAGGAGGCAAGACGCUAAGACGUACAAGGGAAUCCCCAGGUGGUCUCUGAUAACAAUCAAAGUACCCAUUUUUUAAUACCCAUACGCAGCUUAUCCUUGGAUAGGACAUGUCAAAUAGUCCUAUUUUUUGCUUAUUGCACUACUUGUAUCAGUACGCUUCGACGUAUUAUUUAAAUAACAAUGCACAGCAUUAGUCUAUUAUUACAUUACCCUUCUUUUUUCUUGUCUGUUUAUUUACGACAACUUGCACCCGUACAUUCUGGUACGACCAGUACGCCAGGGGCUUCAGUAUACCCCAUAAUACGGCAUGAGAAGUCCGAACACUUUCAUAGUGCCGCACCCCGAACUUAUAGCAUUAUAUGCAUCAGCUCCGAAUCAUGUCUUGGGCCAAUAGUUGGGUUUGCCCGGCUCCCAUGUUUUGGUACCUUACGUUCCGCAAUAUCGGCUAAGGUAGCGCUGGGAGAACUACUGCAAUUGUGUCCCGGUUCUUCCGGACGAGCACCUCAGUAGAGAAAGCCGAAAACUGACUGGCAUGAUAAGGCGAGAGCUGGUCGCUGUUCGAGAGGUCUCAAGUCCUUAAAGACUUUUUCCGCUUCGGGCGAGGAGUCGGCCUUGCCCGACUUAGGCGUAUAUAGCGCCCCAAAUUCGGCCUUCCGAAUACUAGGGGCUUCGCCAAAAUUCAAAAUUGUAGACUUCUAUGGCUAAGUAAGAGCGAUAAAGCCUUAUAGUCCAAUUGCCUGGUUCGUUGUGCUGAACACCUCCCUUGAAGGACCCAAAAUUGGGAUAAAGAGUGCUCGGGUUUAUCCCGAACACCUCAGUACUAGUUACAUGGGGGCAGAAGCCGACGACUGGCCAACUCUCAGAUUUUAUAAACGGCCGCACAGAAGGUAAUAUUUUAAAUUCACAAGCGUUGCAUAGCACAAAUGAACUCGUUUCAUAUUACAGGAUGGCAUGAGUACAUUCAUUCGAAUAUUACAUCCUUAGUACAUUCCUUCGCCACAAGGCGAGAACCCUUUAGGACACUGUUAUAAUACAUCUCGGGGUGGCGAUGCUCCUUGCCUUCUGGCGGCCCCUCCUUCACUAGCUUCUCGGCGUCCAGCUUUGCCCAGUGCACCUUUGCUCGGGCAAAAGCCCUGCGCGCGCCCUCGAUGCAGACGGACCGCUUUAUGACUUCAAGCCGUGGGCAGGCAUUCAUAAGCCACCUCACCAGGCCAAAGUAGCUAUCGGGCAGGGGAUCGCCAGGCCACAUCCGGACUAUCAGACCCUUCAUGGCCUGUUCGGCUGCCUUGUGGAGGUCGACCGGUUGCUUCAGCUGGUCGCUCAAUGGCAUGGGAUGUUCGGUCCCAGUAUACUGAGACCAGAACAACUUCUCCGUCGAGCUCCCCUCCUCGGCCCGGUAGAACUCCGCGGCAUCUGACACACUGCGGGGCAGAUCUGCGAACACUCCUGGGGAGCUCCGAACUCGGGUAAGUAAAAGGAAAUUUUCUUUCACAUGCUUGCUUUGCAUAAUGAAUUCCUUACCCGCCACUAUCUUCUUAACUGCCUCAAUUUCCUGGAGGGCCUUUUAGGCUUCGGCCUUGGCAUGUUGUGCGCUUUCGAGGGCCUUCGCAAGCUCGGACUCUCGCGUCUUAGAGUCAAGCUCCAAGGACUCGUGUUUCUUGACGAGAGCCUGGAGCUCUUGCUGCACCUCGCCCACCUGGGCCUCUUGUUUUUCCUGCUCAAUGCGCUCCUUGGCCGCCUUAUCCUCAGCCUCGGUCAGCGCCUUCUUCAGGGUCGCCACUUUAGUCGUGGCCCCUGGCAAAAUUCAUGACGAUCCUAUGAUCUAAGCAACCACCCUUGUUUUUUCUUAUCAACAUACAGACGGGGUAUACCUUACCUUUGUUCUCUUCGAGCUACCUUUUGGCAAGGCCGAGCUCUUCCUUGGACCGCUCAAGGCCCCGCUUCAGUGCGGCGACCUCCGCAGUACGUGCGGCAGCGGCUAGCAGUGAAGCCUGCAUAUGCACAUAGACAUAUUUCGAUUAGACUCCUGCAGUUAUUAUUUGAUCCUCUAUUCGGCCUUUCUUCGCAAACACCGAACAGAGCAUCAGGGGCUAGUGUCUAUGAGGUAACAUUCUCUUAUAAUCUAGUCACUUAACUCAAAGCCUGUUAGCAGGCGGCACAGGCUUCAGUUAGUCCGCUCUUGGCAGACUGAACCUUCUUGACCACCGCACUCAUGAUAGUGCGGUGUUCUUCGUCAAUGACCGCCGGGAAGCGCUUCCAGCAAGUUGUCUGAUGCCUCUGGAUGGACAGAGGCCACCGGCACAGGCGGCUUGCCCCUCUUAACGGGGGGUCGCUUGACAGAGUCCCGAACCACUGGAGGUUUUGGCGCAGUGUUCGGCUGGGGGCCGAAUUCGGAGCCCAUGGGAGUCUUGCUCCCCUUGCGCCCAGGGUCCGGAACGUCGCCUUGAGGCGCCUCCAGGACUACCUCCCCUCGGCUCGAUGUCCUUUGAGACAACACCUCGAUGUUGUUCGUAGGGCGAGGGGUGGGGCCCACGAGGGUGGAGGGCGCGCCCUUGGGGGGUGGGCGCUCCCCCCUACCUCGUGGCCUCCUGGAAGCUUCUCUUACGUAGGGUCCAAGUCUCCUGGAUCAUGUUUGUUCCAAAAAUCACGCACCCGAAGGUUUCAUUCCGUUUGGACUCCGUUUGAUAUUCUUUUUCUGUGAAACUCUGAAAUAGGCAAAAAACAUCAAUUCUGGGCUGGGCCUCCGGUUAAUAGGUUAGUCCCAAAAAUAAUAUAAAAGUGGAUAAUAAAGCUCAAUAUUGUCCAAAACAGUAGAUAAUAUAGCAUGGAGCAAUUAAAAAUUAUAGAUACGUUGGAGACGUAUCAGUCACCGAGAUCCCCUUGCCAUACAAUGGGAUCCUUGGCCUCCCAGUGCUGGCCAAGUUCAUGGCAGCGUCCCACUACGCCUACAACACGUUGAAGAUGCCGGGGCCGCUACCAUCAUCACCGUCCCCUCUGACAAGAAAGACGCGCUCAUCUGCGCCGACCAACUCUACCGAGAGGCAGUUGCAGCAACUGCCGCCAGGGCACUUGCUCCUGCCGCUGAAGCUCCAGGGAGGAAGAAGGCCGGCAAGACUCCUUCCGGCAAGACCUCUUCCGGCAAGACCUCUUGCACCCACUCCAGCAAGCGCACCUCUUCGGGGUGUUGUGCUCCCGUUGAGGACGUGCCAGAGAGCUCCACCGGCAAGAGCAAGAAGUCCAAGGUUGCACGACCAGAAACCAAGAAGGUGUCUGUCAAGGAGGACGGCACGGGCGGGGCUUUCACUAUAAGCUCCACCCUCGACAGCAAAUAGGAAAGCGCGCUCGUCGCCUUCCUGUGGGCGAAUGUCGAUGUAUUUGCAUGGCAAGCAUCUGACAUCCCCGGCGUUCCCAGGGAGGUGAUUGAGCACCAUCUUGCUGUCUGUCCUCACGCGCGGCCCGUCAAGUAGAAGGUCAGGAAGCAAGCUUUGGAGCGACAAGAGUUCAUCAUUGAAGAGAUUAGGAAGUUGGAGGCGGCAGGCCUAGUAAGAGGAGUACUCCACCCCACGUGGUUGGCCAAUCCGGAGGUGGUGCGUAAGGCAAAUGGGAAGUGGAGGCUGUGUAUUGACUACACAGACAUCAAUAAAGCAUGUCCAAAGGAUCCUUUCCCUCUGCCACGCAUCGACCAGAUUGUAGACUCCACUGCCGGGUGUGACCUGCUGUCAUUCCUCGAUGCCUAUUCGGAGUACCACCAGAUCUUCAUGAUGAAGGAAGACGAAGAGAAGACCGCGUUCAUCACCCCAUGUGGUACGUACUGUUUUGUACGAAUGCCUUUCGGGUUGAAGAGCGCUGGUUCGACUUUUGCCCGAGCAGUCCAGAUUGGUUUUGAGCCCCAGCUGCAUAGACAUAUGGAAGCUUAUAUGGAUGACAUAGUGGUCAAAACCAAGGACAGGGCCAUGCUCGUGCAAGGUUUAGAAGAAACAUUCGCAAACCUACGCAAGAUCAACCUCAAGCUCAACCCAGAGAAGUGCGUGUUCGGUGUCCCCUCCGGCAAACUUCUCAGGUUCUUUGUGUCUCAACGCGGAGUCGAAACAAUCCCGACAAGAUCAAAGUGAUCGGGCAGUUGAGGCGCCGAAACGGGUCAAAGACGUCCGUAGGCUCACCGACUGUGUUGCUGCCCUGAGUAGGUUCAUCUCCAAAUCUGCUGAGCGCGCCCUCCCCUUUUUCAAUGUUUUGAAAAAGGCGGGUCCAGUAAAAUGGACUCCGGAGGCUGAGUCAGCACUGCAAGAUUUGAAGAGGUACCUCUCCUCCACACCAAUACUAGUCGCGCCUAAACCACGGGAGCCGUUGCUGCUGUACUUAGCAGCAAUGAAUUAAGUGGUUAGUGCUACGCUGGUGGCGCAGAGGGAACUUGAGGGAGAAGCAGCAGUUGCAGCAGAGCCAUCGGAUGGCGAGCCGGGGUCUUCCCCGGCAGAGCCUGACGCCGAGAAUCAAAACCCCCGGCAAGGCUCGGACCCGCCGAGGCAGAACCUGAGCGGAUGGGCGAAGUGGGACAGAAGAAGAAGAUGGUGCAGCACCCAGUGUAUUUUGUCAGUUCCCUCUUGCAGGGGGCUAGGUCAAGAUAUUCUGGAAUGCAGAAGCUGCUUUUCGGCCUUCUUAUGGCCUCGAUAAAGCUACGCCACUAUUUCCAAGCACACGAGAUCACCGUCGUCACUCGCCUCCCUUUGCAACAGAUUUUGCACAACCCAGAUGCGACAGGAAGGAUUGUGGAGUGGGCACUGGUGCUGUCGAGCUUUGGCCUCAGGUUUGAAAGUACUUCAACGAUCAAGAGCCGAACUUUGAAAGAGUUCAUAGCAGAGUGGACCGCAACACCCCACGAGGAGAUCCAAGAGACCACCCUUCCCGAUAAGGAGAUGAGCAGUGAGUGGAUUAUGUACUUUGACGGAGCUUUCUCACUCCAAGGUGCUGGUGCUGGCGUGCUACUCGUCGCACCCACCGGAGAGCACCUCAAGUACGUAAUCCAGAUGCACUUCCCCCCAGGAAAAAUCAACGAACAAUACGGUGGAGUACGAGGGGUUGCUUGCCGGUCUCAGGAUCGCGGCAGACCUUGGAAUCAAGAAGUUCAUCAUGAGAGGUGAUUCGCAGCUCGUCGUCAAGCAAGUCAACAACGAUUACCAUAGCCCGUUGAUGGAAGCCUAUGUGAAUGAAGUGAGGAAGUUGGAAGAACGUUUCGACGGCCUACAGGCAGAACAUGUUCCUCGAGCGGAGAACAGCAUUGCCGACGACCUGUCGAAACGCGCUGCCCUCAAGUUGCCUGUGGAACCAGGUACCUUUGUAGAGGGAUAAACUCAAGCAAUACGAUAUAAACCCCAUCUUUUUAUCCUCGAUGGCAACAAUACAAUAUGUGCCUUGCUACCCCUGCUGUCACUGGGAAAGGACACCACAAGAUUGAACCCAAAGCUAAGCACUUCUCCCGUUGCAAGAAAGAGCAAUCUAGUAGGCCAAACCAAACUGAUAAUUCGAAGAGACUUGCAAAGAUAUCAAAUCAUGCAUAAAAGAAUUCAUAGAAGAAUCAAAUAUUGUUCAUAGAUAAUCUUGAUCAUAAACCCACAAUUCAUCGGAUCUCGACAAACACACCGCAAAAAGUAUUACAUCGAAUAGAUCUCCAAGAGAAUCGAGGAGAACUUGGUAUUGAGAUCCAAAGAGAGAGAAGAAGACAUCUAGCUAAUAACUAUGGACCCGAAGGUCUGUGGUAAACUAGUCACACAUCAUCGGAGAGGCCAUGGUGUUGAUGUAGAGGCCCUCCGUGAUAGAUUCCCCCUCCGGCGGAGCGCCGGAAAAGUCCCCAAGAUGGGGUCUCACGGGUACAGAAGGUUGCGGCGGUGGAAAACGUGUUUCGUGGCUCCCUGGAUGUUUUCAAGGUAUAAGAGUAUAUAUAGGCGAAAGAAGUAGGUCGGUGGAGCUACGAGGGGCCCACGAGGGUGGGGGCGCGCCUACCCCCCUGGGCACGCCUCCCUACCUCGUGGCCGCCUCGUUGCUUCCUUGACGCCCACUCCAAGUCUCCUGGAUUGCCUUUGUUCCAAUCACGUUCCCGAAGGUUUAAUUCCGUUUGGACUCCGUUUGAUAUUCCUUUUCUGUGAAACACUAAAAUAAGAAAAAAAAACAGCAAUUUGCACUGGGCCUCCGGUUAGUAGGUUAGUCCCAAAAAUAAUAUAAAAGUGCAUAUUAAAGCCCAUUAAACAUCCAAAAUAGAUAAUAUAAUAGCAUGGAACAAUAAAAAAAUUAUAGAUACGUUGGAGACGUAUCAUGCGGUGGAGCGGUGGUGCCUUGGCGGGAUUUCUUGCCCUUGGCGGCCUGCCGGGGCAAUCUUGGACUUGUCCUUGGGGUGGUCUCGACCUGGCCGGCCUCCUGCCUGGCAAGGGAGGCCUUCCCAAGGUGAUGCUCUGCCGUCUUGUAUGUGGACAUGGUCUUCUUGAUCCACUCUUUGAUCUCGCAAAGAGUGGUUUCUUUGGUUGGGUCUUGAAUUACAUGUUAGGGUAGCCAUUCCUUCGUCAAGCCUUGGCUGCCGGGGCGGAGGUUCUUCGUUCUUGCACAAGUCAAGGGGAAUAAACACCCCUGUUUGUGUACCCCGACAAAAGCCCCCGAGUCUGAGCCAUACGUGUCGCUGGGCACGUCGGGUUAGGCCCCAAAUAGGGCACAGACACGUGUCGAAGAAAUGUUGCCCAUGUAGCGGUUGUUAUGAUGACUAGUCAAUCCAACGUCCACUUCGUGUAAUUACCGCAGGUUAUGGGGUCGUGGAACAAUAGCAGUUAGUGGGUAAUGUGCCUGCAAAAACGGUAACUUUCUGAGGAAAGAUACCAAAGAGCCAGCCCCUGCGCCCGUUCCCAAUAAAAAGGCAAUGCGAGGGGGCACUGCUCAUUCGUAUAUAUCUCUUCUCCCUUCAUCUUCUUCCACAAGCCAAUCAACUGCUCCCAUUGCCAACAUCCGCCUCCAAAGCUCUGCUAGAUCUUCUGCUCAUCCCGUGAGCCCCAGAGAUGGGACGAAAGACAGGCGCCAUGAAGGGGAAGUGGGCGUCCACUGUAAAAGAUGCAGCGGCGGAGGGGAGGAAGAAAAGGAUGGAGGAGCUAGACAGGAAGCGACAGGAAGACCUAGUCUUCCUCUCGUCAAACUUGGACGGCAACACCCUGACCGCGAGGUACGCGUAUAUGUUGGGGAGGGAAGUUCCGAAAGGACAUGGGGCGCCCGUGGUAUUUCCGGAUGGAACCAAGACUCCGUCGGACCCGUACCGCUUUUUCUGCGCGUACCUCCUCUGCGGCCUCACCUCCCCCUUCUCCGAUUUCUUCUGUGGCAUGAUGACGGUGUACGUAUUCCACCUACUGGAUUUAACGCCCAAUGCAAUGCGCGUGCAUGGCAAUCUUUGCCCAUCUGUGCGAGAAUUUUGUUGGAGUUGCCGCCAAUGUGGACUUGUUCAGACACUUUUUCAUCCCACGGGUUGAAGACAAAUCUGACCGCUCGGAAAAUAUAAGUUGGAUUCCUCGGGGCAACAAAGAUGAAUUGGGAUUAUCUCCCCAGCCAGCAGCGCAGCAGGUGGGAGGAAUGAAGGGAGGAUUGGUGUUGGAUCUAGGACAAGGAUGCCCCUGAGUUUUGUGCGGCGUGGACUGAAUCCGUCACGUACGACAACGACUGGAGUAAGUUGGGCCUGACCGACAACAUGAUUCGCCCAGCGCUGGACAGGAUUGCUCAUCUUAAAGUUGUCGGGCUAACCGUCGAGCAUGUGGGGGCCAAUUUCCUCCGGCGCCGCAUCGCUCUGCUGCGAAAAGGGACAAGUUUUCCUAGGACUACGGGAAUUCUACCGACAGGAUGCAUUUGUACCCAGGCCACGUCAACAAUCUGUCGAUAUACGGCCAUGGCUGGCUGUGUGAACAACUAUUCGGCAGCCUUGGGCCAUGAGCCCUUUGUGGUUCGGCAAGGGGGAGUUCACGUUGCACAAAGAGCGGAAGCCAUGAAGCAGCUCGACGAUGGUGACAUUGGUGGUUUUUACCCAGGUUCGGGUCGCUGCAAGGCGUAGAACCCUACUCCUGCCUUGGUGGAUUGGAUGGAGGAACACAAUGGACACGCAGCGCUCAAGCCCAGCCAGGUGGCCUCGGGGAGAGCUGCUACGCGCGUACAAGUGUGCAAGGGUCUGAAUCCCUUUCUAGGUAGCCUUGGACCACCUUUUAUAGCUCAAGGGGUAACCACAGUGGCAAAACAGUCUUUAUCUGGUGAUUAGAUAGCUAACAAUGCUAUCAUUCCUAACUGUGGCAGUUAGGACAAAGUGCAUUAAAUUCACUGCUAGGUGUCAUAGUGAGGGUGAAGCCCGGCAAGCCUGUCGUGCCGCUUAAUCAUCUUCUGCUUAUCUGUUCGACACGCCUAUGGACGGGUGUCAUGUGAGGGUAAUCUGUCUUCCGACGAGCUGCCACGUGCUUAGUGGAAGCCACUUAAUCAUUUGGAGGCUCGACACCGCAUUGAUAAGUGAUUUGCGUUGUGGGCGGUGGAGCGGUGGUGCCUUGGCGGGAGUUCUUGCCCUUGGCGGCCCCGGCAAGCCUGCCGGGGCAAUCUUGGACUUGUCCUUGGGGUGAUCUCGACCUGGUCGGGCUCUCCUGCCCGGCAAGGGAGGCCUUCCCAAGGUGAUGGUCUGCCGUCUUGUAUGUUGACUUGGUCUUAUUGAUCCGCUCUUUGAUCUCACAAUGAGUGGUUUCUUUGGCUGGGUCUUGAAUUACAUGUUGGGGUAGCCAUUCCUUGUCAAGCCUUGGCUGCUGGGGCGGAGGUUCUUCGUCCAUGCACAAGUUAGGGGGAAUAAGCAACCCUGUUUGUGUACCCCGACACAAAGUGCCACAAAAGGUCAUAACUAUUGGGGCACAUUGUCAAAGUGCCAUAAAAAAGUCAUACCUAUUGGGGCACUUUGGCAAAGUGCCACAAAAAGCUUAAUAGCUAUUGAAGCACUUUGUCGAAGUGCCACAAAAGGUCAUAUCUAUUUGGAAACUUUGGCAAAGUGCCAAAUGUCAUAACUAUUGGGGCACUUUGGCAAAGUGCCCCUAAUUUGAAGCUUUUAAGGCACUUUUAAAAAUGCCCCAACAAAGUGCCUCUAAAUUUUGACCGUGGUGUAGUGGUAGCUCGAUCAAUGCACUCCUUCACCGCUUAUGCCCGAGUUAUUUUUCUACGGAGCACUGUUUUAUAGAGCUUGAUAAGUUGGAGCCCAAGCUGGUAUGCUGGGCUCAAUCGGCCAACACGAGGCAACUUGAUCAUGCCAUCGAUCAUGUGUACUACCAAUCGCCACCUAGCACGGGAUAUUAUUCGUUGUGUCGCGUUCCUUUCAUACAUGAUGAAUCAUGUAUUACACAUUAGCUACCAAUCGCCAUCUAUCCUGCUAUAAAUGGAUCUAAUGUUUUUAAGGCAGGAUAAUAGAUCUCAUGAUCAUAAUGAGUUAGGUGCACGUCGCUAUAUAUGCACUGAGGGUCCAAGUGAGCUGAGGAAUAUCAUCGUGCAUUCGGGGAUGUAAGUACAUCUCCUUCCCGAUUUGUUGUGGACACAAAAGAAAAUAUAAGAAGUGAAGGUGGGUGCACACACACUCAAGUGCGUGCUUUAUUAAAAUAUGGCACUUCUAGGCCAGGUGCGUGGUGACUUGAUGCGACGGUUCACAAGGCGGCAUUCAUUAUAUUAUCACAUCAUUAUAAAUAUUAAAUGUAUUUAUCUAGUUUAUCUAAAUAUGCAAAAAUAUUUGUAACUAAUAAUCAUUUUGCCCACUUAAGAAUCACUUAUGUUGGGAAAGAUGCCAAGGGGGCUCCAGUGGGUGUGAUUGGGGUGUAUGGUCCGCAGAUCUGGGAGGAGAAGCUUGCCUUCCUUCGUGAACUCAAAGACACUAUUCAGGGCAGUAUUCCCAAUGGCACGGCCCUUGCGUUGAUCAGUGAUUUCAACCUCAUCAUCGGAGCAGCCGACAAGAACAACCCGAGGAUCAGCAGACGCUGCAUCACUGCCUUCAGAAACUUCAUCAACAAACUUCAACUAAAGGACCUAUAUCUCCAUGGCCGUAGAUAUACGUGGAGUAACGAGCAAGAAAACGCAACGAUGGUGACGCUGGACAGAGUUCUCAUCAAUGGAGAGUGGGAGGAGACAAGGCCCAACUGCAUGCUUCAAGCCUUGUCCUCGGACAUCUCGGACCACUGUCCUCUCCUCCUCAACUGUGAGAUUGCAUUCCGCCAACACAGAGCUUUCAGAUUCCAGAACCACUGGGUGAAACUGGACGGCUUCGACGAGGUGGUUCAAGGUGCAUGGCAUGGGGCGCCGACGUCAGGAGAUCCGGUCGGCCAAUUUGCGGGAAGGCUUGCAGCCACGGCUAAAGCUCUGAAACGAUGGCAAGGCCAAUUAUGCAAUGGCAUCAAGCUGUAAGCGGCCAUUACAAGCGAGAUCACUGGGCAGUUUGACCGGGUCAUGGAUAUUAGACCCUUAACAGCAGCAGAGAGGCAAUUCCGUGCCACCUUGAAGAUGCAGCGGCUAGGAUAUGCAGCGCUUGACAGAGCCAUCUGGCGGGAGAAAUCCAGAGUGAAGGGUAUAAAAGAGGGAGAUGCAGGCGCAAAAUUCUUCAAAGCAAAAGCAUCAGCCAGACGGAGGAAGAACUUCAUCAUCAAGCUACAGGUCGACGGGCUGAUCAUCACAAACCAAGACGCAAAAGUAAAGGCGUUCCACUCCUUCUUCGAGCCAAUUUUUGGAUCAAAGGAGCCCCGCUCCAGGAGGCUGAAUCUGUCCAGGAUAGGAUACACAAGACUGAACCUUGCCGAGAUGGACGAGGCUAUCACGGAGGAAGAAAUCCUGGCUAAUAUCAAGGAGUUGGAUGGAUACAGUGCCCCGGGGCCCGAUGGGUUUACCGGUUUGUUCUAUAAGCGGUGUUGGCCCAUAAUCAAAGAUGAUCUGACAAGGGCUGUCCAGGCCGUGCAAGCAAACGCGUCGGCACACCUCCACCGGCUCAACCAGGCUACUAUGAUUCUCCUCCCAAAGAAUGCAGAGGCUCUGACCACAAAAGACUUCAGGCCGAUCAGUCUUGUCUGUAGCUUCGCCAAGUUGAUCAGCAAGAUUAUGGCCACGAGGCUGCAACGCCGGAUGAAUGAGCUCAUCGGCCCCUGCCAAAACGCGUUUAUCAAAGGGCGCACCAUCCAUGACAAUUUCUGUUACGUCAGCGGCCUGGCCAAAGCCCUCCGGCGUGCCAACUCGCCGGCGCUAAUGAUCAAACUCGACAUUCAACGCGCCUUUGAUACUGUUUCAUGGGAGUUCCUGCUGGAGCUGCUUGUUGCAAGAGGGUUUGGGAGAGGAUUCACCAACUGUCUGUCAGCACUUCUCAGCUCCUCUUCGACAAGGAUCCUUGUCAAUGGUGAUCUAUCGGACCCGAUCAACCUGGUGAAGGGGCUAAGGCAGGAAGACCCGUUGUCACCGCUCCUGUUCGUGCUGGUCAUGGACUGCCUUGCUAUGCUCAUCGACAAGGCGGUGAGGGCCAGAAUUUUGGGACCGAUCGGCAACCACAAACUGCCCUUCAGGACUUCUCUGUAUGCAGACGACGCAAUCUUGUUCAUCAACCCAUGCCACAAGGAGGUACUUGCACUGACACAAAUUCUCAAGCUGUUCGGAGAAGCUACGGGCCUGCACACUAAUUUUGCAAAAUCUUCGGUCUCCACUAUCUGCUGCAACGGGAUCGACCUCCAAGAACUUCUUCAAGACUUGGGCUGCCCCAUCAAUGAAUUUCCUUGCACCUAUCUGGGCAUGCCACUGACGGACAAGAAACUGAAGAAGAAUGACCUACAACCGAUCUGCGACAAGCUCAUUGCAAGGAUGAAGGGCAUGAAGCUUGCCUUUCUUUCCCUUGAUGGACGGCUGGAUCUGGUAAGGACCGUGCUCUCAGCGGUGCCGAUCUUCCAAAUGGUAGCCUUGAUAUUACCUGCUUGGCUGGCUAAGCUGAUCGACAAGGUUCGUCGUGGAUUCCUCUGGGAGGGCAGUGACGUGGCGGCCGGAGGAAAAUGCCUGGUCAACUCGGGUACUGUUUGUCGGCCAAAGGAUUUCGGAGGGCUCGGCAUCAUCAACCUGACAGCCCAAAGUCGCGCCCUACGGAUGAGGUGGCUGUGGCUCUCAUGGAACGACGGCAACAAGGCAUGGCAGGGGCUGGAUUUGCCUAUCGACCAUACGGUCAGAUCCCUGUUCAACGCAUCUGUUGACUUCCAGUUGGGCAAGGGUGACCGCAUUCUCUUUUGGAAGGAGCCGUGGUUUAAGGGCAUCAACAUCCAGGACGCCUUCCCGGCGCUGUUUCAGCGUUGCACUAGGAAAAACCUCACCGUUGCACAAGCCUUGGAGAACAACAGAUGGAUCCGACACCUCAAAGCCAACCUCUCUGCACAGGCGACGAGGGAGUUCCUGAAACUGUGGGAGGAAAUACAAAAUAUACAGUUAACACAAGAGCCUGAUCGAGUUCAGUGGAAAUGGACAGCAAACGGCGUGUACACGGCGAGAUCGGCUUACAAAAUUCAGUUUGAGGGCUGCACUCGGCCAUCGUGGGCUGCGUUCCUACGGAAAUCUGACGCACCGGGCAAAUGCAAGCUUUUUGCAUGGUUGGCUCUGCUUGGAUGCUGCAACACGGCCGAUGUCCUUGCGAGGAAAGGCUGGCCUCACAAUCCGUCUUGCUCUCUAUGCAAUGGGCCAAUGGAGGAUGUCGUGCACCUGCUAGCUUCCUGUCCCGUCUUCAUCCGAAUUUGGCACGACAUCAUUGCUCGCUGCAACCUUCAUCCGGGCCUCGCUCCCUCCACCACCAUAACUUCCCUGGUGCUUUUGAUCGAACAGUCCAAUGGCAUCAUCACGGCAUCAGCAAAGAAGCCAUGGAGCGCACUCGUACAGCUGGUUCGGUGGUCGAUAUGGAACGAACGCAACGCAAGGAUAUUCAAAAACCAACCAUCGCCGCAGACAACUGUGGUGGAACGGAUGAUUGAAGAGGCAGCGGUCUAGCAAAGGGCGGGACGGGGCAAGGCCAUCUCCCUCCUUCACUUCAGGCAAAAGAGAAGGCAUGUCCACCUAGUGGAGGACUGCACAUGUAAANNNNNNNNNNNNNNNNNNNNNNNNNNNNNNNNNNNNNNNNNNNNNNNNNNNNNNNNNNNNNNNNNNNNNNNNNNNNNNNNNNNNNNNNNNNNNNNNNNNNNNNNNNNNNNNNNNNNNNNNNNNNNNNNNNNNNNNNNNNNNNNNNNNNNNNNNNNNNNNNNNNNNNNNNNNNNNNNNNNNNNNNNNNNNNNNNNNNNNNNNNNNNGCUCCAUCAGCAUUUUCGUUAAAAAAUAAAAGUGGCAUGUUCUUAUCUACUAACUGCAUUUGUUUUAUGAAGAUGCUUGGAUGGAGGAGCAAAGGAUUUCAUCCUGAAUUAAUUUUACGUCAGUUAUUGAUUCUACUAAUACAUAUUCCACCUCACAUGACCCCGUCAGAAACAAGUUUGUUUUAGGUAGGCCAUGUACUCAAACGAGUUCCAAAAAAAAUCCCCACCAAAAAAUAAGUUCCAAAAUCCCGGGUUCGCUUUUCCUGACAGAAAAUUGAGCGCCUUUUCACUGAAGUUGUGCGUGUGCUCAAUCAAUCUUCUGUGGUGUAAACUUCACUGAACCUGGUUCACAGAGCUGUUCAUGUGAAGACUGCCCACUUCAUGUGUUCAGUUCAUGAGUGUGCUGCUUCCGUCGAGUACAUCCACGGAAUGAAUUUGUUUAUUUCUGUGUUCUACUCCCAUUUCAGUCUUUUACGAUGCUAUAAAAUGGGGUCACAAGCAUUAUACAUAUUGUAAAAAGAAUCAGCGAUACAUGAGCACGUCCUCGUUAUUUUGCUGUGCCGCUUCAGCAGAACACAAGUGCGAAGUCUCUGCACUUCUCGGUUCCGCAGUAAUUCGUGUAACUGACAAACGAAGGAAACAUUACUCAACAAGGUAGUAAGAAUAUCAUCACUACUUCCACAACUUUAUACGUCAAAACGAUUUUCCAAACGAUUGCAUGCACCUUCCAGUUUAAAAAACAAUGAUUACAUCCAUAUUUACAAGCUCUGCACUUAUGCAGAACACACAAUCUUCCGGCCCAAUGAGUACAUGAAUAGGCCGUCCAACUUGGCAAGCUAGCUCCAGGCAUCGUGACACACGAUGUCAGGCGGCUCGGGCCUCGCCUUCACGGUCGUCACUGGCGUAGUGGAAGCGCAGCGCCGGCGCGUGGGCAGCGGAAUACGGCCUCGUCGGUGGCACACGGCGACCCACUCGCGGUAGACCGCCCGCAGGUAGCUUCCCACGCAAAUCCGGCACGACGCCACGGCGAUCCCGUGGGUUGUUUGGGUCGUGUGGCAGUCGUUUGGCUUAUAGUACGUUAUCGACGGCGUCAACUGUUCAGCCUCCGGUCAAAAUUUGGCUCACGGACGACCAACGUAGGGUGGUCUGCGGCUGCGCACCAACUGACGUCAUGUAGGGCAGGCUGGCCGGCCAGCAUUGCAUCUGCAAGCUAAGGUGGCGCACACGAGGGCCAUGGUCGCCGCCCACACGCGCAGCGGAGGUUUGCUGCAUGAACGGCUCGCGGUGCGACCUGAGCCGGCCGGACGCACUCACCAGCGCGCCAGUCUGACGUCGCGGCCAGCACUGCUUGGGUUGUGAGCUAGGGCCGCAUUUAAUUCCCGUCAAGUUGGUACUGAGCGAAAGGUGCAGACAGCAUGGAGAUCGAAGUUCUUUUUGGCCCCUCGAUCCAUGUCGACAAAGACAGGGCACGUAUAAUCUAUGCCGAAUCUUGCGACGCCGAUUGCUCAAGAGAAAGUAAGAGCUAGUCUUUAAGGAUGUGUGCUCUGCCGCGCAGAGGCAGUGUGCAUGUACUAGUUAACACCGUAUUCGACGUUUGCUAGUACGAUAAUACUAUAUUUUAGGAUGCAUGCACUAAUAUACAAUCAAAACAGGAUGAAACAAGAAAUUCCACCCACAUUUAUUUCUGAUUGAUACAAACUAAAAAGACUCAACUGACCGAUCAACGCUCUCAUACGUAGCAAAACAGAACACGCUCACAUGACACACACAAGCAAAUAAAAGCAAGCAAGGAGCAGGUGGACAUCGACAGCUUGAAAUCAACAUGCAAGGAACACACAUUUCCAACGAACUAGAGGUCUUGCAUGCACGACGCGCUCACUAGCAGGCCUUUUCUCUGACGCAUUGCACAUUAUCCUGGGCACUUUUGUCCUGAGCCUUCCACGCCUUCUCAUCUUGCAGAGGCACGAGUGGCCUCCAAAGGCUAUGCAGCAGUUCACUCCAACCUUAAUGACCUUACCAACCGAAAAACGCCUGUCUGCAAUAGCAUUUUUCAUACCUUCUUCAAAGCUCUUGAAGCACGUAUUCAUGACGUCCUGAUCGACCAAGUCGCACACCGGCGCACCGCCGGCGGCAGGUACCUGGCCCACAACAAGGGCGCACAUCAGCGUGACCAGCACCACCACGGCAACCAUCCUCGGGAGCAUUGCGACAGCCAUGACCAGAUCGAUGCAGGGUAUAGCUGAUCGAAGGUCGUUGCACUCACUCGCUGCUUAUGCCUAGGGUAGAGAGAUGAUUUGCAAUACAAUGAUGUUGUAUUGAUAGGGUGCUGGUGCACGUAUAUAUAUUACAAGGAAAGGCAUCUACCUCAACUAUACAAGACUAGGAGGUGGGCCACAGCUCCAAUACACGUGCAAUACAAAAUAUAUACACAACACCCCCGCAGCCGAAGCGUCGCUGGAGACACAGAGACUGGACCGAGACUCCUCGAAGUCGGGAGUAGGCAAUCCCUUAGUCAUCACAUCAGCAAACUGUUUCGUCGUCGGCACGUGUGAUAGGAUAGAUAUAGUUGACUAGAGGGGCGGGGGGGUGUGAAUAGGCAACUAACAAUUUUUAGCUUUUCUUUACCAAAUUAAAUUUUGCACCAAAGUAGGUUGUCUAGAUAUGCAACUAGGUGAGCAACCUAUAUGAUGCAACAACAACAAGCACAAAAGCAAGCCAAAGGGUAAACCACAAAUGAACUUGCACAAGUAAAGGGAUGAGAUAACCAAGAGUGGAGCCGGUGGAGACGAGGAUGUGUUACCGAAGUUCCUUCCUUUUGAGGGGAAGUACGUCUCCGUUAGAGCAGUGUGGAGGCACAAUGCUCCCCAAGAAGCCACUAGGGCCACCGUAUUCUCCUCACGCCCUCACACAAUGCGAGAUGCCGUGAUUCCACUAUUGGUGCCCUUGGAGGCGGCAACCAAACCUUUACAAACAAGGUUGGGGCAAUCUCCACAACUUAAUUGGAGGCUCCCAACGACACCACGAAGCUUCACCACAAUGGACUAUGGCUCCGUGGUGACCUCAACCGUCUAGGGUGCUCAAACACCCAAGAGUAACAAGAUCCGCUAGGGAUUAGUGGGGGGAAUCGAAUUUCUCUUGGUGGAAGUGUAGAUCGCGGCCUUCUCAACCACUCCCUGACAAAUUAACAAGUUUGAUUGGCUAGGGUGAGAGAUCGGGCGAAAAUGGAGCUUGGAGCAACAAUGGAGCUUAAAGUUGGAAGAGGUAGUCAACUAGAGGAAGAAGGCACCCCUUAUAUAGUCAAGAACAAAACCCAAUCGUUAUCCACCUAACCAGCUCGCGACUUGCGGUACUACCACACCAGGCAAGCGGUACUACCGCAAUGCCUCACGGUACUACCGUGACGGCCCACGGUACUACCGCAGCAACGGCAGAAGCGAGAACAAGCCUGGCGCGCAAAGGCGGAGGGCGGUACUGCCGCUGGCGCGGCACUACCGCAAGGCAGGUCUGGACUGGCCUGGGAGGGACGCGGAUGAAGAAAAAUACAUCCGUGCCAACUUCCGCUGAAAAAUACUCGAUGCAAAAAUCUGACACGGUACUACCGCAUACGGAGUGCGGUACUACCGCGCAGGGAGCGGAUGUAAAAAAUUACAUCCGCCCCUACUUCCGCUCAUGCAGCUGUGCGAGACCAAGAUGAAGGAAAUAUGCCCUAGAGGCAAUAAUAAAGUUAUUAUUUAUUUCCUUAUAUCAUGAUAAAUGUUUAUUAUUCAUGCUAGAAUUGUAUUAACCGGAAACAUAAUACAUGUGUGAAUACAUAGACAAACAGAGUGUCACUAGUAUGCCUCUACUUGACUAGCUCGUUGAUUAAAGAUGGUUAUGUUUCCUAGCCAUAGACAUGAGUUGUCAUUUAAUUAACGGGAUCACAUCAUUAGGAGAAUAAUGUGAUUGACUUGACCCAUUCCGUUAGCUUAGCACUCGAUCGUUUAGUAUGUUGCUAUUGCUUUCUUCAUGACUUAUACAUGUUCCUAUGACUAUGAGAUUAUGCAACUCCCGUUUACCAGAGGAACACUUUGUGUGCUACCAACCGUCACAACGUAACUGGGUGAUUAUAAAGGUGCUCUACAGGUGUCUCCAAAGGUACUUGUUGGGUUGGCGUAUUUCGAGAUUAGGAUUUGUCACUCCGAUUGUCGGAGAGGUAUCUCUGGGCCCACUCAGUAAUACACAUCACUAUAAGCCUUGCAAGCAUUGUAACUAAUGAGUUAGUUGCGGGAUGAUGUAUUACGGAACGAGUAAAUAGACUUGCCGGUAACGAGAUUGAACUAGGUAUCGAGAUACCGAUGAUCGAAUCUCGGGCAAGUAACAUACCAAUGACAAAGGGAACAACGUAUGUUGUUAUGCGGUCUGACCGAUAAAGAUCUUCGUAGAAUAUGUGGGAACCAAUAUGAGCAUCCAGGUUCCGCUAUUGGUUAUUGACCGGAGAGGUGUCUCGGUCCUGUCUACAUAGUUCUCGAACCCGUAGGGUCCGCACGCUUAACGUUACGAUCAUAGUUAUAUUAUGAGUUUAUAUGUUUUGAUGUACCGAAGGUUGUUCGGAGUCCCGGAUGUGAUCACGGACAUGACGAGGAGUCUCGAAAUGGUCGAGACAUAAAUAUUGAUAUAUUGGAAGCCUAUGUUUGGACAUCGGAAGUGUUCCGGGUGAAAUCUGGAUUUUUCCGGAGUACCGGGAGGUUACUGGAACCCCCCGGUAACUUAAUGGGCCUUAGUGGGCCUAGGUGGAAGAGAGGAGAGGAGGCCAGGGCAGGGCCGCGCGCCCCUCCCCCCCAGUCCGAAUAGGACAAGGAGAGGGGGGCGGCGCCCCCCUUCCUUCCUCCCCUCCACCUUUUCCCCCUUUCUCUCCUAGUCCAACAUGGAAAAGGGGGGGGGGGUCCUACCCCCGGUAGGAGUAGGACUCCUCCUGGCACACCUCUCCCUUAGGCCGGCCGAACCCCCCCCCCCUUGCACCUUUAUAUACGGGGGCAGGGGGGCACCUCUAGACACAACAAUUGAUCUAUUGAUCUCUUAGCCGUGUGCGGUGCCCCCCUCCACCAUAUUACACCUCGAUAAUAUCGUAGCGGUGCUUAGGCGAAGCCCUGCGUCGCUAGAACAUCAUCAUCGUCACCACGCCGUCGUGCUGACGAAACUCUCCCUCAACACUCGGCUGGAUCGGAGUUCGAGGGACGUCAUCGAGCUGAACGUGUGCUGUACUCGGAGGUGCCGUGCGUUCGGUACUUGAUCGGUCGGAUCGUGAAGACGUACGACUACAUCAACCGCGUUGUGUUAACGCUUCCGCUUUCAGUCUACGAGGGUACGUGGACAACACUGUCCCCUCUCGUUGCUAUGCAUCACCAUGAUCUUGCGUGUUCGUAGGAAUUUUUUUGAAAUUACUACGUUCCCUAACAGUGGCAUCCGAGCCAGGUUUUAUGCGUUGAUGUUAUAUGCACGAGUAGAACACAAGUGAGUUGUGGGCGAUAUAAGUCAUACUACUUACCAGCAUGUCAUAUUUUGGUUCAGCUGUAUUGUGAGAUGAAGCGGCCCGGACCGACAUUACGCGUACGCUUACGCGAGACUGGUUUCACCGUUCUGAGCACUCGUUGCUUAAAGGUGACUGGCGGGUGUCUGUCUCUCUCACUUUAGUUGAACCGAGUGUGGCUACGCCCGGUCCUUGCGAAGGUUAAAACAACACCAACUUGACAAACUAUCGUUGUGGUUUUGAUGCGUAGGUAAGAACGGUUCUUGCUAAGCCCGUAGCAGCCACGUAAAACUUGCAACAACAAAGUAGACGACGUGUAACUUGUUUUUGCAGGGCAUGUUGUGAUGUGAUAUGGUCAAAGACAUGAUGCUAUAUUUUAUUGUAUGAGAUGAUCAUGUUUUGUAACCAAGUUAUCGGCAACUGGCAGGAGCCAUAUGGUUGUCGCUUUAUUGUAUGCAAUGCAAUCGCCAUGUAAUUGUUUUACUUUAUCACUAAGCGGUAGCGAUAGUCGUAAAAGCAAUAGUUGGCGAGACGACAACGAUGCUACGAUGGAGAUCAAGGUGUCGCGCCGGUGACGAUGGUGAUCAUGACGGUGCUUCGGAGAUGGAGAUCACAAGCAUAAGAUGAUGAUGGCCAUAUCAUAUCACUUAUAUUGAUUGCAUGUGAUGUUUAUCUUUUAUGCAUCUUAUCUUGCUUUGAUUGACGGUAGCAUUAUAAGAUGAUCUCUCACUAAAAUUUCAAGAUAAAAGUGUUCUCCCUGAGUAUGCACCGUUGCGAAAGUUCUUCGUGCUGAGACACCACGUGAUGAUCGGGUGUGAUAGGCUCUACGUUCAAAUACAACGGGUGCAAAACAGUUGCACACGCGGAAUACUCAGGUUAAACUUGACGAGCCUAGCGUAUGCAGAUAUGGCCUCGGAACACUGAGACCGAAAGGUCGAGCGUGAAUCAUAUAGUAGAUAUGAUCAACAUAGUGAUGUUCACCAUUGAAAACUACUCCAUUUCACGUGAUGAUCGGUUAUGGUUUAGUUGAUUUGGAUCACGUAAUCACUUAGAUGAUUAGAGAGAUGUCUAUCUAAGUGGGAGUUCUUAAGUAAUAUGAUCAAUAGAACUUAAAUUUAUCAUGAACUUAGUACCUGAUAGUAUCUUGCUUGUCUAUGUUAAUUGUAGAUAGAUGGACCGUGUUGUUGUUCCAUUGAAUUUUAAUGCGUUCCUUCAGAAAGCAAAGUUGAAAGAUGAUGGUAGCAAUUACACGGACUGGGUCCGUAACUUGAGGAUUAUCCUCAUUGCUGCACAGAAGAAUUACGUCCUGGAAGCACCGCUGGGUGCCAUGCCUGCUGCAAGAGCAACACCAGAAGUUAUGAACGUCUGGCAGAGCAAAGCUGAUGACUACUCGAUAGUUCAGUGUGCCAUGCUUUACGGCUUAGAACCGGGUCUCAACGACGUUUUGAACGUCAUGGAGCAUAUGAGAUGUUCCAGGAGUUGAAGUUAAUAUUUCAAGCAAAUGCCCGGACUGAGAGAUAUGAAGUCUCCAAUAAGUUCUACAGCUGCAAGAUGGAAGAGAAUAGUUCUGUCAGUGAGCAUAUACUCAAAAUGUCUGGGUAUAAUAAUCACUUGAUUCAACUGGGAGUUAAUCUUCCGGAUGAUAGCGUCAUUGACAGAAUUCUUCAAUCACUGCCACCAAGCUACAAGAGCUUCGUGAUGAACUAUAACAUGCAAGGGGAUGAAUAAGACAAUUCCCGAGCUCUUCGCAAUGCUAAAGGCAGCGGAGGUAGAAAUCAAAAAGGAGCAUCAAGUGUUGAUGGUCAAUAAGACCACUAGUUUCAAGAAAAAGGGCAAAGGGAAGAAGAAGGGGAACUUCAAGAAGAACAGAAAGCAAGUUGUUGUUCAGGAGAAGAAACCCAAGUCUGGACCUAAGCCUGAGACUGAGUGCUUCUACUGCAAGCAGACUGGUCACUGGAAGCGGAACUGCCCCAAGUAUUUGGCGGAUAAGAAGGAUGGCAAGGUGAACAAAGGUAUAUGUGAUAUACAUGUUAUUGAUGUGUAACUUACUAAUGCUCGCAGUAGCACCUGGGUAUUUGAUACUGGUUCUGUUGCUAAUAUUUGCAAGUCGAAACAGGGGCUACGGAUUAAGCGAAGAUUGGUUAAGGACGAGGUGACGAUGCGCGUGGGAAAUGAUUCCAAAGUCGAUGUGAUCGCCGUCGGCACGCUACCUCUACAUCUACCUUCGGGAUUAGUAUUAGACCUAAAUAAUUGUUAUUUGGUGCCAGCGUUGAGCAGGAACAUUAUAUCUGGAUCUUGUUUGAUGCAAGACAGUUAUUCAUUUAAAUCAGAUAAUAAUGGUUGUUCUAUUUAUAUGAGUAAUAUCUUUUAUGCUCAUGCACCCUUGAAGAGUGGUCUAUUUUUAAUGAAUCUCGGUAGUAGUGACACACAUAUUCAUAAUGUCGAAGCCAAAAGAUGCAGAGUUGAUAAUGAUAGUGCAACUUAUUUAUGGCACUGCCAUUUAGGUCAUAUCGGUGUAUAGCGCAUGAAGAAACUCCAUAAUGAUGGACUUUUGGAAUCACUUGAUUAUGAAUCACUUGGUACUUGCGAACCGUGUCUCAUGGGCAAGAUGACUAAAACACCGUUCUCCGGUACUAUGGAGAGAGCAACUAAUUUGUUGGAAAUCAUACAUACAGAUGUAUGUGGUCCGAUGAAUAUUGAGGCUCGUGGCGGAUAUCGUUAUUUUCUCACCUUCAUAGAUGAUUUGAGCAGAUAUGGGUAUAUCUACUUAAUGAAACAUAAGUCUGAAACAUUUGAAAGUUCAAAGAAUUUCAGAGCGAAGUUGAAAAUCAUCGUAACAAGAAAAUAAAGUUUCUACGAUCAGAUCGUGGAGGAGAAUAUUUGAGUUACGAGUUUGGCCUACAUUUGAAACAAUGCGGAAUAUUUUCGCAACUCACGCCACCCAGAACACCACAACGUAAUGGUGUGUCCGAACGUCGUAAUCGUACUUUACUAGAUAUGGUGCGAUCUAUGAUGUCUCUUACUGAUUUACCGCUAUCGUUUUGGGGUUAUGCUUUAGAGACGGCUACAUUCACUCUAAAUAGGGCACCAUCAAAAUCCGUUGAAACGACACCUUAUGAACUAUGGUUUGGCAAGAAACCAAAGUUGUCGUAUCUUAAAGUUUGGGGUUGCGAUGCUUAUGUGAAGAAACUUCAACCUGAUAAGCUCGAACCUAAAUCGGAGAAAUGUGUCUUCAUAGGAUACCCAAAGGAGACUGUUGGGUACACCUUCUAUCACAGAUUCGAAGGCAAGACAUUCGUUGCUAAGAAUGGAUCCUUUCUAGAGAAGGAGUUUCUCUCGAAAGAAGUGAGUGGGAGGAAAGUAGAACUUGAUGAGGUAACUGUACCUACUCCCUUAUUGGAAAGUAGAUCAUCACAGAAAUCAGUUUCUGCGACACCUACACCAAUUAGUGAGGAAGUUAAUGAUAAUGAUCAUGAAACUUCAGAUCAAGUUAUUACUGAACCUCGUAGGUCAACCAGAUUAAGAUCUGCACCAGAGUGGUACGGUAAUCCUGUUCUGGAGGUUAUGUUACUAGACCAUGACGAACCUACGAACUAUGAAGAAACGAUGGUGAGCCCAGAUUCCGCAAAAUGGCUUGAGGCCACGAAAUCCGAUAUGGGAUCCAUGUAUGAGAACAAAGUAUGGACUUUGGUUGACUUGCCCGAUGAUCGGCAAGCCAUUGAAAAUAAAUGGAUCUUCAAGAAGAAGACUGACGCUGACGGUAAUGUUACUGUCUAUAAAGCUCGACUUGUUGCGAAAGGUUUUUGACAAGUUCAAGGGAUUGACUACGAUGAGACCUUCUCACCCGUAGCGAUGCUUAAGUCUGUCCGAAUCAUGUUAGCAAUUGCCGCAUUUUAUGAUUAUGAAAUUUGGCAAAUGGAUGUCAAAACUGCAUUCCUGAAUGGAUUUCUGGAAGAAGAGUUGUAUAUGAUGCAACCGGAAGGUUUUGUCAAUCCAAAGGGAGCUAACAAAGUGUGCAAGCUCCAGCGAUCCAUUUAUGGACUGGUGCAAGCCUCUCAGAGUUGGAAUAAACGCUUUGAUAGUGUGAUCAAAGCAUUUGGUUUUAUAUAGACUUUUGAAGAAGCCUGUAUUUACAAGAAAGUGAGUGGGAGCUCAGUAGCAUUUCUGAUAUUAUAUGUGGAUGACAUAUUGCUAAUUGGAAAUGAUAUAGAAUUUCUGGAUAGCAUAAAGGGAUACUUGAAUAAGAGUUUUUCAAUGAAAGACCUCAGUGAAGCUGCAUAUAUAUUGGGCACCAAGAUCUAUAGAGAUAGAUCAAGACGCUUAAUUGGACUUUCACAAAGCACAUACCUUGACAAAGUUUUGAAGAAGUUCAAAAUGGAUCAAGCAAAGAAAGGGUUCUUGCCUGUAUUACAAGGUGUGAGAUUGAGUAAGACUCAAUGCCCGACCACUCCAGAAGAUAGAGAGAAGAUGAAAGAUGUUCCCUAUGCUUCAGCCAUAGGCUCUAUCAUGUAUGCAAUGCUGUGUACCAGACCUGAUGUGUGCCUUGCUAUAAGUUUAGCAGGGAGGUACCAAAGUAAUCCAGGAGUGGAUCACUGGACAGCGGUCAAGAACAUCCUGAAAUACCUGAAAAAGACUAAGGAUAUGUUUCUCGUUUAUGGAGGUGACAAAGAGCUCAUCGUAAAUGGUUACGUUGAUGCAAGCUUUGACACUGAUCCGGACGAUUCUAAAUCGCAAACCGGAUAUGUGUUUACAUUGAACGGUGGAGCUGUCAGUUGGUGCAGUUCUAAGCAAAGUGUCAUGGCGGGAUCUACGUGUGAAGCGGAGUACAUAGCUGCUUCGGAAGCAGCAAAUGAAGGAGUCUGGAUGAAGGAGUUCAUAUCCAAUCUAGGUGUCAUACCUAGUGCAUCGGGACCAAUGAAAAUCGUUUGUGACAAUACUGGUGCAAUUGCCUUAGCAAAGGAAUCCAGAUUUCACAAGAGAACCAAGCACAUCAAAAGACGCUUCAAUUCCAUCCGGGAUUUAGUCCAGGUGGGAGACAUAGAAAUUUGCAAGAUACAUACGGAUCUGAAUGUUGCAGACCCGUUGACUAAGCCUCUUCCACGAGCAAAACAUGAUCAGCUCCAAGACUCCAUGGGUGUAAGAAUCAUUACUGUGUAAUCUAGAUUAUUGACUCUAGUGCAAGUGGGAGACUGAAGGAAAUAUGCCCUAGAGGCAAUAAUAAAGUUAUUAUUUAUUUCCUUAUAUCAUGAUAAAUGUUUAUUAUUCAUGCUAGAAUUGUAUUAACCGGAAACAUAAUACAUGUGUAAAUACAAAGACAAACAGAGUGUCACUAGUAUGCCUCUACUUGACUAGCUCGUUGAUCAAAGAUGGUUAUGUUUCCUAGCCAUAGACAUGAGUUGUCAUUCGAUUAACAGGAUCACAUCAUUAGGAGAAUGAUGUGAUUGACUUGACCCAUUCCGUUAGCUUAGCACUCGAUCGUUUAGUAUGUUGCUAUUGCUUUCUUCAUGACCUAUACAUGUUCCUAUGACUAUGAGAUUAUGCAACUCCCGUUUACCAGAGGAACACUUUGUGUGCUACCAAACGUCACAACGUAACUGGGUGAUUAUAAAGGUGCUCUACAGGUGUGUCCAAAGGUACUUGUUGGGUUGGCGUAUUUCGAGAUUAGGAUUUGUCACUCCGAUUGUCGGAGAGGUAUCUCUGGGCCCACUCAGUAAUACACAUCACUAUAAGCCUUGCAAGCAUUGUAACUAAUGAGUUAGUUGCGGGAUGAUGUAUUACGGAACGAGUAAAGAGACUUGCCGGUAACGAGAUUGAACUAGGUAUCGAGAUACCGACGAUCGAAUCUCGGGCAAGUAACAUACCGAUGACAAAGGGAACAACGUAUGUUGUUAUGCGGUCUGACCGAUAAAGAUCUUCGUAGAAUAUGUGGGAACCAAUAUGAGCAUCCAGGUUCCGCUAUUGGUUAUUGACCGGAGAGGUGUCUCGGUCCUGUCUACAUAGUUCUCGAACCCGUAGGGUCCGCACGCUUAACGUUACGAUCACAGUUAUAUUAUGAGUUUAUAUGUUUUGAUGUACCGAAGGUUGUUCGGAGUCCCGGAUGUGAUCACGGACAUGACGAGGAGUCUCGAAAUGGUCGAGACAUAAAGAUUGAUAUAUUGGAAGCCUAUGUUUGGACAUCGGAAGUGUUCCGGGUGAAAUCUGGAUUUUUCCGGAGUACCGGGAGGUUACUGGAACCCCCCGGUAACUUAAUGGGCCUUAGUGGGCCUAGGUGGAAGAGAGGAGAGGAGGCCAGGGCAGGGCCGCGCGCCCCUCCCCCCCAGUCCGAAUAGGACAAGGAGAGGGGGCGGCGCCCCCCUUCCUUCCUCCCCUCCACCUUUUCCCCCUUUCUCUCCUAGUCUAACAUGGAAAAGGGGGAGUCCUACUCCUGGUAGGAGUAGGACUCCUCCUGGCGCGCCUCUCCCUUAGGCCGGCCGAACCCCCCCUUGCACCUUUAUAUACGGGGGUAGGGGGGCACCUCUAGACACAACAAUUGAUCUAUUGAUCUCUUAGCCGUGUGUGGUGCCCCCCUCCACCAUAUUACACCUCGAUAAUAUCGUAGCGGUGCUUAGGCGAAGCCCUGCGUCGGUAGAACAUCAUCAUCGUCACCACGCCGUCGUGCUGAUGAAACUCUCCCUCAACACUCGGCUGGAUCGGAGUUCGAGGGACGUCAUCGAGCUGAACGUUUGCUGAACUCGGGGGUGCCGUGCGUUCGGUACUUGAUCGGUCGGAUCGUGAAGACGUACGAAUACAUCAACUGCUUUUUGUUAACGCUUCCGAUUUUGGUCUACGAGGGUACGUGGACAACAUUCUCCCCUCUUGUUCCUAUGCAUCACCAUGAUCUUGCGUGUUCGUAGGAAUUUUUUUGAAAUUUCUACGUUCCCCAACACAAGACUCGCGGUACUACCACACGCAUGGGGCGGUACUACCGUGUAGGGUGCGGACGUAAAAAAAUACGUCCGCCCCUACAGCCGCACGGGCGGCUGAGUCUGGUAUGAGGUUACGGUAGUACAGCUCCAAAGGAGCGGUACUACCGCGGGCGCCUACGGUACUACCGCAAGGACUUGCGGUACUACCAUAGGGGCCUGCGGUACUACCGCUCAGUGGAGCAGUACUACCGCAUGCCCCAGAACAGCAACACUAGGAAUCCUUCUCUUUGCAUAGAGAUGACGAAAAACGGAGGAUGCUCCAAGGGCAAGGGAAAGGAGGUGCAGAGGAAGAAAACGUGUACGUGAUGAUUCCACCCGAACCUUUCCAACGCGGACCCCCUCUUAAUAGUACGACUUUCCUACGACUCAAAUCCACCGAAAAGAAACGUAGAAAAACACCGUUUUCAAUAGUCUUCGAGGGGCACCAAACCGUCUUGUGCCUAGUGAUGAAACGUUUGAGAAACUCAAGGCACACGAUUAGUCCGCAAAGGCAUUGUCAUCAAUCACGAAAACACCUUAGGGAUAAAUAUGCCCUUACAAUCUCCCCCUUUUUGGUGGAUUGAUGACAACACGGGAUUUGCACAAAGGGAAAAGAUAUAGAGCAUGGGCAAACCCCACAUCUCUAAAAUAUAGACGGGCUCCCCGUAGAUGUGUGCAAACUAGAUAGGUGCUUUGGACUGCACGGCACACAUACUAGGAUCAACACUCCCCCUAUAUUUUACAGACAAGGCAUAUCUAGUAAGAAUAAGGCUACCACUAAGCAAGAUAGAAACUAUGAGCAUAAUAGAUAGCACAAUAUAACAUAGGCUCAAUAUAGCAUAAUAGAUACCACUGUAGCUUGUUCUUGUUGGCUGACCCAGCGUUGGCAUGAGGGCGAACCCCAACGGGUGUGUUGAGGCCCUCAUCAGGUAUGUGGAGCAGAUCCAUGAAGUCCUUCCAGGUAGCAGUCAACUGAUGUCCAUUGGUCAUCCAAGUCAUCCUUCGGUCCUCCCCAUGGUGAAAGUGAACGGAGGCAAAGAACUGGCAAAUAAUCUCAGGGUCAAAGUCUAGGUGAAAGCAGAUCACAUCUUCAAUACCAAACUGCUCCACCAAGUCCAGAGCUUCUCCAAAGUAAUCACGGUGCUUGUCCUGUCUCAUAUGAUUCAUGUCAAUACACUUGACCUCCACAUAGGUGUUUUGCUUGUUCUUGAUCACAUCCAGAUAGAUGAGAGUCUGCUGCUUGGUCCAAAACAAGUCAUUUCCUCUGAAGAUAGCACGGGCAUUCACAUAGGGAUUAAUCUACCUUCGAGCGAUAAACUCAGAAACUGGAAUCUCGUCCAUGCCCUUGGCGGGUUCCUUGUACUUGCUGGCGGAGGACUUGACACUGCGCUUGGGGGCAUUGGAGCCCUCUGGAGCUUCAUCUUGAUUACGUAGACGCUUGGAGCGAGUGUCACGACUGGGAUUGGAACGGCGAGCAGGAGCACCGGAGACACCACCUAAGACACAAAGCACAAAACACACACGACAAGCAGGAAAGAUCAAUGCAAAGACCACGGCCAAGCAAAGGAAACAUGUAGAAAGCAUAUGGGAUAGUUGCCACGAGGAAGGUUGGACAACAACGGUAGUACUACCAGUUCGCGCGGUACUAAAAUUUUAGUACCGCUCCUAGUCACGGUAGUGCCGCGUGAAGACACGGUAGUACCGGGGCUCGGAGCGGUAGUAGGACUUUAGUACCGCUGCACGUGCGGUAGUACCGCACACGACGGGCGGUAGUACCGUGCACAUGGUAGUACCGCACAGGAAGUGCGGUAGUACCGCACGGCGUCAGAUCUGAACCGCUUUGAAUCUGAGAAGAACUGUGAAAACGCGGCGGUGCUACGGUUGAUCAAAUCUACCACGGGACAACAUAUCAAGUAUAAUUUCUACGCAACACUACUCCCCUACAUCCUACUCUUGCAUAGAUUUGGCCUAAAAUCUCAAGAACACAUGCAUCUCCCCAAAAACCUAGAGGCAAGAGAACAAACUAGAAAGAGAGGGAUUUGGGGAGAAACCUUGUUCCAUGGCAAGAGGAAGUGGUGGGGAACGAUCCCACCGGUCGGAAUCCGAGGAGAGUGGCCGGAGACGGAGAUCCAGCGAGGGUCUCCGGCGCCGUUCUUGAGCAGGAGAGAGAGAGGCGGCGGGGAGAGAGACAAAUGAAUGGGUAUGGGGGAGUUGGAACUCCCCCUGCCCGGGUCAUAACCCCCAUGCGCACUCGUCAGCAUGGUAGUACCGUGCUUCAUCGUGGUAGUACCGCUCGGGCGGAAGAGCCGCGCAGAAGCGGUAGUACCGCUCUCCCAGGCGGCAGUAAAAAAUUACUGUCGCGCUAGGUGCGGUAGUACCGUGCACUCCAUACGCGGUAGUACCGUGGAAGGCCGCGGUAGUACCGUGAGCUCAAGAAGAUGCACGUUUCAAACACAAGAAAAAAGGAGGUCUCCGCACGGAAUCUUCAAACAAACGAGACACGACAAGAACAUGCUCAACACGAAGAAAGAAAGGCAAAAGACAACAAGAGACAACCACGAGACACAACCUCUCCAAAGAGAGGGCGGUGGCCGGAGCCACCUAUGUUUGAGUCAAUUGGUAUGGCACCGCGAACAAUUAUUCUUAUGCCCAUGACCAAAACUCGUCUUUGAAGCACAAGUACCAUCAAAAAUGGCUAAUGUGAAAGAGUUGCUCAAUUUAUGCAUAAUGGGGGGAGGGAGAGUUCAUUGAGAGAACAGCACUCCCCCUAUGUCCAUGCCUACAUCUAGACGAGACAGCAAGUUGAGUAUGGUGGGGUGUGCAAGGGUUCCAGCAACAUUGCUCGAAUCAAUGAUAUUUAGCUCAUGCCUUAACUCACGCAAUCUUGCUUCAUCCAAUGGCUUCGUGAAAAUAUCUGCAAGGUUAUCUUGAGUGUUGACGUAGUUGAGCUCGAUUUCCCCUCGCCUAAUGUGAUCCCGGAUGAAGUGAUACCGAAUCUCAAUAUGCUUCGUCUUGAAGUGUUGCACCGGGUUGAGAGAAAUCUUGAUGGCACUUUCAUUGUCACACCAAAGAGGCACUUUGUCACAAGUGACACCGUAAUCCUUUAAAGUUUGCCUCAUCCAAAGAAGUUGUGCACAACAACUGCCGGCGGCCACAUACUCCGCUUCGGUCGACGAGAGAGACACACAACUUUACUUCUUGGAAGACCAACUCACCAAAGAGCAACCAAGAAAUUGGCACCCUCCGGAAGUGGAUUUCCUAUCCACUUUGUCUCCUGCCCAAUCGGAAUCCGAAUACCCUACAAGCUUGAAGUUUGCUCCUCUUGGGUACCAUAAGCCAAAGGUUGGGGUAUGAGCCAAAUAUCAAAAGAUUCGCUUAACCGCCACAUAGUGGCUUUCCUUAGGUGCGGCUUGAAACCGUGCACAAAUUCCCACACUCAAUAUGAUAUCCGGUCUAGACCCACAAAGGUAAAGCAAGGAUCCAAUCAUGGAGCGAUAUACCUUUUGAUCCACCGCUUUACCAUUGGGAUCAAUGUCAAGUUGGCACUUGGUGGGCAUUGGAGUGGAAGCCGGCUUGACAUCACUUAGCUUGAAUCUCUUGAGCAUGUCUUGAGUCUAUUUGGCUUGGUUGAUGAAGGUACCUUCUCUUCUUUGCUUCACUUCGAAUCCGAGGAAGAACUUCAACUCUCCCAUGGAAGACAUCUUGAACUUUGAGGUCAUGAGAUUGGCAAAUUCCUCAUUGAAAGCUUUGUUAGGGGAACCAAAGAUAAUAUCAUCAACAUAUAGUUGGCACACAAACAACUCCCCUUUGACCUUCUUAGUAAAAAGAGUGGGGUAGAUUAGCCCGACUUCAAAUCCACGAUCUUGUAACAACUCGGUAAGGUGGUCAUACCACGCACGUGGGGCUUGUUUAAGGCCAUAGAGUGCCUUAUCGAGUUGAUACACAUGAUCGGGAAAGUAGGGAUCCUCCAACCCGGGGGGUUGUUUAACGUAGACCAACUCAUUAAUGGGACCAUUAAGAAAAGCACUCUUCACAUCCAUUUGUUGCAACUUAAAGUUAUGAUGAGAAGCAUAGGCAAUUAACAUGCGAAUGGACUCAAGGCGAGCAACGGGAGCAAAGGUUUAAUCGUAGUUGAUACCCUCGACUUGGGAGUAGCCUUGUGCCACUAAACGAGCCUUGUUGCGAAUGAUAGUUCCAUGAGCAUCUUGCUUGUUCUUGAAUAUCCACUUGGUUCCAAUGACAUUAUGGUUCUCCGUUGGCCUUGGCACCAAUCUCCACACCUUGUUGUUCUCGAAGUUGUUGAGUUCUUCAUGCAUUGCAUUGAGCCAAUCCGGAUCCUCAAGCGCUUCGUAAACCUUUUGGGGUUCCACACAAGAGACAAACGCAUGAUGUUCAGAAUAGGUUGCUAAUUGUCUACGAGUGCUUACCCCCUUAGUUAAGCUUCCAAGCACAUUCUCCAUGAUGUGCCCUUUGGUGGUGAGCUUGGAAGCAAUCUUGGCGGCACGACGCUCCAAUUCCUGCUCGGAAGUGAGAUGAGGAGAGGAAACUUGAUCAUCUUGAGCGCCGUCAUGAGCUUGUUCUCGAUCUUGAACUUGCUCGGUGGUGAGAACUUGACCUUGUGCAUCAUGUGGUGGUUCACCACCAUCUUGAUAGUGAUCUUGCCCUUGGUCUCGUUCAUGUGGUUGAGGGCCUUCAUUAUGUUCUUCGGAAGCGUGUGGGCCUUGGGUUGGUGAUGGCUCCACUUGACUGGAGCAUUGUCCUUCUCCUUCGGCCACAAGGGGUUCCUCAAUGGGUAGGAUAAACCCAACUCCCAUUCUUCUUAUGGCUUGAGGAGGAAUUUCAUCACCUACAUCACAAGUGCCACUUUGCUCCACUUGGGAGCCGUUAUUCUCAUCAAACACCACGUUACAUGUCUCCUCAAUAAGUCCCGUGGACUUAUUGAGGACACGGUAAGCAUGAGAGUUUGUAGCAUAACCAACAAAUAUGCCCUCAUAAGCUCUAGCCUCAAAUUUAGACAAACGAACACCUUUCUUGACGAUGAAACACUUACACCCGAACACCCGAAAGUACUUGAGGUUGGGCUUAUUACCGGUGAGUAUCUCAUAUGGAGUCUUUCUUGGGGAACAUAGUAAUUUCAAAAAAAUUCCUACGCACAUGCAAGAUCAUGGUGAUGCAUAGCAACGAGAGGGCAGAGUGUUGUCCACGUACCCUCGUAGACCGAAAGCGGAAGCGUUAGCACAACGCGGUUGAUGUAGUCGUACGUCUUCACGAUCCGACCGAUCAAGUACCGAACGCAUGGCACCUCCGAGUUCAGCACACGUUCAGCCCGAUGACGUCCCUCGAACUCCGAUCCAGCCGAGUGUUGAGGGAGAGUUUCAUCAGCACGACGGCGUGGUGACGAUGAUGAUGUUCUACCGACGCAGGGCUUCGCCUAAGCACCGCUACAGUAUUAUCGAGGUGGACUAUGGUGGAGGGGGGCACCGCACACGGCUAAAAGAUCAGACGAUCAAUUGUUGUCUCUCUGGGAUGCCCCCCUGCCCCCGUAUAUAAAGGAGCAAGGAAGGAGGAGGCCGGCCCUAGGAGGGGCGCGCCAAGGGAGUAGGAUUCCUACUCCUAGUUGGAGUAGGUUUCCUCCUUUCCUAGUCCAACUAGGAGAAGGGGGGAAAGGGGGGAAGAGGAGAAGGAAGGGAGAGGGGGGCCGCGCCCCAAACCCCUUGUCCAAUUCGGACUGGGCUUGGGAGGGGCGUGCGCCACCUCCUGGCUGCUGCCUCUCCUUCCCACUAAGGCCCAUUAAGGCCCAAUACUUCUUUCCCGUAUUCCCGUAACUCCCCGGUACUCCGAAAAAUACCCGAAUCACUCGGAACCUUUCCGAUGUCCGAAUAUAGUCAUCCAAUAUAUCGAUCUUUACGUCUCGACCAUUUCGAGACUCCUCGUUAUGUCCCCUAUCUCAUCCGGGACUCCGAACUACCUUCGGUACAUCAAAACUCAUAAACUCAUAAUAUAACUGUCAUCGAAACUUUAAGCGUGCGGACCCUACGGGUUCGAGAACUAUGUAGACAUGACCGAGACACGUCUCCGGUCAAUAACCAAUAGCGGAACCUGGAUGGUCAUAUUGGCUCCCACAUAUUCUACGAAGAUCUUUAUCGGUCAAACCGCAUAACAACAUACGUUGUUCCCUUUGUCAUCGGUAUGUUACUUGCCCGAGAUUCGAUCGUCGGUAUCUCAGUACCUAGUUCAAUCUCGUUACCGGCAAGUCUCUUUACUCGUUCCGUAAUACAUCAUCCCGCAACUAACUCAUUAGUUGCAAUGCUUGCAAGGCUUAUAGUGAUGUGCAUUACCGAGUGGGCCCAGAGAUACCUCUCCGACAAUCGGAGUGACAAAUCCUAAUCUCGAAAUACGCCAACCCAACAAGUACCUUCGGAGACACCUGUAGAGCACCUUUAUAAUCACCCUAUUACGUUGUGACGUUUGGUAGCACACAAAGUGUUCCUCCGGUAAACGGGAGUUGCAUAAUCUCAUAGUCAUAGGAACAUGUAUAAGUCAUGAAGAAAGCAAUAGCAACAUACUAAACGAUCAAGUGCUAAGCUAACGGAAUGGGUCAAGUCAAUCACAUCAUUCUCCUAAUGAUGUGAUCCCGUUAAUCAAAUGACAACUCUUUGUCUAUGGUUAUGAAACACAACCAUCUUUGAUCAACGAGCUAGUCAAGUAGAGGCAUACUAGUGACACUCUGUUUGUCUAUGUAUUUACACAUGUAGUAUGUUUCCGGUUAAUACAAUUAUAGCAUGAACAAUAAACAUUUAUCAUGAAAUAAGGAAAUAAAUAAUAAUUUUAUUAUUGCCUCUAGGGCAUAUUUCCUUCGGUCUCCCACUUGCACUAGAGUCAAUAAUCUAGUUCACGUCGCCAUGUGAGUUAACUUCAAUAGUUCACAUCACCAUGUGAUUAACACCAAUAGUUCACAUCGUCCUGUGACCAACACCCAAAGGGUUUACUAGAGUCAAUAAUCUAGUUCACAUCACUAUGUGAUUAACACCCAAAGAGUACUAAGGUGUUAUCAUGUUUUGCUUGUGAGAUAAUUUUAGUCAACAGGUCUGUCACAUUCAGAUUCGUAAGUAUUUUGCAAAUUUCUAUGUCUACAAUGCUUUGCACGGAGCUACUCUAGCUAAUUGCUCCCACUUUCAAUAUGUAUCUAGACCGAGACUUAGAGUCAUCUAGAUUAGUGUCAAAACUUGCAUCGACGUAACCCUUUACGACGAACGUUUUGUCACUUCCAUAAUCGAGAAACAUAUCCUUAUUCCACUAAGGAUAAUUUUGAGCGCUAUCCAGUGAUCUACUCCUAGAUUACUAUUGUACUCCCUUGCCAAAAUCAGUGUAGGGUAUACAAUAGAUCUGGUACACAGCAUGGCAUACUUUGUAGAACCUAUGGCCAAGGCAUAGGGAAUGACUUUCAUUCUCUUUCUAUCUUCUGCCGUGGUCGGGCUUUGAGUCUUACUCAAUUUCACACCUUGUAACACAUGCAAGAACUCUUUCUUUGACUGUUCCAUUUUGAACUACUUCAAAAUCUUGUUAAGGUAUGUACUCAUUGAAAAAACUUAUCAAGCGUCUUGAUCUAUCUCUAUAGAUCUUGAUGCUCAAUAUGUAAGCAGCUUCACCGAGGUCUUUCUUUGAAAAACUCCUUUCAAACACUCCUUUAUGCUUUGCAGAAUAAUUCUACAUUAUUUCUGAUCAACAAUAUGUCAUUCACAUAUACUUAUCAGAAAUGUUGUAGUGCUCCCACUCACUUUCUUGUAAAUACAAGCUUCACCGCAAGUCUUUAUAAAACUAUAUCCUUUGAUCAACUUAUCAAAGCGUAUAUUCCAACUCCGAGAUGCUUGCACCAGUCCAUAGAUGGAUCGCUGGAGCUUGCAUAUUUUGUUAGCACCUUUAGGAUUGACAAAACCUUCUGGUUGCAUCAUAUACAACUCUUCUUUAAUAAAUCCAUUAAGGAAUGCAAUUUUGUUUAUCCAUUUGCCAGAUUUCAUAAAAUGCGGCAAUAGCUAACAUGAUUCGGACAGACUUAAGUAUAGAUACGAGUGAGAAACUCUCAUCGUAGUCAACACCUUGAACUUGUCAAAAACCUUUUGCGACAAUUCUAGCUUUGUAGAUAGUAACACUACUAUCAGCGUCCGUCUUCCUCUUGAAGAUCCAUUUAAUCUCAAUGGCUCACCGAUCAUUGGGCAAGUCAAUCAAAGUCCAUACUUUGUUCUCAUACAUGGAUCUCAUCUCAGAUUUCAUGGCCUUAAGCCAUUUCGCGGAAUCUGGGCUCAUCAUCGCUUCCUCAUAGUUCGUAGGUUCGUCAUGGUCGAGUAACAUGACCUCCAGAACAGGAUUACCGUACCACUCUGGUGCGGAUCUCACUCUGGUUUACCUACGAGGUUCGGUAGUAACUUGAUCUGAAGUUACAUGAUCAUCAUCAUUAGCAUCCUCACUAAUUGGUGUAGUAGUCACAGGAACAGAUUUCUGUGAUGAACUAAUUUCCAAUAAGGGAGCAGGUACAGUUACCUCAUCAAGUUCUACUUUCCUCCCACUCACUUCUUUCGAGAGAAACUUCUUCUCUAGAAAGGAUCCAUUCUUAGCAACGAAUAUCUUGCCUUCGGAUCUGUGAUAGAAGGUGUACCCAACUAUCUCCUUUGGGUAUCCUAUGAAGACACAUUUCUCCGAUUUGGGUUUGAGCUUAUCAGGAUGAAACUUUUUCUUAUAAGCAUAGCAACCCCAAAUUUUAAGAAACGACAACUUUGGUUUCUUGCCAAACCACAGUUCAUAAGGUGUCAUCUCAACGGAUUUAGAUGGUGCCCUUUUUAACGUGAAUGCAGCUGUCUCUAAUGCAUAACCCCAAAACGAUAGUGGUAGAUUGGUAAGAAACAUCAUAGAUCACACCAUAUCUAAUAAAGUACGGUUAUGACGUCCGGACACACCAUUACGCUGUGGUGUUUCAGGUGGCGUGAGUUGCGAAACUAUUCCGCAUUGUUUCAAAUGAAGACCAAACUCGUAACUCAAAUAUUCUCCUCCACGAUCAGAUCGUAGAAACUUUAUUUUCUUGUUACGUUGAUUUUCUACUUCACUCAUAAAUUAUAUGAACUUUUCAAAUGUUUCAGACUUUAUGUUUCAUCAUGUAGAUAUACCCAUAUCUGCUCAAAUCAUCUGUGAAGGUCUGUAAAUAACGAUACAUGCCGUGAGCCUCGAUAUUCAUCGGACCACAUACAUCAGUAUGUAUGAUUUCCAACAAAUCUAUUGCUCGCUUCAUUGUUCCGGAGAACGGCGCUUUAGUCAUCUUGCCGAAGAGGCAUGGUUCUCAAGCAUCAAGUGAUUCAUAAUCAAGUGAUUCCAAAAUCCCAUCAGCAUGGAGUUUCUUCAUGCGUUUUACACCAAUAUGACCUAAAUGGUAGUGCCACAAAUAAGUUGCACUAUCAUUAUUAACUUUGCAUCUUUUUGGCUUCAAUAUUUUGAAUAUGUGUAUCACUACGAUCGAGAUCCAACAAACCAUUUUCGUUGGUGUGUAUGACCAUAGAAUGUUUUAUUCAUGUAAACAGCAUAACAAUUGUUCUCUAACUUAAAUGAAUAACCGUAUUGCAAUAAACAUGAUCAAAUCAUAUUCAUGCUCAACGCAAACACCAAAUAACACUUAUUUAGGUUCAACACUAAUCCUGAAAGUAUAGGGAGUCUACGAUGAUGAUCAUACCAAUCUUGGAACCACUUCCAACACACAUCGUCACUUCACCCUUAACUAGUCUCUGUUUAUUCUGCAACUCCCGUUUCGAGUUACUAAUCAUAGCAACUGAACUAGUAUCAAAUAUUUAGGGGUUGCUAUAAACAAUAGUAAAGUACACAUCAAUUACAUGUAUAUCAAAUAUACCUUUGUUCACUUUGCCAUCCUUCUUAUCCGCCAAAUACUUGGGGCAGUUCCGCUUCCAGUGACCAGUUCCUUUGCAGUAGAAGCACUUAGUCUCAGGCUUAGGUCCAGACUUGGGCUUCUUCACUUGAGCAGCAACUUGCUUGCCAUUAUUUUUGAAGUUCCCCUUCUUCCCUUAGCACUUUUCUUGAAACUAGUGGUCUUGUCAACCAUCAACACUUGAUGUUUUUCUUGAUUUCUACCUUCGUCUAUCUCAGCAUCACGAAGAGCUUGGGAAUCGUUUCCAUUAUCCCUUGCAUAUUAUAGUUCAUCACGAAGUUCUAGUAACUUGGUGAUAGUGACUAGAGAACUCUGUCAAUCACUAUCUUAUCUGGAAGAUUAACUCCCACUUGAUUCAAGUGAUUGUAGUACUCAGACAUUCUGAGCACAUGCUCACUAGCUGAGCAAUUCUCCUCCAUCUUGUAGGCAAAAUAUUGCCAGAGGUCAAAUACCUCUCGACACGGGCAUGAGUAUGAAAUACCAAUUUCAACUCUUGGAACAUCUUAUAUGUUCCGUGGCGUUUCAAAACAUUUUGAAGUCCCGGUUCUAAGCCGUAAAGCAUGGUGCACUAAACUAUCAAGUAGUCAUCAUACCGAGCUUUUGUCAAACGUUCAUAACGUCUGCAUCUGCUCCUGCAAUAGGUCUGUCACCUAGCGGUGCAUAUGGGACAUAAUUCUUCUGUGCAGCAAUGAGGAUAAUCCUCAGAUCACGGAUGCAAUCCGCAUCAUCGCUACUAACAUCUUUCAACAUAGUUUUUCUCUAGGAACAUAUCAAAAUAAACAUAGGGAAGCAACAACGCGAGCUAUUGAUCUACAACAUAGAUAUGCUAAUACUACCAGGACUAAGUUCAUGAUAAAUUUAAGUUCAAUUAAUCAUAUUAAUUAAGAACUCCCACUUAGAUAGACAUCCCUCUAAUCCUCUAAGUGAUCAUCUGAUCCAAAUCAACUAAACCAUAACUGAUCAUCACGUGAAAUGGAGUAGCUUUCAAUGGUGAACAUCAUUAUGUUGAUCAUAUCUACUAUAUGAUUCACGCUCGACCUUUCGGUCUCAGUGUUCCGAGGCCAUAUCUGCAUAUGCUAGGCUCGUCAAGUUUAACCUGAGAAUUCCGCGUGUGCAACUGUUUUGCACCCGUUGUAAUUGAACGUAGAGCCUAUCACACCCGAUCAUCACGUGGUGUCUCAGCACGAAGAACUUUCGCAACGGUGCAUACUCAGGGAGAACACUUAUACCUUGAUAAUUUAGUGAGAGAUCAUCUUAUAAUGCUACCGUCGAUCUAAGCAGAAUAAGAUGCAUAAAAGAUAAACAUCACAUGCAAUCAAUAUAAGUGAUAUGAUAUGGCCAUCAUCAUCUUGUGCUUGUGAUCUCCAUCAAAGCACUGUCAUGAUCUCCAUCGUCACGGGCAUGACACCAUGAUCUCCAUCAUCUUGAUCUAUAUCAAUGUGUCGUCACAUGGUCGUCUCGCCAACUAUUGCUCUUGCAACUAUUGCUAUCGCAUAGCGAUAAAGUAAAGCAAUUAUUUGGCGCUUGCAUCUUAUGCAAUAGAGACACAACCAUAAGGCUUUUGCUAGUUGCCGAUAACUUCAACAAAACAUGAUCAUCUCAUACAACAACUUAUAUCUCAUCACGUCUUGACCAUAUCACAUCACAACAUGCCCUGCGAAAACAAGUUAGACGUCCUCUACUUUGUUGUUGCAUGUUUUACGUGGCUGCUACGGGAUGAGCAAGAACCGUUCUUACCUACGCAUCAAAACCAAAAUGAUAGUUCGUCAAGUUAGUGCUGUUUUAACCUUCUCAAGGACAGGGCGUAGCGACACUCGGUUCAACUAAAGUUGGAGAAACUGACACCCACUAGUCACCUGUGUGCAUAGCACGGCGGUAAAACUAGUCUCGCGUAAGCGUACGCGUAAUGUCGGUCCGGGCCGCUUCAUCCAACAAUACCGCCGAACCAAAGUAUGACAUGCUGGUAAGAUGUAUGACUUGUAUCGCCCACAAAUCACUUGUGUUCUACUCGUGCAUAUGACAUCUACGCAUAAGACCAGGCUCGGAUGCCACUGUUGGGGAACGUAGUAAUUUCAAAAAAAUUCCUACGCACACGCAAGAUCAUGGGGAUGCAUAGCAACGAGAGGGGAGAGUGUUGUCCACGUACCCUCGUGGACCGAAAGCGGAAGUGUUAGCACAACGCGGUUGAUGUAAUCGUACGUCUUCACGAUCCGACCGAUCAAGUACCGAACACAUGGCAUCUCCGAGUUCAGCACACGUUCAGCCCGAUGACGUCCCUCGAACUCCGAUCCAGCCGAGUGUUGAGGGAGAGUUUCAUCAGCGCGACGGCGUGGUGACAAUGAUGAUGUUCUACCGACGCAGGGCUUCGCCUAAGCACCGCUACAGUAUUAUCGAGGUGGACUAUGGUGGUGGGGGGCACCGCACACGGCUAAAAGAUCAAACGAUCAAUUGUUGUCUCUCUGGGGUGCCCCCCUGCCCCCGUAUAUAAAGGAGCAAGGGAGGAGGAGGCCGGCCCUAGGAGGGGCGCGCCAAGGGAGUAGGAUUCCUACUCCUAGUUGGAGUAGGUUUCCUCCAUUCCUAGUCCAACUAGGAGAAGGGGGGAAAGGGGGGAAGAGGAGAAGGAAGGGACAGGGGGGCCGCGCCCCAAACCCCUUGUCCAAUUCGGACUGGGCUUGGGAGGGGCGCGCGCCACCUCCUGGCUGCUGCCUCUCCUUCCCACUAAGGCCCAUUAAGGCCCAAUACUUCUUUCCCGUAUUCCCGUAACUCCCCGGUACUCCGAAAAAUACCCGAAUCACUCGGAACCUUUCCGAUGUCCGAAUAUAGUCGUCCAAUAUAUCGAUCUUUACAUCUCGACCAUUUAGAGACUCCUCGUUAUGUCCCCGACCUCAUCUAGGACUCCGAACUACCUUCGGUACAUCAAAACUCAUAAACUCAUAAUAUAACUGUCAUCGAAACAUUAAGCAUGCGGACCCUGGAUGCCCAUAUUGGCUCCCACAUAUUCUACGAAGAUCUUUAUCGGUCAAACCGCAUAACAACAUACGUUGUUCCCUUUGUCAUCGGUAUGUUACUUGCCCGAGAUUCGAUCGUCGGUAUCUCAAUACCAAGUUCAAUCUCGUUACCGGCAAGUCUGUUUACUCGUUCCGUAAUACAUCAUCCCGCAACUAACUCAUUAGUUGCAGUGCUUGCAAGGCUUAUAGUGAUGUGCAUUACCGAGUGGGCCCAGAGAUACAUCUCCGACAAUCGGAGUGACAAAUCCUAAUCUCGAAAUACGCCAACCCAACAAGUACCUUCGGAGACACCUGUAGAGCACCUUUAUAAUCACCCAGUUACGUUGUGACGUUUGGUAGCACACAAAGUGUUCCUCCGGUAAACGGGAGUUGCAUAAUCUCAUAGUCAUAGGAACAUGUAUAAGUCAUGAAGAAAGCAAUAGCAACAUACUAAACGAUCAAGUGCUAAGCUAACGGAAUGGGUCAAGUCAAUCACAUCAUUCUCCUAAUGAUGUGACCCCGCUUAUCAAAUGACAACUCUUUGUCUAUGGUUAGGAAACACAACCAUCUUUGAUCAACGAGCUAGUCAAGUAGAGGCAUACUAGUGACACUCUGUUUGUCUAUGUAUUCAUACAUGUAGCAUGUUUCUGGUUAAUACAAUUAUAGCAUGAAUAAUAAACAUUUAUCAUGAAAUAAGGAAAUAAAUAAUAACUUUAUUAUUGCCUCUAGGGCAUAUUUCCUUCAGUCUUGUUCAAGCCCUUGCGGAGGUAGAGCCGAUUGGAUGCAUGACACGCGACGUUAAUGGCUUCGUCUCAAAAGUUGUAGGGAGAUUUGAACUCCGCCAUCAUGGUCCUUGCCGCAUCCAUCAACGUCCGCUUCUUCUUCUCUGCUACACCAUUUUGUUGAGGGGUAUAAGGUGCGGAAUAUUGAUGCUUGAUUCCCUCAUCACUCAAGAACUCGUCCAAGAUGUAGUUCUUGAACUCGGAGCCGUUGUCACUUCUUAUAGUCAAGAUCUUUGCAUUGUGUUGACGUUGAGCUUCAUUUGCAAAGUCGAUGACGGUUUGUUGGGUCUCGCUCUUCCUCUUGAAGAAAUAUACCCAAGUGUAUCUUGAAUAGUCAUCCACAGUCACCAAACAAUACUUUCUACCCCCAAGACUAUCAAAGGAUGGAGGCCCAAAGAGAUUCAAGUGAAGGAGCUCCAAAGGCCUCUUCGAGUAGAUGAUAGUCGUGGGAGGGUGAGCCUUCUGAUGUAAUUUUCCUUUGAUACAGGCACUGCAAGCACGAUCUUUAGCAAAACUAACAUUUUUUAGUCCACGAACAUGGUCCCCCUUGAGAAGACUUUGCAAAGAUCUCAUAUUGACAUGGGAUAGACGGCGAUGCCAAAGCCAUCCCACAUCAACUUUAGCCAUUAGGCAUGUUGCGGUCUUAGUGGGUCGCUCCGAAAAGUUAAUCACAUAGAGACCAUUCUCGACAUGCCCAACAAAGGCUACUUUAAGAGUCUUGCUCCACAAGAGGGCCAUGGUAUCAAUAUCAAAGAAUGUGGCAAAACCCAUGAUAGCAAGUUGACGAACGGAAAGUAAAUUAUAUGCAAGGGACUCAACGAGCAUGACCUUCUCGAUCGUGAGAUCAUGAGAAAUGACAACCUUGCCGAGUCCCAAUACCUUAGAAGAUGAGGCAUCACCCCACUCGACAUUGGUGGGCAUAGAUGGAGUCUUGAGUACGUCCACCACCAAGUCCUUGCUUUCGGUCAUAUGAUUCGUAGCUCCACUAUCGAGCAACCAUGAUCCCCCACUGGAAGCAAACACCUACAAGAGAUCAAUGCUUGGUUUUAGGUACCCAUUUUGUAAUAGGUCCUUUGAUGUUAGUGACAAGGGUCUUAGGAACCCAAAUAGACCAUUCAAUGUACUCAUAAGGAGAACCAACAAAUUUGGCAUAAACAUGCCCAUCACUAGCACGGCAUAACACAUAAGAAGGGUUAAAGUCGCCGGCUUUGUUGGGAAGGGUGGCAUUGCCCUUCUUGACACCAUCACCCUUCGCAUUAUUCUUCUUCUCCUUGGAAGCACCCUCUCCCACCUUCAUAAAAGUUUGCUUGAGGGGAGGAGGUCGUUUGGUCGUGUGAUUCUUCUUCUUGUUCUUGGGCUUGGGUGCGAACCCAAUCCCCUCCUUGGCCACAACUUCCUUUUGAUUGCUCAAAAGGUCGUUGAGGUUCUUCUGACCUUGUAUGAAUGACACAAGGCCUUUCUCAAGUUGCUCCUUCGACUUAGCAUUUUCCUCAAUAAGAUGCACAUGCUCACAACACGGGUUAGUGGCAUUUGCAUUAUCAAUUAAAACCAUAUGAGGAAAAGUGGCUUUCUCCUUAGUUAGCUUCGCUUGGACUUGAUCAUGAGACUCCUUGAGGUUAGCAUGAAUAACUUCAAGGCCUUGUGAGCCUUGUCAAGUAUAUCAAACUCCUCCUUGAGUCUAGCAAGAUCAACCCCAAGUUUGGCCUUCUCGGAAUUUAGCACACGAGAAACAACAAGAGCAUGAUCAAGAUCUUUCUUUAACUUAGCAUGAUCAUCAUUGUGUGACUCCUCAAGAGCCAAACGAAGACCACGCUCUUCCUCAAGAGCAUUUGAAAGAUCCGAAAUCUCAUCGGCAUAGUCUCGACUAUGCCCCUCCAUCUUACAGAUGGUAUCUUCGUGAGCCUCUAUCAUGUCAUUGGCUUCACCAAGUUGUUCCAAGAGAGCAACGAAGUGCUUCUUAGAUUUACCCUUGAGUUUACCCAUAAAGGACUCAAACUCAUUCUCCUCUACAUUAGAUCCCUCACGUUCAUCAAUGCAAUCAGUCAAAGAAGGAUGAUCAAUGAAGGUAGUUUUGAUGUUGGGGGUUACCUUGUUGAUGGCUUUAUCCAUGAGGCACUUGGCGGUAAUGCUCUCGUUAGGAGAAUCGAAGAGAGACACCCGUGGAGUCGUCGCAAUGGCAAAGGCGGCCAUGGCAACUGACCCACCAUCUUCAUCAUCAUCAUCAUCCUCAUUGUACUCUUCUUGUACCACCAAAGCCUUGUGAGGAGUCUUCUUGGUGAAGUUGCUCUUGUUGGGGAAAGACUUGGCCUUGUCCUUCCGGAUGAGCUUGCCACCAUUGUCUUCCCUGUUCUCAUAAGGGCACUCCGCAACAAAGUGACUCACAUUGCCACAACUAUAGCAAGUUCUCACACGUUGCUUGACCUUAGCGCCACUUGAGUUGCUCUUGUUGAAGUUGGGUCUUGAGUUCUUCUUGUUCCAAAAUUGCCUAGAAGCAAGAGGCAUGUGUUGAUGAUAGUCAUACUUUGUAUCUUCGGGGUUGCUCUCCUCUUCAUCCUCUUCUUCUUCUUCUUCUUCUUCUUCAACAUAGACCUUGGCCUUCAAUGCAAGGUUGGGCUUCUCUGCCCUUUGGGAACGAAGCACCGCAUUGUCGGCGGUCUUGUACAAGAUGCUCAUAGCCACAAACUCAUCCAACACUUCACUUGAGGACAAAGUGUGGAAGUCCGGCCUUUGUCGAAUGACAGAGGACAUGGCCUUGUGGUAAAGCAUCAUUUCCUUGAGGAAUUUGCGCUUGAUCCAAUUGUCAUCCGUGUCCUUGCUUCCAUGAUCUCGGAGUGAGACCGCGAGUUUGGUUACUCUCCGAUAAAGCUCACGAGGUUCUUCAUCCUCUUUCAUUGCAAACUCGUCGGCUUCAUCUUGCACCACUUCAUAGUUGGAGCGUUGAAUGCUUGCACUUCCCCGGUAGAGGGACACAACUUGGCGCCAUGCAUCUUUGGCCAUGGCGUAGGGCCGGAUGUGGGGAAGAUCUUCGAGUGGACUUGCAUCUUGGAUGAUGAAGAGAGCAUUCUCAUUGAAUUGAUUAUCCGCGGCUUCUCUUGGAGUGAAAUUGCUUCGGUCGUGCGGAUAAAAACCUUCUUCAAUGAUUCUCCAAAGGUUAGUAUUCACAUUAUUUAAAUGACACUUAAAACGAUAGACCCAAGAAUCAAAGUCCUCCCUUUUAUCAAUCUUGGGAGGAGGGCCGACAUGAUUCAAAUGUGUAGAAGGAAUCGGUCCACCAUAAACAGGUGGAGGUUCCACAUGGGCAAAGAUGCCGGUGCCAUUCUUGCCACUAGAAGAAGGAGCCUUUUCACUAGUAGCUUCCCCCUUCUCGGAGUUAGCAUCCGUCACCUUGUUAGUGGGAGCACCCACUUUCAAUUGUGCGGUGGAUAGUUUAAGCCCUUCAAUGAAUUUAUUAAACAUGCUUUCAACCUCGGUUGUCAUGGAGGUUUUCAAUGUGUCCAAGGCCACAUUGAAUUCUUCACGAGAGACCGAGGUCCCCCCAUCGCCCGUAGACGAGACCGGAUUCGCACCGUAGUGCUCCUCCACUCCGUCUACGAUGUCAACCAUACUCUUCGGACGGCAAAGUCCUUAAUAAAGAGACGAGGCUCUGAUACCAAUGGAAAGGAUCGAUAUAGUUGACUAGAGGGGGGUGAAUAGACAACUAACAAUUUUUAGCUUUUCUUUACCAAAUUAAACUUUGCAUCAAAGUAGGUUGUCUAGAUAUGCAACUAGGUGAGCAACCUAUAUGAUGCAACAACAACAAGCACACAAGCAAGACAAAGGGUAAACCACAAAUGAACUUGCACAAGUAAAGGGAUGAGAUAACCAAGAGUGGAGCCGGUGGAGACGAGGAUGUGUUACCGAAGUUCCUUCCUUUUGAGGGGAAGUACGUCUCCAUUAGAGCGGUGUGGAGGCACAAUGCUCCCCAAGAAGCCACUAGGGCCACCGUAUUCUCCUCACGCCCUCACACAAUGCGAGAUGCAGUGAUUCCACUAUUGGUGCCCUUGGAGGCGGCAACCGAACCUUUACAAACAAGGUUGGGGCAAUCUCCACAACUUAAUUGGAGGCUCCCAACGAUGCCACGAAGCUUCACCACAAUGGACUAUGCCUCCGCGGUGACCUCAACCGUCUAGGGUGCUCAAACACCCAAGAGUAACAAGAUCCGCUGGGGAUUAGUGGGGGGAAUCGAAUUUCUCUUGGUGGAAGUGUAGAUCGUGUCCUUCUCAACCACUCCCUAACAAAUCAACAAGUUUGAUUGGCUAGGGAGAGAGAUCGGGCGAAAAUGAAGCUUGGAGCAACAAUGGAGCUUAAAGUUGGAAGAGGUAGUCAACUAGAGGAAGAAGACACCCCUUAUAUAGUCGAGAACAAAACCCAACCGUUAUCCACCUAAACAGCCCGCGACUUGCGGUACUACCGCACCAGGCAAGCGGUACUACCGCAAUGCCUCAUGCAUGGUACUACCGUGACGGCCCACGGUAGUACCGCAGCUACGGCAGAAGCGAGAACAAGCCUGACGCGCAGAGGCGGAGGGCGGUACUGCCGCUGGCGCGAUACUACCGCUCCCCCUUGCGGUACUACCGCAAGGCAGGUCUGGACUGGCCUGGGAAGGACGCGGAUGAAGAAAAAUACAUCCGUGCCAACUUCCGCUGAAAAAUAGUCGAUGCAAAAAUCCGACACGGUACUACCGCAUACGGAGUGCGGUACUACCGCGCAGGGAGCGGAUGUAAAAAAUUACAUCCGCCCCUACUUCCGCUCAUGCAGCUGUGUGAGACCAGGACUCGCGGUACUACCGCACGCAUGGGGCGGUACUACCGUGUAGGGCGCGGAUGUAAAAAAAUACGUCCGCCCCUACAGCCGCACGGGCGGCUGAGUCUGGUCUGAGGCGACGGUAGUACAGCUCCGAAGGAGCGGUACUACCGCGGGCGCCUACGGUACUACCGCAGGGGCCUGCGGUACUACCGCUUAGUGGAGCAGUACUACCGCAUGCCCCAGAACAGAAACACUAGGAAUCCUUCUCUUUGCAUAGAGAUGAGGAAAACGGAGGAUGCUCCAAGGGCAAGGGAAAGGAGGUGCAGAGGAAGAAAACGUCUACGUGAUGAUUCCACCCGAACCUUUCCGACGCGGACCCCCUCUUAAUAGUACGGCUUUCCUAUGACUCAAAUCCACCGAAAAGAAACGUAGAAAAACGUCAUCUUCAAUAGUCUUCGAGGGGCACCAAACCGUCUUAUGCCUAGUGAUGAAACGUCUGAGAAACUCAAGGCACACGAUUAGUCCGCAAAGGCACUGUCAUCAAUCACCAAAACACCUUAGGGAUAAAUAUGCCCUUACAACGUGGAGAACCCGAACAGGGCCAAGGGCAACCUGCUCGUGCACGAAGUGAAUAUCGAGCUCAAUAUGCUUCGUCCAUCGAUGGUGCACCGGGUUGGCGGAGAGGUAGACCGCGCUGACGUUAUCGCAGUAGACAAGAGUGCCCUUGUGAAUAUCACAAAGCAACUCCUGGAGCAGCUGACGUAUCCAAGAGCACUCGGCCACAGCAUUAGCCACGACGCGAUACUCUGCCUCGACGCUGGAGCGGGAGACCGUGGGCUGCCUCUUUGAUGACCAAGAUAUCAAUGAGGGCCCAAGGUAGACGCAGUAGCCUGACGUAGAGCGUCGCGUGUCGGGGCAGCCAGCCCAGUCAGCAUCCGAGUAGGCCACGAGGUCGGUGGAGGCGGAGGCCGUCAGGGUGAGUCCCAAGGACAUGGUGCCGCGUAUGUAACGGAGAAUACGCUUCACCAGAGUCCAGUGAGAGUCACGCGGGGCAUGCAUAUGGAGGCACACCUGCUGAACAGCGUACUGCAGGUCGGGACGAGUCAGCGUCAAGUACUGUAAAGCACCGACGAUAGAGCGAUAAAACGCUCCAUCGGACGUGAGAGACCCCUCCAGAGCAGAGAACUUCGCCUUCGUGUCGACAGGAGUGGGUGCCGGCUUGCAAUUAAGCAUACCGGCAAGCUCAAGGAGCUCGUGGGCGUACUUCUGCUGAUGCAGAAAGAAGCCGUCAGCCCGGCGGAUCACCUCGAUGCCGAGAAAGUAGUGUAGGGGCCCCAAGUCCUUGAGGGCAAACUCAUCACGAAGACGAGCAGUGAGCCGCUGAAGGAGAUCGGGGGCGGACGCCGUGAGGAUGAUGUCGUCGACGUAGAGCAGCAGAUAUGCAGUGUCAGCUCCCUGAUGAUACACAAAGAGUGAGGCAUCAGAGCGAGUGGACCAAAAGCCCAGAUACUGCAGGAAGGCUGCGAUACGCUGGUACCAAGCCCGAGGCGCCUGCUUCAACCCGUAAAGAGAGCGGGAGAGCAAGCACACAAAGUCGGGGUGCUCGGCGUCGACGAAACCAGUAGGCUGCUCACAGAACACCUGCUCGGCGAGAUGACCAUGCAAGAAGGCGUUGGAAACGUCCAACUGAUGCACAGGCCAGGCGCGCGCUGCCGAAAGCCACGAACCACCCAUCGAGCCUUGUAGCGCUCAAGAGAACCGUCCGGGCGAGUCUUCUGGCGAAACACCCACUUGCCAGAGAUGAUGUUGGCACGGAGGGGUCGCGGAACAAGCUACCAUGUGCGGUUGUGCUGUAGGGCAUCGAACUCGUCCUGCAUCGCAGCCAAACAAUGGGGAUCCCGAAGGGCGGCACGAGCGGAGGUGGGGAUGGGUGAUGGCGUCGAUGUCGAGGCAGCGCACGCAUACUCGUCGGAGGAGUAGCGCAUGCUUGGCCGAUGCACGCCUGCACGGGUACAGCUGACCGGGCCAGCGAGGACUGCGGGUGCCGCGGCAGCGGGGGCCACAUCGGCGGCAGGGGCCACGGCCACGGGGNNNNNNNNNNNNNNNNNNNNNNNNNNNNNNNNNNNNNNNNNNNNNNNNNNNNNNNNNNNNNNNNNNNNNNNNNNNNNNNNNNNNNNNNNNNNNNNNNNNNNNNNNNNNNNNNNNNNNNNNNNNNNNNNNNNNNNNNNNNNNNNNNNNNNNNNNNNNNNNNNNNNNNNNNNNNNNNNNNNNNNNNNNNNNNNNNNNNNNNNNNNNNNNNNNNNNNNNNNNNNNNNNNNNNNNNNNNNNNNNNNNNNNNNNNNNNNNNNNNNNNNNNNNNNNNNNNNNNNNNNNNNNNNNNNNNNNNNNNNNNNNNNNNNNNNNNNNNNNNNNNNNNNNGCGGCGUCAGGGGCGGGGCCCGCGGUGUGAGGGGCCGCGACGGUGCCAGCCAAGCCAGCCGCGGAGGAGGCGAUGGGCGAGGUCGAGGUUGAGCCUGUCGCAGGAGUAGCAGCGCCGGCCGGGGUGGCGGGUGGGGUGCCCGCUGGCUCGACCUCGGGCGAGGGAGCCGGGGACCCGCGGGCCCGGUUGGACUCAACCUCAGGUGAGGGAGUCGAGAACCCGGGAGGGGGCGGCAGAAGGCGCCGGGCCGGGGGGCGCCGUGGGGUGCCGCCGCGCAUCGCACCAAGUAGGAGGCGCGGGGGCCGAAGCCGAAGGAGCCGCGGCCGGAGGAACCUGAAAAAAAGGGAACACCGUCUCGACGAAGUACACGUGCCUCGAGGUGUACACACGAUGAGUGACAGGAUCAUAGCACCGGUAACCUUUGGUGUUGGGAGGGUAGCCAAGGAAGAUGCAUGGGACGGAGCGGGGUGCAAGCUUGUGUGGCGUGGUGGACGCGGUGCUAGGAUAACAGAGACACCCAAAUAUGCGAAGACCAUCAUAGGAUGGUGGUGUACCGAAAAGAAGGUGGUGAGGGGCAUAGUUCCACCGGAGACGACACGGACGAAUGUUGACUAAGAGAGAGGCGGUGGCGAGGGCAUCGGGCCAGAACCAAGCGGGCACGUUUGCAUGAAAGAGCAACGUGCGAACGCAGUCAUUAAGAGUGCAGAGAAUGCGCUCGGUGCUGCCGUUCUACUGUGAAGUGUAGGGGCAAGUCAGACGGAAGGUGGUGCCGUGAGAGGCGAGAAGUGAGCGAAAAGCGACGUUGUCAAACUCUUUUCCGUUAUCAGUUUGGAGUGCAAGUAUGGGGCGACCGAACUGAGUGGUGACGUAGGAGUAAAAGGUGGUGAGUGUGGCUAAAGCAUCGGAUUUACGACGAAGAGGAAAAGUCCACACAUAAUGAGAAUAAUCAUCUAAAAUCACCAAAUAGUAUACAUAGCCCGUGUUACUCACAACAGGAGACGUCCAAACAUCACUACGAAUCAACUGAAACGGAAAAGUGGAAACUGAAGUGGACGCACUAAAGGGAAGACGCACGUGCUUGCCCAAACGAUAAGCCUCACAAGUAUGCUCGGCGAGCUUAUUACAUGAGAAAGAAAAAUUCCUAAGAAUCUGACGCAAAACGGCGAGGUUGGGGUGGCCCAAGCGAGCAUGCCAAAGGUCGACGCCGGCGGAGAGAGCAACGGGUGCGGAAGUGGAGGUGCCGGCGUGCACGGGAUAAAGCUCGUCAGGGCUAUCACAUCGGUGAAGCACCAUCUGGGUACGGGCGUCCUUCACAGAAAAAGCAACACCGUCAAAUUCAACAGUAAGAGGAUUCUCACGAGUAAGACGACGAAUAGAGACUAAGCUAGUGACUAAGUUAGGCGAAACAAGAACGUUAGACAUAGUGAUAGGUGUGAAACUAGAAGGAAAACUAGUGCUACCGACAUGGGUGAUGGGUAAAGAGGAACCGUUGCCAACGGUGAUGCGAGUGGGAGUGUGAACGGGAGUGGAGGAGGAAAGGUUACCGGGAUGAGCUGUCAUGUGCGCAGUAGCACCCGAGUCCAUGUACCAGUCGCCUCCACCACCAUAGUUGCUCGGCGACGGCGCCGAGUGUAGGGCGGCCAGGAGGGAAGGGUCCCACGGUGCAGGUGCCGGCGGUGGCAGCUGGCCUCCAUAGGGCGGCGCCUGGGUGGGCGUGCCGUAGCCACCGAGGGGCGGCGGCGCGUGCGGGGCACCGUAGGGCUGGUAGGGGGCGCCGACGAACGCCUGGUGGCCCAUUGGACGGGGGCCAAGGAGACCCGGUGCAGGAGCCCGUGGGACGGGCAUAUGAUAGGCGUGGACGACGCCCGUCCACGGGUUCUGCCCGGCGGCCCACGGCGGAGGCGGCUUCUGGAAGCGGGCGCCCCCCCUGCACCUGGCGCCUGCUGCUGGCGACGGCCCCGCCACCCUGCCGGUUGCGCUGGCCCCCGCCACCUUGCGGCUGCUGGGGAGGCGCGGGGGGCGCGGGCGGCAGCGGGUAGUAGCCGGCGGGCGCGGGUGGCGCGGGCGGACGGGGGGCGGCCGGAGGAGCAGGGCCGCCGCGGGUGGUACCGCGGCGAGGGCGGUGUGCUGGACCCGCUGCUUCAGCUUCGUCAUCCGGCGCUCCUCAAGUUUGCGGUAUGCGACAACGCGCUGGAAAGUGGGUUGCGGCAGCAGGGUGAGGUUGGACGCCGCGUUGCCGAAGUCCUUAUUAAGACCGGCGGUGAGGGUGCUCAACAUGAGGUCGUCAGAGACCUUGGCGCCGAUGUGGCGAAGCUCGUCGGCGAGCAUCUUGAGCCUCAUGCAGUACUCGUCGAUGGUGGAGUUGUCCUGGUGACAGCCGAAGAACUCCUGCUACAAGAAAACAAGGCGCUGAAGUUUGUUGUUGGUGAAGAGCGCGUUGAUCUUGCCCCACACGGUGCAGGCGUCAUCGUCCUCGGCGACGACCGUGUGGAAGAUGUCCUUCGAGACUGUCUGGUAGAACCAACGGAUGAUCGUGGCCUCGAUGGCGGACCACUCCGGGUCGCCGCGCAUGUACGCGCUGUCCACGGAACCGUCGAUGUGCUCAGUGAGAUAGUACUCGCGGAAGACGAGGUUGAAGUAGGUCUUCCACGCGUAGUACGACGUGCUGAAGCUGUCGAGACGGAUAGGGACUCGGGCCUCAAUAUUGAGGUCACGGACGGCGGCGGCGGAGGGCUCGGGGCCAGUGAAGGGGUUCGACGAGUGAGUCGUGGAGGAGCCGGGAGAGGACGGCCACGACAUGCCGGCGGCGUGCGGGUGCGGGUAAGGUUAGGGUUGGGAGAGGAGAUGGCAGCAGCGGCAGGGCGCGGCUGCAGCGGGAACGGUGCGGCGGCUAGCGAUGCGGCGACGCGGGAUGGACAAAGCAGCGUCGCCAGGCGUGCGGGAGCAGCGUCGCGAGGCUAGCGACGGGUCAACGCGUCAACGCGGCUGGCUAGCGGGAUGGAAAAAGCAGCGUCACCAGAGCAGCGUCGCAAGGCGCCCGGCGUGCAGCGGCGAAGGAUCGCGCGGGCUAUGAGACGCGGGCGCGGGCGUGCAGUGGCGCUUGGCGCGGAGCGGCGGGCAGCGGCGUGGGACGCGCGGGCUGCAGCGGCCUGGGACGCGCGGGCGAAAGCGGGUGGUGGGGUGCGGCGGCGGCGGCAACGGUGCAUGGAGGCGAGGCGGCGGCGGCGGCGGCUACCCUAGGGUUAGACCAAAAAGAUGAUACAUGUAGAGAGAUGAUUUGCAAUACAAUGAUGUUAUAUUGAUAGGGUGCUGGUGCACGUAUAUAUAUUAUAAGGGAAGGCCUCUACCUCAACUAUACAAGACUAGGAGGUCGGCCACAACUCCAAUACACGUGCAAUACAAAAUAUAUACUCAACACCUAGUGUGGGUUGUUUUGGUGUAGAGGUCUGUCAGAGCUUUUAUAGAGCUAGAUAGGCAUGGGCAUUUGGAGUCCUAGCUGGACUCGAUUACACAGCACGUGGCUACUAUGCUUGAUCAUGUUGGCUAUAGCAAUCGCGACCUAACCUGGCAUAUUCCUCAUGCUCAGAUCUGGAUCUGAUUAUAUUCCUCAUGUCUAAUUAUACAUAUUCUUGGAUUUCGCGAUAUUCUACAUAUGUGCAUGAUGACAAAAUCUCUGCCCAUUUACUUUGGAUCGUGCAUUUAUUUAUUUUAUCUCGUCAGAAGAUAAUUGUACGACCCACGCUCUCUUGUGCAUGCCAUUCUGCGUGUAUAUGUGAAAUAAUUUUAUUCUUGUUUGAAUACGUGUGAUAUGGUCACGUACUAUCGACCGAUCUGGAUGGCUGUUGAUUGCGACCGACUUCCUCCUAUUUUAUCAGGAUCAUACCGAAUCUAUCCCAUACCAUACUGUUCCUUACAUUUCACUAACACUAGUAGAAAAAGGGCCUAUUAUCCCAGUUGGUACGGGCCUUUUGUCCCGGUUUUUGAACCGGGACUAAAGGGUCGUUACUAAUGCCCUAACCCUUUAGUCCCGAUUCUUACACGAACCGGGAGAGAUGGGCCUCCACGUGGCCUGUGCGGCGAGCCCAGUCAGGAGGGCCUUUGGUCCCGGUUGGUGGCACUAACCGGGACCAAUAGGCAUCCACGCGUCAGCAUUUCAGGUGCUGGAGUUUUUGUUUUUUUUGAAAGGGGAGAGGGUUUGGGGUUUUUGGGGGUUAAUUUAGGUGUUUCAUAUAUUGUGUUAGCUAGCUAAUUAAUAGAGAGAAGUGUCCUCUCUUAUCUCCGUGCUUGGUCGACGCUAUGUACUAUAUACGUAUGGAGAGGACUAGACACGCUAGCUAGUAAUCAAAUGAAGGAAACAAAAGAUCGUGAGGAACAUAUGCAUACAGAGAAGUGAUAUCGACCACCUCUCCUUCUCCGAGAGAUUGGUCGAACAACAAGUUCUCGUAUAUCUAUCCGACACUACCGGCUACAUAUAUACAAUAAUUAUCUCUUACAAUAUAAUCUCCUAAUUAAAUUGUAAGAACGCAGGGUCCACAUAGUAUUCUCCGUUUUCAGCGAUCACGUGGUCAAGGAAGAAUGCCGCCAAUUCCUCUUGAAUUGCUCGCAUACGAUCUGCUGCUAGGAGUUCAUCUCGCAUCCGAAAGAUCUAAUUUGAAGAAGGGGGUCAAUACACACACACACACACACACACACACACACAUAUAUAUAUAUAUAUAUAUAUAAUGAAACUCAACACAAAUGAUGGUAAUAAAAUAAAAUUGUGAAUAUUAUUGCUUACGCACUUCAUAUUGUUCGUCAGAGUAGCCCCGCUCACAGGUCGUGUAGCGGAUGGACUCGCAAAUGUAGUAUCCACAGUAAUUAUUCCCGGGUUCCUGCCACAACCACUUUACAAGAAAUAGAGGUCAAUCAAACUGAUAAGCUAGCAUGCUAAAUGGUAUUGAUGAAACUAGCGCUUGAAUCACUAGGAGAUGCGCGGAACAUGCUACUAUAGUACUUACUUUCGGGUGUUUAAAUUGCAGCUUCUUCGGCAAUCCCUGAGCUUUUUUGGUGAAUUUUCUCCAAACCCUGCGAAACAAAGAAAACAAUUACUUGAUAUCAGGAAAUGAACAAAGUUGUUGAUAUGUUGGAUAAUGAUCGAUUUGACUUACUUCUCGAGCAUUUGAGUCAUGUCCGCAUAGUCCUGGGGAUCUUUUCGUCUCGAGUCUAAGACGGUUACUACUCCCUGCUCAAGCUUAAUCUCUAGGAGAAUAUAGUGGAAGCUACGCACGCAUGCAUAAGUCAUCAAUUACAUUACUAUAAUCUGGACUAAUAAGGGAAACCGAAUAUGCACAAGACAGUAACACUCACUUGAAGUUGUAAGGAAAGAGUAUUAUAUCUUUGUUUUCAUUUAUUACCAACGAUCGUAGCAAGUUGGCCUCGGUAUUUUCGGCAUGAUAUUUAACCUCAGUUGCAUCUAUGAGAUUUGUGUUAAUGAACCCAAUAUCACCGAUUUGUCUUUUCUUCAAUUCAGCGAUCUUCAAUCUGCAUAAUAUAGUGAGGAUAAUUAUAAAUACAUGCAAUGAAAGAGCUGACCUAUAUAGAGAGACUUAAUAACAGAAGUAGUACUACUUAGAGACAGUAGCAAGUGAUCGUUGAUUUAUUGAGGGCCUUUUGAUUGAAAAACUGGAAGAACUCCUCAAAUGGAACAUUCAAUAGUUCAAUUCCAACGGGGUCAUGCUCCGGUUUAACUCUCAGCGUCAAAGUAUUCCUUCCCCCAGACUCUCUGCAGGUUUUCAUGUACCAAUCAUGUAAUCUUCGCAUCAUCGUUGUUAGAGAUCUUUCAUCUUUGACGAGAGGCUUCCCCUAAUGGUAUUUGUGUUCGUCCACCUCCAAGAUAUCAUAAUGUACAUCGUCGGGCAGGUAAUCUCCAAGAUUGCUAUAACCGGGCACCAUCCUCGGAUCAUUAGCGACGAUGUCGCUAGACACCUUGAGCGGGGGCACGAUUGGUUAGCUUGUUCGCCGAGCUGGGCAAUUUUUUUCUCAUCUCGUCGUGCUUUUAACCUGUGAUCACUGACAGUACUUCCCGACCGCUCCGCUUCGGAAAAUGUCUUUGCAAUAAUGCGCUCAUAGUUGCCUUUCGGCGGAGACUUUGGUGGUUUUGUCAGGGCAGCCAGAGUGCGCUUUGCUUUCACCGGAUCUACCUUCUUCUCCGGAGGUGGAUGUUUAUUUGCUUUCACCCCUUCAAAGAAGUUCGUCACUUCGGCUCGCACGAUCUUCGUGGCUUCCUCCUCGGUCCUCUCGUAUGGUAACUUCUCUGGAGUCUUCAUAGAAGGACCGAAUCUGUAUUGCCUCCUGCCUUUGGCUGUACUACUAGACGUCGGCAGAGCAGAUGGAGCGGCUGCGGCUGUCUUCUUUCCUUGCUUACGAGGCGGAGGAGAAGGACUACGAUGCGCCGGAGCGGUGGCGGGUCUCUUCUGCCCUUGCUGAUGAGGCGGAGAAGGAGGAGGCUGGCUGCUCUGGCGCGCCGGCGCAGGCGGAGAAGGAGGCGGAGUGCCGCCACGCGCCGGAGAAGGAGGCUGAAUGCCCUGAUCACUUGCCGGAGGAGGAGGCGGAGGAGGAGGCGGAGUGCCGUCACGCGCCGGAGAAGGAGGCUGAGUGCCCUGAUCACUCGCCGGAGGAGGAGGCGGAGGAGGAGGCGGAGUGCCCUUACUCGCCGGAGGCAUCCAAUUCGGAAGGUUAAUGAGCUCCUUCCUCCAUAGCCAUGGAGUCUUCAGAGCAGAACCCAGCCGAGUCUCCCCUUCACCGGUAGAGUGGUCAAGCUGGAGGUCCUCAAAUCCCUCCGUUAUUUCAUCCACCAUCACCUAGCAUAUCCUUCUGGAAUCGGCCGGCAGUGGUAGGUUGCGCCGGGGUCAGGAGGUAAAAUAGAGCCAACAACCGCCUUGACUUUGAAGUUCUGCCAUUGCGUCAUAAGGUGGCAAUGUUGAGACUCCGUGAUAGCAUCCACGGGUUAGCUAGCGGGAGCCGUCAAGACAUGCUCCGGCUGAAGCAGCUCGGUGGAAGCCACGCUGCUUCUCCGCUGAGAUGGCGGGGUAGUUUCGGCAUGUCGAUUGUCGUCUCGUUCCUCUAGCGCUUGAACCCUUUCGUGCAGCUUAUGAAUUUGGGUCUGCUCCACUUUUUUCCUCCUCUCCUGGCUUUUGUAACCGCCUGCGUCCGGAGAACCAGCCUUCCACGGAACGGAGCCUGGCGUGCCUCGUGUUCGUCCAGGGUGCUCAGGAUUCCCGAGGGCCAUUCACUACUAGGAAAAGGCCUGCUAGUGGCGCACCUGUUUUGGCUACUAAUGGCGCACUACAGGUGCGCCACUAGCAUCACGCCAUUAGAAAUUUUUACUAAUGGCACACCACAGGUGCACCAUUAGUAUCUGGUAUACUAAUGGCGCUCCAGGGAGUGCGCCAUUAGUAUAUCCCACCGUGCGCCAUUACUCUCUGACUUUGCAAUGGCGCACCACAUAGAAGUGCGCCAUUACUAACAAUUUUUUUUUCAAAAAAAUUUCAGAAUUUUUUUUCAAAUUUAUUUAAAAAAAUUCAUCAAUUUUUUUUCUUAAUCUCGCAUCACUAUGGCUUAAUCUCAAGUCAAAUCGCACUCCUUGGUCAAACUUCCCAGAAGGUCACCCAUCCUCACACUACUCACCCCCAAGCACGCUUAACUUCACAGUUCUAUCCAACCCCAGAACCAGCUCACUUCACAGGCACUGUUGAUAUAUCUAUCAUAUCAAUCCUAUUAAACCUUGUUGAUGUCUAGGACUUUGUUCAUGUUCAUGAGUGUGAUGAAAUUUUGAAAAAAUAUUUCAAACUUCCCGGUCAUAUUACGUAUCAUAUUUUGAAAAAAAUUCCAAAAAAAAAGUUUUUUUGAAACCAAUUUUUUUUGUUACUAGUGGCGCACCUAGCAAAUGGUCCGCCACUAGUAAGUUUGAAUUUUUUUCAUUUUCCCCCCCUCUAGAUCUUAAAAGCCCCGUAUCUUUCGUUCUGUUAGGUUCCCGGUUCAAAUCGUAUGUAACUUUUCGAGUAGAUGAUUUUUCAUAUAAAAAACUUUUUAAUCCGAGUUCGUAUGCAAAAGUUAUGCCCAUUUUACAAAUUCCAGACAGAUUUUGCAAAUAAAGUCGAAAUUCAUAUUUGUAAAUUUUCCCAACAACUAGACCACAUAUCACAUGGGAAACUUAUUUUAUUUUAUUGACAUUUCCAUCAUUUUCUUUUAUUUUUUCUAAAACUGAAAAGGCGGUCCACAGGGGGUGCAUUCGGUGGAAUUUUUGGGCAAAGUUAGUAAUGGCGCACCGUGGGUGUGGUGCGCCAUUAUUAGUUUAACUAGUAAUGGCGCACAAAAAUAAAAAAAAUUGUUAGUAGUGACGCACCGAGGGUGUGGUGCGCCAUUACUAGUUAAAACUAGUAAUGCCGCACUGUCCCCUCGGUGCGCCAUUACUAGUUUUGAAAAAAAUUGUUAGUAGUGGCGCACCGAGGGUGUGGUGCGCCAUUACUAGUUAAACUAGUAAUGGCGCACUAUCCCCUGGUGCGCCAUUACUAGUUUUGAAAAAAAUUAGUAGUGGCGCACCGUGGAUGUGGUGCGCCAUUAGUAUUUGGACACUAAUGGCGUACCAACACAUGGUGUGCCAUUAGUAUAUAGUAGUGGCGCAGCACAUGUGUGGUGCGCCAUUAGUGUCCAUAUUAUCUAUAGCCCUUUUCCUAGUAGUGAUUGUGAGCUCGUCGUUCUCUCUGUCUGGAACGAACGUCCCUUGCUGCGCUGCAUCGAUAUAGUGCUGAAGCCUCUUGACUGGUAUUCUCAAAAGCUCGUCCGUCCAAACGCACCUCCCUGAUACAGGGUCCAAUUUUCCGCCAGCCCCGAAGAACCAAGUCCGGCAACGGUCUGGCCAGUUCAUUGUCUCUGGUUCGAUCCCUUUAUCAAGCAGAUCAUUCUCAGCCUUGGCCCACUUAGGUCGGGCUUUGAGGUAGCCACCUGACCACGUGCGAUGGUGAAGCUUCUUCUUCGCAGCAUUCUUCUUGUUUGUCGCUGACAUCUUCUUAAUCUUUUCCGAUGUCUUGUGGGCCACAAAUGCGGGCUAGUGAUCUCUGAUCUUCUCAUACCGGCCGAUGAAUUCUAGUGUCUCUUCUUUGCCGAUAAACAUUUUCAGCUCAUUCUUCCACCUCCUGAAUAGGUCUGCCAUCUUCUUAAGAGCAUGAGACUUGAUUAAUUGCUCUUGAACUGGCUUCUCCGGAUCCUCCUCUGGCGGUAGGGUGAAAUUUUCCUUCAGCUCAGUACAAAGAUCAUCUUUCUGCAUAUCAUUGACAUAAGGCACCUCAGGGUCUUCCUUCUUAGGCUUAUACCAUUGGUGGAUGCUGAUCGGGAUCUUGUCCCUAACAAGAACCCCGCACUGAGCAGCAAAUGCUUCCUUUGUCUGGAUGGGUUCAAUCGGUUGGCCGUCGCGCGCGAUUGCUGUGAUCUCAAACCUUUCAUCGGAGCGCAACUUUCUCUUCGGGCCUCGUCUCUUUACCGAAGUUGUGCUCGAUCCGGAGGGCUAGAAAAAAGGAGAAAGACGAGAGUUAAUUAAUAUGUGUACAUACCAAAACAAUGAGUGCAUCAAUUAGCUAGUCAGCACAGGCUUAACUAAUAUAUUUACCUGGCCGGACUCUGUUCGGUCACCGGAGCCGUCACCACGGGCUCCUUCUUGCAACAGUAUUGGGUCACCAGAGCCAUCAUAAUCAUGUCUUUCCUCCUCCACUCUUCGAUCACCGAAGCCUGCUUCUUCACCCUGUUCUUCCAGACCAUCAUUGUCGUUAAGAUACGACAAGAUAUCACCUCCGGCUAAGAUUAUGUCCCCCAACACCUCUUCAACUUCCUCGUCUCGUCCGUGCUCCAUUGUUUCUGCAAAUAUUCCAACAUGGCAAUUAUUACAGAAACAUGACAGCAGGUGGAUAUAUUAGUGCAAACGUAGACCUAGCUUAUUCCGGGUUUGGGGUGGCCUCGGCAACGCUUCAAGAGUAGGGGCGCGGCGGGAGGGGGUAGGAGACCGACAUCGUUUUUUCCUAGGGUUUGGGUGUCCUCGAGAGUUUUGGUCGAGCGAGAGGGCCGGGGGGUGCUCCCGUGGUAUAAGUUAUGACGGUCGAGAGGGGGUAUAUAUAUCGACCGCCCAUCAUGUCGAAGUUAUUUUGGAAUGGAGUUCCCGAUAAAAAUUAAGAAGAGGAAGUAGAAGAUAAAAAAAGUGGAGAAGAAGAAAAAAAAGGAGAAGAAGAAGGAAUAGAGGAGAAGAAGAAAAAAUAGACUCUAUUUUUUCUUCUUUUCCUCUAUUCCUUCUUCUUCUCCUCUUAUUCCUUCUUCCUUUCUUCCUAGCUAGAUAUAUAAAUUUUUUCUAAAAAAUGUUAUCGGGGAGGGGGUAUCGACCUCCCCUCAUGUUGAAAUUAUCGGGGAGGGGGUAUAUUGACCCCCACCCCCUCAUCAUGCAUAUAUAGCUACCACAUACAUAUAUACAUUGAAAAAAAUUACAUAUAUACAACAAAAACAUUAAUACACACAUGAACAAAAAAUACAUAUAUGAACAAAAACAUGUUGUGAACAAAAAAAUUAAUGUAAUAAAUCUAAUAAGAAAUUAAUAUAAUAAAAAACAUGCUCUGAACUUACAUAUAGCCACAUACAUACAAAUAUACAUUAUAUAUAUAUGAACAAAAAAUUAGUCUAAUACAAAAUAAAAACAGAGCCGGACCGGCGCGGCGGCUCACAGCGGGGGCGUCUGGCGAUNNNNNNNNNNNNNNNNNNNNNNNNNNNNNNNNNNNNNNNNNNNNNNNNNNNNNNNNNNNNNNNNNNNNNNNNNNNNNNNNNNNNNNNNNNNNNNNNNNNNNNNNNNNNNNNNNNNNNNNNNNNNNNNNNNNNNNNNNNNNNNNNNNNNNNNNNNNNNNNNNNNNNNNNNNNNNNNNNNNNNNNNNNNNNNNNNNNNNNNNNNNNNNNNNNNNNNNNNNNNNNNNNNNNNNNNNNNNNNNNNNNNNNNNNNNNNNNNNNNNNNNNNNNNNNNNNNNNNNNNNNNNNNNNNNNNNNNNNNNNNNNNNNNNNNNNNNNNNNNNNNNNNNNNNNNNNNNNNNNNNNNNNNNNNNNNNNNNNNNNNNNNNNNNNNNNNNNNNNNNNNNNNNNNNNNNNNNNNNNNNNNNNNNNNNNNACCAAAGGCCUCUUUUCAACAGCCCAAAGGGCGGGAAGCGGCGGCCUUUGGUCCCGGUUGGUGGCACCAACCGGGACUAAAGGUGGGGCAUUGGUCCUGGUUGGUGCCACCAACCGGGACGGAAAGCCUUGCAUAGCGGCGUGGUGGUGGGAGUUUAGUCCCACCUCGCUAGCUGAGAGAGAGCCGCACCUGUUUAUAAGGUGCGGUGCGCCUGAGCUGUCGAGCUCCUCUCUAAAGCAGGCUUACGGGCCUAACCUCUCUGUACAUGCCUGUGGGCCUACUGGGCCUUCUGCGGGCCUGAAUCCUGGCCCAUAGAUGGGUUUCUAGUCGUAUUCAGGCCGUGGUGGCCCAGUAGGUGGCAUAAUUUUUAUUUUUUGCCUGUUUUUUUGUUUUCUUUUUUGCUUUAUUUAUUUUGUUUUGUUUCUACUUACAACAAAAAACUUAUUUAUUUUAUUUUGUUUUAUUUCUAAUUACUUAUUUAUUUUACUUUAUGAUAAUUCUUUUUGCUAUUAAAGUUUCUAACAAAAAAAGUUCUUUAUGAAAAUUACUUUUGCUUUCAAUGAUUUUGAACAGAAAAUACUUCGAUAAUUUAGUUGCAUCAAUUUUAUAUAAUUUUAGUUUCAAUAAUACUAGAGGUUGCUUAUAAUGUUUUGAACAGAAAAUACUUUGAUAAUUUUAGUUUCAGAAAUNNNNNNNNNNUAAAUUUUAUUUAUGUUAUUAAAGUUUAUUUUAUUUUGUUUCUACUUAUAUAUUUUAUUAAAGUUUAUAUUAUUUUGUUUCUAAUUACUUAUUUAUUUUAUUUGUUAUUUUUCAUGCACCAUUUUUCAUGCAUUUACUGAUUAUUUUGAGCUAUAAGACCCUAAAAUUGAAAAGCAUUUCAAAUGAACUCUGAAAAGGUUGAAAGUUGGCAUGGUAUCAUCAUUUCAUCCACAUAGCAUGUGCAAGAAAGUUGAGAGGAUUACGGCAAAAACUGGAUGCACUUCGUGUACAAAACGGACAAUCUCUUUCGAAGUAUCAGGAUUUCAUACGGAAACUCGUCUGUUACAAAGGGAUUUCAUUUUUUUAACUUAUUUGAACUCCUGACUUUUUGUGUGUUCAAAAUGCACCAUUCAAAGCCACAUCAUCAAUUUUCAACCCUUUCUGACUUCAUUUGUUAUUUUUCAUGCAUAUAUUAAUUAUUUUGAGCUAUAAGACCUUGAAAUUGAAAAGCAUUUCAAAUGAACUCUGAAAAGGUUGAAAGUUGGCAUGGUAUCAUCAUUUCAUCCACAUAGCAUGUGCAAGAAAGUUGAGAGGGUUACCGCAAAAACUGGAUGCACUUCGUGUACAAAGACAAUGGUAUCAUACUCGUCUGUUACAAAGUUGGCAUGGUAUCAUCAUAAUAGUUGCGGGAGAAAGUAUUCACUUUUUCUUCGCUUGUGUCAUUUGCUUAUUGCGCCGUAACCAUGGAUAAUCUUCAUCGUUUAUCAGGAUGCUUGGGUCAGCCUUGACUUUGAACAGAGGAAUUUCAUAAAACUUUUCAUAAUCUUCAGACAUGUCUGUCUUGCCCUCCACUCCCACAAUAUCUCUUUUUCCUGAAAGAACUAUGUGGCGCUUUGGCUCAUCGUAUGAUGUAUUCGCUUCCUUAUCUUUUCUUUUUCUCGGUCUGGUAGACAUGUCCUUCACAUAGAUAACCUGUGCCACGUCAUUGGCUAGGACGAACUGUUCGUCAGUGUACCCAAGAUUGUUCAGAUCCACUGUUGUCAUUCCGUACUAUGGGUCUACCUGUACCCCGCCUCCUGACAGAUUGACCCAUUUGCACUUAAACAAAGGGACCUUAAAAUCAUGUCUGUAGUCAAGUUCCCAUAUGUCCAUUAUGUAACCAUAAUAUGUGUCCUUUCCCCUCUCGGUUGCUGCAUCAAAGCGGACACCGUUGUUUUGGUUGGUGCUCUUUUGAUCUUGGGCGAUCGUGUAAAAUGCAUUCCCAUUUAUCUCGUAUCCUUUGUAAGUCAAUACAGUCGAAGAUGGUCCCCUGGACAACGAGUACAACUCAUCACAAACAGUGGUGUCACCUCUGAGAUGUGUUUCCAACCAACUGCUGAAAGUCCUGAUGUGUUCACAUGUAAUCCAGUCGUCACACUGCUCCGGGUGUUUGGAGCGCAGACUGUUCUUGUGUUCAUCGACAUACGGGGUCACCAAGGUAGAGUUCUGUAGAAUUGUGCAGUGUGCAUGAGACCAAGAAUGCCCGUCCCUGCAUAUUAUUGAGUCGGCUCCUAGCGUGCCUUUUCCAGUCAGUCUCCCCUCAUACCGCGAUUUAAGGAGACCUAUCUUCAUAAGGCCAGGAAUAAAGUCAACACAAAACCCAAUGACCUCCUCUAUUUGAUGGCCCAUGGAGAUGCUUCCUUCUGGCCUAGCGCGGUUACGAACAUAUUUCUUUAGGACUCCCAUGAACCUCUCAAAGGGGAACAUAUUGUGUAGAAAUACGGGCCCCAGAAUGACAAUCUCGUCGACUAGAUGAACUAGGACGUGCGUCAUGAUAUUGAAGAAGGAUGGUGGGAACACCAGCUCGAAACUGACAAGACAUUGCACCACAUCACUCCUUAGCCUUGGUAUGAUUUCUGGAUCGAUCACCUUCUGAGAGAUUGCAUUGAGGAAUGCACAUAGCUUCACAAUGGCUAAUCGGACGUUUUCCGGUAGAAGCCCCUCAAUGCAACCGGAAGCAGUUGCGUCAUAGUCACGUGGCAGUCAUGAGACUUUAGGUUCUGGAACUUUUUCUUUGGCAUAUUUAUUAUUCCCUUUAUAUUCGACGAGAAGCCAGUCGGGACCUUCAUACUGAGCAGGCAUUCAAAGAAGAUUUCUUUCUCUUCUUUCAUAAGAGCGUAGCUGGCAGGACCUUCAUACUGCUUCGGAGGCAUGCCGUCUUUUUCGUGCAAACGUUGCAGGUCCUCCCGUGCCUCAGGUGUAUCUUUUGUCUUCCCAUACACGCCCAAGAAGCCUAGCAGGUUCACGCAAAGGUUCUUCGUCACGUGCAUCACGUCGAUUGAAGAGCGGACCUCUAGCUCUUUCCAGUAGGGUAGGUCCCAAAAUAUAGAUUUCUUCUUCCACAUGGGUGCGUGUCCCUCGGCGUCAUUCGGAACAGCUAGUCCGCCGGGACCCUUUCCAAAGAUUACGUGUAAAUCAUUGACCAUAGCAAGUACGUGAUCACCGGUAUGCAUGGCGGGCUUCUUCCGAUGAUCUGCCUCGCCUUUGAAAUGCUUGCCUUUCUUUCGACAUUGAUGGUUGGUCGGAAGAAAUCGACGAUGGCCCAGGUACACAUUCUUCCUGCAUUUGUCCAGGUAUAUACUUUCAGUGUCAUCUAAACAGUGUGUGCAUGCGUGGUAUCCCUUGUUUUUCUGUCCUGAAAGGUUACUGAGAGCGGGCCAAUCGUUGAUGGUUACAAACAGCAACGCGUGCAGGUUCAAUUCCUCCUGUUUGUGCUCAUCCCACGUACGUACACCGUUUCCAUUCCAUAGCUGUAAAAGUUCUUCAACUAAUGGCCUUAGGUACACAUCAAUGUCGUUGUCGGGUUGCUUAGGGCCUUGGAUGAGAACAGGCACCAUAAUGAACUUCCGCUUCAUGCACAUCCAAGGAGGAAGGUUAUACAUACAUAGAGUCACGGGCCAGGUGCUGUGAUUGCUGCUCUGCUCCCCGAAAGGAUUAAUGCCAUCCGCGCUUAAACCAAACCAUACGUUCCUUGGGUCAGCUGCAAACUCAGCCCAAUACUUUCUCUCGAUUUUUCUCCACUGCGACCCGUCAGCGGGUGCUCUCAACUUCCCGUCUUUCUAACGGUCCUCACUGUGCCAUCGCAUCAACUUGGCAUGCUCUUCGUUUCUGAACAGACGUUUGAACCAUGGUAUUAUAGGAGCAUACCACAUCACCUUCGCAGGAACCCUCUUCCUGGGGUGCUCGCCGUCAACAUCACCAGGGUUAUCUCGUCUGAUCUUAUACCGCAAUGCACCGCAUACCGGGCAUGCGUUCAGAUCCUUGUACGCACCGCAGUAGAGGAUGCAGUCAUUAGGGCAUGGAUGUAUCUUCUGCACCUCCAAUCCUAGAGGGCAUACGACCUUCUUUGCUGUGUAUGUACUGUCGGGCAAUUCGUUAUCCUUUGGAAGCUUCUUCUUCAAUAUUUUCAAUAGCUUCUCAAAUCCUUUGUCAGGCACAGCAUUCUCUGCCUUCCACUGCAGCAAUUCCAGUACGGUACCGAGCUUUGUGUUGCCAUCUUCGCAAUUGGGGUACAACCCAUUUUUGUGAUCCUCUAACAUGUGAUCGAACUUCAGCUUCUCCUUUUGACUUUCGUAUUGCGUCAUUGCAUCGACAAUGACCCGGCGGAGAUCAUCAUCAUCGGGCACUGGUUCCUCUUCAUCUUCCGCAGCUUCCCCCGUUGCAGCAUCAUUGGGCACAUCGUCUGGUUCCUCUUGAUCUUCAGCAGCUUCCCCCGUUGCAGCAUCACCGUAUUCAGGGGGCACAUAGUUGUCAUCGUCCUCUUCUUCUUCGCCGUCUUCCAUCAUAACCCCUAUUUCUCCGUGCCUCGUCCAAACAUUAUAGUGUGGCAUGAAACCCUUGUAAAGAAGGUGGGUGUGAAGGAUUUUCCGGUCAGAGUAAGACUUCGUAUUCCCACAUUUAGGGCAUGGACAACACAUAAAACCAUUCUGCUUGUUUGCCUCAGCCACUUCGAGAAAAUCAUGCACGCCCUUAAUGUACUCGGAGGUGUGUCUGUCACCGUACAUCCAUUGCCGGUUCAUCUGCGUGCAUUAUAUAUAAUUAAGUGUGUCAAAAACCAUUACAGAACAUCAUGAAUAGAUAAUUAAGUGACCAAAUUAAUAGAAGUUCAUCAUCACAUUAAAACCAAAGUACAUACAUAGUUCUCAUCUAACAACAUAUAGCUCUCCAGAGCAUCUAAUUAAUUAAACCAUACAUUGAAACUAUGUAAAACAUUUCAAUGCAAAAACAAAUGCGAUCAUAAUCGCACCCAAGGUAACAAUUGAUACAACGGCAUAAUGAUACCAAGCCUCGGUAUGAAUGGCAUAUUUUCUAAUCUUUCUAAUCUUCAAGCGCAUUGCAUCCAUCUUGAUCUUGUGAUCAUCGACGACAUCCGCAACAUGCAACUCCAAUAUCAUCUUCUCCUCCUCAAUUUUUUUUAUUUUUUCCUUCAAGAAAUUGUUUUCUUCUUCAACUAAAUUUAACCUCUCGACAAUAGGGUCGGUUGGAAUUUCCGGUUCACCUACCUCCUAGAUAAAUAAAAUCUAUGUCACGUUGGUCGGCAUAAUUUUAAUAAACAAUAAAUGAACCAAUAAUUAUAAAGAUAAUAUAUACCACAUCUGAAUCAUAGACAGGACGAGGGCCGACGGAGGCGGAUACCAAACCAUCGCACUAUAUAAUAACAAGCAAUAAAAUAGUAAGAAAAUUAGACAAGUAAUUUCCCUACGUGUUACUAAGAUCAAUCUAGGAGAUGCUAGCAACGAGAGGGGAAGAGUGCAUCUACAUACCCUUGUAGAUCGCGAGCGGAAGCGUUCAAGAGAACAGGGUUGAUGGAGUCGUACUCGUCGUGAUCCAAAUCACCGAUGAUCCUAGCGCCGAACGGACGGCACCUCCGCGUUCAACACACGUACGGAGCGGGGACGUCUCCUCCUUCUUGAUCCAGCAAGGGGGGAGGAGAAGUUGAUGGAGAUCCAGCAGCACGACGGCGUGGUGGUGGAAGUAGCGGGAUCCCGGCAGGGCUUCGGCAAGCGCAAGCAGGGAGGAAGAGGUGUCACGGGAGGGAGGGAGGCGCCAGGGCUUGGGGUGCUGCUCCCAUGCGCCUCCCCACUAUAUAUAGGGGUGGAGGGGGCUGGUUUCUUGCCCUUCAAGUCCAUUGGGGCGUUGGCAAAGAUGGGGGAAAGAAAUCCCAUCAUUUCCCUUCCCCACCGAUUGUUAUCCCCCUUUUUUAGGGAUCUUGAUCUUAUCCCUUCGGGAUAUGAUCUUAUUCCUUCUAAGGUGGGAUCUUGGUGCGCCUUGACCAGGGGUGUGGGGCCUUGCCCCCACUACCCACGUUCAUGUGGGUCCCCCCAUGCAGGCGGGCCCCACUUCGGAACCUUCUAGAACCUUCCCGGUACAAUACCGAAAAAUCCCGAACAUUUUCCGGUGGCCAAAAUAGGACUUCCCAUAUAUAAAUCUUUACCUCCGGACCAUUCCGGAACUCCUCGUGACGUCCGGGAUCUCAUCCGGGACUCCGAACAACUUUCGGUUAACCGCAUACUAAUAUCUCUAACACCCUAGCGUCACCGAACCUUAAGUGUGUAGACCCUACGGGUUCGGGAGACAUGCAGACAUGACCGAGACGCCUCUGCGGUCAAUAACCAACAGCGGGAUCUGGAUACCCAUGUUGGCUCCCACAUGUUCCACGAUGAUCUCAUCGGAUGAACCACGAUGUCGAGGAUUCAAUCAAUCCCGUAUACAAUUCCCUUUGUCAAUCGGUACGUUACUUGCCCGAGAUUCGAUCGUCGGUAUCCCAAUACUUUGUUCAAUCUCGUUACCGGCAAGUCACUUUACUCGUACCGUAACACAUGAUCCCGUGGCUAACUCCUUAGUCACAUUGAGCUCAUUAUGAUGAUGCAUUACCGAGUGGGCCCAGAGAUACCUCUCCGUCAUACAGAGUGACAAAUCCAUGUCUCGAUUCGUGCCAACCCAACAGACACUUUUGGAGAUACCUGUAGUGCACCUUUAUAGCCACCCAGUUACGUUGUGACGUUUGGUACACCCAAAGUAUUCCUACGGUAUCCGGGAGUUGCACAAUCUCAUGGUCUAAGGAAAUGAUACUUGACAUUAGAAAAGCUCUAGCAAACGAACUACACGAUCUUGUGCUAUGCUUAGGAUUGGGUCUUGUCCAUCACAUCAUUCUCCUAAUGAUGUGAUCCCGUUAUCAAUGACAUCCAAUGUCCAUGGUCAGGAAACCAUAACCAUCUAUUGAUCAACGAGCUAGUCAACUAGAGGCUUACUAGGGACAUGUUGUGGUCUAUGUAUUCACACAUGUAUUACGGUUUCUAGUUAAUACAAUUAUAGCAUGAACAACAGACAAUUAUCAUAAACAAGGAAAUACAAUAAUAACCAUUUUAUUAUUGCCUCUAGCGCAUAUUUCCAACAGUCUCCCACUUGCACUAGAGUCAAUAAUCUAGUUCACAUCACCAUGUGAUUAACACUCAAAGUUCACUAGAGUCAAUAAUCUAGUCCACAUCACCAUGUGAUUAACACUCAAUGAGUUCUAGGGUUUGAUCAUGUUAUGCUUACGAGAGAGGUUUUAGUCAAUGGGUCUGCAACAUUCAGAUCCGUGUGUGCUUUACAAAUCUCUAUGUCAUCUUGUAGAUGUAGCUACCACGCGCUACUUGGAGCUAUUCCAAAUAACUGCUCUACUAUACGAAUCCGGUUUACUACUCAGAGUCAUCCGGAUUAGUGUCAAAGUUUGCAUCGACGUAGCCCUUUACGACGAACUGUUUUACCACCUCCAUAAUCGAGAAAUUUCCUUAGUCCACUAGAUACUAAGGAUAAGUUCGACCGCUGUCAUGUGAUCCAUUCCCGGAUCACUAUUGUACCCCUUGACUAACUCAUGGCAAGGCACACUUCAGGUGCGGUACACAACAUAGCAUACUGUAGAGCCUACGUCUAAAGCAUAGGGGACGAACUUCGUCCUUUCUCUCUUCUGUCGUGGUCAGGUCUUGAGUCUUACUCAAUACUCACACCUUGUAACACAGCCAAGAACUCCUUCUUUGCUGAUCUAUUUUGAACUCCUUCAAAAUCUUGUCACGGUAUGUAUUCAUUUGAAAGUACUAUUAAGCAUUUUUGAUCUAUCCUUAUAGAUCUUGAUGCUCAAUGUUCAAGUAGCUUAAUCCAGGUUUUCCAUUAAAACACUUUUCAAAUAACCCUGGAUGCUUUCCAGAAAUUCUACAUCAUUUCUGAUCAACAAUAUGUUAACAACAUAUACUCAUUAAAAAUUCUAUAGUGCACCCACUCACUUCUUUGGAAAUACAAGUUUCUCAUGAACCUUGUAUAAACCCAAAAUCUUUGAUCAUCUCAUCAAAGCGUUCAUUCCAACUCCGAGAUGCUUACUCCAAUCCUUAGAAGGAUUGCUGGAGCUUUGCAUACUUGUUAGCAUCUUUCAGGAUUGACAAAACCUUCUGGUUGUAUCAAAUACAACCUUUCCUAAAGAAAACCGUCGAGGAAACAAUGUUAUGACAUCCUAUCUGCAAGAUUUCAUAAAUAAUGCAGUAACUGCUAAUAUAAUUCUAACAGACUCUUAGCAUCGCUACGAGUGAGAAAGUCUCAUCGCAGUCAACUCCUUGAACUUGUCGGAAAACAUCUUAACGACAAGUCGAGCUUUCUUAAUGGUGACACUUACCAUCAUUGUCUGUCUUCCCUUUAAAAUCCAUCUGUACCCAAUAGCCUUACGACCAUCAAGUAGUUCUUUCAAAGUCUAUACUUUUUGUUCAUACAUGGAUCCUCUCGGAUUUUAUGGCCUCAAGCCAUUCGUCGGAAUCCGGGCCCACCAUCACUUCACCAUAGCUCGUAGGUUCAUUGUUGUCUAGCAACAUGACUUCCAAGACAGGAUUACGUACCACUCUGAAGUAGUACGCAUCCUUGUCGUCCUAUGAGGUUUGGUAGUGACUUGAUCUGAAGUUUCAUGAUCACUAUCAUAAGCUUCCACUUCAAUUGGUGUAGGUGCCACAGGAACAACUUCCUGUGCCCUGCUACACAUUAGUUGAAGUGACGGUUCAAUGACCUCAUCAAGUCUCCACCAUCCUCCCACUCAAUUCUUUCGAGAGAAACUUUUCCUCGAGAAAGGACCCGUUUCUAGAAACAAUCACUUUUGCUUCCAAAUCUGAAAUAGGAGGUAUACCCAACUGUUUUGGGUAUUCUAUGAAGAUGCAUUUAUCCGCUUUGGGUUCGAGCUUAUCAGCCUGAAACUUUUUCACAUAAGCGUUGCAGCCCCAAACUUUGAAGAGACGACAGCUUAGGUUUCUCUAAACCAUAGUUCAUACGGUGUCGUCUCAACGGAAUUGCGUGGUGCCCUAUUUAAAGUGAAUGCAGUUGUCUCUAAUGCCUAACCCAUAAACGAUAGUUGUAAUUCGAUAAGAGACAUCAUGGUAUGCACCAUAUCCAAUAGCGUGCAGUUAUGAUGUUCGGACACACCAUCACAAUAUGGUGUUCCAGGCGGUAUUAGUCGUGAAACAAUUUCCACAAUUUCUUAAUUGUGUGCCAAACUCGUAACUCAGAUAUUCAUCUCUAUGAUCGUAUCACAGACAUUGUAUCCUCUUGUCACGAUGAUCUUCAACUUCACUCUGAAAUUACUUGAACCUUUCAAUAAUUCAGACUUGUAUUUCAUCAAGUAAAUAUUCUCAGCAUCUACUCAAAUCAUCUGUGAAGUAAGAACACAACGAUAUCCACUGCGUGCCUCAGCACUCAUUGGACUGCACACAUCAAAUGUAUUACUUCCAACAAGUUGCUCUCUUGUUCCAUCUUACUGAAAACGAGGCCUUUCAGUCAUCUUGCCCAUGUGGUAUGAUUUGCAUGUCUCAAGUGAUUCAAAAUCAAGUGAGUCCAAAUGAUCCAUGUGUAUGGACUUUCUUCAUGCAUAUAUACUAAUAGACAUGGUUCGCAUGUCUCAAUCUUUUCAAAAACGAGUGAGUCCAAAGAUCCAUCAACAUGGAGCUUCUUCAUGCGUUUUAUACCAAUAUGACUCAAGUGGCAGUGCCACAAGUAUGUGGUACUAUCAUUACUAUCUUAUAUCUUUUGGCAUGAACAUGUGUAUCACUACGAUCGAGAUUCAAUAAAGCAUUCAUUUUAGGUGCAAGACCAUUGAAGGUAUUACUUAAAUAGACAGAGUAACCAUUAUUCUCCUUUAAUGAAUAACCGUAUUGCGAUAAACAUAAUCCAAUCAUGUCUAUGCUCAACGCAAACACCAAAUAAUAAUUAUUCAGGUUUAACCCCAAUCUCGAUGGUAGAGGGAGCAUGCGAUGCUUGAUCACAUCAACCUUGGAAACACUUCCAACACAUAUCGUCAUCUCACCUUUAGCUAGUCUCCGUUUAUUCCGCAGCUUUUAUUUCGAGUUACUAACAUUUAGCAACCGAACCGGUAUCUAAUACCCUGGUGCUACUAGGAGUACUAGUAAAGUGCACAUUAAUAUAAUGUAUAUCCAAUAUACUUCUGUCGACCUUGCCAGCCUUCUCAUCUACGAAGUAUCUAGGGUAGUUCUGCUUCAGUGACCGUUCCCCUCAUUUCAGAAGCACUUAGUCUCAGGUUUGGGUUCAACCUUGGGUUUCUUCACUAGAGCAGCAACUGAUUUGCCGUUUCAUGAAGUAUCCCUUCUUUCCCUUGCCCUUCUAGAAACUAGUGGUUUUACUAACCAUCAACAAUUGAUGCUCCUUCUUGAUUUCUACUUUCGCGGUGUCAAACAUCGCAAGUUGCUCAAGGAUCAUCAUGUCUAUCCCUGAUAUGUUAUAGUUCAUCACGAAGCUCUAAUAGCUUGGUGGCAGUGACUAUGGAGAACCAUCACUAUGUCAUCUGGAAAAUUAACUCCCACUCGAUUCAAGUGAUUGUAGUACUCAGACAAUCUGAGCACAUGCUCAACGAUUGAGCUUUUCUCCCUUAGUUUGCAGGCUUAACAAACUUGUCAGAGGUCUCAUACCUCUUGACGUGGGCAUUAGUCUGAAAUCCCAAUUUCAGUCUUUGGAACAUCUCAUAUGUUCUGCGACGUUUCAAAACCGUCUUUGGUGCCACAAUUUUAAACCGUUAGCAUCACACACUGAACUAUCACGUAGUCAUCAAAACGUGUAUGUCAGAUGUUUCGUAACAUAUACAGACGACGCUCGAGGUUCAGCACACCGAGCGGUGCAUUAAGGACAUAAGCCUUCUGUGCAGCAAUGAGGACAAUCCUCAGUUUACGGACCCAGUCCGCAUAAUUGCUACUAUCAACCUUCAACUGAAUUUUCUCUAGGAACAUAUCUUAGUAGAGCUAAAGCGUACGCUACGACAUUAUUUGCAAAGACUUUUUGACUAUGUUCAUGAUAAUUAAGUUCAUCUGAUUAUUUAAUGAACUCCCACUUAGAUAGACAUCCCUCUAGUCAUCUAAGUGAUACAUGAUCCGAAUUGACUAGGCCGUGUCCGACCAUCACGUGAGACGGACUAGUCAUCAUCGGUGAACAUCUCCAUGUUGAUCGUAUCUACUAUACGACUCAUGUUCGACCUUUCGGUCUCUUGUGUUCCGAGGCCAUGUCUGUACAUGCUAGGCUCGUCAAGUCAACCUAAGUGUUUUGCUUGUGUUCCGAGGCCAUGUCUGUACAUGCUAGGCUCGUCAACACUCGUUGUAUGCGAAUGUUAGAAUCUAUCACACCCGAUCAUCACGUGGUGCUUCGAAGCAACAAACUUUCGCAAUGGUGCACAGUUAGGGGGGAACACAUCUCUUGAAAUUUUAGUGAGGGAUCAUCUUAUUUAUGCUACCGUCGUUCUAAGCAAAUAAGAUGUAAACAUGACAAACAUCACAUGCAAAUCAUAAAGUGACAUGAUAUGGCCAAUAUCAUCUUGCGCCUUUUGAUCUCCAUCUUCGAGGCGCGGCAUGAUCACCUUCGUCACCGGCAUGACACCAUGAUCUCCAUCAUCGUGUCUUCAUGAAGUUGUCUCGCCAACUAUUACUUCUACUACUAUGGCUAACGGUUAGCAAUAAAGUAAAGUAAUUACAUGGCGUUUUUCAUUGACACGCAGGUCAUACAAUAAAUUAAGACAACUCCUAUGGCUCCUGCCGGUUGUCAUACUCAUCGACAUGCAAGUCGUGAUUCCUAUUACAAGAACAUGAUCAAUCUCAUACAUCACAUAUAUCAUUCAUCACAUCCUUUUGGCCAUAUCACAUCACAUAGCAUACCCUGCAAAAACAAGUUAGACGUCUUCUAAUUGUUGUUGCAUGUUUUACGUGGCUGCUAUGGGUUUCUAGCAAGAACGUUUCUUACCUAUGCAAAAGCCACAACGGUGAUAUGACAAUUGCUAUUUACCCUUCAUAAGGACCCUCCUCAUCGAAUCCGAUCCGACUAAAGUGGGAGAGACAGACACUCGCUAGCCACCUUAUGCAUCAAGUGCAUGUCAGUCGGUGGAACCCGUCUCACGUAAGAGUACGUGUAAGGUCGGUCCGGGCCGCUUCAUCCCACAAUGCCGCCGAAUCAAGAUAAGACUAGUAACGGUAAGCAAAUUGAACAAAUCAUCGCCCACAACUACUUUGUGUUCUACUCGUGCAUAGAAUCUACGCAUAGACCUGGCUCAUGAUGCCACUGUCGGGGAACGUAGCAGAAAUUCAAAAUUUCCCUACGUGUUACCAAGAUCAAUCUAGGAGAUGCUAGCAACGAGAGGGGAGGAGUGCAUCUACAUACCCUUGUAGAUCGCGAGCGGAAGCGUUCAAGAGAACGGGGUUGAUGGAGUCGUACUCGUCGUGAUCCAAAUCACCGAUGAUCCUAGCGCCGAACGGACGGCACCUCCGCGUUCAACACACGUACAGAGCGGGGACGUCUCCUCCUUCUUGAUCCAGCAAGGGGGGAGGAGAAGUUGAUGGAGAUCCAGCAGCACGACGGCGUGGUGGUGGAAGUACCGGGAUCCCGGCAGGGCUUCGCCAAGCGCAAGCGGGGAGGAAGAGGUGUCACGGGAGGGAGGGAGGCGCCAGGGCUUGGGGUGCUGCUCCCAUGCACCUCCCCACUAUAUAUAGGGGUGGAGGGGGCUGGUUUCUGGCCCUCCAAGUCCAUUGGGGCGUUGGCAAAGGUGGGGGAAAGAAAUCCCAUCAUUUCCCUUCCCCACCGAUUGUUAUCCCCUUUUUUAGGGAUCUUGAUCUUAUCCGUUCGGGAUAUGAUCUUAUUCCUUCUAAGGUGGGAUCUUGGUGCGCCUUGACCAGGGGUGUGGGGCCUUGCCCCCACUACCCACGUUCAUGUGGGUCCCCCCAUGCAGGCGGGCCCCACUUCGGAACCUUCUAGAGCCUUCCCGGUACAAUACCGAAAAAUCCCGAACAUUUUCCGGUGGCCAAAAUAGGACUUCCCAUAUAUGAAUCUUUACCUCCGGACCAUUCCGGAACUCCUCGUGACGUCCGGGAUCUCAUCCGGAACUCCGAACAACUUUUGGUUAACCGCAUACUAAUAUCUCUACAACCCUAGCGUCACCGAACCUUAAGUGUGUAGACCCUACGGGUUCGGGAGACAUGUAGACAUGACCGAGACAUUUCUCCGGUCAAUAACCAACAGUGGGAUCUGGAUACCCAUGUUGGCUCCCACAUGUUCCACGAUGAUCUCAUCGGAUGAACCACGAUGUCGAGGAUUCAAUCAAUCCCGUAUACAAUUCCCUUUGUCAAUCGGUAUGUUACUUGCCCGAGAUUCGAUCGUCGGUAUCCCAAUACCUUGUUCAAUCUCGUUACCGGCAAGUCACUUUACUCGUACCGUAACGCAUGAUCCUGUGGCUAACUCCUUAGUCACAUUGAGCUCAUUAUGAUGAUGCAUUACCGAGUGGCCCCAGAGAUACCUCUCCGUCAUACGGAGUGACAAAUCCCAGUCUCGAUUCGUGCCAACCCAACAGACACUUUUGGAGAUACCUGUAGUGCACCUUUAUAGCCACCCAGUUACGUUGUGACGUUUGGUACACCCAAAGCAUUCCUACGGUAUCCGGGAGUUGCACAAUCUCAUGGUCUAAGGAAAUGAUACUUGACAUUAGAAAAGCUCUAGCAAACGAACUACACGAUCUUGUUCUAUGCUUAGGAUUGGGUCUUGUCCAUCACAUCAUUCUCCUAAUGAUGUGAUCCCGUUAUCAAUGACAUCCAAUGUCCAUGGUCAGGAAACCAUAACCAUCUAUUGAUCAACGAGCUAGUCAACUAGAGGCUUACUAGGGACAUGUUGUGGUCUAUGUAUUCACACAUGUAUUGCGGUUUCCAGUUAAUACAAUUAUAGCAUGAACAACAGACAAUUAUCAUGAACAAGGAAAUACAAUAAUAACCAUUUUAUUAUUGCCUCUAGGGCAUAUUUCCAACAUGGAGUGCUCUGCUCGCGAGCGAGGGGUAUAUAUAGGCACCUCAUUGGUCCCGGUUCGUGGCAUGAACCGGGACUAAAAGGCAGCCUGUGGUCCCGGUUCAAGCCACCAACCGGGACCAAUGGUGGUGGGCCAGGAGCGAGGCCCAUUGGUCCCGGUUCGUCCCACCAACCGGGACCAAAGGGGCCAGACGAACCGGGACCAAUGCCCCCACGAGGCCCGGCAGGCCCCUGGCCUCACAAACCGGGACCAGUGCCCCCAUUGGUCCCGGUUCUAGACUGAACCGGGACUAAUGGGCUGACCCGGCCUGAACCAAAGCCCUCUUUUCUACUAGUGUAACUAGAUUAUCAAUCCAUCUGCCUGCCUGCACUCGUAUAUACUACUCACUCCGUCCUAUGAUGUGACUGUAAAAAAACAUCAUACAUUAUGGGACGGAGGGAGUACUAGUUAAUAUUCUCUCCGUCUCAAAAUAAAUCUAUUCAUAGCUUUGGUCAAAUUAAGUUCAAUAAUACUAAUUUAAUUUUAUUAAUUUUAUAUUUUUUCCAUAAGUUUGGUCAAACAACUAGUUUGAUUGAAUUAUGAAUAAUACACUUAUUAUUUUUUUGAGGAAAAAAUAAUAGACUUAUUUUGAGACAAAGGUAGUAGGAGUACUAAGUAUCUAAAGACAUACACAUACUAUACAACAGUUAUACAUAAUAUUAAUGAACUCAUCGCCGAAAAACAUAAUAUUAAUUAAUAGUUAUGUCAGAUCGUUUCCUUUUAUCUCUAACCAUAACUAAUUAAUAUCCCCUGCAAAAAACUAAUUAAUGGUUAUGAAGACAUACACGGUAAGGCCUUCCCUUUCAGGAAGUCCAGAAUUAUUGCAUACUAGUCCCUGGAAUAGUAGCUCAUAUGCACAACUCACAUAAUAGCAUCAUAAUCAUACUCCGAAUAUAUUACAUGACCAAAAAUCACUUACAUUAGAAAGGCUCUCAAGCCUAAAAAGAGUACUCCCUCUGUAAACAAAUAUAAGAGCAUUUAGAUCACUAAAAUAGUGAUCUAAACGCUCUUAUAUUUCUUUACGGAGGGAGUACAUUGCAGCGGCGAAGCAGGCAUCCCAUGCCUACAUGCAACUUGCACUAGUAGGAAAAAGGCUACUAGUAGCCUGCCGUGAAGCACUACCUUAGAGCAUCUCUAGCAGACCCCGUAUAUCGUUGACCCGCAAAACUCGUUUACAGUUCGCUAAAAAGCGGUUUUGUGGGCCGGCGCGCCCGCCCCUGCCUGCAAAUCAGAUGGGUUUUCGAAUCCGAGUCGUCUGAAUCGGACGAAUCCUCGAGCAAAAACCUCUCGCGAGGUCUCAAUUCCAUCUAAAUUCACAAAUACGAACGCCACAUGAACCAACUAUACAUAUCGCAUCCCAAAGCAUAAGCACAAGUACUCAGCGGCGGCUCGGGGCGGUGACUCUGUGGUGGUCGAUCCUGGGGCGGCGGCGGCGACUAGGGGGCGCUCGGCUCGGCGGAUCCGGGUAGCCGGUGAAGCGGCUAGGUAGAACAGGGUGAGGGCGCGCCCCCGCGGCGUGAUUCCGUCCGCAGAUAUUGCCGGAAUCGCCGGCGGCGGAUGGGCAGAACCAAUGGCGGGCGGCUGCGGAGGGGGGUGGGGAGCAAGCGCGGGCUGAAAUGUCCCUCCCACCAACCGCUUUCCUGGGAUACAGGGCACCGUCGGGUCGAGGGGGAAACCUACGUUUUCGCGGGUUGGAGAUGGGAUUUUACUGCGACCCUCAAAAAAAUUUAUGGGUCCGACGCGUUUACAGUGUCUGAUCAGGCAACAUUUUUCGUGUGGACCCGUAUUUUGACGACUAUUUUGCGGGUCGGGGCAUUAUACGGGGUCUACUAGAGAUGCUGUUAGCAUCAACCGUUUGUGCAUUGCGUCGGACUGCCUAGAGGUGAUCAACAACCUGCCACGACCUCACUCUGGGGAGUAUAGCUAGGGAUGGCACCCGCAGGGUUUGGGUAUGGGUGGAGCCACCCCAUACCCUUACCCAUCAUCCCAAACCUUACCCAUCACCCGUACACAUACCCGUUGAUGGGUACAAUUUUUUCCCAUACCCUUCACCCAUCAGGGUAAAUAUGGGUACCCGCGGGUAAAAUUACCCAGAUUUGCAACACAUCAAUUUGAGUAUUACAUAGUCAUAAAAAAACUUAUAAUAAUAAUUUACAAACAACAACACAUCAUGACAGCAACGCAUACUCGUUGGUGGGCUAGCUAUUGUGGUGCGGCGGCCUAGCAUGAAUGCAUGAUGAGGUCCUUUUAGGGCCGUGGAAUUUAUGUACAUAUAAUAUGUGGAUAAAUAAUAUAUAAGGCAUAUUUCUCAGAUUAUAUGCGGGUACAUGGUAUGUGUUAUACUAAACCAUACCCGUACCCACUAUCCCCGAUGGAUAUGAAAAUUUUCUAUUUAUGUACCAUGGGUAUUUUCUUGACCCAUACCCAUGCCCUAAUAGGGUUUUUACCCGCAGGGUACGUGGGUAAUGGGUACCCAAUGCCAUCCCUAAGUAUAGCAUGGUUGUUUUAGAGAUCAAGACCACAGCGUCGUCUCUUUUUUCGUUUGAGAAGACGGUGUUUAGACAUGAAAGAAGGAGCUCCAAUGGAGAAGCCCAUUGACUCACUCGUAGUAGUGUGAGGCAAGGAACUGAACGCCGUCUGUGGCUCCUGAAUCCCCCGGCUGAUUUGUGUAUUCCUAAGGAUAUAUUAUUAUUAAUAACGAAUAAAUAGCAGUCGAACACUAAAGAAAAAGAUAAGACGUUCGCUAAAAAAGUUUUGCACGUACCUUUCCCUACAAUGCUUACUGGUGCGUGCCUAAAAAGCAAAGCUUUGCAAGUAUUCCCUACACUAGUAUACUAGUCAGUACAAUUACUAAGCUCCCAUGAUUUUGAGGCUUCUGGUGAAUCGGUGGUGUGAAAGCUGUAUGGUCAACGUUUGACAGGGUGUGAACCGGGUCUGAUGGUAGGUUUUUUUUUUCCUUUUGGAGGGUAGGGCCGGAUGGUAGCUGGUAAAACAUUAAGUUGGUUGAAUUGGUCUGAGGUACAACACAGCCUGAUUGUCGUGGGUGUUUGGCCUUUGCAAGAUGACUGGGCCCAUCGGCUGGUAACGGGUGGCGUUGUGCCGUCGUUUCAUCUCUCUGGAAAAAAAAUUCUCAAAAAAAAUCUCUCUGGAAAAAUCCCCCACGACUAAAAUCCCCACAGUGGCGGGCGAGACGCCGACCUCCUUUCAUAUAUUUGAAAUAUUCAAUUUCAUGCAUUGAAACAAUCAACUUCACAUAUUUGAAAGAACACGUUUCACAUAUUUUCACUCAUUUCGAAUAACAGAUUUCGCAUGGUAUAUGUGUGAAAUUAGAUGUAAAAUUUAAAUGUGUUUGAAAUCUAUCCAAUAUUGAUCUUGUUCUAAAGAUCUUAGUGUCAGGAAUUCAAAUAUAUAAAAUAUUUCAAAAACGAAAUUACUAUCUAAAAGAUAUAAACGAUUGGAAAUGUCAAAGAGAAAAUAAAAGCCAUGAAUUUACAGGAUGUGAGAUGAGACAGAUGGGUCGCUUUCAUGCAUUUGCAGCAGGGAGUGGAUGUCUAAUGCAUGCAUGCAUCGGUGGGACCUACGCAUGAUGUACCGCAAUGAUGGAUACAGACAGACACAGUUGAAAUACGCUGAGAUACAAUGAUGUGGGCCACCAAACCGCACGAAUCUCAAACUAGACCAACGAUAGAUGCUGGACCAGUACCUCCCUCCACCGGUAAAAAGAGGUUUGCGCAUCUCCUAUCCCCGUGCUGCCGCGUUCGUCCCAUGCCCUCUUCCUCCCUUGUGUUGCCGCUAGCCACUUCCUCCCCUGCCUUGCCGCUGCUCCUCUUCAUCCACAGGUCCAUGGCGGAGCCACGCCCCGCUGCUCCGAUACCCAAUCGAGCAUCGUCGUUCCCCUGCACCGGAGGUGGUGAGAAGGGUGACCAGCGCCGCAGGCGUGACCGCUGCAUCGACUAUCACGCAGCCCACCGCGAGGACACCGAGGAGCACGGGUGGCCGGAUGGGAGGAAGAUUGGGUUGGCCGAGGGGAGCAUGAGGAUGGCGUCGCAACCGCGGAGGCCGAGCCCAAGGCAGGUGGUGGCGAGCGAGGGUACGGCGUCGCGCGGCUCCAUGGAGGCCCGUCCUCUCCCUCCUCCCGCGCAGUGGCCGCGGUUGUCUCGCCUCCUUUCUCACUGCUGCUAGCGUGCCACCCGACCCGAGUUGCUGCACACUGGUAGCCAUUGUCAUUUUCCAAACACUGCGUCUUUUCCUUUGUUCAUCCUGCACCAGGUUACCCAACGGGCGGAGAGCUCACUGCGGUGCCAAAGCCCUGGUCCAUCGUCAGCCUUCCCCAAUCCCUCAAUCCUACACAUACACGCCGACUGCCGUGCAGGAAGUCAUUCGUCGCAGCUCCCUUCCGGACACCACAUCACCACUACGUACUAUGUAUGAGGCAUACAAUGGUUGCUAUGUACCAAGGCUGGGUAAAUUGCUCUCCUCUCUGAUCACCUUUUCACAUUGCGAAUGGUUUACCAGUGAUUAGUCUGUUCCUACUGGCACCGUGCUCUGCAGUAGGUGCUUACCUUUCCGUCCAAGUUGUGGUGCUUUUCGGGCUAGAUUUAGGCAAGCCGGCUCACUAUCAUGCAGACCAUUUAUUUGGACAAAUGCCAAGAGAAGCACCAAUUAAGUUUGUAUGUGUCCACUCCUGUUUACACUAACUGACAUGUAUUUGUUUGUUCUAUCUACUGAAAUUAGUCAACAUUUGUAGCAGCUCAUUUGCAUGCAGGUAGACAUAGAUCAUCUAAAAUGUUUUUGCUCUUCCUAAGCCAGCCUUAUUGUUCAUAUGUUAAUAUGAGCCCUUUGACGGUGAUUGGGGCGGUACUGGGAGUACUUUCAAGUACUUACCCCUUGGAUUUUUAUUAGCCGUCCGAUCUGGUGGGGGAUUAAAAAUGAAUUAACUUAAUUAGUUUAAUCAGAGAAGGGCAUAAUGGUCCAGGGUAAAAAAAAAUUCAACCGAUCACGUCCACGACCAGAACCACGUCUAGAUCUAGUAGCUCGGUCAAGUCCUCCUUCUCGUCCUCUUCCUUCUGUCCGACGAGCCCGGCGAGAGGAACCAAUUCACCAUCGUCGGCGUCGUUCUCGUCCUCCUCCUGGUCCCCUUCACUAUAAAAGACGUGGUCGGCGGCAGGAAGAAGAAUAAGGCGUGACAUCUGCGGCGGCAGUGUCGGUGGCGACGGCGGCGGCGGUAUAGGAGAAAGCCCCCCACUGAUCCCAUCGCUUCCGGACUUGCAUCUUAAGGUAUGAAUCGCCUGAAUCUCAACUUACUUUGAUUCGUAGCCUGCACUUCCUACUUAGAUUUGUUUAGUCAUCAUCGAUUUAGGUUUCCCUAGUGCAUGCAAUUCAAUUUAGCAGUACUUACAUCUCUGAUCACGUCUGAUUUUUAUUAGCCGUCCGAUCUUGCGGGGAAUUAAACUUGAGUUUAUUAGAGUCAUCAUCCAUGCUAGGAUAGUACUUGUUGGGCGUUGAUGAUUGGUUUCCCUCAAAUGUCAAACGAGCAAAGUCUUUUCCAUGCACUUGUCUUUGCCUAUGAGCUAUUUUACACCUGCAACAUUGAUAAACAGAAAGAUGUUGAUGAUUGGUUUCCCUCACAUGUCAUAUGCAGGAAGACAUGGCGUAUGCAAGUGUUGAGAGUAUGUUCGAGUAUCUAAAUGUUGUCAGCAAGAUGUUUGACAGUGAGGCUGAAGGCUAUGAAUUCUACAACAAAUAUGCUCUUGAAAAAGGUUUUAGUGUGAGGAGAAGCUACGUUGAGUGGGAUGGAUCCAACAAAUACAUAAUUUUAAGGAAAAUUGUGUGUAGUCGUCAAGGGUUUCGCGAAGAGAAGCACAUGAAAAGAAAGAUGGAAGAUAGAAAGAGGAGGCCACGAAGUUUAACUCGUGUUGGGUGUAAUGCUAAAUUGGUCAUUACGAGACAGGAGGAAACCGGUCGGUGGUUUGUCAAGGAUUUCAUCGAUGAGCACAGCCAUCCUCUAGCCCCACGGGAUCUUUCUUGUCUGCUGCGUUCGCACAGACGAAUUAGCGAUGAGCAGAAAGCGGACAUUGCGGACAUGGAAAAUUGUGGGAUCCGCAAAUACCGUAUUAUGGAUAUUUUGUGCUUUCAAUACGGUGGAUUUGAUAAGGUUGGAUGCAUAAAGAGGGACAUUUAUAAUUUCUGCCAUGCUAAUAAGCAGGAGACAAUCAGUGCCGGUGAUGCUAAUACGGUGAUCAUGCACAUGAUGGCAAGGCGAGAGCGAGAUGUGGAUUUUUUCUUCAAGUACUUGGUAGACGAGCAUGGCCAUCUGAAGGGACUGUUCUGGGCUGAUAGUCAAUCGCGACUUGACUACGAGGCUUUCGGAGACGUCAUUGUUUUCGAUAGCACAUACAGAACCAACAAAUACAAUCUGCCAUUCGUGUCGUUUGUCGGGUUGAAUCACCACCGCAGCACUGUUAUUUUUGGCUGUGGUAUAGUUUCUCAUGAAACAAGCCAGGCAUACGAGUGGAUGUUGCGGACCUUUUCUGAUUGCAUGGCAAGAAAGCAUCCGAUAUCUGUGAUCACAGAUGGGGACCUUGCAAUGCAGAGAGCAAUCAGGGUGGUCUGGCCAGACUCAAACCAUAGACUAUGUAUAUGGCACAUUCAGCAGAACAUUGUACGCCAUCUGCAUGAUGACGACGUAAAGGAGGAAUUCAGAUCUUUCAUUUAUGAUACUUCUUCCAUUGAAGAGCAUGAGAUAGAAUGGAUACACUUCUUACAACGGAAUAAAGUAACCAGUGAGGAGUCUUGGCUGCAUCAGAUGUAUCAGAUGAGAAAGUUGUGGUGUGCUCCAUAUCUUGAGGGGCGUUGUUUCCUAGGAUUGAGCAGCAAUCAGAGGAGUUAGAGCUUGAACUCUGUGCUACAUACGCAUCUUGAGGGUAAGAUGUCGUUGUUUGAAAUUCUAGAGCACUAUGAGCGUUGCCUUGCGUCGCGACGGAUUAACGAAGCUCUCCAAGACGUCGAAGCCUUGCAGUCCGUUCCAUUUACAGAGGAAAAUGCUUCGCCGCUUGAGAAACACACCGCAACAGUUUUCACACCUAGUGUCUUUAAGAUGGUCUUAUGGAGCAUAGAUGCUGUCAGCAAAUGUCACAUCAGAGAGAUACUAGAUGGAUCAGAAGAUUCCACUUAUGUUGUGUCCAAGCAGGAAAGAAUGGAUAAAAAGUUUGGAGUGCGCAUUGAAGAGCAAGGAGGUCUUUUGCACAGGGUGAGUUGUUCUUGCCGUAAGCUGGAAUGCGCAGGCACACCAUGUUCCCACAUUUUUUACAUAUUGGGGAUUUUAAAACAAACAAUUCUGCCCAGUUGUUGCGUUCCCACUAGGUGGACUAUGAAUGCAAAAUGUGCAUACGCACCUACCAGAAAAAACCAGAUGUAUGACUAUUCGGUAAGCCUGCAGAGGUACCGCGAGUUGCGGAAUUGUAGUCACGCCGCAAGUUUCAAGGCAUGCCACUCUGAUGAGGACUAUCACCGUCUAAAGAUGCUUUUGGAAGCACAACAUCAUGGCAAGCAAUCAAGUUUUGAACAAGCUGACAGCAAGGAGUCAACUAAUGCUCAGCAUAACAGCAUUAGGUUUGGCCCGUUGAUGCCGCACUCGGAGAAAGUUGAUAAGGUUCUUGAUCCCGUGCAUGUGCCAGGCCGAGGUGCACCGAAGAAAAGGCUGCAGGCAAAGACAAAGAAGUCAAGAUCACAGAAUAUCUGUGGCUAUUGCAAGAAUCCUGGUCACAAUCGACGUAAAUGCGCUAAAUUGCUAGAGGUACGAAAUAUGUUCAUAUUUAUUUUUUGCAUGUGUUUUACUCAUAAUUGAUGUCCAUGUGAUUUAUUCUAUUCUUCUGUGUAGGAUCUCGACGCUAAACUGUGAUGUCUACAUACAGCAUGAACUGGCGAUGAGCCAGAGAAAGUCGUGUGCCAUUCCGCUUUGUGUGACGUGGUCUUUACAUUCUAUUUCAUCGUGACAGUAAUUUAGUGAAGUGCGGUUGUACUGCCAUGUUACUGUAUUACUUCGACAUCUUUCGUUUUCAUUUUCUGUGUGUAUCAUUUGAUGUCCAACUUUAAGAAUGAUGAUGUAUUUCGAACAGGAAUAAGGGCUAGCAUGGAGCACUUGUUAUUUUCGAGUAGAAUAAUUUUUGUGAUGUAUUUCUGCACGCACGCACGGCCGCCAGACGGAUCUCCCGCGCGAUCCCACGGUCUGCAUGGCUCAUGCAUGGCAGGCCAUUUUCCUACGUCGCCCCAAACACCGGCCCAUCCGAGGUUGUAGCUCCGGACGGCCCACGUCGUGUACGAUCUCGCGCGUUGUUCUCGUGUAACUAAAAAUAGUCCCACCUCGCCCCUCGACCAGCUCCUUUACUUGCUUAAAUACCUUCAUCGAGGUGACUUUAGCAAGCGUUGGUCCUCAUUGUAGGAUGAAUAUGAUUCUUCACCCUUACUAUGGUUGUCAUGCAUAUUCAUAAUCAUCAUGCAUAUUCUUCAUUUAGAGAUCAUUAAUGCCUGACGUAUUUUUUAAAUAAGCGGGGCCCAGUAGGGUGUGCUUGGAAAUAUUUGAGAAACCUCCAUGCACGUUCAUCUUUGCUGCAUGCAAAUCGGGCGGCAGCCGCUGUGCCAGCAGCUGUCAAGGCCUUGAUGAAUCACUAUUCAAAUGCAGGUCCCCGACUCUUGCAUGCAGGUGCCUAGUUUUUGCAUGAAGGUCCCUGGGUCGCAUCAUUGGUUGAGGAAGUAUCUCUAGAGUUUUCGAACUGACAUUGCCCACCACCUCCUCCAAAUCACCCAAAUCACCUCCUCCAAAUCACCCAAAUUUUCUCGUACAUGGUGACACACAUGUGCCAAACAUGUCUAUGAAAGAAAUUUUUGAAAAACAUUAUUUUACAAUGCCCCCUUGAGGCAUAGACCGAUGUUUUCAGCAGUCAGUCUAGAGGGCAUGAUAAAUUCAAAAAAAUUCAAAAAAAUACAAAACCUUGGAAACCUAGCAUUGUUUGUGCAAGAGAUCAUGUGUGCCAAAAUUGAGGUGAUUUGGAGGUGGUCGAAAAAAUGCCCGCAUUCCGGAGGGACCAUUUGGUCUUAACUUAAGCCAGUUUUUGAAAAAAGGUGAAUUUUUCCACCACCUCCAAAUCACCCCAAUUUUCUUGUACAUGGUGACACACAUGUGCCAAACAUGUCUAUGAAACAAAUUUUUGAAAAAAAUUAUUUUACAAUGCCCCCNNNNNNNNNNNNNNNNNNNNNNNNNNNNNNNNNNNNNNNNNNNNNNNNNNNNNNNNNNNNNNNNNNNNNNNNNNNNNNNNNNNNNNNNNNNNNNNNNNNNNNNNNNNNNNNNNNNNNNNNNNNNNNNNNNNNNNNNNNNNNNNNNNNNNNNNNNNNNNNNNNNNNNNNNNNNNNNNNNNNNNNNNNNNNNNNNNNNNNNNNNNNNNNNNNNNNNNNNNNNNNNNNNNNNNNNNACAAAACCUUGGAAACCUAGCAUUUUUUGUGCAAGAGAUCAUGUGUGCCAAAAUUGAGGUGAUUUGGAGGUGGUCGAAAAAAUGCCCGCAUUCCUGAGGGACCAUUUGGUCUAACUUAAGCCAGUUUUUGAAAAAAGGUGAAUUUUUCAACCACCUCCAAAUCACCCCAAUUUUCUUGUACAUGGUGACACACAUGUGGCAAACAUGUCUAUGAAACAAAUUUUUGAAAAAAAAUUAUUUUACAAUGCCCCCUUGAGGCAUAGACCGAUGUUUUCAGCAGUCAGUCUAGAGGGCAUUAUAAAUUCAAAAAAAUUCAAAAAAAUACAAAACCUUGGAAACCUAGCAUUGUUUGUGCAAGAGAUCAUGUGUGCCAAAAUUGAGGUGAUUUGGUGGUGGAAAAAUUCACCUUAAGAACAUUGACAAAAAAUGAUUUUCAACAUUUUCUAAAUUUAAUAAUAUAUUUGUAAUGGAAGAUUCGAUCAUGCUAACUUAUGAAAACCUCAAGUCAAUGUUUUUUACUAUCUAUCCUAUGUAGAUAAGGCUUGUUAUUUGCACACACCAUUACCAAGCACAUGCCCACUGUAUGCAGCAUGUCUCAUCAGUCAAGCAACAUUGAAGCACCUACUGUGAUCAUUGCAACAUCAGCAUAUAAACACUGGAACAAAGCCGCCGCCGCCCACGCCCACGACCGCCGCACGUGACAAGGGAAAACGAAUCGCCCACGUACAAUACAUGUAUACCCCCAGUGUACAAAAGUAAUCGGGCCGGUGCAAAAAAAGCCCGCCUACUUGCCCGCUUUCACAAUUCAACGGCCUGCAUACGACUAGUAAACUAAUCUUUUAUUGGGCCAGGAUGCAGAGGCCCGCCAGAUUGUGAAAACAGGUAGCAAGUAGGCCCCACAGGGCAGGGACGCAGACGGUUAGGCAAUGUGCUGCCCGCUUCAGAAAGGAACUUGAGAGGGAAAGCUCAGCGCGCUAUAUAAACCGGUGCUAGCUCCCCUCGCUCGGCGAGGUGGGACUAAACUCCCUGCACCCCUGGGAUGUGCCCGGCGCGAAGCUCGCUUGGGCCUAAUUAGGGUGGGCCGUCCCACGCCAGCCUCACCCGUUGGGUCGCUGGAUGGACCGUUGGGCCAUCUCAUUGUCUGCGCCUGAGGCCUGCAUGCAUGGGAAGGGCGGCGACGUGGGUUUGCAUGCGCGGGUGGCGGACGUGCAUGCAUGCGAGCGCGGGUGGCCGACGUUGGUUAUCUGUGUUUUGCUUGCUAUUUCUAUCUUCUUCCGUUGAUAUUUCUAUCUUCUUCCCUUGAUAUUUCUAUCUUAUUUGACGUCAAAACCAGCAAGUUUUGGGGUUAGCUCAGAUUUCACGCGGCCCACGGGGGUGUGCUUGCGCGCUUGAUGGAAAAAAUUGGUGUACCGUCUGGGAAGGUGGAUUUUUUCGGCAUGCUUGAAAUGGACCCAAAAAAAUUUUGAAACCCUUGUACCAACAUGACAAGCAUCCAUGCAAACUGGAAAUUGUUUUGCGACGUUGUAUGGUUUUGUAGGCUAUAAUGAUUACACGUGUAGAUGAAAGGCACGAAAAAACAGUUUCAACAAAGACAACAUAAAUGAUUUUUUACAAGUUUUAUAGAUGGAAACUUCUUUAGAUGCAAUGCCAUCUCACAAACAACUCAGAAACAACUGUAUGAUUGAUCAUAAAACACAUGCAUUGUUGUUCAAAGAACUGUCUCAUGAAUAAAUUUUACCAUAAUUGCGAACAUAGUGUGAAACAGAAAAAAAAUGUUUGUUUGCAACAAAAUAAUCCUGGUUUGAAGCUUAAACUGGUUGAAAAACAAUUGAGCCUACUCCAUAUGGUCUUCUACACUGCCAAAAUCCAGUGACCUCUUGCGUUGCGACGUUGGAGAUUGCGUCGGGCUUGGCGACGACCCAUGUGCUUCAAUCUUUUUCUCUUUAACAUCAAUGUAACCAUACAACUGAAGUUGUUCUUGUUCUUUCUCCGCCAACUCUCUAGCAAGACCCUCCAUUUCUUGGAUUCUCACUUCCUGUAGAAAACCAUAGGAAUUGUAUUAGGAAGAACUUAAAAAUGACGUAGCCAUAAACUAGAUGCAUGUAACAUGUAAAAUUUGAACCUCUGGAUCAAUGUCAUCCUCGGGAAAACAACCCGUACUUCUAUUGUACACAAUGUACAGGUGACAUUUCUUGCUGCCAUUCAGAUCAGAAAGCAUUUUUUCUACAUCAUCUGGUCCUGCAAUCAAGAACAUUCCUUCUGGCAGCUUCCAUGCAGACCUGGGUAAGAAGUAGUACAGUUCUGCUCCCAGUUUGCAACCAAAAGUAUCUCUCAUUUCACUCAUAAUGAGAUCGUAGGUCACUUUGGCGGGUUCAAAAAUUCUGACUUCUGCCGGGUGUUCAUCAAAGUAUGCUCUCGGGACAUGUGACAUCUCAUCAUCCCUACUAACAAUAAAUUCCAUGACCAGCACCUAGUAUCUCACAUCAGAGUUAAUACAUUCAAUGAGUAAAGGGGCAAAUAUAAUUUUUUAUGUGCAUAGCAACAUUGCGGUGUUGUUACCUGCUUUUGUGGAAUGUAUCCUUCAUGUGGAGUGACUGGGGAUUGUGCCAUCUCAAACCUUCUCACCUUGUUAUGUGGAUUGUAUCCUUCAUGUGGUGUGACUGGGGACUCUGCCAUCACACGUUUCUUAUCCUGCGUAUGAAAUGUCGACAGUGGGUUUACACACAAAUUUUAAAAGGUCAUACCAUAUCUUGGGUAUGGCGUCGUUGGGAGGUACUUACAAGGGGAGAAUUGAAGAUAUGUUGUUGGGGUGGAGUGAUGUGGCAUUGAACGGGUGACUCUAUCGCAAUGUCUCGAGUCGAUGGCGACUGUGUCGUCUCAUGAUGCUUAGCCUACAUACAAUCGCCGACAUAAGGUUGCCACAAAUUGAAGAUGUUUGUAUCAUAGAAUACGUAGGUCCUUAAUAUAUACAAUCGGUGCGAGAUACUUACAGGGGGAGAAAAAUUGAAGACAUGUUGUCGGGGUGGCCGUGAGAUCGCACGGGCUUCUAACAUAUGUCCUUCCAAACGGACCUUCUCCAGCAUGGCCUUAUAAUCCAUGUCCGACCGCUCCUGUAGCAGCUUGCUGUCCAUAUCCGAACGUGCCUGCAACACAUAGGCAUCCAUCCUGACUCGCUCUGUCUGUAUAAUACUGUCCACAAGCUUCCGGUCCUUCUGCAACGUUUGCUGCAUUUCCUUGUAGCCAAGGAAAAACAUUUUUUCCAUGUCCUCACAGUCCCGCUUAUACUUUUCUUCAAUCUCAAGACGCAUCUUCGCCAUCUUACGGGAAAACUCCUCACGCUCCUCCUUUAUCAUCCUAUCCACGUAUGAACGUUCUUUUUUGAGUUUCUUAUUUACCUCAGCGCGAUCCUUUUGCACCUUUAAGUCGAUCUCCCGGCGCGCUUCAUGCAAAGACUUGUCGUACUCCGCACGGUUGUUAUGCGCCUCUGAGACCAUGGUCCCUAAAACAACACAUAUACCCAUAGUAUGAAAACUGUAUCCACAACCUCAUCCAACUAAUUCCUAAGAUUACCACCGAGAAAAUAUAUUCAUAACCAGUUCGUACGAACAACUACUACAAACUAUCAAUCAAAAAGCUCUUGCAUGACAUCCUGUACUCCAAUUACACCAGAACUACUCAACUAUGGCAAAGGCUGUAUUUUCUAAUCUCUUCGGAAAUGACUUCUUCGUCGAAUCAAUGGAAAAAAUAAUCAGCACUGCAAUCGAAGAUGGGAGGAGCCGUGGAGGAGACCUUUUUAAUCCGGCGUCGGCGUGGUCGCUUGAGAAGCGAUGGCGCGAUCCCGGUGAUGGCUAUGUGAGGAGAAACAAGGUAGAUGGGGGUGGUUAGGAUAGGGUUGAUAUACGGUAGAAUGGGAAGGUAUAUAUCCGUGAUUGUAGGGUUAAUUAGUUAUUUUGAAGUAAUGCGCUUCGAUGCAAGUUUUUUUUAACGAGCACGAUCUUUUGGGGGCUUCCAAAACAUGUGCACUGACCGUCGGUCCAACCACAUCUCACAGAAGCCCGAGCCAGAAACUUAUUGUUCUCUAAAAAAGGAAGAGCAAUAAAUUCCUUCCAAGAAUUUCCAGAAAUAAUUGUCAACCCAUUUUCGUUGGUAAUUACGUGAUAUGUUUGGCGCAAUUAGUGGCUACCUGGUUUUUUUAGGAAUACUGGCUACUUGGUUUGAUACAUGGCAAACAUUACGUUCAGAUUAGUUGCAUUAUUUCGUUCAUUUUUUACCGGAAAAAUCUAUACAAAGUGUUAAUUGGACAAUGUGAACAAUGUGGCAUGUACCCUGAACCCUAACCCCCCCCCCCCACACACACACACAAAACCGUAAAAACAUUCAAAAUUUUGCCCCACAUGGAAACCAUUAUGCAUGCAUUCUCUAUGUGGUCAUGGGAUGCCAUGAAGAAAGUUUGGGAUCAUUAGUACAUGUACACGCAAGNNNNNNNNNNNNNNNNNNNNNNNNNNNNNNNNNNNNNNNNNNNNNNNNNNNNNNNNNNNNNNNNNNNNNNNNNNNNNNNNNNNNNNNNNNNNNNNNNNNNNNNNNNNNNNNNNNNNNNNNNNNNNNNNNNNNNNNNNNNNNNNNNNNNNNNNNNNNNNNNNNNNNNNNNNNNNNNNNNNNNNNNNNNNNNNNNNNNNNNNNNNNNNNNNNNNNNNNNNNNNNNNNNNNNNNNNNNNNNNNNNNNNNNNNNNNNNNNNNNNNNNNNNNNNNNNNNNNNNNNNNNNNNNNNNNNNNNNNNNNNNNNNNNNNNNNNNNNNNNNNNNNNNNNNNNNNNNNNNNNNNNNNNNNNAUUCUCUAUGUGGUCAUGGGAUGCCAUGAAGAAACUUUCGGAUCAUUAGUACAUGUACACGCAAGUACGAUCUCUGACACGCUCAUUUCCGGGCUUGCAUGUCAACACUAAACCCUAAACCCUGAUAACCCUACCCCCCCACUAAACCCUAAACCCUGAACCCUGAUAACCCUAACCCCCCACUAAACCCUAAACCCGAAACCCUAAUAACCCUAAACCCCUAAACCCCUAAACGAGUUGACAAGAUUUUCUUUUUUUUAUAUCAUUUAUCCAAAUCUCACAUAACUCACGUGUCCCACCCCUCCCUAAAUCCCGCGAUUACAGCUCCGUAUUUUAACGAGCACGAUCUUUUGGGGGCUUCCAAAACAUGUGCACUGACCGCGGGUCCAACCACAUAUCACAGAAGCCGGAGCCAUCGCCGUGCCCGUGCCAACCCGCGGCCCACCAUUGCCUCCCUUUCCCUUGCCCCACCAAAUUGUUAUUCUUCUCCGGCGACGAAGCCUGCCAUCGCCGGCAGACGGUGAGAGACGAGAGAUGUCCAUGUCCAGUUCGGCCUCUCCGUCAUCAUGGCCGCGGUAUGGUUCACUACCGAUGACCAGAUGCCCCGACUGCCCACGCAUCACGCCACUGAAGCGUUUGACAACCAUAUCGGAUAAGAAUGGAAACCAUGGGCGGGAAUUUGUGAAAUGCGAGAGCAAACCAGAAGCGGGGAAGGUUAAAUCUAUGUUCUGUUGUGUCUUUUUGCUAUGAAUUCCGACCCCAGAUUUAUUUAUAUUUCCUCGGAAUUGGUAUUUAGGGUUUCCCCUCCCUUUUUCAGAAGCUGAAAACAUGCAAGCAUUUUGAGUGGCUGGAUGAAUACGUUGAGAGGCUUCAAACGGAUGGCAAUUGAUUUGAGGCACGGGUCAACCCUAGAGGUAGAUCUGCCAUUGGCGGUGGAUAAUAAGGGCUAUGCCAAUGUUCCUCCGAUGGUGGCGGAUGCGGAACUCAAGGUGGAAUUGAAGAAGAUCAACAAGAACUUAAGGCAGUUGAUCGAUCUGAAGAAGCAUGCAAAUCUGAUGGCCGCGGGAUUUUAUUUUUCAAUAAUUGUUGUGGGAUUUGUUUACUUGUUGAUCAUCAGUCGUUAGUAGUUGUUAACAAAUUAUUUCAGUCAGCUUCUGUAUAAGCAAUGUCAUGUAUCCUUAAUGCCUUGUAUGACCAGACCAAGGAAAAGCUCAUUUGAAAUCUAUUGGAAAGGACAAAUAAAAUUGAAAACUGAUUUCUUGUUUCCAAAAUAAUAUUUGUAACUUAUUGUUCUCUAAAAAAGGAAGAGCAAUAAAUUCCUUCCAAGAAUUUCCAGAAAUAAUUGUCAACCCAUUUUCGUUGGUAAUUACGUGAUAUGUUUGGCGCAAUUAGUGGCUAACUGGUUUUUUUAGGAAUACUGGCUACUUGGUUUGAUACAUGGCAAACGUUACGUUCAGAUUAGUUGCAUUAUUUCGGUCAUUUUUUACCGAAAAAAUAUAUACAAAGUGUUAAUUGCACAAUGUGAACAAUUUGGCAUGUACCCUGAACCCUAACCCCCCCCCCACACACACACACAAAACCGUAAAAACAUUCAAAAUUUUGCCCCACAUGGAAACCAUUAUGCAUGAAUUCUCUAUGGGGUCAUGGGAUGCCAUGAAGAAAGUUUGGGAUCAUUAGUACAUGUACACGCAAGUACGAUCUCUGACACGCGCAUUUCCGGUCCCUGUACAUGUACAUGUAAACCAACCCAACAUCAAUCCGGUUCAGUGGAUGGAUGCAUGCUCUAUGUGGCACGAAGUAUGUCGGUCGAGCCAGUCGACGGACCAGAUCGAUGCUACCGGAGGGAUUCCAUUGUAGACCAACGCUCGACCUAUGUCGGGUGUGUGUGAUAGGUCCAGUGUAAGACAAACAUAGUUCCGUCAACCCUAAAAUCGUAAACACUGAUAACCCUAACCCCCCCCCACUAAACCGUGAAAACAUUCAAAAUUUUGCCCCACAUGGAAACCAUUUUGCAUGCAUUCUCUAUGGGGUCAUGGGAUGCCAUGAAGAAAUUUUGGGAUUAUACACGCAAGUACGAUCUCUGACACGCGCAUUUCCGGCCUAGCAUGUCAACACCACGAAAGCACUAGCUGGGUUCCUCACCUGUAUGAAACCAACCCAACAUCGAUCCGGUCCAGUGGAUGGAUGCAUGCUCUAUGUAGCACGAAGUUUGUCGGUCGAGCCAGCCAACGGACCGGAUCGAUGCUACCGGAGGGAAUCCAUUGUAGACCAACGCUCCUCCAAUGUCCGGUGUGUGCUACGUCCACUAUAAGACAAACAUUGUUCCGUCGACCCUAAAACCCUAAAACCCUAAACCCUGAUAACCCUAACCCCCCCACUAAACCGUAAAAACAUUCAAAAAUUUGCCCCACAUGGAAACCAUUAUGCAUGCAUUCUCUAUGUGGUCAUGGGAUGCCAUGAAGAAAGUUUGGGAUCAUUAGNNNNNNNNNNNNNNNNNNNNNNNNNNNNNNNNNNNNNNNNNNNNNNNNNNNNNNNNNNNNNNNNNNNNNNNNNNNNNNNNNNNNNNNNNNNNNNNNNNNNNNNNNNNNNNNNNNNNNNNNNNNNNNNNNNNNNNNNNNNNNNNNNNNNNNNNNNNNNNNNNNNNNNNNNNNNNNNNNNNNNNNNNNNNNNNNNNNNNNNNNNNNNNNNNNNNACACGCAAGUAAGAUCUCUGACACGCGCAUUUCCGGGCUUGCAUGUCAACACUAAACCCUAAACCCUGAUAACCCUACCCCCCCACUAAACCCUGAAACCUGAUAACCCUAACCCCCCCCACUAAACCCUAAACCCUGAACCCCUAAACCCCUAAACCCCUAAACCCUAAUAACCCUAAACCCCUAAACGAGUUGACAAGAUUUUCUUAUUUUUUAUAUAUCAUUUAUCCAAAUCUCACAUAACUCACGCGGCCCACCCCUCCCUAAAUCCCGCGAUUACAGCUCCGCAUUCUAACCACCCGGGCCGUCCGCACCUCCCACGACCGCUGCAAGAUCAGAUCGGAGACGCCGGUCGCCCACGGAAUACAGGAGUCGGCGGCCACCACUCGCCGCCCACCGCCAACGUGAUCUGAGGGGUCGGACGUCAGUGUUCUUCUCGCCGCCUCCUCCUCGCGUGAAAACGCCGUUUUUCCUUUUCGCCGUCGACCGCGCUAUACCGGCACUUAUAGUUUGCGACGCACUAACCGCCGCCAUCUACUCGGCGGCACCGUCUCCGAGAUAAGGUAUUACCUGAUCGUAACUCUUUAUAAUCGUUGUCGGCCGCUCCUUUAGUAGUUGAACCCUCAUAGGUUUUGCAGCCAAAUAGGUUCUGUGUUUAAACCCAUAAGUGGAUCAUAUGUUAAAUGACCCAGUUAGUUUUGUUAAAAUUAAUUUGCUGCUAAUUUUGUUAUACAUUUUCCAAUUUUGUUCAGAUUAAUUUAGCCGGAUUUUAUCAUUGCAUACGAGCCAGCAAUGUCAGUUUCAGAUACGAACCUUCAUAAUGAAGAAAAGCCCAUCUCCGAAAUUACCGAUGCGGUAAGUAAUUGACUGUUUGUGUACAAUCGUUUCAUACACAUAAUUCAUGUGUACUCAGUAUAAUUUAAUGGCAUGUAACAGGAACUUGGCGAAAAGCAUGGUCAUAUGAAGUUAGUAUGCUCACAGACAAGGUUCGGAAAAACCAUGAAACUGUUGUCACCAGACCACAAAAAGUACAUCAUAUCAGAAACCAGUCUUGGCGGUCUAACCCAGAUGCAUGAGGUGACUCUACGGCGCAUAAUGUUGGUUAGACUAGCCAAGAGCAUAGAUAUGGACACCCAAUCCAUUACCAUCGGAAAAACGCCAAUUCCUAUAACAAAAGAGGACGUGCACUGUAUAUUUGGCAUUCCGAUAGAAGGGGAGGAUAUAGAGCCACAUCUGGAAAUGCAAACCGACACAGAAUUGUUUACCGCCUAUGCAAACAAUGGGCAAAUUUUGAUUUCUGACCUUGAAACGGCGAUCCGAGCUUCCAAAGCCCCAGACGGCGAUUUCCUGAGACGGUUCAUUCUGUACGCAAUUGGUACUGUUCUAGCACCAACAGCACAACAUUAUGUGGACUCGAAAUUUCUCAACCUUGUUACAGAUCUUCAAAACCUUCGGAAAAUUUAACUGGGGAUGUUUCACACUUAAUCACUUCUUCAAGUCCGUUCACAAGUUUAGAAAUCGAGAUCACGUAAAUCUACAAGGAAAUCUAAUUCUGCUCCAGGUUACACUACUGGAAUCAGCUAAUUUGCCAUCUGCCAGCUCUUUGCCAUCUGCUAGCUGACGGCAAAGAAGCUCUUUGCCAUCAGCUACACAUAAACAGACGGCAAAGAAAAGGCUGACGGCAAAGAAGCUCUUUGCCAUCUGCCAGCUCUUUGCCGUCUGCCAGCGGACGGCAAAGAAUCUUUGUCGUCCGCUGGCGGACGGCAAAGAGUGUGGUGGCCCCCACCCCCCGCUCGUUUGAAAAAUCCUAACGGCCCACCUCUUUGCCGUCCGCUAGCGGACGGCAAAGAGGCAGAAAGGCGGACGGCAAAGGCUGGCGGACGGCAAAGAGGGCACUUGCCUAACGGCAGGUACCCCCCGCCCGUUACUCACUUCGUCCUCGCCUCGCCCUUCUCGUCCCACCCCGCCGCCGCCGCCNNNNNNNNNNNNNNNNNNNNNNNNNNNNNNNNNNNNNNNNNNNNNNNNNNNNNNNNNNNNNNNNNNNNNNNNNNNNNNNNNNNNNNNNNNNNNNNNNNNNNNNNNNNNNNNNNNNNNNNNNNNNNNNNNNNNNNNNNNNNNNNNNNNNNNNNNNNNNNNNNNNNNNNNNNNNNNNNNNNNNNNNNNNNNNNNNNNNNNNNNNNNNNNNNNNNNNNNNNNNNNNNNNNNNNNNNNNNNNNNNNNNNNNNNNNNNNNNNNNNNNNNNNNNNNNNNNNNNNNNNNNNNNNNNNNNNNNNNNNNNNNNNNNNNNNNNNNNNNNNNNNNNNNNNNNNNNNNNNNNNNNNNNNNNNNNNNNNNNNNNNNNNNNNNNNNNNNNNNNNNNNNNNNNNNNNNNNNNNNNNNNNNNNNNNNNNNNNNNNNNNNNNNNNNNNNNNNNNNNNNNNNNNNNNNNNNNNNNNNNNNNNNNNNNNNNNNNNNNNNNNNNNNNNNNNNNNNNNNNNNNNNNNNNNNNNNNNNNNNNNNNNNNNNNNNNNNNNNNNNNNNNNNNNNNNNNNNNNNNNNNNNNNNNNNNNNNNNNNNNNNNNNNNNNNNNNNNNNNNNNNNNNNNNNNNNNNNNNNNNNNNNNNNNNNNNNNNNNNNNNNNNNNNNNNNNNNNNNNNNNNNNNNNNNNNNNNNNNNNNNNNNNNNNNNNNNNNNNNNNNNNNNNNNNNNNNNNNNNNNNNNNNNNNNNNNNNNNNNNNNNNNNNNNNNNNNNNNNNNNNNNNNNNNNNNNNNNNNNNNNNNNNNNNNNNNNNNNNNNNNNNNNNNNNNNNNNNNNNNNNNNNNNNNNNNNNNNNNNNNNNNNNNNNNNNNNNNNNNNNNNNNNNNNNNNNNNNNNNNNNNNNNNNNNNNNNNNNNNNNNNNNNNNNNNNNNNNNNNNNNNNNNNNNNNNNNNNNNNNNNNNNNNNNNNNNNNNNNNNNNNNNNNNNNNNNNNNNNNNNNNNNNNNNNNNNNNNNNNNNNNNNNNNNNNNNNNNNNNNNNNNNNNNNNNNNNNNNNNNNNNNNNNNNNNNNNNNNNNNNNNNNNNNNNNNNNNNNNNNNNNNNNNNNNNNNNNNNNNNNNNNNNNNNNNNNNNNNNNNNNNNNNNNNNNNNNNNNNNNNNNNNNNNNNNNNNNNNNNNNNNNNNNNNNNNNNNNNNNNNNNNNNNNNNNNNNNNNNNNNNNNNNNNNNNNNNNNNNNNNNNNNNNNNNNNNNNNNNNNNNNNNNNNNNNNNNNNNNNNNNNNNNNNNNNNNNNNNNNNNNNNNNNNNNNNNNNNNNNNNNNNNNNNNNNNNNNNNNNNNNNNNNNNNNNNNNNNNNNNNNNNNNNNNNNNNNNNNNNNNNNNNNNNNNNNNNNNNNNNNNNNNNNNNNNNNNNNNNNNNNNNNNNNNNNNNNNNNNNNNNNNNNNNNNNNNNNNNNNNNNNNNNNNNNNNNNNNNNNNNNNNNNNNNNNNNNNNNNNNNNNNNNNNNNNNNNNNNNNNNNNNNNNNNNNNNNNNNNNNNNNNNNNNNNNNNNNNNNNNNNNNNNNNNNNNNNNNNNNNNNNNNNNNNNNNNNNNNNNNNNNNNNNNNNNNNNNNNNNNNNNNNNNNNNNNNNNNNNNNNNNNNNNNNNNNNNNNNNNNNNNNNNNNNNNNNNNNNNNNNNNNNNNNNNNNNNNNNNNNNNNNNNNNNNNNNNNNNNNNNNNNNNNNNNNNNNNNNNNNNNNNNNNNNNNNNNNNNNNNNNNNNNNNNNNNNNNNNNNNNNNNNNNNNNNNNNNNNNNNNNNNNNNNNNNNNNNNNNNNNNNNNNNNNNNNNNNNNNNNNNNNNNNNNNNNNNNNNNNNNNNNNNNNNNNNNNNNNNNNNNNNNNNNNNNNNNNNNNNNNNNNNNNNNNNNNNNNNNNNNNNNNNNNNNNNNNNNNNNNNNNNNNNNNNNNNNNNNNNNNNNNNNNNNNNNNNNNNNNNNNNNNNNNNNNNNNNNNNNNNNNNNNNNNNNNNNNNNNNNNNNNNNNNNNNNNNNNNNNNNNNNNNNNNNNNNNNNNNNNNNNNNNNNNNNNNNNNNNNNNNNNNNNNNNNNNNNNNNNNNNNNNNNNNNNNNNNNNNNNNNNNNNNNNNNNNNNNNNNNNNNNNNNNNNNNNNNNNNNNNNNNNNNNNNNNNNNNNNNNNNNNNNNNNNNNNNNNNNNNNNNNNNNNNNNNNNNNNNNNNNNNNNNNNNNNNNNNNNNNNNNNNNNNNNNNNNNNNNNNNNNNNNNNNNNNNNNNNNNNNNNNNNNNNNNNNNNNNNNNNNNNNNNNNNNNNNNNNNNNNNNNNNNNNNNNNNNNNNNNNNNNNNNNNNNNNNNNNNNNNNNNNNNNNNNNNNNNNNNNNNNNNNNNNNNNNNNNNNNNNNNNNNNNNNNNNNNNNNNNNNNNNNNNNNNNNNNNNNNNNNNNNNNNNNNNNNNNNNNNNNNNNNNNNNNNNNNNNNNNNNNNNNNNNNNNNNNNNNNNNNNNNNNNNNNNNNNNNNNNNNNNNNNNNNNNNNNNNNNNNNNNNNNNNNNNNNNNNNNNNNNNNNNNNNNNNNNNNNNNNNNNNNNNNNNNNNNNNNNNNNNNNNCGACGCAUAAAUUUCGUCAGUGCCUCCCCUGUUGUUCUCCGGGUACACAUCCUCUCUGUUUAUUGCAGAGACGUGUAUCAGGAGAACAGCGGGGAGGUGCUGCCGAAAUUUUGCGUAGGAUCCGGGGCAUAGCAUGGGAAAAUGAACCCAAUCUAAACAUACUCGGGUGGGAUUAGGACCUAUCAUUACCUAUUAGAGUGUAGGUUGCAUGGACGUAAUAAAAUUGACAAAGUAGAUCAACUGAUGAAUACAUACAUGGUGAAUUAUAUAUAUAUAUAUUUGUUGUGUGUCUAGUAGCUCUGAAAGUCAAGAUGAGUGAUCGUGCGUGGAUGUACACCGGUCACACUGGUCAGAACAAAUGGAGCACUGAAUGGUUCACAAAAACCAAGGGGUUUGUGCGAGCCGCAUUUGCAAAUGGCCAGAGGAAAACCUGGUGCCCCUGUUUACGGUGCGGCAAUUGGGAAAAGAGGAAAGAGGCUGAAAUGGGCAAACACCUGCAGAAGAGUGGUUUUACGCCCGAUUAUACGGUGUGGACAUUUCAUGGUGAGUCUGCCCAACGUGACUGAGCUGAGGUGGAUCGUCGUCGCACCGACGAGCAUGGUACCGGUAUGGAAAACAUGGUGCAAGACUUUGAUGAUGCUCGGGAUUCGGAUGAGGAGAUGGAGGAAUCUGCAAAGGCCUUCAAUGAAAUGUUGGAGUCUGCAAAACGUCCGCUCCAUGAGCACACUGAGCUUUGUCAGUUGGAUGCCAUCUCACAAGUAAUGGCUCUGAAGGCUCAGUUCAACUUGGGCAGAGAAUGUUAUGAUGCAAUGAUGACAGUAUUUGGACGCUUUCUACCCAAAGGCCAUGUAAUGCCUGCAAACCUGUACCAGUCGGACAAAAUCCUCCGUGCACUGAAGAUGCCCUAUGAUAAGAUACAUGCCUGUGAGAAAGGAUGUGUCUUGUUUAGGCUUGACUAUGCGGACUUGAACUGUUGUCCCAUUUGCAAGUCUUCCAGGUAUGUUGUGGUAGACAACGGUAUGGGUGAGAAGACACAGACCAAAAUCCCCGUUAGUGUUCUUCGGUAUAUGCCAAUCGUACCAAGACUUCAACGUCUUUUCCUGGUCGAAGAGACAGCCAGACAGAUGACAUGGCACAAAACGGGCAAAAGAACCGAACUAGAUGCAGAUGGGAAUCUGAUGAUUGUACACACAUCGGAUGGUGUUGCGUGGAAAAAGUUUGAUGAAUUACAUGGUGACAAAGCGGCAGAUCCGAGGCAUCCUCGAGUCGGCAUCAGCACGGAUGGGUUCAGUGUGUUUGGUAUGACGGCAGCCCAAUACAGUUGUUGGCCCGUAUUUGUCUUUCCACUCAAUCUCCCCCCCCCCCGGACAGAUUAUGCAAAGAAAGAACAUUUUCCUGACGUUGAUAAUUCCAGGGCCCAACUAUCCGGGGAAAAAUAUGAAUGUGUACAUGCAACCGCUUAAGGACGAAUUGCAAGAAGCCUGGGAUAAUGGGUUCAAGACAUACGAUGCCUAUAGCAAACGGAACUUCAUAAUGCGUGUCUGGUACAUGUACUCGACGCAUGACUUGCCGGCGUAUGCGCUAUUCGUUGGCUGGUGUGUGCAUGGAAGGUUCCCGUGCCCCACGUGCAAGGGAGCUCUUGAGUUUCGUUGGCUUCAGGCCGGUCGCAAGUUUUCUUGCUUCGACAUGCAUAGAGAGUUCCUGAAUCCUCGCCAUAAGUUCAGGAAAGACAAGAAGAACUUCAUCAGAGGUAGAGUUGUCAAAAACUCUGCACCACAUGCAUUGACAGGCCAACAGACCCUGGAUCAGUUAAACGCUCUCGAGCCAGAUCCCGAGCGUCCAGGGUACUUCAAGGGGUAUAAUUCUAAGCACGCCUGGACUCACAAAACAUGCUUAUGGGAUCUGCCUUACUUCAAAGACCUCCUUUGCCCACACAACAUCGACGUGAUGCACACUGAGAAGAAUAUCGCCGAGGCACUUUUUGGUACAUUGUUCGGCAUAGAUGGGAAGUCAAAGGAUAAUACUAAGGCUAGAGUCGAUCUGGAGGCACUAUGUGAUAGGCCGUUACAAAACAUGAAAGAACCGAAAGGAAAGCAGAAGUGGACGAAGCCAAAGGCAUGGUUCAAUCUUCGAAGGCCGGCUAUGAGGGAAAUUAUCUUGUGGGUGAAAAUGCAGUUGAUGUUCCCCGAUGGGUAUGCAGCGAAUCUACAGAGGGGAGCCAGUCUUGAUAAAUUGAAGAUAUUUGGUCUCAAGAGUCAUGAUUGGCACAUAUGGAUUGAGCGGGUAAUGCCGGUGAUGUUGCGUGGCUUCAUCCCUGAGGAUGAAUGGCUAGUACUGGCAGAACUCAGCUAUUUCUUCCGUGUUCUUUGUGCGAAAGAACUAUCGCCUAGCGUGCUAGAAGAAAUGGAAGAGUUGGCGCCGGAGUUGAUCUGCAAGUUAGAGAAGAUCUUUCCACCGGGCUUCUUUAAUCCAAUGCAACAUUUGAUUUUGCAUCUCCCGACCGAGGCAAGAUUGGGGGGGCCCGUGCAAAAUCGUUGGUGCUACCCAACUGAGAGGAUGCAGAAGACGCUUCGACAAAAAUGUAAAAAUAAACGUAGAAUUGAAGCAUCGAUGGCUGAGGCAUUCAUCACUGAGGAGGCGGCAAACUUCGUGACAGCACACUACGAAGCCAAAAAUCGUCAUUUGCAUAAUCCGAAGCCUCGGUACCAUGCUGACGACCCUAAAAAGGGUGGAUCCAACCUCAGCCUAUUCAAAGGGAAUCUCGCACCAGCCAGUGUUUCAAAUCCAGUAUCUUUGGAUAACGAACAAUGGCGGACCAUUUCGUUGUAUAUCUUCAACAACCUGAUAGAAGUGCGGCCGUACAUCGAGUAAGUUCUCGGUACAUAGUUUCGCAACUUCUAUUUCCUUUGAACUGCUCUUAUUCCUGGAUAUUUCAUACAGUCGAUACGUCGCCUUAUUCUCGUAUGGAGCGGUGAUCCAAAAGGAUUCUGUCGAAGAGUAUGAGCUUCUCGCAAAGCAAGGUGGCGGCUAUCCCGGUUUCAUCUCUUGGUUCAAACAAACGGUAAUUUCUAUUAGACUUGUAGGCUAAUUUGUAGGCGGCUAUCCCGGUUUCAUUCGCUAAUUUGUGCGUAAUGCAACAAUCCUUUCAUAUUAAACUUGUAGGCUAAUUCAGAGUCUAUGGACGCCGAAUUGAGACAAGUCGCUAAUGGUUUUGACUAUAAGGUCCGUUCAUUUGACAAAUACGAACUCAACGGGUAUCGCUUUCGUACCUAUGGCAAAGAGCUAUCUAUGGCCGACCGAAAGUCUACAAAUUGUUGUGUAUCUGCUAUCGGCGAAGGAGGUACCGAGUAUUAUGGGAGAGUUGAAGCAAUUUAUGAACUUCUAUUCUAUGGUGAAAACCCACCGAAUGUCGUAGUCUUCAAAUGUUAUUGGUUUCAGCCAAAGGAGACUAGAAGAACUCAUGAACAUAUAGGGCUAGUUGAAAUCAACCAAAGCACCCAUUUAGAUGUUCCUGAUGUCUAUAUUACGGCUCAACAGGCGACCCAAGUAUUCUAUCUACCGUGGGCCUGCCAAACUAAUCCAAAUCUGAAAGGUUGGGAUGUCGUUUAUGAAGUGCCGCCACGUGCUAGACUAUCUCCCCCAAAGGAAGAGGAUUAUGAACCUCACAUUAACCCAGACACAUAUGAAGGAGAAUUCUUCCAAGAGACACGUCUUUCCAAAAAGCGUUUCAAGAACCGCUAUACUUCACCCCAAAACAUUGAAGUAGACAGUGACAGUGAAUCUGACAUCACCCCAGAGGAGGAACAAGAAGAGCCGGAACAAGAAGAGGUUACUGCUGCGGAUGACCUGUCAUUGCUUGACCGAUUACGUCAAGGUGGCCUUGCACAUGUUGAUGCCACUGAACCCUAUGAGCCUGUCAUUGAUUAUAGUGAUGAUGAUGAUUAUGCAUUUAUUGAUGAUACUGAUCGAGAUUAUUAGUAGUGUCAGGUAUUAAAUUUUUUAAUGUUGUACUUGAUGAUGAUACACUUAAGUGAUACACAUAUUAUUAUUCAUGUCGGUCUUUUUUUUAUGUUGUACUAAUUUCGUUUACUGUUUGUCAUGGCAGGUGUUGAAAGAUGGUGGGCGCUGGUCGGGAGCGCGCCAAGGCUCCUUCUUCCUCGGCGCGUGGUCUGAGGUCUUCGAUUCCAGACGUACCUCUUCGCCGAGCGUUGCUGGACAGUAUGUCCACACCGCCGGGCCCUUCUUCGUCCACCGCGGUGCCCAGCAGGGGACGAGGUAGGAAGAGAGGAGGUGGGGCACGUGGUCGCGGGAGAGGAGGUAGGGUGACUGCUAGGGCGCCUUCCUCGCCGCCACCCCCAGCUAUUUCACCCGAGCACGUGACUGCUAGGGUGGACUCGUCCGAGGAGGAGGCUACACGGACUCCGGUCCACGAGCCUCCGGUCCACGGGUCUUGGGCCCACGAGCCUCGGGUCGACUGGCCUUCGGCCCACGAGACCCCGGAGGAGCACACGUCCGGAUGGGGUACCUGGCCGGAUCAGCCCGAGGAGCCGAGUGGCCAUGCUGAUGAUGGCGGGGAGCCGACUGAUCUUGAGGAGGAGGGUGGCACCGUCUACCAGCGUGGUGCUACACGGCUCCCGUCCGUGCCGGCGACCCGCGAGCAGAGGUGGUUGAUCUUGCCUGAUGGGGAGAGGUAUGUAAGUGCAUUUAAUAUUUUUGUACCUUCUGCAUUCACGUUUCUUCAAAUAACUAAUGCGUUGGCCUUGUCAUGCUGCAGGGGUUGGGACCACCAUCAUAGUGUCCGCCGGCCCAACUCCGUCCUUGGAGUUCUUUGCCGGCAAAACUUCCCGGGGUUUGUCACGUUGCCUGGUGAGGGUCGGCUUCCAGAGCUUGGGUUGAGCUGGGAGCACUACGUGGCUGCCCCGGCCCCGCCGGAUGUCAUUAUCGACGGUGUCGUGUGCGACACGAGGGCAGACAUGGUGAUCAGGACGUUCUGGGUAAUUUCUCCUUUACACAUUUCAAAAUCUUCAACUAGCUAGUUAUUAAUUGUACUAAUCAAUAUUGUCUCAUUUGAUUGCAGACAUUCUACAGGUGUGAGGAGGGAAACGAGGAGGACUGCGCAAAUGUUAUCGAGAACGUCUGCAAGCGCCUACUCCAGAACUUACGGCACGAGGCUCGGGUGCAGGCUGUUCGAGACUACUACGCCUUGCGUGGUAUCAAGAAGACCAAGCCGGCGUGCCGCGAUAAGUACCUGAGUAAGGAGCAGUACAUGAAGGUAAUUCUUAAGGCCUUCUACUUAAGUUCCUUCAUUUAGUAAUUCUUAGCCGUAGCGCUCAAGUUUCUAUUUGCUAACUUAGGCGCCUCCGAGAUGGUGUGCUGAUCGGAUGGAUUGUUGGGAGGUGUUGGUCGAUGAGUGGUGCUCACAAGAAUGGCUAGCCCUCCACAACCAGGCCAAGGACAAACGUGCCCAAAUGGAAGGUGUGCCACACCAUCAAGGCAGCUCCAACUUAUAUCAGUUCGGGCGCAACUGGGUAUGUGGUUUGCUUCAUGAUUCAUGCAAUUCAUUCAUCAUGCUAGCUUGAGCCCUUUAAUUACUAACUUUCAUUGCUUCUCUCUUUCAGGCAUGCCACAAUAAGGCGGAUAAGGUGCCAGAGGUGUACGACCUGUAUGCCAUGGCCCACACUGGCUCUUACAAGAAAGUCAAGGCUUUCUCUCAGUCUGACCUCGAUGAUGCAAACAACUUCACCAACAUCUCCUCCCACAACAAGCUCGUGAGAUAUAGAGAUGAGGGGAAGGCGAGGAAAGGGGAGGACUUUAACCCGAGCCAGGGUCCCAUUGAUCCAGAGCUGGUGAUGAUAUCUGGUGGCGGGAGGUCCCAUGGUUCCAUAGCCAUUGGAGAUGGACUUAUCCGUUGUCCUAGCACUCUCCCGGAGAUCAAGGCGCGCCAGUCGAGCUCCGCUCCUGAGAUAAGGCCUCGUGAACGGCCAGUGCAACUCGCCAUCAAGGUUAAUGAUACGUACUCAGUUAUCUUUCUCCAUUACAUUGUGUGCGCUUCCAUCAAUGAUUACAAAUGGUCAUGUGAGUGGUGUUGCAGGCUGCUAUACAGACUGAGAGAGAUAGAACGGAGAAACUUCUGGCGGAGGCGGCGGAGAGGCAGCGGGAGAUGGAGGAGAGGACGAGAAAGAUGAUGGAGGAGGAGAGGGCACGGAAUGACAUGCAGGCAAGGGCCAUGUACGAGCUCCUUGUGGUAAGUUUCUUCUGCAGAUUACUUGCUAGUCUUAACAUUUGAGUCUCAUUACUAACUAGUAUGACUCUGUUCUGAAAACCAAAUGUGCAGUCUGUGUGCGAGAAGUCCGGUCAGCCCGCUCCGCCGAUGCCAGUGAUUGCUCCUGGGAGCACGGUGAGUUUAGUUUGAAUGGACAUUAGUUGGUAGUCUCAACAUUUGAGUGUCAUAAUGCUAACGAGACAUUGGAAAUGAUCUUUGUUGCAGCUUAACUCCAGAAACGCAUCGCACGAUCCUUCUCCAGGUAGCGGCACUAGCCACCCCGGUCCUACACCUCCCUGAUCACGGUAAGUUUCUCUAGUGUUUUGCUUAACAAAUGCAUAAAGACCUAGACUUAGCUUUAUUUCCUCCAAUAUGCUUACCAUAAUGACCUAGAGUUAGCUUAUUUUCCUCCAAAAUGACCCAUUUUACCUAGGUUAGCUUAUAAAUGAUGCAGUUCAUCCAAGUUAGCUCAAAAAUGACCCAUUUUACCUAGAUUAGCUCCUAAAUGAUCCAUUUUACCUACGUUAGCUUUAAAAUGGCCCAUUUCACCUACGUUAACUCCAAAAUGACCCAUCUUACCUAGGUUAUCUCAUAAACGAUCCAUUUCAACUAAUUUAGCUCAUAAACGAUCCAUUUGACCUAAGUGAGCAAAAAAACGAUCCAUUUCACCUAAAUUAGCUCUUAAAUGAUCCAUUUCACCUAAGUUAGCUAAAAAACGAUCCAUUUCAACUAAAUUAGCUAAAAAAAAUGAUCCAUUUCAACAAAGUUAGCUCAUAAACGAUCCAUUUCAACUAAGUUAGCUCAAAAACGAUCCAUUUGACCUAAGUGAGCUAAAAAACGACCCAUUUCACCUUAGUUACCUCAAAAACGAUCCAUUUCAACUAAGUUAGCUCAAAAAUGAUCCAUUUCAACUAGGUUAGCUCCAAAAUGACCCAUUUCACCUUACUUAGCUCAAAACGAUGCCCUUCACCUUAGUUAGCUCAUAAACGACCCAUUUCAACUAAGUUAGCUCAUAAAUGAUCCAUUUCAACUAAGUUAGCUCAUAAACAACCCAUUUCAACUUAGUUAGCUCAUAUAUGAUCCAUUUCACCUAAGUUAGCUCAUAAAUGACAUAUACUUCUUGUUCUAGUCUUCUUCUUGUUCUAGUCUUCUUCUUGUUCUAGUCACCUAUUUCUAACUUUCUUAUUUACCAUUUUGCAGAUUUCAUUCACUUGAUGGAAGCUAGCUUGCUAUGAUGGAGUGCUUGCUUUUCCUUUGAUGAAACUUUGCAUUGUAUCUAGCUUGCUAUCUUCAUGACACUAUUCAUUGUAAUAUAUAUAUGGAUGGAACAAUGUGUAUGGAUGGAACUUCCUUAUGUAUGAACAAUGUGUAUGGAUGAAACUGAUGUGAUAUGUGAUAUGAAACUUAUGUGCUAGAUAUGUGUUGGAUAUGUGCUGGAUAUGAAACUUAUAUAUGUGAUAUGUGCUGCAAAUUGUGGGAUUUAAUAAAAAAUAGAAAAAACAGACAAUAUGCAGGCUCUUUGCCGUCUGCCACCGACGGCAAAGAGCUCUUUGUCGUCCGCCGCGGACGGCAAAGAAGCCACGUGGCAGCCAACUGUGCUUCCUGGGAGCUGACCCAUUUGGUCAGUUUGCCUACAGUGGCAGACGGCAAAGAACCUGCAGUUUGCCUACAGUGGCAGACGGCAAAGAACCUGGCAUCUAGUGACGUGUAGAUGACAUCAUAAGGCGGACGGCAAAGACCAAAGGCUCUUUGCCGUCUGCGGCGGACGGCAAANNNNNNNNNNNNNNNNNNNNNNNNNNNNNNNNNNNNNNNNNNNNNNNNNNNNNNNNNNNNNNNNNNNNNNNNNNNNNNNNNNNNNNNNNNNNNNNNNNNNNNNNNNNNNNNNNNNNNNNNNNNNNNNNNNNNNNNNNNNNNNNNNNNNNNNNNNNNNNNNNNNNNNNNNNNNNNNNNNNNNNNNNNNNNNNNNNNNNNNNNNNNNNNNNNNNNNNNNNNNNNNNNNNNNNNNNNNNNNNNNGCAGACGGCAAAGAGCCUUUGCCGUCCGCCGCCAGGAAGCAGACGGCAAAGCAGCUGUUUACCGUAGCCUUCUUUGCCGGAGCCUUUUGCCGUCCGCGGCUGACGGCAAAGGUCUUUGCCGUCCGCGGCUGACGGCAAAGGUCUUUGCCGUCCGCCUUUCGAGCCUUUGCCGUCCGCCAUGGCAGACGGCAAAGUAGCUGUUUCCUGUAGUGUUAGUGCUAGAUCACUACUUAAUGUCCUUUAAUUAUUGUUUUGUUGCAUAUCUGUAUGGUGAUGAACUAAUUUAUUGUGUAGUAUUGGUACUGGGAGCACGUGCGUAGUGGCCGAUUGAUGUAUGCUUCUAGACCCCCUCCAUUGAUCGCACGAUGGGACAAAAUGACGGCUACUUUAAGAAGCGAUGCUUACGACAAAGGAGGUCUGCAUAAUGGGCUGGUACCUAUCUACAAUUGAACUUUCUAUAUCCGAUUUUUUAUUUGGUACUAAUGGUUCAUUAUAUUUUAUAAAAAAAGGCUGUCAUGAAAAUUUGUGCUCCUCAACGACCGUCUGAGAAUUCUAAUAAUUUUCCAAGAAAAAAUGAUGAACAUGUGCAUCAACAUGAUUCGUAUCGAGCACCAUCACAAGGACAGCAAUUUAGUAGCCAGCAAGUAUGUACUCCAAAGACUAUUUGUUUUUGCAAUAUCGCAAAUAGGUGUCAUGGAACCUCAUUCAUUUAGCUAUUGUUAUCAACGGGGUUUUAUUUUGUUUACACAGAUUGACAUGCUAGUUGAAGCCAUGAAUGCACGCUUAGCUGAUCAUGAAAAGAAGGUAGGCAGGAAGUUAAUGGAAAUUGAGCACAGAUUUGAUGUCAAAUACCAGACGCUAGGUGAAGACUUGAUCGACAUGAAGACUAAAACUGGCACUAAUCCUAGGUUGUCGAAGGCCGAGGACGAAAUUAAAGACUUAAGGAGGGAACUACAUGUAUGUUAUACUGUGCAUUUUGUAUUUUGUAUGAAUAUGUUCCUUCAUGUUCAUUAUUGUUUGCAUUGUUACAGGAAUUAAAAUACGAAUUUACAAGCAACCGACAAUCAGUGUCACAGAAAGGACGCGUGCAGGUGAUCUUUAUGGCCCAACACGUUAAUAUCUAAAAGUAACAAACUAAUGAUGAACUACCUUUGUUCUUUGGAGGAUCAAGUCAAUGUGUGCAAUUCAUCCCUGACAGGAACUCCUAGGGCUAGCCAAUUCACGGCAGGGACUUCGACUACACCAAGUGCAAGACAUAUGACGGAAAACAAUGAGAAACCACAAUUAACUCCGAUGAAGCCUGUCUUUGGUAAUGAUUACAAGUUCACGGAUGAGGACAUCGAGACAACCGUUUACAUCCGCGGAACAUACGACCCUGUUGAAAUAGCUAGAAUCGGAGACAUUACCCUCAAAGCAGAACAACUGAAGCGAAAUUUGGAUGACGAAUACAUUUAUGGUGAUGUAAGCCCAUUAUGCUCUAGUCUACAUCAUUACUGUAACAACUUUCUUAUUAUUGUAUGAUUGAAAAUUUGGCAGGUUAUUAUGGCAUAUGCUCGCAUUAGCCAAAUUGAGAAUGAUACUACCUCAAUCAUAUCCCCUGAAGAAACCGAAAAGCUGUUACAAAUGAAGGGGGUGGUUCUUGUUGGACGUGCAGCCUCAUGGUUAGCUCGUGUAGCAGAAAAAUUUGUAGGGCGCCGAAAGGUACAUGUUUUCCUCACUUUCAUAGUUUAUGUACACACUGUACACGACAAAUUUCGGUUCUCAACCCAACCCAAAUGUUACUGCAGGUGCAUGUCCCACUAAAUGUACACCAAAACCAUUGGAUGCUAAUGAUGUUUAAUUUUGACAAAAAAGAAAUUCAGACUCUGAACUCCAUGAAUUAUCAUUGCGAGAAGACCAAGGAAGAUUCUCUUGUAAGUGUUCUCUUGCUGCCUCUUUUGAUCCGCAUGGCACAUGAGCUCCCAAAGUACCAUAACCCCAUGUAUAACUCGUCGUACCCUAGGUGGACUCGAUUCAGUUCUGCAUCGACGAAGCUGUCAAGAAUGGGUUGAUAUCACCAGCUAAGAACAUCAAUUUUGCCGAAUGGACCAAAAAACGCUAUGAGAACAUACCACAACAGACCGAUGGGUACGCAUGGCCUCAUAAAUUAUUAUUUUCCUACACGAAUAAGAUUACUCAUCUUUAACUAAACAUCGCAGGACUUCCUGUGCGGUUUGGACACUGCAGUACAUGUUGUCAUGGAACGGGGAUGAAAUGACCGAUAUUUUUAACCAGGUAAUUGAAUGCCUAAUUUACAUUUGUACUUUGUUUAGCUUGAAAGCUAUCCUGUCGUAAGUGUCGGUUAUCAAAUAUAGGCAAGGAUAGAUAUUUUCAGGUGGAAAAUAUGUACAGCCUUACUGCAUUCAAAUUGCAACACGCUUCGUCUCGAAUCAUAUAAGUUCCCCAUAAAGGUUAGUGCUACAUCAAGAAUAUAUCAUUUAUUUCAUAAGUCUCAUGAUUAGAACUAACGCAGCACUCUCUCUUAUACAGAAGGAGGUGUACGAUGCCCAGCAAGCAGUUCUACCUGAUGGUUCAGAAGACGACGUACAAUUAGUCAACAAUCCUGAUGGUUCCAACGAACCCGACACAUCCAACUCCCAGAAGGAUACCGGUGCACCCGACUCCCCCAAAAGUGGUGCACCCAACUCCCCAAAAAGGAAGAGAGCACGUGGACGCCCGAGAAAGCUAGUCAAUCCUGAUGAAGCAGCAAAAACAAAGAGUCUUAAAGAACUGAAACGUAAAUUUGACAGCAAGACCAUAGCCAACCAAGUGUCUUCGUUAUCAUCACGGUCACGCAGAGAGCAUAAACCAGCACCAGCUUUAUUGAGCCCAUUCAAACACAAAUAGGUAGCAUCAAUUGAUCACCAAUUGAUAAAUGCUCAUGCUCAUGCUCUACUUUUAGCAUCAUUUCAUACACGUUUAGUUCUUAUCAAAAAGUGGAAAUAGGUACUUUUGGCAAUCAUGAGCAUCCUCUACUUAUAGCAAUAUCUAAUGCAUCAUCAGUACAAAGCUUGAUUUGGCAAUAGGUGGAAUCGGCAAUCAUUUGCAUGCUUUAAUUUUGUGAAGCUAUAAUCAUACUGAGUUAUACACUAAGCAUAAUCAUGCCAAGCUAUAACUACCAUAGUCAUAAACCAGGCUUUUCUUAAGCACAGGUGCUUAUUUGUACAGGGUAGACGCAUAACUAGGCGUCUCUCAUGUAGAAAUAGGCACUGGUGCUUCAGAAAAACCCUAUUUAUUUUUCUAAGCACCACCCUAAGCAUCUAGCAUUGUACAAGGCUUAACAUGCAUCACCAAAAUAGUAUUAACAACUUGGAACACUAAACCCUAUUUAUUUUUCUAAGACCCUGAUAAGUUUCAGAAGGAAAUUGGUAAAGCAGCUAUGGGGUGUCGCACUGCUCAUAUUGAUGAGAGAUGUGGCUGUGAUCAUCUAGAUAAUAUACUGGGGAAAAUUGGCUACAUGAAAUGUUUUGAUUUUGUGUCAGCCCAUAAUUAUUAAGGGAGCAAUCACUUCAUUUGCAAAAUGGAAAUCUGUACAGAAUUUGCAAACGAAUCAUCUAUGAACAUGUGUGCAAACUGAUCAUCUAUGAACAUGUGUGCAAAUUAAUUCAUCUACAUAAACUAAAAUGAAUCAGGAACUGCAGCAUUUUGUCACUGUCCUGGGGAAGCCAAUGGAGAAUCCUGCCAUAUAUCCAUUGUUUAACCCACUUUUUUCAUUAAUGUAUCCCUGCCAUGAACAUUUUCUUGUAUUUGGGUUCAUUACCCCACUUCUUUCAUUAAUGUAUCCCUUGUGUGAAAAACCCUAAUGUCAUGAAAAAAACAGAGCAAAAAACAGAUUUGGGGAAGAAAUGCACUGCUCCUGCCUGUUGGAGUUACCGAGAAGCCGCGGGUGCCGAUUUGACUUGACACACCCACCCGGCCGUCCCCAUUCCACGUGGGGACGUGGCGGUCGUGCACCUCCUGCGGUUUGCAUUGCUAUCGGUCUCACAAGUGGGUCCCCUUGUCAUCCACACAACCACGCCACCACAUGUACCACAUUUUUCUUUCUCCCCUUCUCGACCACUCCACAUCUUUCUUUCUCCCCUUCUCGACCAGCGCCGCCGCCGCCGCCAUCUCCCGACGACCCCUCUCUACGCUGCCGGUGCGCGGCCGCCGCCAACUCCGGCAAGUACGUGAGAUCUCCCCUCUUCUUCCCUUCCCCAACCGCGUCUCCCUACGGAGGCGGAUCUGAGCCGAUUGGCUGUUGCCGGCCGGAGCUCGUCGGAUCUCUCGAUGUCAUGUCUGAUCUAGAUUCAUGACGUGCCCUCGCAUAUGGCUUUGUCCAUGGUUUGAACCUUUGGAUUCAAUCCAAAAGUUGAAAACGGUUUGGACUGGGUUGGAUGACGAGCAUGUAUAGUUCGGUUUGGUCUAGAUUAGUUUUAAUGUGUGCCGUGGAUUGGACUGGUUUUAGUUUGGAUGCCGAACUAUUCCCAGGUUUAGAUGAGACGGGCAUUGCCAUUGACAGUAUAGGUUAUCACUAUGAUUUAUUAUAUGUAUGAUCUUUGUAUUGUACUAUGUACAAUUCAACUUAGAGUUCAACAUGUUCUGUGUAGAAUGGAGGAAGCACCAUGUGGACGCUGCAACUCACGGUGCCGGACCAGCCUUUCUACUACCACGCUGUUCAGCAUCUACUUCCAGCCUUCUUUUGUUGUUGCAGCGGUAACAAUUUAUAUGAACCUUCUGACAGUACAUUUUUUUGCUAUUUCCACUAAUGUAUUGUGUGUGUUAUUUGUUUUUAUCUUACACAGAUCGUACCAUGCAAUGUGAGAUUGGCAUUCAAUGAGCUCAUCGGAGACACCGUGACCUUCGCCGCUCUUGGGGGCCCAUACACUAUGCAGGUCGAGAAGGGGCGAAAGAUAACCCAGAUAGGAGGAGAUGAUUGGGAUCGUUUCAUCACCCGCAUGCGUCUUAGUGGGGGCGAAUUGAUCUGCUUCUCCUUCAGAAGAGAUAGGCCCAGGAUUUAUGUUAUCUAUCUAAAUUUGAUUCCGGAUAGUGAGGAUGAAGUUCAUGAGGAGGAAGAUGGUGCUGAUUCAGAUGAUGACGAUUCAGAUGAUGAUGAGAACCCACUUGCUGAAUACCUGUAUGCCCAAGGACUCAAACUGGGCGACGAGGAAAUCGGCAACCUCUGGGACAUGCUUCCGCUACGUGAAGACUACCUAGGGAAGCCAUUCGUGACCCGCCUCACAAGGACGAAUGUUAAACGGCAUAUCAUGGUAUGUUACUUAGUGUGGUAAUUACAUGAUAUGCAUGCUUAGUUAGGGUAGUAGUUCAUAUGAUAUGCAUGUUGUAGUACUGUGAUGAUAGGCCUAGUUUAGAAUUCAUUUAGUGAAGAAUUUUAUGACAUGCAUGUAGUGUAGUAAUAUGCGAUGAUAUGCUUAGUGUACGCAGUAAUCUAAUGAUAUGCCUAAUUACUGUAGUAAUUCGAUGCUUGGCGUAUAGUGUAGUGAUGUGAUGAUAUAUAUGCUCAGUGUUGAAUCCAAUGAUAUAUGUGUCUUGAAGUGUAUCCUUUGUUGAUAAUUGCACGUGACAUGAUCAUAUGUCAUGUCAACUAUUUUCAGAAAUUACCUAAGAGGUUACUUGAUAGCUGUGGCAUCGACCCGGACGAAGAAGGCAUGGCUGCUGGACUACGCCUUACCAGAACGGGCUCCAUCACCAGCUGUGCCUAUGCAGUGGACACGGACGGUCGCACUGUCUUGAGCAGGGCAGGGUGGAAAAAGUUCCUUCGUGCCAAGAAUCUUCGGGUAGGACAGGCCAUCCUACUCACUGUUGCGAACACCCGUCGCCAUGACUUGAGGAUGAUGAUCACCAUCCACCUCAUUUAGAACUGGGGUGGGCCAUGUAUCAAUGUGAAAUGAACUUUUUAUGUUAGCUCUUGUUUGCGAGUACUUGUCGUGUAUUACCGUACCUAUAUGUACUCAUAUCUAGGUACUAUUGCUUGUGAUGGAUUGCAACUAUUAUUAACUGGUAACUAAUGCUCUACUAGCUAUGAUUAUUCCACUGUGUGAUGUUUUAUAGGCUGUAGUGUGACAUGGUAACUGUUAUAUAUGGUAACUAUUAUAUAUGUUUGCUGAAGCUUCCGAAGAAAUUUACAUACAUUUUCUGAAAUUCGAGAACAUUUUUUUAAUUUUUGAUUUUUUUAGAUUUGAACUUUUUUAAAAAAAAUGGGUGAACAGUUUUGAAUUAUAUUUUUUCAUCAACUUCAAAAAAUAUUCGUAUUACUAAGAAAUUGCGAAAAUUUUUAAAAUUCACGCUUUCUUAAGAAAAACAUAAACAUAUUUUGAAUUCAGGAACAAUUUUUUAAACAAUGAACUGUUCUUGAAAUCAGGAAAAUUUUCCAAAUUCAGAAAUAUAUUUUUGAAAUUGUGAACAUUUUUUAAAUUUCCUAAUAUCUUUUACGAAUUCAUGAACAUUUUUGAAAAAUUCAUACAUUUUUCAAAAUAUUUUGAACAUUUACUAAAAAUUCAUGAACAUUUUUUUAACAUAUGAACACUUUCUAAAAUCACGAACAUUUUUUGAAUCUGUGAGAUUUAUCAUGUCCUGAACAUUUUUUCAAGCCAUGAAGAACUUUGGAAUGCGAACAUUUUUUCGCAAUUUGCAACUUUGUAGAAAUCCUGAAUUACUUUCAAAAGGAAAAAUAGAAAACAGAAAAAAUAAAAAGGAAAAACGAAAGGGGCUUCCCGCCCCUCACAUGGGCUGGCCUUAAGGGCGCAUGAGGGAGGGCGGGUGCAUGCUUCCUUGGUUUCGGGCGUGUUGGUCGUCAUAUAGGAUCGUAUGCCCGGCCGUAUAUGUAUUUCUUUGUAUACGGCGGCCUUUCGUGCACGCGUGAAGCCGCCCGCGCGUGGGGCAGCACGUGUCACGGGUAGUUGCCAAAACUGUCCCAUCAUAUAAAUGUGGACGGCAACCACCUCCGGCCGCAUCGCCCACCAUUUCCCCCCGCCGCAUCGUCUCCCUCUCUCCACUCCCCACUCCCCAAAACCCUCUCCUCUCCAACCUCCUCGUCCACCUCACCGCAUCCUCUCCAUCGCCAUGGCGGACGCAGGAGGCAAGCGCCCCGAUUGGGGCGCAGAUCUGGUGGAGCAGGCGCGGCAGGUCGCUGCGGGCACCUUUGUGAGGGGGCGUGCCGGCGUCCAGCGCGGUGCUCCCUCCGCUGGAGAUCUAGAGAAGGCGGGGCCGGGCCGCAGCAGCGUGGUCCAGCCAGAUGCGCCCGCUCUGGCGAUCUCCGGCGAGGCGCAGAAGGUGGAGGCGGGCUGUGGCGAGGCGCAGAAGGUGGGGGCGGGCUGUGGCGAGGCGCACGAGGUGGAGAAGGUGGAGAAGGUGGAGGCCAGCUCCGGCGAGGAGGAGGCGGAGCAGAAGGUAUCUGCUUAUCAUUUUUAGUUGGUAGUUUUUAGAUUGUAGUGUUUGUGGCCAGAACUUUGUUUGGUUAGAUUUGUGCAUGGCCUUGUGUUUUGGAAAUUGUCUACCUGAGGUGAUUAGAUGGUGCAUUAGUUUGGUUGUAAAUAUAGUGAAGGAUGUGCUCAUGUACUGGGUGUUGUCAUGUUAAUCAAAAGGAGCUUCUCAAGGGCUGGAUUUUUUUGUGCUGGAUUGGGGCUUCUGAAGGAGAGGGGAAGCGUGGUCGAGGGGAAGGGGCAGUCUAUGCUUAUUUAGUUUGGGUUAGUUGUGGAAUUUUGUUGUUGCUUCAGAGAUAUUGACAGCAUUGAACAUCCUCUGCAAUGCCGUUGCUUCAAAGAUAAAAGCAUCUUGGGGUUUUUUCAGAUGCUCAUUAGAUUAGUAGUUCAAUUUUUGCUUGUUAGAUUUUAAUUAGUAUGAGGUUGAAUACCUUAUAUAAGGGGGAAUUUAAGGUCAGAUAGAUGUCAUAUGAUUAUUAGAUCUGUAGUUCAAUGCUGCUGACAUUUAUGAUUAUUUGUUUUGAUCUGUGGUUCAAUGAUACUGGAUGGAAACAUAUUUGAUUUCGAAUGCAUUAAUUUUGAUGUGCCAAUGUAUUGAUUUAGAUGAUACAACAUUCAUCUAUAGUAUAAUUUGUUGUUGUUUUGGUAAGUAAUGAAAUUUUAGAUGUUUGUUGGAGAUGUAUGCAUUUAUAGUUGAAGUUAUACCUAAUUAACUACUGCAUUAUGUUAAUAUGUGUAGGAGCUUUGCUGCAUUAUCCCAAAAACAGUAAUCUGUGCAUAUUGAAAUUUGUAGUUGGCUUAUGUAAUUAGUAUAUACUAUAUGUAAAGUGUGAAGUAAACAUUCCAAGGCAGGAUCCUAGCAACAAAAUAUACUAUAUGUUUCCAUUAAGUAGUGUGGGGGGGAAUUCCCUCAAAAGAAAAGUGUUGGGUAAAUUCAGGGAAUGUCAAGAAUCCAGCUUGCAUUUUCAUUAGCAUUUAUGAAGGAAAUCAUUUGUCUUUUGAUUGAUUGCUUAGAUUCUUUAUUUAUAAGGAAAGCAUUUGGUCACUUGCAACAUACCAAUGUGGUUCACAUUCACAAUUUUGUUUGUAAUGACAUUCUGUUAACUGCAAUUCAAUUCAUUGUAAUUGAUGUGCUUGUUUGACAAUAUAGCAGCAGGAGGAGGAGCAAUUAGUGCCCAACAAGAGGAAGUGGGACAAGACUGGGUUCUACUCAUAUGACUCUGAUGAAGAUGAGCCGUACGAGGUAAGGCCUAGUUGAAAUGUUAUUUGUGCAUUGAGUUAGUAUUACGUGUUUAUAGUUUUUUGAAUGCAUAAUGUAUUAAUGUCAGUCAUUAAUGUGUGCAGUAUGAAUCUGGAGAUGAUGUGGACGAGGGGAACGUCGAGUCCUUUGAAGAGAAGGAGGUGCAGAAGAUCAGGGCCCAAGGAUCUGCCAUGUACUACAACUGGAGGAAGGACAAGUACAGGUGCCCCUACUGCAGUAAGCCCAAGCCCAGGUCUGGGUUGCAGGAGCAUCUGAUGCAGCAUUGUCGGGCUACAUCCACCAGCAGUCAUGACUACAAGAUCAGUGCUCAGCAUUCUGCCCUCCACAAGGUCCUGAAAAACCCUAACCUCUAGUCGUACAUCAUGCUGAUCAUCAGAAGCUGGAAGCCGUACUCAUCAUCACUAUAUUUGAUGAUGUUUUACUUUUGGAAACUGUGGUGAACUUCUAUUAACGUAAUGUAAUGUAAUGUAUUGUGUGUGUGAACUGGAUCUGUGGUGAACUUCCUGGUACAUGUGGUGGUAACUUAGAAUGAUAUCUAUAUGUGUGGCCUUAACUUUAUUGGUGGUGAAUGCUUCCUUCAUGUUUAGUUGUUGUUUCGAUGGUGCAAUUAUCACAAAUGGCGCUUCAGUGUUGCUUCAGACAUGCUAACUGUUCUAUAUGGUAGUGGCACUUCAGUGUUGCGCCAGGUUGUAGUAUGAAAUGCUAACUGUUCUAUAUGGUAGUGGCUGAUCUCUAAUUGGACGGACAUGUUGAACUAGUAUCAAUGCAAACUCUUAAGAUAAACGGCAGAUCAACCACCGCACAGCAUCAGUUCAGACACACCAUAGGACAUAAGUUCAGACACACCUAACAACAAAGAAACAUAGAUAUCAUAAAAGGACACUGCGCUAGCAACUUGAAGGCAGACUUUGAUCUCUCUUCAUGCCGCGUAGUGGCAGUGGUAGUAGGGGUCAGCCUCCUGUGCUUCUGAAAUUUCCACACCUGAUUUGAUGUUGUCUAUUAUCUUCCAAGCCUUGUAGGUGGCGUACGCAUCCUUCGCUGCGUACUCGAUGAGGUAGUCUGGCAGCGGGUUGAUCCCCCACAGUUUAUGGUCUUCGGUCCUGUUGAUCUUCUUCUUCAUGUUUUGGUAAAAUGGCUGGAUGACGCUGGCUGCAACAUCAGCCAAGGAGUCGUACGGCUUCUUUCUGCAGCCAUAUGGAACUCUAUAGUUUUUCUGAAUGUCGAUGUACUUUUCCGGGUUGAUCUCCAAACCAGACAUCUUCAGCAUCUCUUUGUCAUUAUGAAUCCUGAAACCGGCAAAGGUGAACAACUUCUUCUCCUGGAGGAAGCUCUUGAGGCGCUUGGGCCUUCAAGGGGAGAGACAUAUUGAAGAUUAGUAGUAAUUUUGAAUAUUUAGGAGUUGUUUGGUUUGUGACUAAGUUUGCCAAAGAUUGCCACACCUAAGGUUAGGCAAGUUUGACCAACUUAGGUGUGUGUUUGGUUCAAGCCACACCUUAGGCAAGCCACACUUGGGUCCCACAUGGCAUACACACAAAAAGUGUGGCAAGAUUCCCUUAGGCUUGCCAACUUGUGGCCCUCAUUUUGAUGAACUAACCUUAGGCAAACUUGGCAAAAAAUUGUGGCAAAGUGUGACACUGCUAGUGCCAGAACCAAACAAUACGAGUGAUGAAUGCAUGAAGUACAUGAUGUUAUUUCUCUUUUUGGAUCAUACAGUUUAAAAUAACACUACAGCAAACUACUUCACUACAUCAACUUCAGAAACAACUUUUAAUACAUCUAGUCCAGUCCAUCCACACCGGUAGACACAACACUAAUGCAUCAAUAUCAGAAACUACACUAGUAUAUCAGAAACUACACUAGUAGACACAACACUAAUACAUCUAGUCCAGUGGAUCAACUUCAGAAAAUAACACUAAUGCAUCAAGUGCAGAAACUACACUAGUAUAUCAAGUUUGGUGAUUAAUCUGGUGCAAGAUUUUAAGAUACUAAUCCAGUGCAUCAGGGUAAAAAUCUAUGCCAGUGCAUGUACUUGAGAAACUACACUAGUGCGUCCACUUCACAAUCUACACUAGUACAUGUAGUUGAGAAACUAGGGUAUAUGAGUAGGAUGGCUCACCAUUUUGUGGCCGCAGCGAUGUGGUACACCAGGCAGAGUUCCUCCACGCAUAACUGCAGAACUGCUGCGUACUGCGGAGGUUCGUCAUCCCUGGUAUACUCCACAUCAACGCCGACGAAUCUAGGAUACAUGCCGGCGGCUUUCAUGAAGAGCCUCCUGAGCAUUUCGUCGGCAGUGUCUGGAUUGCUGGUGCAGACGACCUCCAGCGUCUCUUUGCCGUGGAGUUCCACCUUGUCAAGUUUGGUGGUGUAGUCGCGCUUCUCACCGGGGACCUGAACGUCGUCUUCCUUGAUGCUCUGGUCGGACGUCUCGCCACACCGACGCUUGGCAGACGGCUCCUCCGCCAUUGCCCUUCUCCAGCGACGGCGGUUUUGAGACAGAGACGGUGGUUGCAGUUUGUGGAGUAGAUGGACGUGGUUCGCAUAAUGAGGGAGGAAUGGAGGAGAAGGUGCCUUUUUGAGUUCUGGGGGAGGCGGUUCGUCGCGUGAGGGAGGCGCUCGUCGUUAUCGUGAUCGUGGGGGUCGUGGGGCUCGUACUGUUCGUGUUCCAUUCUGUAACCACCCACGGGCCUGCAUCGUGGCCCAUAUCACUGGGUUUGUAGUCGUAUGCAGGCCGUGGUGUGUGAGAAAACUCAUGUUAGGUAGGUGGGCUUUUCUCCUCCUUCACCCGGCGGCCGUGAUGUAAACAUGAGAAGCAAGUUUGCUAAGGUUGUAAACGGACCCAAUAUUUUUCUACAUCUUUGUAUCAACAUGAAAAGCAUUCAUGACUAGUUUGCUAAGGUUGUCGGCAUUUGUAUGGAUUUUCUAAGGUUUUUGCAACGAUAAAAUGCUUAAAACACUUCUGACAUGUUGUGAUGUUUUCGGUAUUUACUGGUCUACUCGCUGGGAUUAUUCCACUGUGUGAUGUUUUGUACGUGCCAGGUUGUAGUAUGAAAUGCUAACUGUUCUAUAUGGUAGUGGUUGGUCUCUAAUUGGACCGACAUGUUGAACUAGUAUCAAUGGUAGAGGCGUUUCAUUGUGCGCCACAUCCAACAGUUCACAUAAUUAAUUAUCCAAAGAUUAAGGUAUCAAACCCUUGGUCAUACAAAGCAACAUUUCGUUCCUAAAUAUUAAGGUACUUCCACAUUCAAACUAACUAAUACUACAAAUUCGAAGGAACUACUUAAUACAUUAACAGCACAUAGGGAAGUAGCCCUGGUCCAACGGCUUGAGAAAGGACGAACAAAAGCUGAAAUAAGAAGGAUCAGCCAGUAGCAGCACCAUCAGCCUCCCAGCCUCAUAACUUCAGCCAGCCUGGUGAACUCCAGGUUUUUUCCUGCAAAACACACCUGGGAUGUUGGAGGCAAGAAAAUAAAUUUGCCAGGGGUCUUGUCAUGGCAGCUAAUCGCUCGGAAUGCUAGUACAAAUGAUGGAGAACAAAACAUCCAACAUGAGCAAAUUCAUAGGAGUUCUAGAUCCAUGGAUACCAUCAAGAAAAAAUGCUCAGUUCUAAUUCAGACACAACACUUGGUGAAAACAUGCAUAUUCGUAUCAGCAACAUUGAUAUGGCAUCGGAGUACUACCCAGUACUUCGUAUUUGUCUGCCGUUAGAUCGACAUCAACGAACGGUUCUAAAAAAGCCCAACCACUCUAAAACAUGAGUAAGCCAACAUCCCUACAAAAAUUAUUUCACUGCUUAUGUCUAUUUUUUUGCUGAAUCAUUAGGAAGCCCUAAAUAUUUGGAUGCAAGAUCACCGACAUGGCACUACUGAAAUAUUUCAGUGUCUACAUCUCUGUACUGAAAGUGCAUUACUGAAAUAUUUCAGUGGCUACGUGUGUGUACUGAAACAGCACCACUGAAAUAUUUCAAUUGCUACAUGCGUGUACUGAAACAGCACCACUGAAAUAUUUCAUUUCGUACGUGCGUGUACUGAAAGUGAACCACUGAAAUAUUUCAGUAGGUACGUGCAUGUACUGAAAGUGCACCACCGAAAUAUUUCAGAGGCUACGUGCUUGUACUGAAACAGCACCACCAAAAUAUUUCAGUGGCUACGCGCGUGUACUGAAACUGCUACACCGAAAUAUUUAUGGGGUUGCGUGCGUGUACUGAAACUGCAGUACUGAAAUAUUCAGUGUCUACCCGUGUGUACUAAAAUUGCAUUGCACGACUGAAAUUUUUCAGUGUGUACCCGUGUGUACUGCAAUUGCACUACUCAAAUAUUUCAGUGUGAACCUGUCAGUACUGAAAUAUUUCAAUGCCUACAACUAUCUACUAAACUUGCAGUAUUGAAAUAUUUCAGUGUCAACCCAGAGUCUAUCACUCUAAACUGUGUACUGAACUUUUCUGGAGGAACUGCUUGCAGCCAAAAUAUUGCAAGUUCAAUUUACACAGAUUGCAUCACGUCAUUUGAACACAACUCUUGAGGUGACAGACAAAAUUUCCUAUCAUGGAUACAACUCCAGCACAUCAAAACGUAGCAAGUAAACAUAGCAAUGCUAUAUGCCUAGACUCAUUACAACCUCGUCGAUCAAACUAAGCUGCCAUCCAGAGGCUACGGAUUCAAGUACACAGGUAGCAAGAACAUAUUGCAGAGAAUCAAAUUAAGCAAGUGGCAAGUAAUGAUGAAUGAAAUUCAGCAAUCUUACCCUAAACAUAGCUACGGCCGCCGUUCUGACGAGGAGAGCGGCGAGGGAAGCGUGGAGAACGGCGGGGAAGCGAUGUCGCGACCACUGUCCUCCUCCUCUUGCGCUUCGGAGUCAUCUCCGACUCGGUUGGAGGCUCCACAAUCUGCAACGGCACCUCGUGCACCGUGGGUUCCUGAUCCAGUGGAUGCUCUACCCUGGAUCUGAACGCCCACCACCUACGCCUGAUCCACGGGCUGGACGAAUCGGCCUGCUCCAUCGCCCAGAGGAGGAUCUCGACCUUGUGCAUCGGUUGUGCGGGUGGGGGGGAAAGCUUUGCCCUCUCCCUCCUCGUCAUUUGCUUCAAAGUGGCCAUUGCCGUCCAGUUCAUCUGCAAUAUGUUGUGAAACCAAGAACGGAUCUCCGUCAACCUGGCCAUCUUGACCUGGUCGCCGCCGGCGAUCUCCAUGAAGUCGGUGUUCUCGCCGCCGGCGAUCUCCACGAAGUCGGCUUUCUCGCCGCCGCCGGUGUGCUCGAUCUGCUGCUCCAUCGAGGAUCUUGCGUGGAUGGAAGAGGGGGGUGGAUGUGGAAGAUGAGAAGAGCAAAGUUGCGGCCGCGAGAAGGAGGAGAAGGCUAGGAGAUGGCCGCGGUUGCAAUGGUGAUGGAAGAGGGGAAGGAGCACGGCGGCGGCUUUGCAUUGGACGAGAGGGGUGGCGGUUUUGCAUUGGAGGAGAGGGACGGCGGUUUUGCAUUGGACGAGAGGGCCCCACCUUGUCAUAUAUUUCCUAGGACUAAAAUGCCCCUAGACUAAUAGUACUUUCGAGUACUUUCAUCCGCGUACUUUCGAGUACUGCGUAUGUAUGCGCCGUUAGAUCGAGACAAACGAACGGCUCCAAAAAAUGCCAACUACUGUAAAACUUGUAAUGUUAAUAUAGAUGAUACACGCGUAGUGAAUAACUAAACAUAAUAACAACAAUGAUUUUCGUUGGUUCGUGAGAGGUUUGUUGAUGCUCCCUUUGUCUAUGCUAAACUAAACGUGUAUAUGCCAUCUUUUGAGAUGGGCGCAUUCCUUGGAUUAUUGCCAACUUGGUAAAUGAUAUGCUAGGUGUUCACAUUCUGACCCUUGGUUUAGGUUUCUCUAAAUAUGGUUGUUUUUUAUGUUCUCACGAGAAGUAGGGCAUAUCCCGGACUUGUGCAGUUCUUUAUUUUACAGAGGUUUUUGUCAUUCAUGUUUAAUUUAUUCAUUGGCUUGGACGCUAAUGGUUCAGGCCUUUGUACCCCUAUUGUUGUCAUUUUUACAGGUAACCUGUUUUCUCAUGCUGAUUUCUCUUCGCAUCUUUGUUUGACCAUGAUAUAUUCAGAUAGGCUUAUUUCGAUGACAUCCUACUAUUAGUCAGCAUAACAAUGGACCAGUACCCAUUGUCCACUAGAUUUUCACUGUGAGUUGUGCGUCUUAGAUUUACUCUGUUAAUGUUACACACAUGCUUUAUCCGAGUGAAGUUUAUAACUAAUUGGAGCUGUGGACAACAUUGAUGUUUUGGAUGAAUGGUUCAUUGAAGAGAUGAUCUGAAGUGGGAGUGUCAGACACACUAUUCGAUGAACCGAUUUCAGAUGAUAAAGAAGUAUUUGCUAUUGAAGAUGACGAGGAUACAACUUCACACUGGACAAUUCCUCUGCUCCGUGUGUUGAUAACAAGGCAUGCUUGCUGUGAUGGCAUGGUUUCUUGCAACAAAUUUCUUUCUUCCCGGCAUUUGUUUUAGCAGACAAUCAACCUUGAACAUAUACAAUGACAUCCCACUUGCUUGUGAAUUACAAAGGCCAGAUUUUCUGCUAGAUGGGAUAUUGGUGCUGGAUUAUACAUGCAUGCAGAUAAAUUGAGCUCUGUGUUUACAUACAUAGAAAAGAUGCAACCAUGCUGCUCUUUCACUUGUGUGAUAGGGACCUGACCCAACCCGACCCUCUGAAAGACCACAAUACACAUGAUAUGAGGAAGAUGGCAUGUGCUUCUAUGAGAGAUGCACUUUGCAGUUUGCUGGACUAAUAGCAUUGGCAUUGUAUUUGUUUUCUCUUUACCUCGCAUUGGCGGCAUCCUAUUUGAUUAUAGGUAAGAAGGUAAGAGUUGGCAAACAGGACCAUGGAUAUGAAACAAAACUAUUGUGGGUGGAGUUAAUGUUGCUCUCUAAUUUUUUUGUAAUGAUUUAUACUUCUGUGACUUCUAAUAAAAAUCUAUGUAGUACACUAUUAUUGAUUUUCUCCAAGUUUUUUGUUACAUUUUCCUUUUUAUGUGAAAUGAAUCUUGUUUGUGCUAGCAAAACAUAUUUAUUUCUUAGAUAAUAAAUUCAUUGGAAUAUAUAAUGGGGCAUACUGAAUCUCUUAGAAUGGAUACAACCAAAAAAAGAGUUUGGUAGACAAUGAUGAAGGACAAAACGGCGCAGCAAAGCGCGCUUUUGCUUCUAGUAUGUACCAAAAUUAAGAACAUUGCGGACUUCAAACAAAAUUUUCAUAAUUGUGGUACUUGAUGUUUGUUAAAAGAACUAGAGAUAAAAAUAUUUAAGAAACAAAAAUGUGUUUGGAAACCCCGUGUACAUGAACAUAUAUAUGGUUUUGAACUUUUUUUAACCGAUGAAUAUUCCGUAUACAUCAACUUAUAUUUUUGAAAUACAUGAAUAUUUUUAAUCACAUGUUUUCUUGAACCCAUAAACAAUUAACAUAAAUUUUUUCUUGAACCCAUGACCUAUUUUUUGAACCUCAUGAACAUUUUUUUUAACGCACGAACCUAUUUUUUAAUCCAUGAACAUAUUUUUUGGAACCCAUGAACAUUUCUUUUGAAUCCGUCAACCUUGUUCUGGAACCCUUGAACAUUUUAUAAUUCCGUGAUCGUAAUUUUUGAACCUCGUGGAUAUUUUUUUUUCAAACUACAUAAACAAUUUGUAAAUAUGAAUGAAGCAUAUUCCGAAUCUGUGAACGCAUUAUUUUGAACACUAGAAAAUUAUUUUUAACCUCGUAAAAAAGUUUUCAAACUACGUGAAUAAUUUUUAAAUAUGAAUGACAAUAUUUUCUGAAUCCAUGAAUGUAUUAUUUUGAACCCAAGAACAAUUGUUUGAACCUCAUGAACUUUUUCUAAAAAUACGUGAUUUUUUAAAAAUAUGAAUGAAACAUUUCUGAAUCCAUGAACAUAUUAUUCUGAACACAAGAACAAAUUUUAAACCUCGUGAGCAUUUUUUCCAGACGACAUGAACAAUUUUUAAAUAUGAAAAAAAACAUUAUCCAAAUCCAUAAACUCAUUAAUUCGAACCCCAGACGACAUUUUUCAGACCUCGUGAAUAUUUUUUUCAAACUAAGUGAACAAUUUAUAAAUAUGAACAAAAUAUUUUCCAAAUUCAUUAACAUAUUAUCUUAAACCCAAGAAUAUUUUUUUAAAACUCGCGGCCAUUUUCCUAGAUCCAUGAGACUCGAAUGGCCUGAAACAGCCAACCUUAUCUUCCCGGUCGCCAACGCCUCCCGAAUCGUCACCGCCUCCUACCUCCCAGCCCCGCCUCCGCAUCACGCCUGCCGGCGACUCCCCACCCUGCCGCCCCCUCGAAGGCCCAACCGCCGCCCCCCGUGCGGGCGCCGUCCCCACCGGCCNNNNNNNNNNNNNNNNNNNNNNNNNNNNNNNNNNNNNNNNNNNNNNNNNNNNNNNNNNNNNNNNNNNNNNNNNNNNNNNNNNNNNNNNNNNNNNNNNNNNNNNNNNNNNNNNNNNNNNNNNNNNNNNNNNNNNNNNNNNNNNNNNNNNNNNNNNNNNNNNNNNNNNNNNNNNNNNNNNNNNNNNNNNNNNNNNNNNNNNNNNNNNNNNNNNNNNNNNNNNNNNNNNNNNNNNNNNNNNNNNNNNNNNNNNNNNNNNNNNNNNNNNNNNNNNNNNNNNNNNNNNNNNNNNNNNNNNNNNNNNNNNNNNNNNNNNNNNNNNNNNNNNNNNNNNNAUAAGGCGAUAAAAGAGAGAUACACGGUGCAUUCACUUCUUUUAGUCCUGAAGCAAGUAUACCUCCAUAGCUUUUCAAAAAAAGUAGUAUACUUCCAUAUAUAAUCCAAGGAAGCCCUACUACUGGUUUUGACGUCCAGAUGGUAACAUCUGACCUGAAUAGUAAUAUUAAAUUUCAUUCUAGCUCGGCUAAAUGAAAGACAAAUCUAGUACAUAAAGAAAACUCAGCAUGUUAUAGAUAGUUUCUACACACAAGGCAAGAUUAAUUGUAGUAUUUUUCUGUCUGUAUCUAACAUAACAGCUACGUAUGCGAGAUUUGUCCAAUACCUUCUUUAUGAAUGAAAGAUAUAUAAAUAAACAAUAAUAAUGAAAGUAGUACUUUACUUAUUAAUUAGGUAGAGACACUGCAACUGAUUCUCCAAUGCCUUUGCUUCUAGUUACAGGCCGGACCGUUUGUCCUGUUGGUAAAAUAAUAAAAUGUCAAACCUCGAGGGCGCGAAUUUAUUGUCCAAAUGCUAUGUAAUGUGAGCAAAAAAUCUUACAUCACAGAUAAAAACUACUAUCGGUGGCUUGGAUCAAAUAGGUUACAGAAGUCAAAUGAUAAUUAAUGGGAAUGAACCAUGUACGGUCUUAUUUACAUCAAAAUAUGGUAGCAUAUGUCUGGGUAUUACUAACUCAGGCAUGUGGAUAUUGCUGUAAAGCUUUGUCUGAAAACUAAAUAUGGACAAAAGUUUAGGAAUGAUAUAGAAAUAGAUCAAUGUUGCCCAUGCCCAUAAAUCAUGCACAAUACACUUCUGUUUCUAGUAGCUAUCAAUAAAGUAAGAGUACGUUUAAUUUAGCUUUAGUUCGUAAGCAAAAAAUAUAUAGUGCCAAUAGAUCAAUUAUUCCACCAAUUCCAUUUGCUAACUCCAAUCCGACUACCUAUAACCUGUAGGUACCAAAAGAGUAUGGAGCAAGCUUAAAAUUCGAAGGAAAAGAAAAUAAUAGAUACGAUUUAACAGGAGGCCCCAUAAAAUCCAAACCACAAAUAUUAUUCAAUUUCAAAAGGAGUGUUUUUUCCACGGAAGCAAAGUAUUUGGAACCUAUUCAAAGAAUGAACUUCUUUUAGACUAAAUAGGAAAUAAAAUACUAAAAGCCAGAUUAUAAUUAGAGAUUAAAGUACUAUGCAACUCACUAGGGACACCUGCAAUCAAAUAUUGAUCUCCCUGAUUUCUUGCCAGAGACACCAGUUCUGAUUUCUUUUGAUCAUCUGGAUCUGAUUCGAGUCAAAAGACUAAAAAUCUUUCGUCUAACGUCACAAAUGAUCAGAAACUAAGCUGGUUUAUUUGGUGUGUUUGCCUUCAGCCAUUGAAUAAGACCGAGCAAUCAAUCUCCAGAAUAACAUGACCCUGUAAUUAAAUUUUCGACAGUGCAUUCAAACUAAUCAAAGCGGGAGCAACCUCUGCCUCUUAAGUUUCAGCGAACUGAGUAAUGCUUCGCCCGAGGGAAUAGAACACCAUGCCACGUUCUGAUCCCUGGCCACCAUACCUACCUAGUAGCGUGCCGUAUCCGGUACGAAAGAAGCAUCAGUACGAAAUUUAACCUUACCAACGUCUGGGACCUGCCAAUGGAUGACAGCCGCAACACCUGUCUCUUGGUCCCUGUUCGCAACAAUAUCAUUAUGCUGCCUGUUACUACCUGCUUUGUUGACAAUCAUAUCUGAUCCCAAGGGAUCGCUCGCAGCUUCUCCAUGUGGAUCACUCAAAUCAGUACAGGAAGGGAUGUUGAGAAAAUAGGAUCGGUUAACCUCAGGAACACACGUCUAGGAAUUCCAGUAUUAGUUUGCGUCCUCCAAUUAAAUCCAAACACUCUGAAUCUGGUGCAUGGUCAAAUCGAAUGGCAGGAAGCAAGAGUCAAUGGAUCGCGGAUUAAAAAAAUCACCAUCAUGCUAUAGGAGUGAGCAGUUUAUAAGAGCAUGUCUAGUAGAGCCCUCAAACCCUUAAAUCUGGUUUAGUUUUAAGGGUUGAGAAUUGGCCAUUUUUGACACUUUUAAGGGUUGAAAAACAGGGGCAAAGACUAGAACCCUCAAACCCAACCCUUAUAACAGAAUAUUCCGUUAUAAGGGUUGGGUUUGAGGGUUCUAGUCUUUGCCCCAACCCCAACCCUUAAAACUGUCAUUUGACAUAUCAUAAUUUUCAUUAGAAAAACACAAUCAACCUUCAAACAAACACGGAAAUGAAGAUCAUUGAUGCAUGGUUUAAUAGUUUACAUCACACAAUCAUCAUCUUCCCCCUCUCAUCGGCACCAUCACCAAAAAGUUGCACAUGGCGCCAUCUCCUUGACCACUUCCACGUCCAUCAAGCACCUCCAUUUUCGCCGGUGGUGGAGUUCUCCCCACCGCCAUCGCCACCACCACUCAUCGGAGUGUCACCUCGAAGAGUAGAGGAUGCACCACGGAAUAUCCUCUUCCUCUCCGCGAUGUCCUGCUUGUACUCCUUCCACCACAUCAAUUGGUCUUCAUCCAUGUCCUUCUUGGACAUCAUCAUGUGCUCCUUCUCUUCCAUCAUGAGUUCUUUCCAUGCCUUUGCUUCUUUGACCUUGAUCAUCAUCUCCUCCAAGUCGGCCUUGCGCUUGGCAUCUUCACGCCUUGCUUCAACUUGUGCAAGCUUCACCUUUUUCUUCUUCUCGUUGAUAAGAAGUUUUGUCUCCAAUGUCUUCGUUGUCAAUGCCUCCCUUGACUUCAUCAUAUGUUCUAUCUUCUCCCUUAUGCUUGACGCCUCUCCUUCCAUCUUCUUCCUUAGCUUAUCCUUCUUGUUUCCAGCGGGCUUGUGCUCGUUCCUUCCCUCCUCUUCACUAUCAUCCAUCCUAAGAAUUGCUGACUUCUUGGGUGCGGUCUCUUGAUCCCUCAACUUCCACUUGUCAUAAGUUUGAAGAAUUUUCCAAACAUGUUUAAAUGGGAAUGCUUUGCCCUUCGAAGCGGCCAUCUCCUUGUACCUCAAGUCAGCAAUUGCCUCCUACAAACCCACCAAUAGCAUAGUAAACAUAUAUGUACUCACAUAACAAUAGCAUAAAAAAUCAAAAUAAAUGUGAAAAACAUAUAUGUACUCACAUAGUCACUCUCCACGGUUCCACUAGGCGGUGCAUCCUUCACUUGGUCCAUCGCCGCACUCCAGCGAGCACAAUGGGGCUUCAUCAACUCCCACCGGCCUUGAAGCGACCGGUAACUACGAGGGAUGUACCCACUGGUCUUCGGCUUGAUCUUGCAAUAGAAGUCCUCUAUGCGUUGCCAAUAGCGUUUACCAGUUUGAUCGGUACCGGUGCUUGCAUCCAAACCCACAUGUGCCCAAGCACGAACCAAGAGAAUAUCUCCGUCCUCGCUAUAGUUUGUCGAGCGCACGGUGGGUUUUGCAACGGCGGUGAACGCCUCCUCCUCUAUCUCGGUCACCUCCUCCUCAUCUUCCCUUCCUCCUCCUCAUCACCAAACCCAAAGGGUUCGAGAGAAGAAGCCCCGAUGUCCACCUCCGCUUCUUCGAGAAGCCCCAUGAACGACAUUGGCGGGGCCGGCAUUCCGUCGAGCACCUUGUGCACGACGGGCGGAGAUGCGGGGGGGCGGGGCGGCCGUCGGCUUAUUCCUGGAGGUGGCCUUCUUCACCUUCGGCGCCGCUGCCCCGUUCGGCCCAAGGGAGGGCUUCUUCCUCACCUUCGGCGCCGCUGCGGCCGGAACGACGGAGGCGACGGCCGGGGCGGGCUGGGGGAGGACGACGUGCUGGCCAGCACGCUGCCUCUUCGCGCCGACGGCCACAACCGAAGGUACCUCCGGCGCGGGCGGAGGGAGCGAGGACGGGGCCGGUGCAGGCGUCGCUGAGGCCGAGGCCGGGGGCGGGGCGACGGGCGGAGAGAGGGAGGACGUGGCCGGGGCGGCCGGGGCGACGGAGGAGUCCGGCGGCGCCUCCAUGGCUCGUCGCGGGGGCGACGGGAUCGACGAGGCGUCCGACGGGAGGGAGCGCGCGAGGGGAAAUUUCCCUCCCGUGCAACGACCGGUGGAGUGCGGGUUGGAGGUGGGUUUCCCUCUCCAAUCCUCACUUUUACAGAUUGCGAGGGCAACCCCAGAUCCAAUCCGUAAAAAAAUUGAAGGGUUUAGGGGUUUAGGCGUUUUAUUAUUUUCCCUUUUUUCGUUUCAACCCGUAAAAAACCGGUUAUUUCUGUUUAUUUGAGGGUUUAAGGGCUCUACUAGACAUGCUCUAAGGGGGGAGGAUGUACCUGUAGAAGCAUUCAGAUUCACCAAGCACGCAUCCGCAGCGACGCGGCAAGGGUGGCGAUGGCAUCCAUUUGUCCCGUCCAGCACAUGUGGCAGCGGAAGGAGAUAAGCGUCGACCGUGGGGGGAUUCAACCCGCGCUGGCCUUCUACGAGAGAAAAGUAACGAAUCUGGCCUUCCCCCGUCCCUUUCAUGUGCGUUUCUGGUGGGGAGAUCGAUAGUCGGGGGGAUAUCGAGAGUCGGGGGAGCAAAUUGAUAAUAUGACACACUUUUCCUGGGACUUUGAUCUGAUGACACACCUUUUAAUUGGUUUGAUUAGAUGACACAUCUUUGACUGAUAACUGGAUUAAAUGACACAAAUUAAGUUUUUAUCUCCUUUUCUAGGUAUGGGCCCCACGUCACAUUUUGUAGGACGAUUUUGCCCCUGGUCGUUUCACCUGCCUGGCUCGAUCACUGGUUCGAUCGAUCGUUCCUGGAAGAGCGAACGAAAGCCGCUGCACCGCCGCUCCUGCUUCCUUGCACCGCAGCUCCUGCUUCCUCCCACCUGCGCCGCCGGUGCCCAGCACCGCUUCGCCGCUCCUGCUUCCUCCCACCCGUGCCGCCAGUGCCAAGCACGGCCCCGCCGUGCCUCUUCCCCUAGUGCUGCCAGUUCCCCGCCGCCUCCUGUCCGUUUCUUCUCAUCCGGCAACGCUCCAACCGUUCCGCCCUGUCGACGCCUCGUCCAUGGACUCGUACAACAACAUCGAAUAGCUACAAAUCUACCAGCGAUGGCACGCUCCGGCAACGGCGCGGCCGUGCCGGCGAUGGGAAGGAAAGAGCGAGGUGGCGGCGCGCCAGGAAGGAGCCACGGCGAGAUAAGGCGCCGGGAAGCAUGCAGCAGGAUAACCACGUUCCAUACGUAGAGCUACUAUAUGUACGCGUGAUGCAUGGAGCCUCUGCAUGCAUGUACUGAUCGAGCGAGGCGUGUUUGGCUCUUCCAGGAACGAUCGAUGUGAAACGACCAGGGGCAAAAUCGUCCUAUAAAAUAAGACGUGGGGUCCAUACCUAGAAAAGGAGAGAAAAACUUAAUUUGUGUCAUUUAAUCCUGCUAUCACUCAAAGGUGUGUCAUACAAUCAAACUAAAAGAAAGGUGUGUCAUCAGAUCAAAGUACCAGGAAAAGUGUGUCAUAUUAUCAAUUUGCUCGAGUUGGGGGGAGAAGCAGAGAAGAUCGAGAGCCCGUGGGGAGAUCGAGAGUCUGGGCAAUUAACACAAUCGUGAAGGGUUGGAAGAUUUGUGCCGUUAGCAGGUGGGCUUAGCGCUUCAGUCAAUGGACUUUACCGAGUUGUUCACAAAACGGAACAUAUGAUGUGGCAUCAUGCAGAGGAGCAGUUGCUGAUGAUGUGGCGAGCUUGCUGAUAUGGACGGGAUGCAUGUCAAAAGAAAUGGGUUAGUGGGGAUCAACUAUUUAGAUAUUAUAGAUAAGAUUCCUAGUCUUUAAACUAGUUCCGGAUAGAGUCCAGAUUAAACUACCAACCAUGAUAUAAUUUGUCUGUUAGCAGAUCCUAUCCGUCGAGUCCCCGAAGCACGCGUUUGUGAGCAAUGCGUCAUAAUAGAGUAUGAAUUCCUCUAAUUAUAUAGAUCAACAUUAAGGCUGUAAUCUAAUUACACGAUCUAGCUUCUUCCAAUUAUCAGCCUACCCAGGUAGUCUUUCCAAUAUAUAAAUGAUAUUGUAUUCCACCGAUAAUUGACCAGCUUCCUUAAGCACGCAACACUUAAGUAUAUUCCAGCAAGAAUAAUUCCAUGCAUAAAACACAUGUAUAAUUCCAUAUGAGGUAUUCCGAAUAUUAAUGAUAAUAAGUAUUUGAAUAUAGUUGUAGGACACAUAAUCCUAACAUCUCCCACUUGUCCAAAACGAUCAUUCAAAAAUUCGUAAACCCAUAGCCUUCACAUGCUUACCAAAUACCACCUGACUAAGAGACUUAGUCAAGGAAUCAGCAACCAUAUCAGUACUAGGUAGAAACUCUAACGAAACUGACUUAAGUCUAUUAAUUACAUCACAUAUAUAGUGAUACCUUCCCUCAAUAUGUUUGAUCUUGAUGUGGAACUUGGGAUAUCUGGAAACCUUUAUUGCAGCCUAAUUAUCACAAUACACCACCACUGCUUUGCUAGCACUUUCAACAAUCUUCGAAGUCAAAAGAAAUUCCUUCAUCCACACCGCCUCCUUCAUAGCUUCUGAUGCAGCAAUAUACUCCGCCUCCAUGGAGGAUAAUGCCACUGAAUCUUCCUUCUUAUUAAUCCAAGAUAUAGCGCCACCAGCUAAUGUAAAUAGAUACCCGGACAUAGACUUCCGGUCACCCAGAUCACCCUGCCAACCAGCAUCAGUAUAGCCCUGCAGUUGUAGAUCCUUUUGGUUAAAACAGAGUGAAUAAUCCAGUGUUGCUUGAACAUAAUGAAGAGCAUGUUUAAUCUGAUUCCAAUGCCCACUUGCUGGAUUCAUUUGAUAUCUACUCAACACUCCAACAAUAUAGCACAAAUCAGGGCGUGUGAAUAACAUGGCCUACAUUAAAUAUCACAAGGCAGAAGCUUAUGGAGUCUUCUGCAUUCUCUUCUUUUCCUCAGGAGUUUUAGGGCACAUACCCUCACUGAGUUUAAUUCCUACAACCAUGGGCACUAGAGCAGGCUUGCAGUUUUCCAUAGAGAAAUGUUUAAGAACAGAUUUUAAAUAAUUCCUUUGAGACAAACCCAAAGUUCCUUUAUUCCGAUCUCUAAGUAUUUCCACUCCCAGAACAUAGGAAGGGUUUCCCAUAUCUUUCAUUUCAAAUGUAGAAGAUAACCAAGUUUUAACUUCUAUUAACAUUUCCUUACUACUAGAAGCAAUAAGUAUAUCAUCAACAUACAGUGACAAGAGUGUAAAAUUUCCUCCCACUAUUUUAAAAUAAAAUGCAGUUGUCUCCUUCCAUCAUAGAAAACCCAUAUGAUGUGAUAGCAUCGUCAAACAAGAUAUUCCAUUACCGUGAAGCUUGCCUAAGACCAUAAAUAGAUCUAUUAGCUUACACACUUUUCCCUAAUUUUCCUUCUCAACAAAACCAUCAGGUUGAGACAUAUAAAUCUCUUCCUUCAAAUGAUCAUUCAAGAAGGCAAUUUUAACAUCCAUUUGAUGAAGUUCCAGAUCAAAAUAAGCAGUCAACGCAACAAUAAUACGAAUAGAAGUAAAUUUUGCUAAAGGGGAAAAAGUUUCCACAAAGUCAACACCUUCCCUUUGUGUGUACCCUUUAGCAACAAACCUAGCUUUGUAUUUUUCAACAUUACCAGAAGCAUUCAGUUUUCUUUUAAAAAUCCACUUUGAUUGAAUUUCCUUUCGGUCAUUAGGUAGAUCAACCAAUUCCCAAACUUUGUCCUUUUCCAUGGAGUUUAGUUCCUCGGGCAUGGCUUCCUAUCACUGGGUGAGGACACCGUAAGAUCGAACCCAUCACAAAGCACCUCUUCCCAUUGCAAGAAAAAUGAUCUAGUUAGCCUAACUAAACCAAUGAUUCAAAGAAGAAAUACGAGGCUAUAAAUAAUCAAGCAUAUAAGAGAUCACAGAAGACUCAAAUAAUAUUCAUGGAUAUAGAUCUGAUCAUAAACUCGAAUUUCAUCGGAUCCCAACAAACACACCGUAAAAAGUCAUUACAUCAAAUAGAUCUCCAAGAGACCAUUGUAUUGAGAAUCAAAAAAAGAGAAGAAGCACUCUAGCUACUGCCUACGGACCCGUAGGUCUAUGGUGAACUACUCACGCAUCAUCGGAGAGGAACCAAUGAGGAUGAUGAACCACUUCGUGAUCGUGUUAGAUUGGAUCUCGUGGUUCUGGAACUUGCGGCGGCUGGACUUGUGUUUCGUCGACUCCCCUAGGGUUUCUGGAAUAUUUGGGUAUUUAUAGAGCAAAGAGAUGGUGCAGGAGACCCCCAUGGGCCCAACAACCCAUCAGGGCGCUUCCUUGGCUCCCAAGUUGUCUUCUGGUCCAAUAGAAAUCUCCAAAAAGUUUCAGUGCGUUUGGACUCCGUUUGAUAGGGAUAUUCUGCGAAGUAAAAAACAAGCAAAAACAGCAACUAGCACUGGUGUCGUGGAAUUGUCACGACAGAUGUCCUUAGUGUCAGGACUUAGUCGCGAGGCCAGCGCAUCUAUGUGGUAGCUUGAGAGGGGUUGGGCGGAAUCGAGAGACGUAACACAAGACAAGGAUUUAGACAGCUUCGGGCCCCGGGAAACAUCAUCCGGUAAUAUCCCUACAUGAUGUUUGUGGCUAGGUCUCAUUAUGCUCAUGAGAGAGUCGCCGGUAAGCCGGCUCUUUGUGUCUAGCCCUAGAGAUUGUUUCUUGUUGCUUGUCCCUCUUUGGGGUGCCCUGCCCCUCCUUAUAUAAGUUAGAGGGGCGGAUUACAUGCGGAGUCCUAGUAGGACUAGGACUAGUCUAUCUUUUCUUACAAGUUGAAUAAAAGUCCGGGUCUUGCUUCCUCGUAAAGGAAAUAUUCGUCAUCCCUUUCUCCUUAAGCCGGCCCACCAGAGUAUAAGCCAGCCUGCUGAGCCUUGGGCCUUGUCGUCCGUCUGAUCCGCCCGCCGGGUCUCUAGUGAGUCAUAAUGUCCAGGCGGGUUACCUGUGAAUCGCCAUGUUCGGGCGGAUCACUAGUGAGUCGCCAAGCUCUAGCCAGGUCUCUGGUGAGUCGCCAAGUCUGGCCAGGUCUCUGGUGAGUCGCCAAGUCUGGCCAGGUCUGUGGUGAGUCACCAAGUCUGGCCGGGUCAUACCGCGGGGUAUAUCCCCGACAUUAGCCCCCAGUUUAAUUUGGAUUUAUCCAUGUUAAACUGAUCCUGCAAAAUAAACACAAGAACAAACUUGAUAGGUUGUGUUCCGGGUUAAAUAUUUUCCUGAACCGGCACCUGAUCAUCUUUAAGUCCUUGUCAUUUCCUUGUUGAUAUGUAUAUGUCCAUGAUCUCAUAGUAAAUCUUCUUUAGCAGAUAUGUUUCAACUUUGUCCAUGCAAAAAAUCCAGAUACUUCUUUUGAAAAGUCCGGGUCAAUAGGCCAGCUUCAGAGUCAAUUUGCUGACAUUGGUCUCUUGUAGAGAAAUAUUGUGAAGAAUAAUCCACUUGAGUCGGCUUUCAAAGCGCCGGCUUAGGAAAUAUUGGUCUUGAAAUACUCAUCUAAUUUUCAGCCGGUUUAAAGAUGUAGAACUUGCCGGUUUAAUAUUACCAAAAUUGCCGGUUUGUAAAUAUUGAUGGCACCGAGUCAUAAUUGUUGCCGAUGCCGGGUCAUAAUUGUUGAUGACGCCGGGCUAUGAUUGUUUCAGACACCAGGUCAUAAUGAUUGGUGACGUCGAGUCAAUCUGAUUUGCUCAAAACGGAGAAUUCGAAAGUAUUUCUCCUUAUAUCCGUGUUACCUGUAGCCCCCAAGUGACGGGUUGUCAUGCUUGCAUCAACCUGGGACUUGUAAUUGUCUUAUGGUCACAAAACUUCAACCGGUGUAGCCUCCAAGGGCCGGGUCAUUAUGCAAUAAUGAGCAGGGACUUUGUAGAUGUAGACUUGAGCAGCAACAUGUAGCCCCCAAGGGCCGACUCAGUAAGAUAAUAUUGAGCUGGGACUUUAUAUAUAUUUCCUUGAAAAGAAUACCAUAUGAUGUAAUCCUCUCCAUGGGGCCCGAACCCACGUCCAUAAGGUUAAGAGCUUUGUACUCUUCCAACUGAGUAGUGGACCUUUCAAUAUAAUGGAUUUAAACUUGUGUACCUUGAAUUGUUGACAGGAGCAAUUGGUAGCCCCCAAGGGCCGGCUCAUUACAAUGUGAUGAGUCGGGUCUUCAAUAAGGCCAGUAAAAAUGACUUUGCAUUAGCCCCCAAGUGCCAUGGUACAUGCUGGCAGUGACAUGGGACUUGCAUAUUUGAUGUAAUCUCAACUUUGAAUAAUGUAGCCCCCAAGUGAUAACUCAAUCCUUUAGAAGCCAAUACUUCCAAAUAUAUGAUGAUUGUCACAUGCUGGCGACUUAUCGUCCAAAGCCAAGCCAGGUUAAAUUUAAACCACACUUAUACUUUGAUCUGAACAAAAAAGUCUCAAGACAAAAGCAAAGAUUGCUUGCAAAAACUUAAACCAAAUAAAAAUUGAGGUUUCUGAUUCGAAUACGAUCAGUAAACCGUUCCAAAGGGGUUAAGCUAAGAUUCGAAUACGGUCAUAUAGCCCCCAGUGGCUUUGGCGUUGCCGAUCAAGAGGGUACCGACAGCUAUAUUCUCUUUGGUUCGAAUACGACCUAUGUUUGAACAGGAAGCCCCCAAAUGACCUUGAGAGUUGUUUAACGACGCUGAUUCGAAUACGAUCCACGUCGGACCCAAAAGGGGUUGAGCUAUGAUACGGAUACGAUCAAGAAGCCCCCUAGUGGGUUUGGCAGUGUGCCAAUCAAAAGGGUACCGACAGCUAUGUUCUCUUUGGUUCGAAUACGACCUAUGUUUGAACAGGAAGCCCCCAAGUGACCAUAUAAGUUUUGGCAUUGCGUCGAUCAACAAGGUACCAACAGCUAUGCUUGAUGAGCAGGAAGCCCCCAAAUGAUCAAUAAUAUGAUAAGCCAAUAAGGCAGGAUGCCCACGUUUGAACCGCACAUCAUGGCAGCAAGUUCUCUUUGGCAACCUCUAAUUUUUCUGAGAACUCAAACUUUGCGAGAGAUUAUUCUUUUUGAACCGGAAAUUCUUAAACCGGAUAUUGAGAGCUUCAAAGCUUUGUAAGAGACAAAUUUACCUUGAGCCGGAUGUUUUGGACCAGAUUUGAGAGCUUCAAAGCUUUGCGGGAGAGAGAUGUCUCUUAAGCCGGAUUUUAAACUGGAAUCUUUCUUUUGAAUCGGCAAUUUUCUGACGGCCUUUAAAUUUUCAUCAAUAUGGCGGUGGCCUCCAGAACCGGGUUAUCAUUCCCUCCAAUGACCCGGAGUUCCCGAGUCAUGUCAUUGUAGCCCCCGAGUCUUAAUACUACUCGAGGAGUUGGCUUGAGACUCUCCAUAUUUGACCUUGAUAUAAACCGGCAUGAGUUAUCCAAUAGCUCAGUGAUAUAAUAGUCCCUUUUUACACUAGACAACUUGUCCUUCAUUGGAGAACUUGCAAGCCAGAGUAAUUGUUGUGUUAAAGAAAACAAUAUGUAAUAUAAAAAUAUACUGGAUGGAUUUCACCUGAUAUGUUAGGCCAGAAAUUAUCCACCGCGGAAUUGAUGAUCACCAUGGUGAAGCUGAAAUCAACCACGGACGAGUCGGCCGCAGGAUCAGACAGAUGAGUCGGUCGCGGCGUUGUAAGCCGGUGCGGACGGGCGAGUUAACCGCAGCAUUGUAAGCUGGCACGAACGGGCGAGUCGGCCGUAUGUUGAUGUAGACCGAUCUGCGGGGGACGGCGGCCUGUGCGUGCUUUAUUGGGCAAUUCGCACGGUCCUGACGAGUUGAUGCGGACUGGACCGCGGGAACGGCGGCUCACACGCAUGUCUGUCGAGCAGCGUGGCAUGGACGGAUGCUAGUGCAUGCACUCCGUAUCCGUGGUAUAAUAGCAUAAAAAUUGUCCUGUGUAAAAAUAUUACAGGGCAGAGUAAUUGUUUUUUGACAAAAAAAUAAGUGUUAAUAAGAUAAAUUUAGAUGGAUAUCACCUGAUGUUUGUGAAUGACAGAUGAUCCGUGCGUAAAGUCCGUUAGUCAACCCGGCACUUUGAAUAUGCCAGACCGCAGGGCGGACAGUAAAAACGACUGCAGCAUCAGAGGCGGCUCGGACAGAUGAGUCGGCUGUGGCGUGUAAGCCGGUGCAGACGGGGAGAGUCGGCACCGGCGUUGUAAGCCGGUGCAGACCGCGAAUCAAUCGCAGGCACGGUAAACCGUGCGGACGGCCGAGUCAGCCGCGUCAUGUUGAUGUAGUAGGGGCGGCGACUUGCGCAUGUAUCCAUCCAGCAGCACGGCACGAACGCGCUAGUGCAAAAAUAAUAUUGGCGCACACCCCUUUACGACAUCGUUAUAAUGAAUAAUGGUCCUGUGAAAAAACACCACAGACCAGAAUAAUCAUUCUUUGAUAAAAAUAACAUGUGCUAUUAAAAUAUAUAAGAAGGAUAGCACCUCGUAGUAUCGUGGAGUGGCCGUAGCAGUUCACAGCAAUUAGUACCAGAUUAGUCAACUAGUACUAGUACUCCUCGGGAGCACCAAGUAGUACUUGUGGUUGAUGAAAUCAUCCUCAGCCUUUACCCAAAAUGUCGUAGCGCCAGCAGCUUGUGAAUUGACGUCUGGGGUUUGAAAUCGGCAAAACAGUGUAUCGCAGUCGAAAUUAACUGUCUCGGCGGCUUGGUAAUCUCGACAGCGACUUGCACGCUGCGGGCGACUCGGCAACCAAGCAUAGUCCAGGUCAUGACCGAAUCCUGAAACCGAGUCAAGGCUGUUCCCUUCUUUUUUUUCCUUGACUUGUAUGCUUGAGCCUCGUGAUAAGGUAUGAUUUCCAUAGGAUGUUUUUUAGGACUUUCUCUAAUGAUGACCUUUGACUCUUCCAAACGGAUGUAGCAGCGAUCCUUCCAAUCAGGAAAUGUAUCAUCAGUAGCACCAAGGAAAAAAAGGCCCUGGCGACUGGAUUCUUGUACGGGUCGGUCCAGAGGACCAGUAUCUUCCGUGUGACCCUCGGUCUAGAGGAGAACAAGAUAAAUCUAGUUUAAUAAAAUCAGACUAGACCGAUCCCUGUGUUGCUCGGAUAGCAGUUCGCCUCAGAUCUAAUUUAAUAAUAUUAGCCAACCCAGUAUUUGAGGCUGCUGAGAGCUGUCCACGGUGCAGCAAAAAACGAGGCCGAGACGAAGUCCAGGUCGCUGUCGGUUUUGUCUUCCAUGUUUUCUCAUCUCGAGAGUGGCUUGCAUCUGUUGACGUCUUUUUGGCUGAUCUCAUCUCUUUUGGUCUUGGUCUUUGCUCCUGGCGCCUUGCAGCAGAACCUAAAGAUCGACUUGGUUUAGAUAUCUUAAUUGUACAGGGAACAAAACGCCUGUCGGUCUUGGCGGAUCGUAGGACGGCGGCAGCGAACACACAUAAGCCCAGCGAUCCUAAUUCUUCUUGAACUUUAACCUUGUGCUACCCACUCAAAAAUUUAAUCCUGACUCAACGAUGAACUUUACCGGCUCUGCCGAAAGUUAUGUUAUGUCAGGUUAUCCUGCUAGCCUUUUCUUCUUCUUCAUCUAGUCAACCGCGAGCUUCUUGAUCCAUAUGUGAGAUCCCUCCAAGAACUCAACACCACCGUGCGCGAGCCCCACGGUAGGCGCCAACUGUCGUGGAAUUGUCACGGCAGAUGUUCUUAGUGUCAGGACUUAGUCGCGAGGCCAGCGCAUCUAUGUGGUAGCUUGAGAGGGGUUGGGCGGAAUCGAGAGACGUAACACAAGACAAGGAUUUAGACAGCUUCGGGCCCCGGGAAAAAUCAUCCGGUAAUAGCCCUACAUGCUGUUUGUGGCCAGGUCUCAUUAUGCUCAUGAGAGAGUCGCCGGUAAGCCGGCUCUUUGUGUCUAGCCCUAGAGAUUGUUUCUUGUUGCUUGUUCCCUCUUUGGGGUGCCCUGCCCCUCCUUAUAUAAGUUAGAGGGGCGGGUUACAUGCGGAGUCCUAGUAGGACUAGGACUAGUCUAUCUUUUCCUUACAAGUUGAAUACAAGUCCGGGUCUUGCUUCCUCGUAAAGGAAAUAUUCGUCAUCCCUUUCUCCUUAAGCCAGCCCACCAGAGUAUAAGCCAGCCUGCUGGGCCUUGGGCCUUGUCGUCCGUCUGAUCCGCCGGUCGGGUCUCCAGUGAGUCACAAUGUCCAGGCGGGUUACCUGUGAAUCGCCAUGUUCGGGCGGAUCACCAGUGAGUCGCCAAGCUCUAGCCAGGUCUCUGGUGACUCGCCAAGUCUGGCUAGGUCUCUGGUGAGUCACCAAGUCUGGCCAGGUCUCUCGUGAGUCACCAAGUCUGGCCGGGUCAUACCGCGGGGUAUAUCCCCGACAACUGGGCACUAUGCCAAUAGGUUAGUCCCAAAAAAUGAUAUAAAGUUGCUAUAAAAUGAUUGUAAAACAUCCAAGAAUGAUAAUAUAAUAUCAUGGAACAAUAAAAAAUUAUUGAUACGUUGGGGAUGUAUCAUCAUCCCCAAGCUUAAUUCCUGCUCGUCCUUGAGUAGGUAAAUGAUAAAAACAGAAUUUUUGAUGUGGAAUGCUGCCUAACAUGUUCAUCACAUAUUAUUUUCUUUUGUAGCAUGGACAUUUGUACUUUUACAUGGUUCAAAACAAUAAUCUACAUUUGACAUGAUAACUUCAAUACUCAAGCAUAUCAACAAGCAACCAUGUCUUUCAAAAUAUCAUUGAUCCAUUCAAGCAUAACUUCAAUACUCAAGCAAUGCUCAAGCAUAACUUCAAUACUCAAGCAAUCAUUGAUCCAUUCAUGAACCACACUCGAAUAUUACUACAUCCAAUGCUCAAGUACGAUCAUAGUGCUCCCUAGUUGGUGCUUUAUAAGAAGAGAUGGAGAUUCAAGUAAAAUAGAAAUUGCAUAAAGUAAAUAGAUAGGCCCUUCGUAGAAGGAAGUAGAGAUUUGUAGAGGUGCCAGAGCUCAAAGCUUUAAUUGAGAGAUAAAAUAUUUUAAGAGGCAUACUUUUCCGGUCAACCAAUAGGACCGAGUAAUUCCCAACACUUUUCAUGCUAGAUAUAUCAUAGGCGGUUCCCAAACAUAAAAUAAAGUUUGUUCCUUUUUCCACCAUACUCACACUCCACGGCUAGUCGUAUCCACGGGUACCGUCCAUACCAACACUUUCCAUGGAAUUUUUCAUUUGACAACAUAAAGUAAAUUUCUUUUUCAUUUCAGGACUAGGCAUCCCUAUUACCGCCACACUCUCGUCCAAUUACAAGUGAAUAAACACUCAUCUUGAGAAUAACACAUCUAGCAUGGAAAAUAUUGGCCACCCCUUGUCGCUUCAUAAUCGGUACGGGACACACAAAAAGGAAAUUCAUUUUGAAAAUUAGAGUUGGCACAUACAAAUUUACUUAGAACGGCACGGAAAUACUGCAUGCAGGUAGGUAUGGUGGACUCAGAUGGCAAAACUUGGUAUAAGGAUUUUAGAUGCACAAGUAGUAUUUCUACUUAGUACAAAUGGAGGCUAACAAAAAGAUUGAGAUGCAACCAACCAAGAAACAAAAAUUCUCAUAGGCGAGUAUUAAGCAUAACUAACACCGAAUAAUGCACCAUAAGUAGGAUGUAAUUUCAUUGCAUAACCAUUGACUUUCGUGCUUGCAUAGGGAAUCACAAACCUUAACACCAAUAUUCUUACUAAAGCAUAAUUACUCACCAACAUGACUCACAUAUUACUAUCAUUAUAUCUCAAAACUAUUACAAAGAAUCAAGUUUAUUUUGUCCAAUGAUCUUCAUGAAAGUUUUUAUUAUAUCCCUCUUGAAUAUCUAUCACUUUGGAACUAAUUUCAUAUACUGCAAUUGCUUUUGACAAGCUCAAACAAAUUUAAGUGAAGAACAUGAGCAUAAAAAAUUUCAUCACUCAAAAUAAUAUAAGUGAAGCAUGAGAUAAUUUCUUCAAAAAUUUACUAAUUCUCAAAUAGAUCUAAGUGAAGCAUGAGAGUAUUUCUUCAAAAAAUUAAAGCACACCAUGCUCAAAAAGAUAUAAGGGAAGUGCUAGAGCAAUUCCACGGCUCAAAAAAUUUAUGUGAAGCAUAAAGAGCAAUUCUAACAAAUGAUAGCAUAAUCUUGGCUCUCUCUCAAAAUAGGUGUAUCCAGCAAGGAUACUUGUGACAAACCAAAAAGCAAAACAAGCAAAGACUCAUAUAAUACAAGACACUCCAAGCAAAACUCAUGAUAUGUGACGAAUAAAAACGUAGCUCCAAGUAAAAUUUACCGAUGGUCGUUAGAAGAAAGAGGGGAUGCCUUCCGGGGCAUCCCGAGGGCAUCCCCAAGCUUAGUUGAUUGGUUCUCCUUGAAUAUUAACUUGGGGUGCCAUGGGCAUCCCCAAGCUUAGGCUCUUUUCACUCGUUAUCCCUUCAUCUAUCGUGAUCUCACCCAAAACUUUAAAACUUCAAUCACACAAAACUUAACAAAACCUUCAUGAGAUCCGUUAGUAUAAUAAAGCAAAUCACCACUCUAAGUACUGUUGCAAACCCAUUCAUAUUUUAUUAUUGCAUUAUACGUACAAUAUUCCAACUUUACCAUGGCUUAUACCCCCCGAUACAAUCCAUAGAUUCAUCAAAAUAAGCACACAAUGCAACGAAAACAGAAUCUGUCAAAGACAGAACAGUGUGUAGUAAUAUGAAAAUUUACCAUACUUCUGUAGCUCAAAAAAUUCUGAAAAUUAGGAAAACGUGGAAAAUUAGUAUAUCAAUCUUGUGUAAACAAUUCAGAGCAAAAGCACGUUCCUGUGAUUUUUUAAAAUUCUGCUACUAGGCGUAAAAGUUUCUGUUUUUCAACAAGAUCAAAUCAACUAUCACCCAACAUGAUCCCAAAGGCUUCACUUGGCACAAACACUAAUUACAACAUACAAACACAAUAAUAACAAUAUCAUAAUUGUGUCAACACACAAAAACAGGAAGAAAAAGAGAAAAAAAUAUUUUAUUCAUUGGGUUGCCUCCCAACAAGCUCUUUCUUUAUAGCCAUUAAGAUAGGCUUAAGAUUUCAAUGAUACUCACACGAAAGAUAAGAAUUGAAACACAAAAAUAGCAUCAUGAAACAUAUGACAAACACAUUUAAGUCUAACAUACUUCCUAUGCAUAGGAAUUUUAUAAGCAAACAAAUUAUCAAGACAAGAAACAUCUAACAUAUGCAAAGAAGAGGAAUAAAAUAUUGACGAUCACUAGUACGCGUCGGUGCUAUACAAAGGAUUUUUAACCCCUUUCCGUGACGGCAUUUGGGACCGUCGCCAAGUGAGUGUGGGCGAUAGGGUGUCCUUCCCACACGAUCCAGAAACCGUCGGGGAUAUGGAGCAGUGAUCCAGAGGCCUUCCAAAAUGUAAUCGUGUGCGAUGCAUCACACACUAAAUUCUUUUGCACAUGUGGUAUCGGUGAUUAAACGUUUCUAAUGACGCAGUGAAACCAUACGGUCUGUCGUAAUGAACCGUUUGGGAAACAGUAUGUAAGGCACACGGGCCAACAUAUGAACUGUGUGCGAUUUGUGCCCCAUCGCACAUGAGUUUUCUGCGUAACCCGUCUGGCAUGCAAGACUCCAUCGCACACGUUUGCCAACAAUUACCGUCCGUGAUAAUGUUCUAUCACAAAUGGUUCAGGAGCCCCUUAGCACGCAUAUAAGUGCUACAGACCGUUUGUGAUUUGUUGGGUAUCACCGACGGUUGCCGCAAGAGUGACGUGUGCUUUUCGUUUGGAUUCCCACACGUUUCCUGGAAAAAAUAUGACUGGGAUUGUAUUUUACAUUGGGCACGGUUUACUCCGAGUUCUCGUGUGCGAUAACGCGAUAUCACAAAUGGUUCCGGAGACCCUACGCACAUAUAGUAGCGCUGCAAAUCGUUUGCGAUCUGCUGUGUAUCCCCGACGGUUCCGCUAUGAUUGACGUAUGCUUUUCGAUGUGGAUUGCACACACUCAUUUAGUUGAACCGUGUGCGGAGCAAUUGCCAGGUUAAAAAAAUAUCCCAUUUUGAAUCGGCAUGCAAAAAGCAAAUUUGCCACAAUAUUCAAUAGAACAAAUAAACAAAAAUAUCCCAUAUUGAAUCGUUACGCAAAAAGCAAAUUCACCACAAUAUUCAAUAUAACAAAUAGUGUCCACAGGAAGAACAUUCAUCAGAUUUCGCAACAAUUUCAAUUGAACAUAUGGUAGCUAAAUUCCAAUGAUUUGUCCACACAUAUAUGCAUUACAUAAUUAAUCAUAGUGUACGAAAUACGAAGACCUCAUCAGAUGGAAAACAAUGGAUCCAUGCAUUAUAUGUUUAGCGGCUAACUCUUACUCAAUGUUUCAGGAGAAGGCAUGCUGAAAUCUUCAUUAUCACCACUGGGAUUGAUGUAGUGAUCCAGGAAGAAGUCACUGAUAAAUCUCCGAACCAUCGGCAAUUCACCAGCCGGGAGCGGUUCAGGGGUCCUCGGUUUUAAGAUGAGCUACAGUAUUUUUAAGAUCAGAAUGUUUCAUAUGAGUGGAGUAGAAGAUAUUAAUUAAUAUAGACUUACUGGUACUAAUUCAUGAGGAUCGUCACAACUAUCAGCAGAUUUGCAGAUGGAGAUCAUGUGUCUGCAAACAUAGUAUCCACAAAGGUUGGUCCCUACUUCUUGCUGAGGACACUGAAUUUUUUUGUACAGAAUUAGUCAUGUAUUUGUCCUGUUAGGAACAACCUAACUGGUGUUAGAUGUAUUAUUUUUUCUUUGGACAAAAUAGAAAGAGGUUUGUUCAGAAGCUUGAACAUUUGACUAGCGUAAUGAAAGGUAUUUGCAGACUGUUGGAUAAAUUUUCCGAAAAUAACGGAUUUCGGUGUGUUACCGGAGAAACGAUCUCGUGCUGCAGAGGUAGUUCCCUCUUGAACAUGUUCCCUGGUAGUUUUCUACAAUGCAAGCGCACAGCAAAUGAUGACGAAUUUUGACAACAUCAAUUAUUGAACCAGAUAUGAAUGCAAAUUAAUUUCAACAUCAUAGAAUUCAAUACCUAUCCAUGAAUUGCUGAAGAUGCGUCAGAUCCUGAGCGUUUAUUGACUCUCUGAGAGAAUCGAUGUAGUAAACUGUGUUCUUGUUUGGAACAAUGAAAACCAAUAUCCAGUGAUUGUUACAUAUUAAGAAAGCCAUGAACUUACUAUGUCGAAAUCUGAAAGACAAUAAGUGUAUGUGUGGUUGUUUACUUGACUUACCGUUCAUGAUAUGGCGAGAGAAAUGAUUCUGCAUGGGAGGUGUUUUCGAAGAGACGGACAACCGUGUUAACGGCCCAGUCCCGUCGGUCCUUACCAUGUAUUGUUGUGCCAUUUGCUAAUUCAGGAUCUAUGAAAUACACACUCUCUCUUUUUCUUCUCUGCGCGUUCAAUCCCCUGAGAGGAAUAAAAUGCAGUUAGUUGUUUAUCAUUUACAGCCUUGUAUGGAGACGUUGAUCAGAGUUUGUUAAGUACUUACAAAAUCAGGCAUCUAACAAGAGUGGCAUCGAGAACGUUGAAGUUGAAGAAGAGAUGUAAGUCCUCGAAACUCACAUCGAUGGAACCAGCAUCGUGUCAGAAAUGAUCUCUGUUGUAGUGGACUAGCAAACCAUGAUGACCUGCUGACAUUAGAUCCAUGCAAUAUUCAUGUAACUCGCGGCAACUGGAGCUGCACUCAUCAAAGUAUUCGCCAACAAGAAAUGGCUGGCCAUGGACGUAAUAGCGUGCUUGAAGUAUGUCUGCUUUACUUUUAGCAAGCAACAAACGUACUUCUUCAUCAUCCAUGGCGUCAGAAAUAAUAUUACUCCCCGAUUCGAACAAGCUGAUGUUAAUUUGGUUCUGGGCGAUGGUUUCUUUAAGUAAGAGGCAAUCGUUCUCUUUCCUCUUCACUUUCCCGCCGCACUUCCUUGUGGUCGUGGGUGUAGCCUUUGGCCACUUCCUUCUUGGUACUUGAAGCAUUUCUGGCAGAAUGUCUGGUUGCCUACAAGGUAUACUGCCGAGCAGACGGUGAAGCUUGGACGGACUACUUAGCAGACGGUUUAUCUAUGCCGGACCGCUGAGCUGGCGGUGCUGCUGUGACGGACUGCUGACCAUGCGUUGAAGCUAUGUCGGGUUUCUGCGCAGGUGGUGCCAACUUGUCGGUGUGCUGAGGAGGCCGUGCCAACGCGUUGGUUUGCUGAGCAAGAAGUGCUGGUGCAUUGGUAUGCUGAUCACGCGACUGCGGACCGGCGGACUGAUGAGCAGUCGGUUCUGGACCUACAGACUGCUUAGCAGGCGGUUCCGAAGCAUCAGACUGCUUUGCAGUCUGUUCCACCAGGUUGGUCUGCUGAGCAUGUGCUGCAGCUGGGUCUCCCCCCGCUGCUUCAGUGGCCGACAUCUGAACUGGUGGUGCGUCUUCAGCAGUUGUAAGCCUUGCCACUGGCUACUUUGGGGCGGAGGAUGACAUGGCCUGUACGCCACAAAGUCGGGCCGGCUGAUCACAGGUUGAUGCAUCAGCCCGCGAGAGCUGCUCUGGCAAGGAGAGCGUCACCGGUUGAGGGGCGAUAGUGGUUGCUCUUGGCGGGGCUUCAGGGAUCUCAUUGAUGAACUCUAUUUCUUAUCGUGGCCACUGGUGUGAUGUAACAGUGUUUCUCCCAAGGUCCUUUGCUCACCGAAGUCUCCUAGGACAUUCUUUAGGGAAAAUUUAGUGAAUCUAGGCUUUACUUCAGUCACGUAGCACUUCACACAGCCCGGCUUCAAUGGCACAUUGUCCAAGAAGAGGCCAUCUUCCAAGAAGGAUGGGCAAACCCAGGCUGUUGCACAUUUUAAUGUACCUUCAUAAUGUGUAAGCAUGCCCUUCAGUCUGUCUUUCAUUCCAGAUAGAUUAGAUAUAGCAUCAUCACGAGCAGCUGCAGUCUCAGUGUCGCUGGGGUCAGCUGAUGCACAGCUACUCGUGUGCAGUGUUGUCGCACAAUAAGCAGCAUCCUCCAUGCCCGCCUCCCCUCCCAUCUGCUGGCUAUCUAUCAGUGUUAGAGUCUUCUGCAUCAUCAUUGACUCCUCAACAUCCUUUCGAACAACCGGAUAAAUCUCCUUCCUCAACCUUUCAUACAAUGCAUUCUACUUCAUUUCACUCCUCGCUUUUUUCAUGCUGAGCCUCUCUUCUUUGCUGAGUGUGAAAGCCCUCUUGUGUGGGACAUUAACACCUAUACCCCUUGCACGGCCAGGGGGCUCUUUUGUUUCCAAAGUAAUGGACAGAAUGUCACAUGGCCCUGAGUUCUUGUAGAACCUUCCAGGGAUCUUGGAAGCCUCUAACAUCACUAGAUACAGUUCGGCGUCACGUGAGUUUUCAAAGUAAUAAGUUCCGUCAUCACGCCUCUUUGCACGUGCCCGCAAGUAGUCUCUAGCGCGUUCGCCCCUGAUUUCACUAAAGGCCGGAAUCCCACCCGCCGCUACUGCUUCUUUGUCCUCCUGUUCCCACAUCAGUUUCAUGCCGCAAUAUCCUGCCACACCCAUACGUUGGGGGUGUAUGCUCUUCUUCUGAAGUUCCGAUUGCUUGAAACUCUUCUCAGCAAACUCUUUAGUCGCCCUGACCCUUUUGAAUUAUGCCCAGUCUGCCUUUGUAAUUUGGGGGUAUGCGGGGAUUGGGUCCUGGCCUUCACUCAAGUACUUCUUGUAUAGCAUGUGCUUCCAGUUUCUCCAAGCAUCCCUAGCCUUCUUUAGUGCAGCGUGUUCCACCUACAUUCUCCACUGCUCUGAAACGUUGAAGUGAUCCAUGAUCUCCCGGACUAUCCUUCGCCGUGUUUCUGUGUCAGCCUUUCGAAACCCCGGUAGAUUAAUGUUAAGCCUUGCCCUGCCAACAAUCCACACACACUCCUGAACCUCGUGCGUGCUUUAUCUGGUUUAGUUGGAGCCCAAGACUUUAAAUCAAUAUCGGUUACUUUAUAUACACAUUUAGGCUGGUGUGUGGGCUUCCUUGGAGCGUUCCUCUGUAUCCUGACCGAAAGGGUAAUUGCUGCAACUCUAUCCCGUUCAAGAUUACUUGAUCCCUCACAAUCAGCUGAAGACCUAGGGUUGUCCGAAUCAUAUGAAGAUACAUCGCCUGAAGCAUGAGUGAUGUCGCUGCUACUCGGCAUCUACAGAGAACACAUGCGAAACUCGGGAAAGGAGGAUAAGCAUAAAACUAACAACUUGGUAUCAAGCUUUCUGUAAAUAGGCAGUAACUUAUUGGAACAAAUACAACUUAUAUCUAGUAAGGAAGGUAGAUAAUGAACAUAUAUACGCUUCACCGCGAUGGAGAUAUGCCUCACCGCGAUGGAGAGCAGUAACUAACAGGCUUCUUAAUGCAAACCCGGCUGGACCACAGGAGAGGCGAGGGUUACUGCAUCGAUAUCCUCGAGGGUGGCUGGCGAGCAAAAGAAGACGGCGAGGCGCGGGCCGCCGCGUGUUGGGAACGACAGUGGAGGUAGGCUUGAUGCCGAAGAGCGGGCACACGGCCGGGGUGAGCACGGCGGCGUCGGAGAGGGUUCUGUUGUGGAUCUGGGGGAGGGGGGAGCUGGCGAUGGAGAUUGGGUGGACUAGUUGAGUGAAACGCGGGCGCACGGUGUGAGGGUGGGGACUCCAGGUGUUGCCGGCCUAGGUGAAAAGGGUAAAAAAUAUCCCCGGUCGUCGCGCGCACGGAAAGGCCUAUGCAAACGGUUGCCUCUAAGUGCUUGUGCACAAACAGAAUAAUUCCGUUUGAAAUAAAGACGUACUAAUUUUGAAAUGAAGACUUGAGUUCAUCGUUUUGCCUCUAAAUUUUUCCCACGUAAAGCAAUCAUAAUUAUACCACGGGUUUAAUUUGCUGGCGCAUUUCAGGUCUCGUGUGCUAUAUGUAAGACUUUUUUGGCAUUUACCGUGCAUUUUGGCAUAUAAAUCAAUUCCUAGCCGGACUGCAUUUCCAGUCAAAGGGAUGAUGAUCGCUAUUCGAUCUGGGAGAUCCAACGGUGAAGACGUACGAUCCGUGGGGUUUAGGUUCUGGCCAAUCAGAACGCACGAUUCAGAUCGCGCGCACAGCAAAGGGGGGGCACCGGCCACGGUUUGGUAGGCACACGGCUUUCGUGUGUGAACUGUGUUCUAUUUGAAAACAUUUUUUCUGGGAUGGGCUAUUUGAAAACAUUUACAUGUGAUGUCGAAAGGGAUGAGGAUCGCCGUUCGAUCAAGGAAAAUCCAACGGUGCAGGCGUACGAUCCGUAGGGUUUUGGUUCUGACCAAUCAGAAUGCACGACUCAGAUCGCGCGCGUGGUAGAAGGGUGGGGGGCAUCGGCCACGGUUUAGUGGACACACGGCUUUCGUGAGUGAACUGUGUGCUAUUUAAAGACAUUUACAUUACCUAACAUCAUAUUUUUGUUCGAAUGAAAACAUGAGUUCAUCGUUUUGCCUCCAAUUUUUUCCCACGGUAAGAAAUCAUGAUUGUACCCUAUGGUUUGAUUUUCUAGUACAUUUUACCAGGCGGCAGGCCUCGCUAGCAAUCUCAAACUAUGAAUAUGCAAAAAAAAGAUCUCGUUUGUAUGUUUAUAUAUAUAUAUAUGUAUAGUCGCAACUACACGUGCGUGUUAGCUAGAUCAUUGGUGUGUCGCUUUGCGAGUUUUCAUUCAUUGUGCGAGAAACGGGAAAAAACUUCAAAACAGUUCGGCCGCAGGGUGCGGCCAGAGGCGUAGGUCUUGUUGGUGUUUUAAUUUCAAGAAAUGCAUAUAGAGUUCGGAAAAUAACGAAAAUCAUUGUGUCACUGUCGCGUGCUCUCACGAUCGCAUGGAAAAAAAUUAGUAAAGUUUGGCACAAGUUUUGGUGCUCGCACCUUCCAUACUGGAACAUCUAACAAGAAGGAUUAUAGUUUCCAAAAGGAGAUGCAGCACUUCGGACUACAAAUCGUCAGUUACUAGCUACAUCGUUCCGGCCCAUUUCAUGUCGUCUGCUAUGUUUAAGUCAUUCUUUGCACUUACCUUGCAUUGCAUCUUAGUGCAUAUAUAAUUAAUUAAAGUCAAAAACCCUACUACAACUACAUGUGGGUGGUUUAGUUAGGCUAUAUAUACUUAGUCUACCCAUAGUGGAGAGUGUCAUAUACUAGUAUCAUGCAUAUAUAUAUAUAUAUAUGAUAUUAGUGUAUGAUACUACCUUUAAUUAAUUAUAGCACAUAGUAUAAUACAUAGAGUAUAGUAUCAUAGAUCAUAUUUAUUGCCAUGCAUGACACAAAUUAGCAUCGCAUUUAACAUGAUACGGUAUCUACCUAUAUGUUAAUCUAACCCUCUCUAUAUAUAUUUAAUUCUUUGCCACACCGGCAUACUUGCUAUUUUUGAGUGCAUGACAUCGUCGGCUAUGAUACCAUCACUAUGGUCAACCUUAUAUAGUGGGGAGUAUCAUAUACCGUAUAUAGUAUCAUGCAUAUGAUACUAGUGUAUGAUACUACGCACGUACCUUCAUAGUGCAUAUAUAGUAUCAUAGAGUAGUAUCUAUCAUAGAUGACCGUAUUUGUGGCCAUGCAUGACACAAAGUAGUAUAGCAUUUAUUUUAUAUAUGUUACGGUAUCUACCUAUGUUACUACUUCUUUGCCACAUCAUCAUAUUUGCUAUUCCCGAGUGCAUGAUACCGGCUACGAUGCCCCCACUGUGGCCACACUAAGGCUGGUCGUAAUAUGAGAGUAUCAAGCGGUAUCAUGCAUGCCAACUAGACUUUUUGGAUGAUGUGGCACACGGUUAAAUGAGGAAAGAGAGGGUGUGGUAUCAUAUCAUGAUACCAUAUCAUAUUAAAUGUUGUACUACUUUGUGUCAUGCAUGGCAAUUAAUAAGGCAACCUAAGAUACUAACUUAUGACUAGUAGAAUGCCCGUGCGUUGCCACGGGCUUCUGAAAUAUUUUGCUGAAGUUAUAUAAAGAUAAUGCGUGUUAAAUUUCACAUGUAAAGACAACAUAACACAGACACGACUGCAUAAUAAUUGAAGUCCACUUUACUUGUAAAUUGUAAUGUAAACUAAUAACAAAAAUGCAAAUUGAUGAUGUAUACAUAUAAAGCGAUGAUCCAACUAAAAAUCUAUUACAAACUAUUAAGAUCUACUUGCGCUUAAGAAAUUCUCGCACAAUAUCAGGAAACUUCUCUUUAGCUUCAUUCGCACGAUAUUUUUUCAAGUAUUAUGAAAACUGCUUCCCAACUUAUACCCAUCCUGCAAAAGCAAUAUAUGUAGUUAGCACGAAUACUACAUGUGGAAGGUUUUAAAAUGUGUAAUGGAUAAUACUCACAGCGCAAACCGGCUUCACCAACUCUUUAUCUUUCCAUGAGAGCAUAAAAUGAAAAACAAAAAUAGCAGACACAUCACUGCGAUUUCCAAAAUUAUUAUUAUAUUAAAUAUAGUUCUAACAAAAUAAAUAUUUGUAUUUUGAAUUUUUACCCGUCUAUGCUCGUUGGAAUACUAGACGGAAAUAUUACUUUAUUUCGAGUGCUUCUUUGAAUUCCCUCGCAAAACUUUUUGAUUUCACUAAAUGCCUCAGAGUUUUAACCUCUGACGACUGUGAUGUAUGAAUAGGGUCAAGCAUAAAUACACAACGUGCCCAUUUUUCAAUGACGUACAAGAUGUAUCAGCCAAGUGGUAGCUAUUAGAAACAAUAAUAAAUCAUGACAACAAUGGACAAAAAAUCUUACUUAACAUGUUCCAUGAUGAAAUGUUGUUGUCUAUCCCAGCCAUCUAUCAAACAAAGUUGCCAACAUUUGAAUAGUUUCCUUCACGUAGAACUUUUGAUCUCGUGUUGAAUCUAGCAUCAUGGACUAAGUAAAAGAACUAUUUAGAAACAUGUUCAUAUAGUGAUAUUGAAUGAAGAAUUAUUACAACUUACACAAAAUUGUAGAUCCAUGUAGUAUAUAUAGGAGGGUACGUAGUAUGUGCACGACUAUGAAAACAAUCAUUGUGCAUAGACUGCUCCGUGUUAAGUAUAAGUUUUUUGAGGCUUAGGCCCAUUGUAUGGGGUGUCGAGCUUCGGACUCAUUCAUUCCAGAAAAUUGGAUGGUAAGGUUAAUAAUAACAAUGUAUAAUAACACAUUACAUAUUGAUAAAUGAUGCUUACUUCAAACACUCGACACAUUACAUAUUGAUAAAUGAUGCUUGCCGGACAAUGAACCACGACAUGAGCCUUGAGCUGCUUCGGCUGGCGUGCUGGUCGUGUCAUGGCUUCUGAAGGCAGCCAGCCUAGGUGCAUAGUGGGACGCCGACUCACCAGCGAUGUACAACGACUACGGCAGCUGCCUCAGCACCACCAACGAUGGGCUCCUCGACUGGGGCGUCUACUACUUUCAUCCAUCAAGAAGGCCACGGUAAGUGGUCGUCCCUUCACCCUUCGGUACGCACAUAGAUGCAUCUAUGUCCCUGGCCUGUUGUGGUCAUCAGAGGUGUAGCUGCCCGUACUCAACAAAAUUUGUUGUUACUCGAUUAGUUUGUAUAUAUCAACAUUGAUGUCUUAACAGAUUAAAUUAGUUAUAGUUUGAUGUGUUUGCUGUUGUUGUUGGUGUGUGUGCGUCUGGACUUGCUGCUGCUGUGCGUGCAAGAUAAAAGGGAGCAAGUGUUUGUACUGACAGUAACACAUCUAAUCCAGGAGGCCGGCCUCCUGGAUUUGGCAGUCUCAUGUGAGUCUAUAGCAGAUUUCUUGGCCUCUGACAUAGCAAAGGAGGCACAUGGCGCGGUAUGGCAUGUCUUCUUUGCAGCUGCUGCUGUUGCGCUUUGGCAUGCUCGGAAUGAGCAAGUUUUCCACAACAAGUUUUGGACAGCUCGGAGGGUUCUUAAUGAGGUGGCCGACCUGAUCAAGUUAUGGACACUGCGAGCAUCCGAGGGAAAUGUCAGAGAUCGUUUAUCUUCUUGGACUGAUGUAAUGGUGCGAGAAUAGCUGCCAAGCUCUCCUUGUUCCUAGCUUUCUUCCUGCUUUCCUUCUUUCCUUCCUUCCUAGCUUUCCUUGUUCUAAUUCUCAGGCUUGGCGUUGGCCUGCUGCACGCUCUGUGCGGCGCUCACAACGCCUUCAUGUAAAAAGACCAUUGGUCACUCAGGCUACGGCCUGUUUUGAAUGCAUAAGGUAGAACAUGAUCUAGCUUUUCUUUCAAAAAAGAACACAUCUAAUUUUUUAAGUUGGUUUAGUAAAUUGGCCACACAUUUUUUUGUAACAACGCGGUAGUGGCAGCAGCAGUUAAGUCCGGUGAGACGGUCAGUGUGCGCGCUGGGCCACCAGCGAGAUUCCUUGAUAGGCAUAUUCUCGUGACUGCUUGUGUUCUCUCAAAAUCUAGCUUCUCAUUCCAUUCUUUCUGCAGGUUUAAUUAUGUGGAAGGAACCAAUCCCAUGUCCACCCACAAAAGGAAAGCCAACAUCAGGGAGUUCUACGGUAACUGAACAAACGACCUGCAGAAUGCAGAAAUUUAAAAUAAGCAUUUGCGGUUUGGAGCUAUGAUCCUGAAAAAUUCCCAUUGUCCGUCUAAUACAGCUGUGAGGUAUUUCCUUCCCUCAUGCAACUGGGCCAUGACAUCAGCAACUUCAAUGACCGGAGGCAGAGGAAUGUUUGCUUGGAGAAGUACAGGAGGAGAGACAAGGCAGAGGAGAGCAAGAGGCCGCUCUCCAUGAUCGAUGCUAAAAUAGAUGAAGGAUCUUCAUUGGGCUCAACAACAAGGUUGUGCUUCCCAACUGCAGCCACAACAUGUGCAUCCAGUGCUACCGUCAAUGGUGAUUAAGAACACAACGCUUGAUCCUACUUAUUAUUUUUCCUCACAUGUUCACUAUGUUAGGAAUGGGCAACUACCAUUACUGAAGGCCAAAGGCCAAUACAUAUACAUGUGUGGUAAAGUGCAGGAAACCCCUUGUACAAUGGGGAUAAACCAGAAAGAUACUAUACACAUCUAACACCCCCCCGGGUCACGCGCAAUACUGAUAGCACCAGUACUGUCUGACAGUAAGGGAGUCGAGGUAGCAGCAGACACACCAAAAUCCUCAAGUAACCACCGUAACCAGAUCACCUCAGCCGUCAGCAUAGCCAUGGCUCGCAACUCAGCCUCUGUACUCGAGCGAGAAACUGCAGUCUGUUUCUUUGUCUUCCAAGCAAUAAGAGAGCCACCAAGAAAGACACAAUAAGCAGACAGCGAGCGUCGAUCAGAGGGAUCACUAGCCUAGGUAGCAUCAGAGUAAGCCUGGAGCUCAAGAGAACUGGAGCAGGGAAAGAAAAGGCGCUGAGAGAUCGUGCCACGAAGAUAUCGUAAAACACGGAGGAGGUGACUAUAGUGGACAGAGGUAGGGGCUUAAACAAACUGACUCAGGAUGUGAACAGGAUAGGAGAUGUCAGGACGCGUAACAGCAAGAUAGACAAGGCUACCAACGAGGUGACGAUAGCGAGUGGGAUCAGGAAGAGGGUCACCAUCAGAGGCACAAAGCUGAACAUUGAGCUCCAUAGGAGUCACAACGGUGCGGUCAUCACUGAGAGCAGCUCGAGCGAGAAGAUCCCGAAUAUAUUUCUCUUGAGAGAUGUAGAAGCCAUCAGAGGUCGAGGAGAUCUCAAUCCCAAGAAAAUAGCCAAGAGGACCAAGAUCAGUCAUGAGGAACUGGUCGUGAAGGCGGGCCUUAACAAAGGCAAUGUAGUCAGAGUCGUCACCAGUGAUGAUCAUGUCAUCAACAUAAAGAAGGAGAAGAGUCCGACCACGAGGAGAUGUGUGAACAAACAACGCAGGAUCAUGAUCACUGGGCAAGAAACCAGCGGCAAUCACCACAGAGGCAAAGCGCUCAAACCAGGCGCGAGGGGCCUGUUUAAGACCAUAGAGGGAGUGGCGAAGUCGACAGAACAUACCGUCAGGAGCAUAGUACCCCAGUGGUGGCUGCAUGUAAACCUCCUCAUGCAACUCACCAUUAAGAAAAGCGUUCUGAACAUCAAGUUAAGAGAUAGACCAAUGACGAACAGAAGCAACAGCAAGAAGAGUGCGAACAGUGGUCAUAUGGGCCACAGGAGCGAAUGUCUCAUCAUAAUCGCGUCCCUGCUCCUGCUGAAAACCACGGGCCACAAGGCGCGCUUUGUAGCACUCAAGAGAACCAUCAGAGGGAGUCUUAAUCUUGUAGACCCACUUGCAGGUGAUGGGACGGACACCGGAAGGGAGGGAAACCAGAUCCCAUGUGCCAGAGCGCUCAAGGGCAGCAAGCUCUUCGGCCAUCGCAAGCUGCCAUUCAGGCUGAGUCAUGGCAGUCCGAUAGGAAGUGGGCUCAGCAAUAACAGAGAGACCAUAGCGAGCAGGAGACUAGCAAUCAGGCGGGGGGCGAGGCCGAGCACGGAGGUUAUGAACCGGGGGAGGCGUGAAAGGAGGUGCACCAGAGGUGGAAGGCGCAUCACGGGAAACAUCCUCAGAACGAGGGCGACGAGUAUAGUGAGGAGGAAAUGGUGAGAGAGGACGACGGACUGGAGAUGAUGGUGGAGAGUUGGAGGAGGAGGAUGGGGAAGAUGGUGUCGGUGGUGAAGGAGAAGGAAGAACAGGUGCAGGCGGAGGAGGAAAAACAUGUGGAGGCACAUAGCAGGGUGUAUCAGGGAGAAGAAGAAAAGAAAGAUCGUCCACAGAGAGGCUCGAGGUAGAAGGACGUGGGUAGUAAGAGCGAGACUCGUCAAAGGUCACAUCACGUGAGAUGUGCAAACGACGACCAACAUGAUCCCAGCAGCGAUAGCCCUUGUGCUCAUCGUUGUAGCCAAGAAAAACACACUCAACCGACUGAGCAGUCAGUUUGGUGCGUUCUCGCGGGGCAAGAAGGACAUAGCACACACAUCCAAACAUACGAAGAGCUGAGUAGUCAGGAGAGCGACCAGUGAGACACUCCAUAGGAAUACCACCCUGCAGAGCAGUCGAUGGCUGUAUGUUGAUGAGAUAGGUGGAUGUAGAAACAACAUCAGCCCAAAAAUGGGGUGGGAGAGAGGCGGCAAUCAUCAGAGCAUGAGCCGUCUCAAGUAGAUGACGAUGCUUACGUUCGGCAACGCCAUUCUAAGCAUGUGCACCAGGACAUGAGAACUGGGCAAGAGUACCCUGUUCCGCAAGAAAACCACGCAACAGCUGGGAGAUAAACUCACCAGCGGAGUCAGCACGAAAAGUACGAAUGGGCGUGGAAAACUGGGUGUGAACCAUGGCAGCAAAACGUUUGUAUAUAGAGAGUACCUCGCUACGAGAUUUCAUAAAGUAGAGCCAAGUGUAGUGAGAGAAAUCAUCAAUAAACAUGAUAUAGUUGCGGUGACCACCUUUCGAAUCAAAGGGAGCAGGACCCCAUACAUCAGAAUGAACUAAGUCAAAAGGACGCUGAGAUACCGACUCACUGGUAGAAUAAGGUAACUGGGUCUGUUUGCCAAGUCUGCAGGCAGUACAAGGUAAAGAAACAUCUCCAGGUACAGACCCUAAGAGGCCCUGACGAACUAAAGAAGACAAGCGAGAGCCACAUAGGCGACCAAGGCGAUGAUGCCACUGCUAGAAGGACGCAGACGAAGAGGUAGCAAGAGCAUGGGAGCUGGCUGAAGUGGUGGCAGCGGAAGGAACACACCUCCCAAAGGCCCUCUGACUCACGGCGUCGGGGGCCAGCACCAAUCAAAGCCUUGGUGCGAUGAUCCUGAAUGGAGCAACAGUCGGUAUCAAGAAUGACACGACAACCAAAAUCAGUAAGUUGGGCAGCGGAAAAAAGAUUCAUGGUGAGGCGAGGAACAUGUGAAACACUAGGAACAGAAAAAUAUGGAGUGGAAAGAAGACCACGGCUAGCAACAGGAAGAGGUGUGCCAUCAGCGGUAAGAACAUUAAUAGGCGAAUCAAGAGGUCGGAGAGAAGACAGCACAGAAGAAUCAGAAUACAUAUGAAAAGAGGCGCCAGAAUCCAGAACCCACGAAGAUGUACCUGACUAUGUAGAUGCCUGCGGUGGGGGAGCAGUGGCUGCAGUCACAGCAGCAGCGGAACCGGUCGACGAAGAGCCUGAGGAAGCUAAGAGACGCUUGAGCCUCAUAAUGUCCUGGUCAGUGAGUGACGGGGUCGAGGAGGAUCCAGGAGUCCCACUUGAAGAGGAGCGCCUCUGGUCUCGCUUCUUCUCACGGCAAUCAGACUCUGGGUGACCUGGCCGAGAGCAGUAGCCACAUAAGGUGUCACGGCGCGACCGGCCCCUCUCAGCAUAAGAAGAACGACCCACCCCCUGAAGGAGUAGGCAGGAGCGGUGGAGCAGUGAGGCGAGUAGGUGGCAGAGGAGCCCGGGUGGCCAACACUGAUGGAACCACAAGUAACCCAGCAGAGCAUAGGCGGGUCUCUUCAGCACGAAGCUCAGCAAGUACCUCUGAGAUAGGAACACGACCACGAGCGAGCAGGUGAGGACGGCUAGGCUCGAACCCAGAGCGAAGACGAGAUAAGAACUCGUGAACCCGCUGAAACUCCAAAUCGGACCGUGUAGUCUGACAGCAACGGCAAGUUCCACAAACGACGGUCCGAAGACAGUCAAGCUGACGCCAGAUGGCAGAGCACUGUGAAUAGUACACAUCAACAGAGGAAUCACCUUGCUUGAGUGCAUGCUCCAGACGCACCACAGAUAGGUAGAUAGCAUCACCAGAGGGCUGAUAGCGCUGACAGAGAUAAGACCACAUCGCUGCAACUGUGCCAAGUCCCAUGAACUUUGAGGCAAACUGAGGUAGGACACUCGCAGUAAGAACAGCAGCAGCACAAGCAUCAUCAUUGCACCACUGAGUGUAAGCAGACAGAUCAUCACGAUAGGCAGAAAGGGCAUCCGAAUAGGCUGACAUCUGCUGAUCAUAGGCAUCAACUGCAGUAUCAUCGAGAGCCUUGGCGGCAUCGCGAUCAGCCUGAGAAGCAUCAGCAGCAAGAACCAGCGGUGCUGGCGGGGUAGGAGCCACUGGAGCAACAGGGCCAGGCGGACAGGGGACCUCGCCAGAGAGAACACCCCACAGAAGGAGACCGCACAUGUGGAUACGCAUAAACCCCGCAAACUCGGCAUAGUUGGUGCCAUCGAAGAUCACCGAGCACCGAGGAACGGCAACAGAGCCCGAAGAAGACAUGAGGAACUCUUUUUUUUUGUCAACUGCUACAGCAGACCCCGAUCCAGAUCGGGAUNNNNNNNNNNNNNNNNNNNNNNNNNNNNNNNNNNNNNNNNNNNNNNNNNNNNNNNNNNNNNNNNNNNNNNNNNNNNNNNNNNNNNNNNNNNNNNNNNNNNNNNNNNNNNNNNNNNNNNNNNNNNNNNNNNNNNNNNNNNNNNNNNNNNNNNNNNNNNNNNNNNNNNNNNNNNNNNNNNNNNNNNNNNNNNNNNNNNNNNNNNNNNNNNNNNNNNNNNNNNNNNNNNNNNNNNNNNNNNNNNNNNNNNNNNNNNNNNNNNNNNNNNNNNNNNNNNNNNNNNNNGAGGCGGCAACGGCAGGCCACGGCUGCGCUCGGGGCGUCGCGGGACAGCGACGGCAGGCCGCGGCCGAGCUCGGGGCAGCGCAGGCCGGGGCGAGACGGCGUGGUGGCGGGGUAGGAGAUGGCCGGCGCCGGCGACGAGGUAGAGGGAGGCCGGCGACGGGGGAGCUAGGCACGGAGCUGCGAGCGUGCCGGAGCGGGAGAGGAACCUAAGCAUUUGAUACCAUGUUAGAAAUGGGCAACUACCUUUACUGAGGGCCAAAGGCCAAUAUAUAUACAUGUGUGGUAAAAUGCAGGAAACCUCUUAUACAAUGGGGAUAAACCAGAAAGAGACUAUACACAUCUAACACAUUCAACCAGAGCAAAUAUGUUUGGCGUUUGGUUUAAUGUGAGCUCCAGAGUUAUCUUAGUCGACGCUUCGUUCUAGUGUUAUUAAGUGCUUCAGCAGUUGCCAAUGUAGGAUUUUUUGUUCAGAUAGCAAUGCACCAUGAGUAAUUAUGUAACAUGACCAUUUAUGGAAAUAUGCUACAGUAAAGAAAAUUACAAUGGAUUUCGUGUUUGUUCUAGAAUAAAUAGAAGUACAUUAGAUCGUUUAUAUAAUGUGGCGUCCUAGAAAUCCUACUGUUUUCCAGUACAAUAUUUUUCAGCACCAUGUUGCCUUGUUUCCCUCAUGAAGAAGCCAUGUACUAAGCAAUAUCAUAGUCGAUCUCACCUAAAAUAUAAUAGUAAAACCAAUGCACGACUAAGGACAACAAGUUUCUCAUGCAUAUUUUGCAAAUUUCCAUGUGAAUAUAUAAUGUAGAGGCAUGGUAGUACAAGUAGGAUUCAAUGUAAAAGCUUAGUCUUCCUGUAGUUGUCAUUCUCACCUCUGAAACUUUCAAUUUGGUUUUUGACUUGAUAUGCCCGACUUAACCAGGUACACGAGGUUGUGCUUCAAGGGCAUGGGUAUUCUGGAGACAUUCUAACAUCAGCACGUCAGGCAAGGAAUUGCAUUGGGAAAAAACCCAACAAAACUAUGAACAGGUUUGUUUUUUCUGUUGACAAGGAAACUAUGAUUAUCCGAACACAAGAGGAAGGUAAUAACAAGCAGAUGAGUUUAUCUACCUGACUCCCUUGGCACCGAUGGCAAAGGUGGCGAUGGUGAGUUGGUGCUUGUGAAGACGCACUUCUGCCCGAGGGCCUUACUCCACCCACUCCUCCAGCUCUGCACCCUGCCGCCUAAUAUUCUUCAGUUUAUUCUAGUUAAGAAAAUUAUAGUAAGCAGGAGACGGCUCGACUAUAAAUCAAUCCAUGUGCCCCCUUACCGAGGUGGAACUCAUGGUUGUCCCACAGCCUCGUCAUCAUGGAAGUCUCCGCGCCGGCAGCCACAAUGAGGCGGGUUCAUACAUCUAGCUCAUCUUCGUCGUCACCCAAUGAUUCUCAGUCAUCCUUAUCUCUUGUCUUGCUAGCGAAAACAUCCAGCAAUUUAUAUCAACAAUUACAAAAAAAUUGCUGGAAAAGAAUAACAAUCGACAAACUUAUCAGAUAUGAAUUAUGACACCGGGAAAAUGAACUUACUUAUUUUUUCUAGUUUUGUUUGCAUAAAGCUCUCCAUCUUCACUGCAUAAUUUUUAGGUAGGUCGAAGUGCACUUUGUUAGGUCAACACAAUAGGCUAAUUCCCAUAAAAGAAUUGAUUAUGCACAAUACUUGGGAAAAUAAGAUAAUGAAAAUUUGCAAUUUUCAUACAUAUAUAUUACCUUUUACCUGUUACUUUCAUAACUAAAAAAAUGGUGACUUAAUGAAAAUAUCAUGUGAAGGUAUCACAUUAGAGAAGCAAACCAGCAUGCCUGCUAAGCAAAAUAGGCUGAGGCGCAAGAUGAGAAUUCACAUGCAGUAGCAUAAUAACAAAAUAUGUAUCACCAAUUAAAGUGCUGUCAUCAGAUUUGUUAAUCCCGGUGGCAAUCUUGGGGGAAGAAGUAGAGGGCACAAAAGCAGGUAGAAUGACGAGCAAUAUGUGCCGCAACGCGACGCAAAACAAGAAUUGUAGGGAAUGCUGAAAUCUGAACCAGCAGCAGUUCGGAUUACAUGAGGACUGAAAAUUGUCUUAUUCUCAGGUUUAGACUGUUUAGUCAACAAGGAAAAGACAUGUAGAAAGCAAAUUGUGCCCGAUCCAUGAUACAUGUCUCCGAAUCUUUUUCAACAAUGUGAUGGUACUGAUCCUUGUCUCUUUCUUUAGCAAUAUUGAGAUCCUCCUGAACCUUUAGGAAUUCAGAUCUGUGUAACAAGCAUGCCAAUUAUAAGAAAGCAUAACAUGAAUAGAAGAAAUAAGCAGAGUACGUUGUUUUCUAUAUCUGAGUAUUAAAGAAAGAGUAGACCUUAUAUUUCUCACUCCUGCAAAUAAUCCUUGAACCUGAAAAUGAAUAUAAUCAGUUAGUUACAUAUGAACUAUGAACAAAAAUAAAAUUACAACAACAAUACACCCGCACACUACAAGCAAGCAGCAGCGCGCAUAAAGUAAGUCUCAUCCUUGAUUUACCAGCCGAACCCAUGUCUCUGUUGUCCAAAUCUAUAUCCAUCAACAAAGGCCUCCUCUCUCUGAAAAAAAAAACAAAGGCCAACAGAAACGAUUGACUGUUUGUUGCCAACAAAAAAUGGAUGAAUGUAUUCUUUUGUACAGUAAGCACCUUUUAAUUUACAUACACGAAGCGACCCAAUUUGUAAAAUCCAUUGGCGGCCAUCAACCAAGCUACCGCACAACACCGACGACACCGCACCUUCUGGUCUCCAAGGAUCCACCUUGUCAGCUGACUUUGACCCUCGGCGAGGGCCCCACACGACGGGGUGAUGCUCAGGGUCUCUCGUGCUCAAAAGGAUCCAUGCCUGGACCCUUCAAUACGUACUAAUAAGCACAUAAACAGGUGAGCCUGCAUGUUUUAGACAGUCACAUCAGCGUAAGUUCAGCAGGAUGCUUAAUUGCUUAUACCUGGAAAAAAAAUCUGAAUAAUGUUUAUAAGCACCAUUGUUUCCAUCUUGAUAAAAUAGCAGUGUUCCACUGUACGAAUCAUUUUCUGCAUCCGGACCGCCAGUUGAAUGUGGUGCUGCACGAUCUGGUUCUUCUUGUUGUCCCGCACCGCGUUGCCCGCGAACUCCAUGGUCUGAAGAGAAAGAACCAAAACCACCAGGAAAACAGUGCGUAUAAUGUGCUGCCUAGUCUAUUCCAUUAAAUCGGUCUUUUGGUUGCAUUGGCUAGAGCAUGCACUUCUACAUGGUAUCGGAGCCAAGAGGUCUUGUGUUCAAGACCCGGCUGGCGCAAUUAAAUUGCAGCCCACUUUCGGUCCACGUUUAGGCCUGAGGGAGCCACACGCGAGGGGGAGUGUUGACGUAUAAUAUGCUGCCUAGUCUCUUCCAUUAGAUCGGUCUUUUGGUUGCAUUGGCUAGAGCAUGCACUUCUACAUGGCGAAGCAGACACUAGGAGAGGAAACGCUCAACAUUAAGUUAGUUGAGGACGACGGAGAGGUAUACGGGGCGCCGACGCCGAAUCGCUGGGCGUACGUGUCGACCUUCAAGUACCUGGCGACAUACUCAGAUCGCUACGAAGGCCAUAUUCAGAUCGCGAUGAAGAGCGGGCACGUUGAUACGGUGAUCGCUGCCUCGCCGGAGAGAUGGCCGGAGUCAGUGAGAUUGUAGAGGGCCGGUCUGGAUCCGGAGUGUGCGUUCCGGCAGCCAGGCUGACGAGGACAUCGACGAGCCGGGAGUGGAGGAGGCCAUCCUUAGUAGUGGUAGGCGGCCGAUGUGCCUCGGUGCAGUACGAGGAAAGGGGUGAAAAGAUAGCUGGGAUCGGUGGUUGUGGUCUGGUGGUCGGUGGUGAUUGGUACAAACCUCUUCCAAGGGAUCUUGGUCAGGUCGUCUCCUCGGCGGCGGCAGGGCGUGAGGCCGCGGAUGAGUGACCGGCCCGGGCGGAGUGCAGAGGCGUCGCGGCGGAGGCCGCGGAGGAGUUGCCGGCGUGGAGUCGCCCUGGUCGAGGACAUCGGAGAGCAGAGGACGGCGGCAUGAGGACACGAUGAGGGAGGCGUCGGGAGGAUCGCGCGUCUAGUCUUGCGAGUAGGGCAGGCGAUGCGUCUGGUCGAGGAGAUCGCGUGAACGCAGGCGUUAAUAGGCCGGCCCAAGUACGGCGCUUCACGUGAUGUGAAAGGCGGGCGAAAGAUAAUAGUGGUGGGAUGAGGUGGGAGUGAGGCGAGACUACCAACUGAGACAUUAGGAGUAGAGAUACGAAGGUAUUACCGAUCAUAUACUAGUAUCAUGCAUAUAUACUCCCUCAUUUCCGAUUUAUAGGAUUAUCUCAAAAUUUUAGUUUUUCCAUUUUAUAAGGCUCAAUUUGGUAGUUCCCCAUCACAUGUUCAGAUUCCAAGGUGCAUUAACUCAUUGCAUGCAAGUAUUAAGAGAAAGUUGACCAAUGCAUGUACUUUAUGCAUGCAUGUAUUGCAAUUAAUACAUUGGAAAACAUAAUAUUUUGAGGAAAACAAAAGCAUUAAUUGGAUGUUUUUGCAAACUACAAAAAAUAUUCCACCACUCACCAUCUAUCUUGGUUGGUGAGAUUUUUGAAUUGAGCCCUAUAAACCGGAAAGGAGGGAGUAUGAUACUAGCUAGUCUAUGUAUACUAGCUACCUCACUAAGAGCAUGGUUAAUAAUACAACCAACGGUCGGCUAUAAGAAGUUGCCAUGUCAUAUACAGCCAACCUCUUAGCGGGCAUGUGCAAUAAUAAGUUUUAAAUAAGUACUAAUUUAUCAAUAGUUGGCCCACCUUACAUCCUCACAAAGUGUCUUGGGUCUCGUGUUGCAGCUGGCUCUACUAACCAAGAGCCCGCUUCUCUUCUCUCUCCUCUUCUCUUUCCUCCAACUAAUAAGCCCAUAUAUAUUAUUCUAUUCCUUAUAGCCUGCUUAUGUCACUCUAUUGUACUUGCUCUAAGACUAGUCACAAUGGAGAGUAACAUACACUAGUAACAUACACAUAUCCCUAAACUAUGUUACUACCUUUCAUAGUGGGUAGUAACAUAAGUAUGGUAACAUGCAAAGCCUCAUUUAUUAGGUUAUAGACUCAUAUUGCAUUGGGACAUGUGAUGUUACACUAACUAGCUAAGUUACUCAAGCUACCUCUCUCCUCAUUAACUCAUUGCCACAUAAGCAAACUUGUUGAGUUGGACUCGAUGUUACUGCUGAAGUUACUCCGACUGUGGCUAGUCCAAUGCAUAAUAUCAUAGAGUAGCUAGUAUCAUAUGCAGUACUUUAUUUAUAUUGUCAUGCAUGACACAUAGUAGCAUAGCAUUUAUUAUGAUACGGUUUCAUGAUAUGAUACGUAACCCUCUCUUUCUUCAUUUAAUUCUAUGAUAGCUCAUCAAAAUUGCCUAGUUGGCAUGCAUGAUACUAGCUAUGAUAUCCUCUUACUAUCAGCCUAGCAAAGAAGGUGUACAGAUCAUUUGUGUGUCGUUUUGUGAGUUUUCAUCCCUUUGUUCGAGAAGCGGGGAGAAGUUUCAAACAUUUCGGUUGCGAGGUGCGGCCACUGGCGUAGGCCUAGUUGGUAUUUUAAUUACAGGAAAUUCAGAUGGAGUUCAGACAUCAUCAAAAUCGAUGUGUGCCCAUGGCGUGCUCUCACGACCCCGUGGAAAAAAAUUGGUAAAGUUUGGCACAAAUUUUGGUGACCGCUCCUUCCAAACCGGAGCAUCUCACAUGAAGGAUCAUGGUUUCCAAAAAGGAGACGUGUCAAUUCAAACUCCUGUGGCCGGUGACUUCAUCGUUUGGCCUCAUAAAAAUUUCCAUGGUACGCAAUCACCAUUAUACCACGAGUUUGAUUUUCUGGCGCAUUUCAGGUAUCGUUAGCUAUAUUUAAGACAUUUUUUGAGAUUAGCAUGCAUUUUGUGCAUAAAAAUAAAAUUACAACCGGAACUGCAUGUCCUGUCGAAAUGGAUGAGGAUUGACGUUCGAUCUGGGAGCAUCCAACAAUGCAGACGUAUGGUCCACGGGGUUUGAGUUCUGGCCAAUCAGAAAGCACGACUCAGAUCAUGGGCGGGGUGGCGGGGUUUGGUCGGCACACGGCUUUCAUCAACGAACCGUGUGCUAUUCGGAAACCAGAUUGCAUAUUUUUGUUCACACAUACUGUAGUGAGAUCAAUUGAGUGUGCUACCUCUAUGAUAUAAUAAUAAUAAUAAUAAUAAUAAUAAUAAUAAUAAUAAUAAUAAUAAUAAUAAUAAUAAGAAAAAACAGUUCAUAUUCAUUGCCUGAGCUGACAGCAUAUCAAGGUCAACAUAUUAACGGUUAUUACAUCAACAGAAAAUCGGGCAUAACUCACAAAUUCAGUACAUGCGACAGUUCUAAUUUGAACGAAUUAAGUUGCAGGGUAGGCAUAAAGACUAGUCUUACGGCUUAAUUCCCAUGUACAUGGGGGAACUAAGAUCAUUACGUUGACCCCGAAUGAACUUGGGUUUUAUGAUGAUUUUACGCUUCUCUGUUACACGGGUGCGUGAUCCCUUGGCUGGCAACUCAUCAAAUUCAUCGUACUCGUCCUCAUUGGCAACAUCGCCGACACCCAGUACCCUUCUCUUCCCAUGCAUCACUAAAUGGCACUUCUUAUGCAAGGGGUCACCACAAAGAAAAUCUGGGUAGCAUCGCUGGCAAGAAUGAAUGGGUUCGCGUGAUAUGCCAUCGUUGUCCUAUUAACACAGGUCUUCCUGUACUCAUCAAUCCUUACUUGACCAAGAGGGAUCCAUGUGCACCUGAAUAAUGGAACCUUAACUUUCACAUAGUCAAGCUCCCAAAUCUCUUUGAUGGUUCCAUAGUAUACCCUUUUAUCAGCUUCAUUUACAGUCAUGCAUUCUAUUCGAACACAGCUGUUCUGAUAUGAGGUCUUCUGAUCACGUUCCUCAGUGUAGAACGUGUAUCCAUUUAUGUCAUAUGCUUGGUACGUCAACACCGUAGGUGAUGGCUUUUGUGCCAACCACGUAGCAAUGUCAUCGAUGGAUCCUUGUGCCAAACGAUUCUUCAGCCAUUCGGCGUAGUUCUUAGUGUGCUCCUUCAUCUCCACAUCUGAUGAAGGCACCAUUGGUAAGAAGCUUUGGCGUAUCUCCGCCAAGUGUUCUUCGGCAUAAGCGCUGAGAGCUGGGCUGUUAAGCAGUACUGUCAAAUGGGCUUUCUCUGCCAAUUCUCCGGGUGCAGCCAUUUGCGUGCCAGCAAGGACCGGCUUACCUUUCAGCCUUCCCUCGUGGCGAGAGAGGGGCAAACCUAUAGGUCUUUGUUUCAUGUAUUCGGUGCAAAACUCAACCACCUCCGGAUGCUUGCCUCUGGAUGGUUGCCUCUGGAUGGUUUCGGUUCCGACAAAAGCGCUUCAGUAUUCCCAUGAACCGCUCGAAGGGAUACAUGUUGCGAAGAAACACAGGACCACAAUACUUUAUCUCGUCGACAACGUGCAUAGUGAGAUGGACCAUGACAUCAAAGAAUGACGGUGGGAAAAACAUCUCUAGGUUGGACAAUAUUCUUGCAAUAUCAUCUUGCAUAUGAUCCAACUCUUCAGGAUCUACAACUUUCUGCCAUAGUUGGUUGAAGAAAUCACAGAGGUCAAUAAGUGUGUUUCUUAUAUCUUUGUCCAUUAGAUUCCUGAUGGCCACCGGAAGGAUUUGUGUCAACAUUACGUGGCAAUCAUUUGACUUCAUGUGUCCCAACUUCAUUUACCUGAGCUCACAUCCACGAGACUUCUGAUGUUUGCGCAGUAGGAAGAGGGUGUCUUAACUGACAACAAAUAGCUGAAGAACUGUGUUGCUUCUUUUGUACUGAAAUUGUAACUCUGGCGAGCUUUGAUGAAUUUGUCAUCAUCUUCUGCUUCACUCUUGCGUUUUGAUUGAUUAGCAAGCAUAUCGAGCCGUGAACCAUCACCAUCCUUUCUUUUACCUUUAAUCUUGAGCAGAGUACCAAGGAUGCUUUCACAUACGUUCUUUUCUACGUGCAUGACAUCAAUGCAGUGACGUACACGUAGAAUCUCCCAGUAAGGUAAUUUUUAGAACACCGAUUUCUUCUUAAACACUUGACCCUUGGGUGUUUGUUUCACCGUCAAAGGGUGGUUCUUGCCAAGCACAACAUUAAUUUUUUUAGCCAUGUUGUGGACCACCUACUUCAUAGGGUCUUGGGCCCACACCUGCCUCUGCCGUACCAUCAAAUUCAGCUUUCAUCUUUCAGUAUGGGUGGGUUUUCCGUAAGAACCUACGAUGACGCAAAUACACGGUUUUGUGCGAGUUGGGAGGUCUUCUGCUAGCUGUCCUAUCCAUGCAUGUGACACACCCUACAUCUCCCUUUGUUUUCUUCCCCGAUGUGUUGCCUAAUGCCGGCCUAUCUUGAAUGGUGUGCACCAGCAUCGCAUGUAGAUCGAAAAUCUCCUUUUUUUUUAAGCAUCAUAACAUUUUACACCGGCGCAUUUAUCCACACUGUUAGCAGUUCUUCUACCAGUAGCUGAAAGUAAAUGUCGAUGUCAUUUCCAGGUUGCUUCAGGCCUUGGAUAAUCAUUGACAUCAUAAUGUAUUUUUUCUUCAUACACAACCAAGGAACUAGGAUAUAUAUGCACAGAAGCACCGGCCAUGUGCUGUGAUUGGUGCUCAUAUCGCCAAAAGGAUUCAUCCCGUCAGUACACUCCCCGAGCCUUAUACUUCUAGGAUCCUUGGCAAAUUUUUCAAACUUGUUUUUGAUUAAUUCCCACUGAGCCCCAUCUUUCGGGUGCCUCAUAAACUUAUCCGCAAUUCGCUCAUCAUGAUGCCACCGCAACCUCUUUGCCUCUCUAGGCUUUGCAAACAAACGCCUAAACCUUGGAAUUAAUGGCAAGUACCAAACAACCUUGAAUGGGAUUCCUGUCUUGAUCUCGUCAUCCAAUUUGUACUUUUCCUUUGCUCUCAUGUGCUUGUAUCGUGCAUGCUUGCAUGUGGGACAUGCACGCAAAUCUUUGUACUUACCACGGUACAAUAUACAAUCAUUCACACAAGCGUAUAUCUUCUGUACUUCAAGUUCCAAUGGGCAAACAAUUUUCUUCGCUUCAUUCGUGCUUCUGAGGAGCACAUUAUUUUCCGGAAUAAUUUCUUUGAAAAGACAUAACAUCUCUGUGAAGCCCUUGUUUGAUAGACCGUUUGCUGCUUUAAAUCUGAGAAGCGCUAGGGUGGCACUCAACUUGGAAUAUUUCUGUUUACAACCUGGAUACAAUUCUUUCUUGGAGUCCGCAUCAAUGGUUGGCGGAUCCUUGUACCCAAUCAUAUCCUUUUUGGGGCCCUUGAAAUCUGCAAUCAUAGCAGCAAAAUUUGGCAUAUCAAUUUCAUCGUCAUGUGCGUCGACGUCUUGGUUUUCUAGUGGGCUUUUCAGCUUUUCGGUGUUCCAUUGGUAGCUUGACGCCUCUGCCCCGAUGUUAGAUUCAACAUCCAUGUGACACUGAUCGGGGUUUGGCAUCUCGCUGCCCUGGGUAUCUUCAUCCAUGACCUCCUCUUCACCGUGUCUGGUCCAACGUCUAUAUUCGUCCAUGAAUCCUCUAGAGACUAAGUGCAUCUGGACAUCUGUAACUUCAUGUGACUCUGUAUUGGCACAAUCAUUACAGGGACACAUGAUGUAAUCCGCAUCCCCAAUUCUCCUCUUUGUACUUUCCGCCCAAUUCAUCAACUCUGUCACGCCACUGAUAAAAUCUGCGGUUUUUCGAUUCUUCUUCCAUCGAGAUCGUUCCAUCUGCAGCACACGAAUGGUAAUUAAAAACAAAACAACAACAUUAAUACAUGGAUUAACUGCUACCCAAAGAUGCGUGCAUAAAUCACAAGGUUUCAUUUUCAUAAUUACUGAGGGCGCUCCAUGUUGUUAUCAGAUGUGCAAUGACAAAAAUUAAUGGCCAGUCAAUUUACACACAGAGUACUAGUACAACACUACCCUUAGGAAUUGAAUGCCUUAAUUAAGCCACUCACAAAAAGAAUACCUUAAUUAAUUAGCCGUGCGGCGAACUCCACCCAGCAGAUAGAGAAGUGUCAUGCGGCUGCAUGCCGAGACAGUAGGGUCGAGGAGCAAAGCUUAGUGCGGCUGCCGCCUGAAGUUCGACCUCCACUAUCCUGCCAUCGACCGCGAUGGAUAUGCUCGAAUCACGCCGGCGCCGACCUCAAUGGUUGAGCUCCUCCUAUCUCCCGCCGCAGACCGAGGAUGGACCUCCUAUGACGCCGCCACCGCCCAUCGACCGUGGAUUGACCUCUUCUCCGGUAGCCGCUGCCUAGUCCGCCGCCACCAUCUCUAUAUGCAACGGUUGUUUUUUUACGGAUAUCCAUAGAGCGGCUAUUUACACGGUAUCUCACUGUAACUCAAUUAUAUGGACAGAGUAGUACAUCACAUACGGUUAUGUAACGGCAACCGUGUCUAACCUACGUUGUUUUCUCACACGGUUUGGUGCGGAAAUCGUGUGUGACGUUGUAAUACCUAACACAAACGACGUGUAUAAACAGUGUGUCGUAUACAACAUAUAGUGCCAUAAGUAGUUCCCGACCGUUAGCUUAUCUCCACAGUUUCCCCAUUUCCCCCAAAUCCCUACAUAGCCUCCAAAUUCCCUCGCGUGGCGCUGACAUUGGGGGAAUGCGGACGAGUGGUGCUGAUGGUUUCGGUGCGGCUGCUCCUACUCGUAUCGCCGCCACGACGGCGGUCGCCGCCGAGCACUUGCCUAAGGUCAUCAGAAGGCAGGUGUACUAUGGAUCCGAAUCGUCCUGUCAGGUUCCAAUCUAUCCCGAUCUUUUUUAGCAUGUUCAAAGUAUACCUCCUUGCUAAAUCCGUCCUGAAUGACACCCCUCCCCGCCAGGAAAGCGAUCUGCCGCCGGAUCCGGAGCAUGACGCCAGUCUCCCGCAACACGAGUUUGACUCCGAGUUUUGCGCCACCAAGAAGUACCAAAAGCUGAGUUGUGUGCACGGGCACACUCCCGCUCGACGUUUAUGCACGGAGGGAUUCGACAUUGGCAGGCGGUUUCUCAGUUGCCUCUUAGAGGUUAGUGCUAAUUAAGUUCAUUAUUUUACUUCAGUUAAUGCCACCGCUCAUCCUGAAUACGAUUUAACAUUGGUAGGGAUAUGAGGCUUGUGCCUUUGUUAACUGGCUGGAUGAAGAAUGGCAAGGCAGGGCUCGGAGUGUUAUCACCAAGCUCGCAGAAGAUAACGUAAAGCUGAAGAAGAAACUGGCUGAUCUGGAAUGUACAAUCAGUAUGAUGAAGCAAGAAAGAAUCAAUCAUAGGCAACAGAUGAAAGCAAGAGACAAGAAGGAACUAGCAUGUGUAGUUGUGGUUGUCGCAUUAGCCAUGUUCUAUGUGCUGUUUGGAGUGAUGAUUAGGGGUUUGGUUUAACAGUAUUGCUAAAGCACAUCUAGAUGUGCUCUAAGUAAUGCACAUCUAGGUCCUAUGCCAUUGACGUUACGCGAAGAUUUGUGCAGAUAUUUUUCUUUGUCUUUUUUUCUUUUCCUUUCUAGUUUGAUUAUUACUGGCUUUAUCAAUAAGAAGAGCCCAAUGUAUUGCUUGCCAACUGUCCUACUCCAUUCGUACCGGUACCGGUGCAUAAUCCCAAAACGCGUUCCUUGUUUUUGUCCUGGAAAAGGAAACCAGCCAAAUAGCCAAUAGGAGUCCUGCGCAACCCCGGGAAUUUGGAGCGACUGGGUACAAAUAAUUGCGGUUGAUUAUAUCAGCGGUUAGAUAAUACGUCAACCCCCGCUUCAAUCCCCNNNNNNNNNNNNNNNNNNNNNNNNNNNNNNNNNNNNNNNNNNNNNNNNNNNNNNNNNNNNNNNNNNNNNNNNNNNNNNNNNNNNNNNNNNNNNNNNNNNNNNNNNNNNNNNNNNNNNNNNNNNNNNNNNNNNNNNNNNNNNNNNNNNNNNNNNNNNNNNNNNNNNNNNNNNNNNNNNNNNNNNNNNNNNNNNNNNNNNNNNNNNNNNNNNNNNNNNNNNNNNNNNNNNNNNNNNNNNNNNNNNNNNNNNNNNNNNNNNNNNNNNNNNNNNNNNNNNNNNNNNNNNNNNNNNNNNNNNNNNNNNNNNNNNNNNNNNNNNNNNNNNNNNNNNNNNNNNNNNNNNACCCCGCUUCCAAUGGCAAUUCCUCUUCUCUGCAUACCCCGCUUAAGUGUCCACCAUCUUCAUCGUCCCCGGAAGGCCGCGCUACACACUGGCACACACUCUGCAGCCAUGUCGAGCGACAGCAAGGACGACAGUUUGGCCAGCAGUCUGGCGCCCGAUGAUAGGUCAACAUCGGAAUCAUCCCGCUCGUCUUCCAUGAGUCCGGCGUCGAGCCCAGACCUCGAUUAUAUCCGGUUCAUGGAAGGGACGCCGCCUCCAGAGUCAUCAGACGACAACCAGACGGACGAGGAGCCGUCGGAGGAAGAAGAAGAGGACGACGAUGAUGAGGAGGAGGAAUGGUCGAAUGAGGAGGAGGAGGACAACGACAGCAACGACGAUGACGACGGCGGCGGCGAUGAAAAGCCCACGGUCAGCGGCAAGAAGCGUCCUCGCCAAGAUGAUGUCGCGGGGCCAUCCAACAACAACAACAAGAAGAAGAAGGACUAAAUUAAGCAAACUGUAUAUAUCUCUGUUUAUCCUGUCAAUCUCAUCGCAGACGGUUAGUAAUAUUUAUUCGACAGAGAUCUUCUACAUUAUCGCCCACAGGUUGGUUUGUUGAACUGUGUGCCCUGACGAGCACACAAUUCACAAAAAAAGACCGAUGGGCUGUCUAUAAUGAUCGCACACAAUUCUGAUUACUGACCUAUUUUGCCGGGUAUCACACACAUCUUGUUACGCCGAAUAGUUUGUGUUCAUCCCUCCCCGUUCAUUCAAUCAUCGCAAACGGUUCAUCGGUGUGAACUGUAUGCCGUAUAUCGCACACACCUUGAUCUAGCUGCCCGUUUCAGUUCUUCUGUCUCAUCAAAAACAGUUCGUACAGAUCAACCUUAUGCCCCUCAUCGCACACGCAACUAAAAUCUGAACCGUGUUUGAUGUAUUAUUCAUCGCAAACAUUUUGCAUCUUUUUUGACGGGUUUUUUACAUCACCGUUUGCGAUUAAUGCAUCACACAGUUUCGUCAAAGGGUCUCUGAUCGUAGUGUCACGUUAGCAGCAUCCUGUAGUAGUGAAUAUAGCUGUCACAUAAAAUAUUCUCUUCAUGAUCCACAUGCAUGCAAAGUUGACACUCCUCCUAAAUAGUGGAAUUAUCAUCAAAUAAAGUCAUGACCUCUCCAAGCCCACUUUUAUAAAAAAAAUCAUAAGAUUGAACACUCUCCCAAUAUGUGGGAUUAUUUUUAGCUAAAGUUGACACUCUUCCAAACUCAUUUUUAAUAUUAUCACAAGCAUAUUCAUCAUUAGGUUUAAAUAAAUUUUCAAGAUCAUAAGAAUCAUUAUCACCCCAAUCAUGAUCAUUGCAAUAAGCAGUGGACAUAACAAAACAAGCAUCCCCAAGCUUGGGGUUUUGCAUAUCGCUAACACAAUUUACAUAAAUAGAAUUUAUAAUAACAUCAUUGCAAUCAUGCUUUUCAUUCAAGGAGCUAUCAUGAAUCACUUUAUAAAUUUCUUCAUUUAACAUUUCAUCAAAAUUUUCCGAUUCAUGAAUGUCAAGCAAAACUUCAUAAAGAUAAUCUAGUGAACUCAAUUCACUAUCAAUUGGUUCAUCAUAAUUGGAUAUUUUGAAAAGAUUAGCAAGUGGAUGAUGAUCCAUGUUAAUAGAUUUUUAGGAAGCGAAGAUGCAAGCAAAUAGAAGACACAUGGUAACACAAGCAAAGAGGCAAACAAGAAAAAGCCAAACGAAAAAAAGCAAACAGAAAAUAUUUUUGUAUUUUUGCAAAAAGUUUUUAGAAGUGGGGGAGAUGAAAAUGAGAGGCAAAUGGCAAAUAAAGUAAUUUCAAGGAGCUGAGAGUUUGUGCGUAGGAACCUGAUAGAUGUUGAUCAUGUCUCCCCGGCAACGACGCCAUUCCUUUUGAUGCGGCUUGAAACUACGUCGGUAUUUCCCCAAAGAGGAAGGGAUGAUACAGUACAACUACGGUAGGUAUUUCCCUUAGUUAUGAAACCAAGGUAUCAAUCUAGUAGGAGAACCAAGCAACACUAUGUAAAUGGCACCUACACACAAAGAACAAAUCCUUGCAACCCAACGCGUAAGAGGGGUUGUCAAUCCCUCCUCGGUAAAAAGAUAGAUUAAAUUGUAUGUGUUUGGAUAAAUAGAUCUGGAUAAAACACGAAAUAAAAUAAGUAAAGAAAAAAUGCAGCAAGGUAUUUUUGGGUUUUUAUAAUAAUAGAUCAGAAAACAAAUACGUCAAAAAAUAGAUCUGAAAGCAAUAUGAUAAAAGAUAGACCCGGGGGCCAUAUUUCACUAGUGGCUUCUCUCGAGAAAAUGGCACAUGGUGGGUAAACAAAUAACUGUUGGGGAAUUGAUAGAAGAAUAAAUAAUUAUGACAAUAUCCAAGGCAAUGAUCAAUAUAUAGGCAUCACAUCCAAGAUUAGUAGACCGAAACAAUUCUGCAUCUAAUACUAUUACUCCACACAUCGACUGCUAUCCAGCAUGCAUCUAGUGUAUUAAGUUCAUGGAGAAACGGAGUAAUGCAAUAAGAACAAUGGGAUGAUGUAGAAGAUCUAUUCAUGUAGGAAUAGACCCCAUCUUGUUAUCCUUAAUAGGAACGAUACAUACGUGCCUCGCUACCCCUUCUGUCAUUGGGUGAGGACACCGUAAGAUCGAACCCGUCACAAAGCACCUCUUCCCAUUGCAAGAAAAAUUGAUCUAGUUGGCCUAACUAAACCCAAGAUUCGAAGAAUAAAUAGGAGGCUAUGAAUAAUCAUGUAUAUAAGAGAUCUAAGAAGACUCGAAUAAUAUUCAUGGAUAUAGAUUUGAUCAUAAACUCGAACUUCAUAGGAUCCCAGCAAACACACCGCAAAAGGUCAUUACAUCAAAUAGAUCUCUAAGAGACCAUUGUAUUGAGAAUCAAAAAGAGAGAAGAAGCCAUCUAGCUACUACCUACGAACCCGUAGGUCUAUGGUGAACUACUCAUGCAUCAUCGGAGAGGCACCAAUGAGGAUGAUGAUCCCCUCCGUGAUCGUGUUAGAUUGCAUCUCGUGGUUCUGGAACUUGCGGCGGCUGGAAUUGUGUUUCAUCGACUCCCCUAGGGUUUCUGGAAUAUUUGGGUAUUUAUAGAGCGAAGAGGCUAUGCAGGAGACCCCCGUGGGCCCCACAACCCAUCAUGGCCCUUCCUUGGCUUCCAAAUUGUCUUCUGGCCCAAAAUAAAUCUCCCAAAAGUUUCGCUACAUUUGGACUCCGUUUGAUAGGGAAAUUUUGCGAAGUAAAAAACAAGCAAAAAACUGCAACUAGCACUAGGCCGUAUGUCAAUAGGUUAGUCCCAAAAAAUGAUAUAAAGUUGUUAUAAAAUGAUUGUAAUGUUGGGGAACGUAGUAAUUUCAAAAAAAAAUCCUACGCACACACAAGAUCAUGGUGAUGCAUAGCAACGAGAGGGGAGAGUGUGUCCACGUACCCUCGUAGACCGAAAGUGGAAGCGUUAGCACAACGCGGUUGAUGUAGUUGUGGGUCUUCACGAUCCGACCGAUCAAGUACCGAACGUACGGCACCUCCGAGCUCAGCACACGUUCAGCUCGAUGACGUCCCUUGAAUUCUGAUACAUCCGAGCUUUGAGGGAGAGUUCCGUCAGCACGACGGCGUGGUGACGAUGAUGAUGUUCUACCAACGCAGGGCUUCGCCUAAGCACCGCUAUGAUAUUAUCGAGGUGGAUUAUGGUGGAGGGGGGCACCGCACAUGGCUAAGAGAUCAAGAGAUCAAUUGGUGUGUCUAGAGGUGCCCCUGCCCCCGUAUAUAAAGGAGCAAGGGGGAGAGGCGGCCGGCCAGGAGGAGGUGCGCCAGGGAGGAGUCCUACUCCCACCGGGAGUAGGACUCCCUCCUUUCCUAGUUGGAGUAGGAGAAGGGGGGAGGAGGAGAGAGGGGAAGGAAGGGGGCGCCGCCCCCCCUCCUUGUCCAAUUCGGACUAGAGGGGGAGGGGGCGCGCAGCCUGCCCUGGCCGCCCCUCCUCUUCUCCACUAAGGCCCAUCUUGGCCCAUUAAACCCCCGGGGGGGUUCCGAUAACCCCUGGUACUCCGGUAAAAUCCCGAUUUCACCCGGAACACUUCCGAUAUCCAAAUAUAGGCUUCCAACAUAUCAACCUUUAUGUCUCGACCAUUUCGAGACUCCUCGUCAUGUCCGUGAUCACAUCCGGGACUCCGAACUACCUUCGGUACAUCAAAACACAUAAACUCAUAAUAUAACCGUCAUCGAACUUUAAGCGUGCGGACCCUACGGGUUCGAGAACUAUGUAGACAUGACCGAGACAUGUCUCCGGCCAAUAAACAAUAGCGGAACCUGGAUGCUCAUAUUGGCUCCCACAUAUUCUACGAUGAUCUUUAUCGGUCAAACCGCAUAACAACAUACGUUGUUCCCUUUGUCAUCGGUAUGUUACUUGCCUGAGAUUCGAUGGUCGGUAUCUCAAUACCUAGUUCAAUCUAGUUACCAGCAAGUCUCUUUACUCAUUCCGUAAUACAUCAUCCUGCAACUAACUCAUUAGUCACAUUGCUUGCAAGGCUUAUAGUGAUGUGCAUUACCGAGAGGGCCCAAAGAUACCUCUCCGACAAUCGGAGUGACAAAUCCUAAUCUCGAAAUACGCCAACCCAACAAGUACCUUUGGAGACACCUGUAGAGCACCUUUAUAAUCACCCAGUUACGUUGUGAUGUUUGGUAGCACACAAAGUGUUCCUCCGGUAAACGGGAGUUGCAUAAUCUCAUAGUCAAAGGAACAUGUAUAAGUCAUGAAGAAAGCAAUAGCAGAAUACUAAACGAUCAAGUGCUAAGCUAACGGAAUGGGUCAAGUCAAUCACAUCAUUCUCCUAAUGAUGUGAUCCCGUUAAUCAAAUGACAACUCAUGUCUAUGGCUAGGAAACAUAACCAUCUUUGAUCAACGAGCUAGUCAAGUAGAGGCAUACUAGUGACACUCUGUUUGUCUAUGUAUUCACACAAGUAUUACAUUUCCGGUUAAUACAAUUCUAGCAUGAAUAAUAAACAUUUAUCAUGAUAUAAGGAAAUAAAUAAUAAGUUUAUUAUUGCCUCUAGGGCAUAUUUCCUUCAGUCUCCCACUUGCACUAGAGUCAAUAAUUUAGAUUACACAGUAAUGAUUCUAACACCCAUGGAGCCUUGGUGCUGAUCAUGUUUUGAUCGUGGAAGAGGCUUAGUCAACGGGUCUGCAACAUUCAGAUCCGUAUGUAUCUUGCAAAUUUCUAUGUCUCCCACCUGGACUUGAUCCCGGAUGGAGUUUAAGUGUCCCCUGAUGUGCUUGGUUCUCUUGUGAAAUCUGGAUUCCUUUGCCAAGGCAAUUGCAUCAGUAUUGUCACAAAAGAUUUUCAUUGGACCCGAUGCACUAGGUAUGACACCUAGAUCGGAUAUGAACUCCUUCAUCCAGACAACUUCAUUUGCUGCUUCCGAAGCAGCUAUGUACUCCGCUUCACACGUAGAUCCCGCCACAACGCUUUGUUUAGAACUGCACCAACUGACAGCUCCACCGUUCAAUGUAAACACGUAUCCGAUUUAGAACUCCAUCGUCCGGAUCAGUGUCAAAGCUUGCAUCGAUGUAACCAUUUACGAUUAGUUCUUUGUCACCUCCAUAAACGAGAAACAUAUCCUUAGUCCUUUUCAGGUAUUUCAGGAUGUUCUUGACCAUUGUCCAGUGAUCCACUUCUGGAUUACUUUGGUACCUCCCUGCUAAACUUAUAGCAAGGCACACAUCAGGUCUGGUACACAGCAUUGCAUACAUGAUAGAGCCUACGGCUGAAGCAUAGGGAACAUCUUUCAUCUUCUCUCUAUCUUCUGCAGUGGUCGGGCAUUGAGUCUUACUCAACUUCACACCUUGUAACACAGGCAAGAACCCUUUCUUUGCUUGAUCCAUUUUGAACUUCUUCAAAACUUUCUCAAGGUAUGUGCUUUGUGAACGUCCAAUUAAACGUCUUGAUCUAUCUCUAUAGAUCUUGAUGCCCAAUAUAUAAGUAGCUUCACCGAGGUCUUUCAUUGAAAAACUCUUAUUCAAGUAUCCUUUUAUGCUAUCCAGAAAUUCUAUAUCAUUUCCAAUCAACAAUAUGUCAUCCACAUAUAAUAUCAGAAAUGCUACUGAGCUCCCACUCACUUUCUUGUAAAUACAGGCUUCUCCAAAAGUCUGUAUAAAACCAUAUGCUUUGAUCACACUAUCAAAGUGUUUAUUCCAACUCCGAGAGGCUUGCACCAGUCCAUAAAUGGAUCGCUGGAGCUUGCACACUUUGUUAGCUCCCUUUGGAUCGACAAAACCUUCCGGUUGCAUCAUAUAAAACUCUUCUUCCAGAAAUCCAUUCAGGAUUGCAGUUUUGACAUCCAUUUGCCAAAUUUCAUAAUCAUAAAAUGCGGCAAUUGCUAACAUGAUUUGGACAGACUUAAGCAUCGCUACGGGUGAGAAAUUCUUAUCGUAGUCAAUCCCUUGAACUUGUCGAAAACCUUUUGCAACAAGUCGAGCUUUAUAGACAGUAACAUUACCGUCAGCGUCAGUCUUCUUCUUGAAGAUCCAUUUAUUCUCAAUGGCUUGCCGAUCAUCGGGCAAGUCAACCGAAGUCCACACUUUGUUCUCAUCCAUGGAUCCCAUCUCAGAUUUCAUGGCCUCAAGCCAUUUUGCGGAAUCUGGGCUCACCAUCGCUUCUUCAUAGUUCGUAGGUUCGUCAUGGUCUAGUAACAUAACCUACAGAACAGGAUUACCGUACCACUCUGGUGCGGAUCUUAAUCUGGUUGACCUACGAGGUUCAGUAACAACUUGAUCUGAAGUUUCAUGAUCAUCAUCAUUAACUUCCUCACUAAUUGGUGUAGGUGUCACAGGAACCGGUUUCUGUGAUGAACUACUUUCCAAUAAGGGAGCAGGUACAGUUACAUCAUCAAGUUCUACUUUCCUCCCACUCACUUCUUUCGAGAGAAACUCCUUCUCUAGAAAGGAUCCAAAUUUAGCAACAAAAGCCUUGCCUUCAGAUCUGUGAUAGAAGUACCCAACAGUUUCCUUUGGGUAUCCUAUGAAGACACAUUUCUCCGAUUUGGGUUCGAGCUUAUCAAGUUGAAGCUUUUCACAUAAGCAUCGCAGCCCCAAACUUUAGAAACGACAACUUUGGUUUCUUGCCAAACCACAGUUCAUAAGGUGUCGUCUCAACGGAUUUUGAUGGUGCCCUAUUUAACGUGAAUGCAGUCGUUUGUAAAGCAUAACCCCAAAAUGAUAGCGGUAAAUCAGUAAGAGACAUCAUAGAUCGCAGCAUAUCUAGUAAAGUACGAUUACGACGUUCGGAUACACCAUUACGCUGUGGUGUUCUGGGUGGCGUGAGUUGCGAAACUAUUCCGCAUUGUUUCAAAUGAAGACCAAACUCGUAACUCAAAUAUUCUCCUCCACGAUCAGAUCGUAGAAACUUUAUUUUCUUGUUACGAUGAUUUUCAGCUUCACUCUAAAAUUCUUUGAACUUUUCAAAUGUUUCAGACUUAUGUUUCAUUAAGUAGAUAUACCCAUAUCUGCUUAAAUCAUCUGUGAAGGUGAGAAAAUAAUGAUACCCGUCGCGAGCCUCAACAUUCGUCAGACCACAUACAUUUGUAUGUAUGAUUUCCAACAAAUCUGUUCCUCGCUCCAUAGUUCAGGAGAACGACGUUUUAGUCAUCUUGCCCAUGAGGCACGGUUCGCAAGUACCAAGUGAUUCAUAAUCAAGUGGUUCCAAAAGUCCAUCAGUAUGGAGUUUCUUCAUGCGCUUUACACCAAUAUGACCUAAACGGCAGUGCCACAAAUAAGUUGCACUAUCAUUAUCAACUCUGCAUCUUUUGGCCUCAAUAUUAUGAAUAUGUGUAUCACUACUAUCGAGAUUUAAUAUAAAUAGACCACUCCUCAAGGGUGCAUGACCAUAAAAGAUAUUACUCAUAUAAAUAGAACAACCAUUAUUCUCUGAUUUCAAUGAAUAACCGUCUCGCAUCAAACAAGAUCCAGAUAUAAUGUUCAUGCUCAACGCUGGCACCAAAUAACAAUUAUUCAUGUCUAAAACUAAUCCCGAAGGUAGAUGUAGAGGUAGCGUGCCGACCGCGAUCACAUCAACUUUGGAACCAUUUCCCACGCGCAUCGUCACCUCGUCCUUAGCCAAUCUUUGCUUAAUCCGUAGUCCCUAUUUCGAGUUGCAAAUACUAGCAACAGAACCAGUAUCAAAUACCCAGGUGCUACUGCGAGCAUUAGUAAGGUACACAUCAAUAACAUGUAUAUCACAUAUACCUUUGUUCACCUUGCCAUCCUUCUUAUCCGCCAAAUACUUGGAGCAGUUCCGCUUCCAGUGACCAGUCUGUUUGUAGUAGAAGCACUCAGUCUAAGGCUUAGGUCCAGACUUGGGUUUCUUCUCCUGAGCAGCAACUUGUUUGAUGUUCUUCUUGAAGUUCCCCUUCUUCUUCCCUUUGCCCUUUUUCUUGAAACUGGUGGUCUUGUUGACCAUCAACACUUGAUGCUCCUUCUUGAUUUCUACCUCCGCAGCCUUUAGCAUUGCGAAGAGCUCGGGAAUCGUCUUAUCCAUCCCUUGCAUGUUAUAGUUCAUCAUGAAGCUCUUGUAGCUUGGUGGCAGUGAUUGAAGAAUUCUUUCAAUGACGCUAUCAUCUGGAAGAUUAACUCCCAGUUGAAUCAAGUGAUUGUUAUACCCAGACAUUCUGAGUAUAUGCUCACUGACAGAACUAUUCUCCUCCAUCUUAUAGUUGUAGAACUUAUUGGAGACUUCAUAUCUCUCAACCCGGGCAUUUGCUUGAAAUAUUAACUUCAACUCCUGGAACAUCUCAUAUGCUCCAUGACGUUCAAAACGUCGUUGAAGUCCCGGUUCUAAGCCGUAAAGCAUGGCACACUGCCAGACAUUCAUAACAUCUGGGAGAACACUUAUACCUUGAAAUUUAGUGAGAGAUCAUCUUAUAAUGCUACCGUCAAUCAAAGCAAGAUAAGAUGCAUAAAAGAUAAACAUCACAUGCAAUCAAUAUAAGUGAUAUGAUAUGGCCAUCAUCAUCUCGUGCUUGUGAUCUCCAUCUCCGAAGCACCAUCAUGAUCACCAUCGUCACCGGCGCGACACCUUGAUCUCCAUCGUAGCAUCGUUGUCGUCUCGCCAAUUUAUGCUUCUACGACUAUCGCUACCGCUUAGUGAUAAAGUAAAGCAUUACAGGGCGAUUGCAUUGCAUACAAUAAAGCGACAACCAUAUGGCUCCUGCCAGUUGUCAAUAACUCGGUUACAAAACAUGAUCAUCUCAUACAAUAAAAUAUAGCAUCAUGCCUUGACCAUAUCACAUCACAACAUGCCCUGCAAAAACAAGUUAGACGUCCUCUACUUUGUUGUUGCAAGUUUUACGUGGCUGCUACGGGUUGAGCAAGAACCGUUCUUACCUACGAAUCAAAAACCACAAUGAUAGUUCGUCAAGUUAGUGGUGUUUUAACCUUCUCAAGGACCGGGCGUAGCCACACUCGGUUCAACUAAAGUUGGAGAAACUGACACCCGCCAGCCACCUGUGUGCAAAGCACAUCGGUAGAACCAGUCUCGCGUAAGCAUACGCGUAAUGUCUGUCCGGGCCACUUCAUCCAACAAUACCGCCGAACCAAAGUGUGACAUCCUGGUAAGCAGUAUGACUUGUAUCGCCCACAACUCACUUGUGUUCUAGUCGUGCAUAUAACAUCAACGCAUAAAACCUGGCGAGGAUGCCACUGUUGAGGAACGUAGUAAUUUCAAAAAAAUUCCUACGCACACGCAAGAUCAUGGUGAUGCAUAGCAACGGGAGGGGAGAGUGUGUCCACGUACCCUCAUAGACCGAAAGCGGAAGCGUUAGCACAACGCGGUUGAUGUAGUCGUACGUCUUCACGAUCCGACUGAUCAAGUACCGAACAUAUGGCACCUCCGAGUUCAGCACACGUUCAGCUCGAUGACGUCCCUCGAACUCCGAUCCAGCCGAGCUUUGAGGGAGAGUUCCGUCAGCACGACGGCGUGGUGACGAUGAUGAUGUUCUACCGACGCAGGGCAUCGCCUAAGCACCGCUACGAUAUUAUCAAGGUGGAUUAUGGUGGAGGGGCACACGGCUAAGAGAUCAAGAGAUUAAUUGUUGUGUCUAGAGGUGCCCCCCUGCCCCCGUAUAUAAAGGAGCAAGGGGGAGAGGCGGCCGGCCAGGAGGAGGCGCGCCAGGGAGGAGUCCUACUCCCAUCGGGAGUAGGACUCCCUCCUUUCCUAGUUGGAGUAGGAGAAGGGGGAAGGAGGAGAGAGAGGGGAAGGAAAGGGGGCGCCGCCCCCCGCCCCUCCUUGUCCAAUUCGGACUAGAGGGGGAGGGGGCGCGCGGCCUGCCCUGGCCGCCCCUCCUCUUCUCCACUAAGGCCCAUCUUGGCCCAUUAAACCCCCGGAGGGGUUCCGGUAACCCCCGAUACUCCGGUAAAAUCCCGAUUUCACCCGGAACACUUCCGAUAUCCAAAUAUAGGCUUCCAAUAUAUCAAUCUUUAUGUCUCAACCAUUUCGAGACUCCUCGUCAUGUCCGUGAUCACAUCCGGGACUCCGAACUAUCUUCGGUACAUCAAAACACAUAAACUCAUAAUAUAAUCGUCAUCGAACUUUAAGCGUGCGGACCCUACGGGUUCGAGAACUAUGUAGACAUGACCGAGACAUGUCUCUGGCCAAUGACCAAUAGCGGAACCUGGAUGCUCAUAUUGGCUCCCACAUAUUCUACAAAGAUCUUUAUCGGUCAAACCGCAUAAAAACAUAUGUUGUUCCCUUUGUCAUCGGUAUGUUACUUGCCCGAGAUUCGAUCGUCGGUAUCUCAAUACCUAGUUCAAUCUCGUUACCGGCAAGUCCCUUUACUCGUUCUUUAAUACAUCAUCCAGCAACUAAAUCAUUAGUCACAUUGCUUGCAAGGCUUAUAGUGAUGUGCAUUACCGAGAGGGCCCAGAGAUAGCUCUCCGACAAUCGGAGUGACAAAUCCUAAUCUCGAAAUACGCCAAUCCAACAAGUACCUUUGGAGACACCUGUAGAGCACCUUUAUAAUCACCCAGUUACGUUGUGAUGUUUGGUAGCACACAAAGUGUUCCUCCGGUAAACGGGAGUUGCAUAAUCUCAUAGUCAUAGGAACAUGUAUAAGUCAUGAAGAAAGCAAUAGCAGAAUCCUAAACGAUCAAGUGCUAAGCUAACGGAAUGGGUCAAGUCAAUCACAUCAUUCUCCUAAUGAUGUGAUCCCGUUAAUCAAAUGACAACUCAUGUCUAUGGCUAGGAAACAUAACCAUCUUUGAUCAACGAGCUAGUCAAGUAGAGGCAUACUAGUGACACUUUGUUUGUCUAUGUAUUCACACAAGUAUUACGUUUCCGGUUAAUACAAUUCUAGCAUGAAUAAUAAACAUUUAUCAUGAUAUAAGGAAACAAAUAAUAAUUUUAUUAUUGCCUCUAGGGCAUAUUUCCUUCAUGUAAAACAUCCAAGAAUGAUAAUAUAACAACAUGGAACAAUAAAAAAUUAUAGAUACGUUGGAGACGUAUCAUGGGGUCACAUGAUCGUGAGUCUCUGCUCGUCACCACGCGCUCCCAAGACACUAACGAGAUUGGGUAUUUGAUCUGAGUUGGCCACUGGCCUGUACGCACUAACCAUCACACGGGAACAGUUAUGGGCACUCGGCGUUGUAUGUAUCAGCCGAAGCUCUUACGACGUUAGCGACUGAGCAGCGCGCCGGGUUUGACAGGUUACGCCUACGCUUGUAUAAGGGGGCUAGGUCCGCUCACCGGUGGCUUUUGCAACGUGCAGGAGUGCAAAGAGCGACGGGCCCAAGACCCAUGCGCGCUUAGGAUGUAGACCGGCGUGCUGGCCUCUCUGUUGAGCCUAGGUAGGGCUACGACGUGUUGAUCUUCCGAGGCCAGGCAUGACCCAAGAAAGUGUGUCUGGCCAGAGUGAUUGAGCGUGUUGGGUAAUGUGGUGCACCCUUGCAGGGAAGUUUAUCUAUUCGAAUAGCCAUGUCCACGGUAACAGGACGACUUGGAGUUGUAUCCCGAUCUAUUCAACUAGAACUGGAUACUGAGAUGUGAUUUGGAUAUGAUGGCUCCGGGAUUGCUUUCUCGCAGGGAGCCGAGAAAGGAUCUCUGUGCGUUAAUGUUAUAACAUACUUGUUAAAUAUAAUAUGCUGCUCUUACCUCUUCUGAUGCUGCAAGAUGCUUGAAGAUGCUAGUCCUCGAUAGGCUAGGCUUUCCCUUCUCUUCUGGCAUUCUGCAGUUCAGUCCACGGAUACGGCCCAUCCCUUUGAUACUGAUGCAUACUUAGUUUAGAUCUGAUGUAUGUCUUGCGAGUACUUUGGAUGAGUACUCAUGGUUGCUUUGCUACCUCUUUUUCCCCUAUACCCAAUUGGUGCGAUCAGAUGUCGGAGCCCAAGAGCCAGAUGCCACCGUCGAUGACUUCUACUACCCCGGGCCUACUACGUGGAAGCCGCCGACAACUAGGAGUAGUUAGGAGGCUCCCAGGCAGGAGGCCUUGCCUUUUUGAUCGUUGUUGCUUUUGUGCUAGCCUUCUUAAGGCAAACUUGUUUAACUUACUAUACUCAGAUAUUGUUGCUUCCGCUGACUUGUUUGUAUUCGAGCCCUCGGGACCCCUGGCUUGUAAUAUAAAGCUUGUAUGACUUUAAUUUGUGUCUAGAGUUGUGUUGUGAUAUCUUCCCAUGAGUCCCUAAUCUUGAUCAUACACAUUUGCGUGUAUGAUUAGUGUACAGUCGAAUCGGGGGCAUCACAAGUUGGUAUUAGAGCCUACUUCAUGUAGGAAUCCCCCUUUCCAACUCCUUGGCCGAAUUUGAGUCUAGUCUUUGAAAACCUUUUACUAACAUUGUUGUGUGUCUUACGGGCCCAAAUCACAAAUGGGUGGUAUUAGGAUCUUUUAUUCCUCGUCUUUACUCUGGGAUUCUGAUCUCUCUUCUAUUAGGGUUAAAGAUUUUGCUAACUCUAACUUUAGGUUCUCAUAACUACUUCCUCCUGGAGAGCCCCUUCGUUUCAGAUGAUCGCCUGCUUCAACAGAAGACUUCGAAGAUACUCUCCGAUGUUCUCCCGAGAACAUGUGCUCAUCGCUUUUGCAAUUCCCUUCCACCGCCAACCCCUAUGGAUAACUACAUGCACCUGGAGUUCAUACUUUCAUUCCCAGUUACUCUUGUUAUUACAAGAUGCCCUGAAAUACUAUCCGUUGUCUCGGGAAUCCUUUGAGCUUACUGCCUUGCAGUUCUUUGCCACGUGAUUACCCCUACAAAUAAUUCCUCACACUUAUCGAGGAUUUGUUCAACCCUAGUUGUUCAUGUGAUUCAAAAGAUACUUUGAAAUACUAUUUAAUCUUUCGAUAAUCCUCUGCCAAAUAUUGCUCAGCAAUUACUUGUCUGCUUGCAUAAUGGUUACUUCCCGUAUGAGUGGCAAUAUUCUUUAGUAUCCUUUGUCAUCGUCAUUUUGAGCCUUUGAUUCGAUAUGUUUGUGAAUGGUCGCAAUCAUCAGUCGAAACUAGAAUUCAUCCCUUCGUCUCAGACGUUACUCGAGACAUGAGCUGGUUCCCAGCAAAUCAAACCUUUUGACCAGAGCAUAUGCUUCACUUGAGACAUGAACUCAAAUAAUUAAUUCUAUUCAACUUACAUAUCUUUUGACCAGAGCAUCUGCUUCUGAUCCCCCGAUUUGAAAAUCUUAGCUCCUUUGUAUUUAAGCAUCGAAUUAUUCAGAUGUUUCGAUUAACCGAUGCCUUUGCAUUCUCUCUUCUUCUGGUUGAGUACCGAUACUCACAUCAGAUCCUUUGUAGACCGCCAGAUCCUUUGGUGGAUUAGUGAGCCUCUUGUUCUUAUCUUCUUUUUGAAAGAAAAAUAUUCUUACUUUAGAUAGAUACUUGUCUAAUUUUCUUACUAUUUUAUUCCUUCUUAUUACAUAGUGCGAUGGUUUUGGUAUCCGCCCCUGUCGGCCCUCGUCCUGUCUAUGAUUCGGAUCUGGUAUAUAUUAUCUUUUAUAACUAUUUGAUUCAUUUAUUGUUUAUGACAAAUAUACCGACCAGCGUGACAUAGAUUUUAUUUAUCUAGGAGGUGGUUGAACCGGAAAUUCUAACCGACCCUAUUGUCGAGAGGUUAAAUUUAGUUGAAGAAGAAAACAAUUACUUGAAGGGAAAAAUAAAAAAAUUAAGGAGGAGAAGAUGAUAUUGGAGUUGCAUGUUGCGGAUGUCGUCGAUGAUCACAAGAUCAAGAUGGAUGCAAUGCGCUUGAAGAUUAGAAAGAUUAGAAAAUAUGCCAUUCAUACCGAGGCUUGGUAUCAUUAAGCCGUUGGAUCAAUUGUUACCUUGGUUGUGAUUAUGAUCGGAUUUGUUUUCGCAUUGAAAUGUUUUACAUAGUUUCAAUGUAUGGUUUAAUUAAUUAGAUGCUCUGGAGAGCUAUAUAUAUGUUGUUAGAUGAGAACUAUGUAUGUACUUUGGUUCUAAUGUGAUGAUGAACUUCUAUUAAUUUGGUCACUUAAUUAUCUAUUCAUGAUGUUCUGUAAUGGUUUUUGACACACUUAAUUAUAUAUAAUGCACGCAGAUGAACCGGCAAUGGAUGUACGGUGACAGACACACCUCCGAGUACAUUAAGGGCGUGCAUGAUUUUCUCGAAGUGGCUGAGGCAAACAAGCAGAAUGGUUUUAUGUGUUGUCCAUGCCCUAUAUGUGGGAAUACGAAGUCUUACUCUGACCGGAAAAUCCUUCACGCCCACCUGCUUUACAAGGGUUUCAUGCCACACUAUAAUGUUUGGACGAGGCACGGAGAAAUGGGGGUUAUGAUGGAAGACGGCGAAGAAGAAGAGGACGAUGACAACUAUGUGCCCCCUGAAUACGGUGAUGCUGCAACGGGGGAAGCUGCUGAAGAUCAAGAGGAACCUGACGAUGUGCCCAAUGAUGCUACAAGGGGGGAAGCUGCUGAAGAUCAAGAGGAACCAGUGCCCGAUGAUGAUGAUCUCCGCCGGGUCAUAGUCGAUGCAAGGACGCAAUGCGAAGUCAAAAGGAGAAGCGGAAGUUCGAUCGCAUGUUAGAGGAUCACAAAAAAGGGUUGUACCCCAAUUGCAAAGAUGGCAACACAAAGCUCGGUACCGUACUGGAAUUGCUGCAGUGGAAGGCAAAGAAUGCUGUGCCUGACAAAGGAUUUGAGAAGCUAUUGAAAAUAUUGAAGAAGAAGCUUCCAAAGGAUAACGAAUUGCCCGACAGUACAUACGCAGCAAAGAAGGUCGUAUGCCCUCUAGGAUUGGAGGUGCAGAAGAUACAUGCAUGCCCUAAUGACUGCAUCCUCUACCGCGGUGCGUACAAGGAUCUGAACGCAUGCCCGGUAUGCGGUGCAUUGCGGUAUAAGAUCAGACGAGAUGACCCUGGUGAUGUUCACGGCGAGCCCCCCAGGAAGAGGGUUCCUGCGAAGGUGAUGUGGUAUGCUCCUAUAAUACCACGGUUGAAACGUCUGUUCAGAAACGAAGAGCAUGCCAAGUUGAUGCGAUGGCACAGUGAGGACCAUAAGAAAGACGGGAAGUUGAGAGCACCCGCUGACGGGUCGCAGUGGAGAAAAAUCGAGAGAAAGUACUGGGCUGAGUUUGCAGCUGACCCAAGGAACGUAUGGUUUGGUUUAAGCGCGGAUGGCAUUAAUCCUUUCGGGGAGCAGAGUAGCAAUCACAGCACCUGGCCCGUGACUCUAUGUAUGUAUAACCUUCCUCCUUGGAUGUGCAUGAAGCGAAAGUUCAUUAUGAUGCCAGUUCUCAUCCAAGGCCCUAAGCAACCCGGCAACGACAUUGAUGUGUACCUAAGGCCAUUAGUUGAAGAACUUUUACAGCUGUGGAAUGGAAACGGUGUACGUACGUGGGAUGAGCACAAACAGGAGGAAUUUAACCUGCACACGUUGCUGUUUGUAACCAUCAACGAUUGGCCCGCUCUCAGUAACCUUUCAGGACAGACAAACAAGGGAUACCACGCAUGCACGCACUGUUUAGAUGACACUGAAAGUAUAUACCUGGACAAAAGCAGGAAGAAUGUGUACCUGGGCCAUCGUCGAUUUCUUCCGACCAACCAUCAAUGUCGAAAGAAAGGCAAGCAUUUCAAAGGCGAGGCAGAUCACCGGAAGAAGCCCGCCAUGCGUACCGGUGAUCACGUACUUGCUAUGGUCAAUGAUUUACACGUAAUCUUUGGAAAAGGUCCCGGCGGACUAGCUGUUCCGAAUGAUGCUGAGGGACACGCACCCAUGUGGAAGAAGAAAUCUAUAUUUUGGGACCUACCCUACUGGAAAGAGCUAGAGGUCCGCUCUUCAAUCGACGUGAUGCACGUGACGAAGAACCUUUGCGUGAACCUGCUAGGCUUCUUGGGCGUGUAUGGGAAGACAAAAGAUACACCUGAGGCACGGGAGGACCUGCAACGUCUGCACGAAAAAGACGGCAUGCCUCUGAAGCAGUAUGAAGGUCCUGCCAGCUACGCUCUUACGAAAGAAGAGAAAGAAAUCUUCUUUGAAUGCCUGCUCAGUAUGAAGGUCCCGACUGGCUUCUCGUCGAAUAUAAAGGGAAUAAUAAAUAUGCCAGAGAAAAAGUUCCAGAACCUAAAGUCUCAUGACUGCCACGUGAUUAUGACGCAACUACUUCCGGUUGCAUUGAGGGGGCUUCUACCGGAAAACGUCCAAUUAGCCAUUGUGAAGCUAUGUGCAUUCCUCAAUGCAAUCUCUCAGAAGGUGAUCGAUCCAGAAAUCAUACCAAGGCUAAGGAGUGAUGUGGCGCAAUGUCUUGUCAGUUUCGAGUUGGUGUUCCCACCAUCCUUCUUCAAUAUCAUGACGCACGUCCUAGUUCAUCUAGUCGACGAGAUUUUCAUUCUGGGGCCCGUAUUUCUACACAAUAUGUUCCCCUUUGAGAGGUUCAUGGGAGUCCUAAAGAAAUAUCUCCGUAACCGCGCUAGGCCAGAAGGAAGCAUCUCCAUGGGCCAUCAAACAGAGGAUGUCAUUGGGUUUUGUGUUGACUUCAUUCCUGGCCUUAAGAAGAUAGGUCUCCCUAAAUCGCGGUAUGAGGGGAGACUGACUGGAAAAGGCACGCUUGGAGGGGGGGCUCAAUAAUAUGCAGGGACGGAUAUUCUUGGUCUGAAGCACACUACACAGUUCUACAGAACUCUAUCUUGGUGACCCCGUAUGUCGAUGAACACAAGAGCAGUGUGACGACUGGAUUACAUGUGAACACAUCAAGACUUUCAGCAGUUGGUUGGAAACACGUCUCAGAGGUGACACCACUGUUUGUGAUGAGUUGUACUCGUUGUCCAGGGGAUAUCUUCGACUGUAUUGACUUACAAAGGAUACGAGAUAAAUGGGAAUACAUUUUACACGAUCGCCCAAGAUCAAAAGAGCACCAACCAAAACAGCGGUGUCCGCUUUGAUGCAGCAACCGAGAGGGAAAGGACACAUAUUAUGGUUACAUAAUGGACAUAUGGGAACUUGACUACGGACAUGAUUUUAAGGUCCCUUUGUUUAAGUGCAAAUGGGUCAAUCUGUCAGGAGGCAGGGUACAGGUAGACCCACAGUACGGAAUGACAACAGUGGAUCUGAACAAUCUUGGGUACACUGACGAACUGUUCGUCCUAGCCAAUGAUGUGGCACAGGUUAUCUAUGUGAAGGACAUGUCUACCAGACCGAGGAAAAGAAAAGAUAAGGAAGCGAAUACAUCAUACGAUGAGCCAAAGCGGCACAUAGUUCUUUCAGGAAAAAGGACAUUGUGGGAGUGGAGGGCAAGAUGGACAUGUCUGAAGAUUAUGAAAAGUUUCAUGAAAUUCCUCCCUUCAAAGUCAAGGCUGACCCAAGCAUCAUGAUAAACGAUGAAGAUUAUCCAUGGUUACGGUGCAAUAAGCAAACGACACAAGCGAAGAAAAAGUGAAGACUUUCUCCCGCAACUAUUAUGAUGAUACCAUGCCAACUUUGUACUAGACGAGUAUGAUACCACUGUCCGUUUUGUACAAGAAGUGCAUCUAGUUUUUGCCGUAACCCUCUCAACUUUCUUGCACAUGCUAUGUGGAUGAAAUGAUGAUACCAUGACAACUUUCAACCUUUUCAGAGUUCAUUUGAAAUGCUUUUCAAUUUUAGGGUCUUAUAGCUCAAAAUAAUUAGUAAAUGCAUGAAAAAUAACAGGCCAAAAAUUAAAAAUUAUGCCACCUACUGGGCCACCACGGCCUGAAUACGAUUAGAAACCCAUCCAUGGGCCAGGAUUCAGGCCCGCAGAAGGCCCAGUAGGCCCACAGGCAUGUACAGAGAGGUUAGGCCCGUAAGCCUACUUUAGAGAGGAGCUCGACAGCUCAGGCGCACCGCACCUUAUAAACAGGUGCGACUCUCUCUUAGCUAGCGAGGUGGGACUAAACUCACCACCACGCCGCUGUGCAAGGCCAUUGGUCCCGGUUGGUGGCACGAACCGGGACCAAUUCCACCCUUUGGUCCCUGUUGGUGCCACGAACCGGUACUAAUGAGGCUGUGGCCCCACGAGCACCUUUAGUACCUGUUCGUGGCACGAACCGGUACUAGAGUUUCUUACUAGCUAAGUAGUUUUUUAGUCCCACCUCGCUAGCUGAGAGGCACUAGGAGCGGUUUAUAAGCCCUGAGUGCAGAGACGAUGAAGAAGAGGCGCAAUGCUCACGUUGCUUAGCUUCAAGCCUUGAGGAAUAAGGUAGACUGCAUCGAGCUAUGUGCAGUGCAGUCUACACUAUUCCGAAAGGCUUGAAGCAAAGCAACGCGCAUUGCGCCUCUUUUUUAUUUUUAAUCAUUAAAAGCAAAAAGAAUUUUCAUAAAGAACUUUUUUUGAUAGAAACUUUAAUAGCAGAAAGAAUUAUCAUAAAGUCAAAUAAAUAAGUAAUUAGAAACAAAAUAAAAUAAAAUAAAUAAGUUUUUUGUUGUAAGUAGAAACAAAACAAAAUAAAUAUAGCAAAAAAGAAAACAAAAAAACUAAAUACAGCAAAAAGAAUUUUCAUAAAGAACUAAUGGCACUAAUAGAAAGUUUAUAUUUUUUCUAAAACUAAUGGCACUAACAGACAGUUUAUAAUUUUGCUGACCUAAAAGCAAAAAGAAUUAAAAAAUAAAGCAAAAAACAAAAGAAAAUAAAUAAUGCAAAAAACAGAACCAAAAAACUGGAAAAAAAUUUAAAAAAACUGCCACCUAUUGGGCCACCACGGCGUGAAUACGACUAGAANNNNNNNNNNNNNNNNNNNNNNNNNNNNNNNNNNNNNNNNNNNNNNNNNNNNNNNNNNNNNNNNNNNNNNNNNNNNNNNNNNNNNNNNNNNNNNNNNNNNNNNNNNNNNNNNNNNNNNNNNNNNNNNNNNNNNNNNNNNNNNNNNNNNNNNNNNNNNNNNNNNNNNNNNNNNNNNNNNNNNNNNNNNNNNNNNNNNNNNNNNNNNNNNNNNNNNNNNNNNNNNNNNNNNNNNNNNNNNNNNNNNNNNNNNNNNNNNNNNNNNNNNNNNNNNNNNNNNNNNNNNNNNNNNNNNNNNNNNNNNNNNNNNNNNNNNNNNNNNNNNNNNNNNNNNNNNNNNNNNNNNNNNNNNNNNNNNNNNNNNNNNNNNNNNNNNNNNNNNNNNNNNNNNNNNNNNNNNNNNNNNNNNNNNNNNNNNNNNNNNNNNNNNNNNNNNNNNNNNNNNNNNNNNNNNNNNNNNNNNNNNNNNNNNNNNNNNNNNNNNNNNNNNNNNNNNNNNNNNNNNNNNNNNNNNNNNNNNNNNNNNNNNNNNNNNNNNNNNNNNNNNNNNNNNNNNNNNNNNNNNNNNNNNNNNNNNNNNNNNNNNNNNNNNNNNNNNNNNNNNNNNNNNNNNNNNNNNNNNNNNNNNNNNNNNNNNNNNNNNNNNNNNNNNNNNNNNNNNNNNNNNNNNNNNNNNNNNNNNNNNNNNNNNNNNNNNNNNNNNNNNNNNNNNNNNNNNNNNNNNNNNNNNNNNNNNNNNNNNNNNNNNNNNNNNNNNNNNNNNNNNNNNNNNNNNNNNNNNNNNNNNNNNNNNNNNNNNNNNNNNNNNNNNNNNNNNNNNNNNNNNNNNNNNNNNNNNNNNNNNNNNNNNNNNNNNNNNNNNNNNNNNNNNNNNNNNNNNNNNNNNNNNNNNNNNNNNNNNNNNNNNNNNNNNNNNNNNNNNNNNNNNNNNNNNNNNNNNNNNNNNNNNNNNNNNNNNNNNNNNNNNNNNNNNNNNNNNNNNNNNNNNNNNNNNNNNNNNNNNNNNNNNNNNNNNNNNNNNNNNNNNNNNNNNNNNNNNNNNNNNNNNNNNNNNNNNNNNNNNNNNNNNNNNNNNNNNNNNNNNNNNNNNNNNNNNNNNNNNNNNNNNNNNNNNNNNNNNNNNNNNNNNNNNNNNNNNNNNNNNNNNNNNNNNNNNNNNNNNNNNNNNNNNNNNNNNNNNNNNNNNNNNNNNNNNNNNNNNNNNNNNNNNNNNNNNNNNNNNNNNNNNNNNNNNNNNNNNNNNNNNNNNNNNNNNNNNNNNNNNNNNNNNNNNNNNNNNNNNNNNNNNNNNNNNNNNNNNNNNNNNNNNNNNNNNNNNNNNNNNNNNNNNNNNNNNNNNNNNNNNNNNNNNNNNNNNNNNNNNNNNNNNNNNNNNNNNNNNNNNNNNNNNNNNNNNNNNNNNNNNNNNNNNNNNNNNNNNNNNNNNNNNNNNNNNNNNNNNNNNNNNNNNNNNNNNNNNNNNNNNNNNNNNNNNNNNNNNNNNNNNNNNNNNNNNNNNNNNNNNNNNNNNNNNNNNNNNNNNNNNNNNNNNNNNNNNNNNNNNNNNNNNNNNNNNNNNNNNNNNNNNNNNNNNNNNNNNNNNNNNNNNNNNNNNNNNNNNNNNNNNNNNNNNNNNNNNNNNNNNNNNNNNNNNNNNNNNNNNNNNNNNNNNNNNNNNNNNNNNNNNNNNNNNNNNNNNNNNNNNNNNNNNNNNNNNNNNNNNNNNNNNNNNNNNNNNNNNNNNNNNNNNNNNNNNNNNNNNNNNNNNNNNNNNNNNNNNNNNNNNNNNNNNNNNNNNNNNNNNNNNNNNNNNNNNNNNNNNNNNNNNNNNNNNNNNNNNNNNNNNNNNNNNNNNNNNNNNNNNNNNNNNNNNNNNNNNNNNNNNNNNNNNNNNNNNNNNNNNNNNNNNNNNNNNNNNNNNNNNNNNNNNNNNNNNNNNNNNNNNNNNNNNNNNNNNNNNNNNNNNNNNNNNNNNNNNNNNNNNNNNNNNNNNNNNNNNNNNNNNNNNNNNNNNNNNNNNNNGUUCAUAUGUGGCUAUAUGUUUUUUUAUUUUUAUUAGUUUAAUUUUUUUGUUCAUAUGUGAUGUAUAUGUGUAUGUGGAAUAUGUUAAAUAUAUAUGUCAAAAAUGUUUUUUGUUCAUAGAAAGUUUUUUGUUCAUAUAUAGAGAAGUUUUAUAUAUGCAAAAGUUACAAUUUUAGAAAAGUUUUAUAUAUCUAGCUAGGAAGGGAAGAAGAAGAAAAAGAAGGAUAGGAAAGAAGAAAAUAAGAAGAAAGAAAGAAGAAGAGGAGAAGAAGAAAAAAUAGAAUAUAUUCCUUUCUUCUUCUCCUCUAUUCCUUUCUUCUUCUCCUCUUUUUCUUCUUCUUUUUUUUCUUCAAUCUUCUCCUCUAUUCCUUUCUUAUUCUCCUCUUUUUAUUUCUUCUUCAUUUUCUUAUGUUUUAUCGGGUAUGUCAUCGUCGAUAUACCCUCCCGAUAACUUCAACACGAGGAGGGGGGUCGAUAUACCCCCUCCCCGAUAAUAUUAUNNNNNNNNNNNNNNNNNNNNNNNNNNNNNNNNNNNNNNNNNNNNNNNNNNNNNNNNNNNNNNNNNNNNNNNNNNNNNNNNNNNNNNNNNNNNNNNNNNNNNNNNNNNNNNNNNNNNNNNNNNNNNNNNNNNNNNNNNNNNNNNNNNNNNNNNNNNNNNNNNNNNNNNNNNNNNNNNNNNNNNNNNNNNNNNNNNNNNNNNNNNNCCGUGUAUGUAUGUUGUCGUUGUCGAUAUUACCCCCUUCCGAUAACUUCAACACGAGGGGGGAUAACUUCAACACGAGGGGGGGUCGAUAUACCCCCUCCUCGAUAACAUUAUUUUCCCGUGUAUGUAUGUCGUCGUUGUCGAUAUAAAACCCCCUCCCGAUAACUUCAACACGUGGGGGGGUCGAUAUACCCCCUCCCCGGUAACAUUAUUUUCCCGUGUAUGUAUGUCGUCGUUGUCGAUAUAUAUAACUCCCUCCCAGAUAACUUCGACAUGAUGGACGGUCGAUAUGUAUACCCCCUCUCGACCGUGAUAACUUAUACCACGGGAGCACCCCCCGGCCCUCUCGCUCGACCAAAACUCUCGAGGACACCCAAACCCUAGAAAAAAAGAUGUCGGUCUCCUACCCCCUCCCGCCGCGCCCCUACCCUUGAAGCGUUGCCUAGGCCACCCCAAACCCGGAAUAAGCUAGGUCUACGUUUGCACUAAUAUAUCCACCUGCUGUCAUGUUUGUGUAAUAAUUGCCAUGUUGUAAUAUUUGCAGAAACAAUGGAGCACGGACGAGAUGAGCAAGCAGAAGAGGUGUUGGGGGACAUAAUCUUAGCCGUAGGUGAUAUCUUGUCGUAUCUUAACGACAAUGAUGGUCUGGAAGAACAGGGUGAAGAAGCAGGCUACGAUGAUCGAAGAGUGGAGGAGGAAAGACAUGACGGUGACCCAAUGCUAGUGCAAGAAGGAGCCGGUGGUGACGGCUCCGGUGACCGAACAGAGUCCGGCCAGGUAAAUCUAUUAGUUAAGCCUGUGCUGACUAGCUAAUUGAUGCAUUCAUUGUUUUGGUAUGUACACAUAUUAAUUAACACUCGUCUUUCUUCUUUUUUCUAGCCCUCCGGAUCGAGCACAACUGCGGUAAAGAGACGAGGCCCGAAGAGAAAGUUGCGCUCGGAUGAAAGGUUUGAGAUCACAGCAAUCGCGCGCAACGGCCAACCGAUUGAACCCCUCCAGACAAAGGAUGCUUUUGCUGCUCAGUGCGGGGUUCUAGUCAGGGACAAGAUCCCGAUCAGCAUCCACCAAUGGUAUAAGCCUAAGAAGGAAGACCCUGAGGUGUCUUAUGUCAAUGAUAUGCAGAAAGAUGAUCUUUGGACUGAGCUGAAGGCAAAUUUCACCCUACCGCCAGAGGAGGAUCUGGAGAAGCCAGUUAUAGAGCAAUUAAUCAAGUCUCAUGCUCUUAAGAAGAUGGCAGACCUAUUCAGGAGGUGGAAGAAUGAGCUGAAAACAUUUGUCGACAAAGAAGAGACACCAAAAUUCAUCGGCCGGUAUGAGAAGAUCAGAGAUCACUGGCCCGCAUUUGUGGCCCACAAGACAUCGGAAAAGAGUAAGAAGAUGUCAGCGACAAACAAGAAGAAUGCUGCGAAGAAGAAGCUUCACCAUCGCACGGGGUCAGGUGGCUACCUCAAAGCCCGGCCUAAGUGGGCCAAGUCUGAGAGGGAUCUGCUUGAUAAAGGGAUCGAACCAGAGACAAUGAACUGGCCAGACCGUUGCCGGACUUGGUUCUUCGGGGCUGGCGGAACCUUGGACCCUGUAUCAGGGAGGUGUCGUUGGACGGACGAGCAACUUGCAAUACCCGUCAAGAAGCUUAAGCACUAUAUCGAUGCAGCGCAGCAAGGGACGUUCGUUCCAGGCAGAGAGAAUGACGAGCUCACAAUGGCCCUCGGGAAUCCUGAGCACCCUGGACGGACAUGAGGCACGCCAGGCUCCGUUCCGUGGAAGGCUGGUUUUCUGAACGCGGGCGAUUACAAAACCCAGGAGAGGAGAAAAAAGUGGAGCAGAUCCAAAUUCAGAAGCUGCACGAAAGGGUUCAAGCGCUAGAGGAACGAGACGGCAAUCGAGAUGCCGAAACUGCCCCCCAAGCUACACAACCAUCUCAGUGGAGAAGCAGCGUGGCUUCCACCGAGCUGCCUCAGCUGGAGCAUGCGGCUCCUGCUAGCUACCCCGUGGAUGCUAUCACGGAGUCUCAACAUUGCCACCUUAUGGCGGAAUGGCAGAACUUGAAAGUCAAGGCGGCCGUUGGCUCUGUUUUACCUACUGAACCCGGCGCAACCUACCACUGCCGGCCGAUUCCAGAAGGAUAUGCUAGGGUGAUGGUGGAUGAAAUAACGGAGAGAUUUGAGGACCUCCAGCUUGACCACCCUACCGGUGAAGGGGAGACUCGGCUGGGUUUAGCUCUGAAGACUCCAUGCCUAUGGCGGAAGGAGCUCAUUAAGCUUCCGAACUGGACGGCUCCGGCGAGUAAGGGCACUCCGCCUCCUCCUCCGCCUCCUCCUCCGGCGAGUGAUCAGGGCACUCAGCCUCCUUCUCCGGCGCGUGGCGGCACUCCGCCUCGUCAGCAAGGGCGGAAGAGACCCGCCGCCGCUGCGGCUGCUCCGGCGCGUCGUAGUCCUUCUCCUCCGCCUCGUAAGCAAGGAAAGAAGACAGCCGCAGCCGCUCCGUCUGCUUCGCCGGCGUCUAGCAGUACAGCUGCCAGAGGCGGGAGGCAAUACAGAUUCGGUCCUUCUCUGAAGACUCCAGAGAAGUUACCAUAUGAGAGGAACGAGGAGGAGAACGCGAAGAUCGUGCGAGCCGAAGUGAAGAACUUCUUUGAAGGGGUGAAAGCAAAGAAACAUCCACCUCCGGAGGAGAAGGUAGAUCCGGUGAAAGCAAAGCGCACUCUGGCUGCCCUGACAAAACCACCAAAGUCUCCGCCGAGAGGCAACUAUCAGCACGUUCUUGCAAAGGCAUAUGCCGAAGCGGAGCGGUCGGGAAGUACUGUCAGUGAUAAAAGGAUGAAAGAACGAUGAGCUGGGAAAAAAAUUGCCCAGCUCGGCGAACAAGCGAACCAAUCGUGCCCCCCGCUCAAGGUGUCAAAAGACAUCGUCGCUAAUGAUCCGAGUAUGGUGCCCGGUUAUAGCAAUCUUGGAGAUUACCUGCCCGACGAUGUACAUUAUGAAAUCAUGGAGGUGGACGAACACAAAUACCAUUACGGGAUGCCUCUCGUCAAAGAUGUCAGAUCUCUAAGCACGAUGAUGCGAAGACUACAUGAUUGGUACAUGAAAACCUGCAGAGAGUUUGAUGGGAUGAGUACUUUGACACUGAGAGUUAAACCAGAGCAUGACCUCGUUGGAAUUGAACUGCUGAAUGUUCCAUUUGAGGAUUUGUUCCAGUUUUACAAUCAAAAGGCCCUCGAUAAAACAACGAUCACUUGCUACUGUCUGUAAGUAGUACUACUUCUGUCAUUAAGUCUCUCUAUAUAGGUCAGCUCUUUCAUUGCAUGUAUUUAUACUUAUCCUCACUAUAUUAUGCAGAUUGAAGAUCGCCGAAUUGAAGAAAAGACAAAUCGGUGAUAUUGGGUUCAUUAACACAAAUCUCAUAGAUGCAUAUACGGUUGAAAAACAUCCCAAAGAAGCCGAGGCCAACUUGCUACAAUCGUUGGUAUUAAAUCAAAACAAAGAUACAAUACUCUUUCCUUACAACUUCAAGUGAGUGUUACUGUCUUGUGCAUAUUCGGUUUUCCUUAUUAGUCCAGGUUAUGGUAAUGUAAUUGAUGACUUAUGCAUGCAUGCGCAGCUUCCACUAUAUUCUCCUAGAGAUUAAGCUUGAGCCGGGAGUAGUAACCGUCUUAGACUCGAGACGAAAAGAUCCCCAGGACUAUGCGAACAUGACUCAAAUGCUCCAGAAAUAAGUUAAAUCGAUCAUUAUCCACCAUAUCAGCAACUUUGUUCAUUUCCUGAUAUCAAGUAAUUGUUUUCUUUGUCUGGCAGGGUUUGGAGAAAAUUCACCUCAAAAGCUCCGGGAUUGUCGAAGAAGCUGCAAUUUAAUCACCCGAAAGUAAGUACUAUAGUAGCAUGUUCCGCGCAUCUCCUACUGAUUCAAGCGGUAGUUUCAUCAAUACCAUUUAGCAUGCCUGCUUAUCAGUUUGAUUGCCUCUAUUUCUUGUAAAGUGGUUGUGGCAGGAACCCGGGAAUAAUUACUGUGGAUACUACGUUUGCGAGUCCAUCCGCUACCAUACCUGUGAGCGGGGCUACACUGAAGAACAAUAUGAAGUGCGUAAGCAAUAAUAUUCACAAUUUUAUUUUAUUACCAUCAUUUGUGUUGAGUUUCAUUUAUUCAUAUAUAUAUAUGUAUUGACCCCCUUCUUCAAAUUAGAUCUUUCAGAUGCGUGAUGAACUCCUAGCACCAGAUCGUAUGCGAAGAAUUCAAGAGGAAUUGGCGGCAUUCUUCCUUGACCAGGUGAUCGCUGAAAACGGAGAAUACUAUGUGGACCCUGUGUUCCUACAAUAUAAUUAGGAGAUUGUAUUGUAAGAGAUAAUUAUUGUAUAUCUGUAGCCGGUAGUGUCGGAUAGAUAUACGAGAACUUGUUGUUCGACCAAUAUCUCGGAGAAGGAGAGGUGGUCGAUAUCACUUCUCUCUGUAUGCAUAUGUUCAUGACGAUCUUCUGUUUCCUUCAUUUGAUUACUAGCUAGCGUGUCUACUCCUCUCCAUACGUAUAUAGUACGUAACAUCGAUCAAGCACGGAGAUAAGAGAGGACACUUCUCUCUAUUAAUUAGCUAGCUAACACAAUAUAUGAAACACCUAAAUUAACCCUCCAAAACCCCUAAACCACCCCCUUUCAAAAAAAAACCUCACCUCCUACCUUGUGCUGACGCGUGGAUGCCUAUUGGUCCCGGUUGGUGGCACCAACCGGGACCAAAGGCCCUCCUGCCUGGGCUCCCCGCACCGGCCACGUGGACGGCCUUUAGUCCCGGUUCGUGUAAGAACCGGAACUAAAGGGCUAGGGCAUUAGUAACGACCCUUUAGUCCCGGUUUCAGGGUAAAAGUCCCUUUUCCUACUAGUGAUUGCAUCUGCAAGCUAAGGUGGCGCACACCUGGGCCAUGGCCGCCACCCACGUGCGCAGCGGAGGUUUGUUGCACGAACGGCACGGCUCGCGGCGCGCCAGCCGACCAGGACUGCUUGGAUUGUGAGCUAGUGUUGCGUCUAAUUCCCGUCAAGUUGGACCUGAGCGGAUGGUGCAGACAGCAUGGAGAUCGAAGUUCACUUUGGCCACUUGAUCCACAUCGACAGAGACGGGGCACGUAUAAUCUAUCCGCCAUGCCGAUUGCUCAAGAGAAAGUAAGAACUAGCCUCUAAGGAUUUGCGCUCUGCUGCGCAGAGGUAGUGUGCAUGUAUUAAUAUUUUUUUGAGACUAGUGUGCAUGUACUAAUUAACUCCGUAUUUGACGUUUGCUAGUGUUAUAAUAUAUUUUUGGAUGCAUGAAAUAAUAUACGAACAAAACAGGAUGAAACAAGAAAUCUCACCCACAUUUAUUUCUGAUUGAUACAAACAAAAAAGACACAACCGACCGAUCAACGUUCUCAUACGUAGAAAAACAGAACACACUCACAUGACACACACACAAACAAAUAAAAGCAAGAAGGAGCAGGUGAACAUCCACCGCUUGAAACCAACAUGCAAGAAACACACAUAUCCAACGAACUAGAGGUCUUGCAUGCACGAAGAGACCUCCCACGCGCUCAUUAGCAGGCCUUUUGCUUGACGCAUUCCACCUGGGCACUUUUGCUUUGAGCCGGAGCCUUCCACGCCUUCUUCAUCUUGCAGAGGCAUGAGUGGCCUCCAAAGGCGACGCAGCAGUCCACUUGAACCUGACUGACUUUACCCGAAAUAAUCCUGUCGGCAGUGGCAUCUUUGUUACCUUCUCCGAAGCUCUUGAAGCACGCAUUCACGACGUUCUGAUCGACACCGUCGCACACCGGCGCACCGCCUAUGGCAGGUACCUUCUGGGCCACAGCGACGGCGCACAUCAGGGCGACCAGCGCCGCCAUGGCAGCGAGCCUCGGGAACAUUGCUGCUGCCAUGAUCAGAUCGACCUAGGAUAUAGCUGAUGGAAGGUCGAUGCACUCACUCACCGCUUAUGCCUGGUGUGGGUUGUUUUUGUGUAGAGGUCUGCCGGGGCUUUUAUAGAGCUAGCUAGAUAGGUGUGGGCAUUUGGGGUCCUAG